UUUCUCAAUUACAGAGAUCUUGAUAUAGGGAUCACCCAUAAUGGCAAGAACAGUUACGCCGAGGGACUUGUUUAUGGAAUUAAGUACUUCAAGGAAAAUUUUAACAGAUUGGUAAAAGUUAAGACCGCGGUUGAUCCUGACAAUUUCUUCAGGAAUGAACAAACCAUUCCGGUGUCUCCUUCUAGGAAAUACUAACAAUAAAGAAGUUAUCAUGUAGCUUUGGUUUUGUUGAUUGUUGUUUUCUGUAAUUUAUUUGGAUUGCAAACUGCAAAGUGUCAUAAAUGAUUCUACACAAAGCACACAGAAUAAAGAUUAUUUUGUCAAAGUUUUGUACUUGAUUUAGCUCAAGUAAUUGGACUAUAAUUCUCCCAUUUAGCUCAAGUUUUGUAGGCUAUUUAUAAAAUAAUCAAAACUAUAUCAUUCUUAUUAUGUGAAUGCCAUUCUUAAUAUUAUCGAUGGUAUCUGUGGAAUAUCGACAUUGAAAUCUAGGAAGAGAAUUUUAAUGCAUUAAAUGUCCUUAUCAAAUUGAAAUGAAUUUCCAAUGAAGUUAAAAAUUUUUGUACUAUAUCCCUACCCUACUAUAUUAAAAGAAAAAGUUAAAUUUAGUGACUUAGUGUUUUAGUUCUCACUUUUCAAUGAUAGCUUUACAACAAAUUCUGACGACUUUCUUACAUAUCCGAAUGUACUAAGAAUUUGUUAUCGGGGCUUUUUAUGUAAUAUCGACCUUGAGAUUUUGAAAAAGAAAUUGAAUCCCUUAUGAAAUUGAAAUUGAUUUGGAAAAGUUUUAGUUUUACUUAGAACAAAAUUUAGUAAAAACCAAAUUUCUUUUUACCGUAUAGAUUCUGAUGAUUUCCAUCAUUAUCAAUGUCAUAAUUAAGUGCGGCUCUUUAUAUAAUGUGCUUAUUAACAUGAUGGAUAUUUUAUCUACGUGCGAUUUUUACCAUUGUGUUGGAUAUAUUAUCAUUUGCUUAACCGGGCAUAAACAAGAAGCUAGAGAUACAUAUAGGUUUUCAAAAAAACAGACAAAGUUUAAAAAAUAUGCCUGGCUGAGUGCAAUAUUUGUCCAAGGUAGAAGCCUUUUUAAUUCUUUUUAAGGUUAUUAAUAUAAUACUGGCUUUUAAUAUAAAACUAAUUCAACUUAAUUUCCAUCUGGAAUAAAAUUAUAAAAAUGGGAUUCAGAAAGUAGUAAAGAACGGGAAAGAAAUUUUAGGGGGUUAAAAAAGCAAAGAAAAUAUGACAAAUAAUAUGAUAUGACAAAAAAAGGACAUAUUGAAUGAAAGUAGGAAAUUCAUUUUCCUUUUAAUAACAAUUUAGACGAAGGGGGAUUAAAGUACCAAUGGACUGUUCCGGGGUGUGGAGAAAAUUGUUGAAAUUAAGAUUUUAGCACAUCCUUUUAUACAAAAAAAAAUGUGGGAAAUAGAUUACAAACAAAUUUCUGGUUUGAUUCAUGGUACCACUACAAGAAAAUUGCGUUUCUGUGACAGGCGAAAGUCGUCACUAAAAAUUCAGAAGUUGUCACAAAAAAAGCUUGUGACGACUUUUACUACUGUCACAGAGCUGUCACUAGUUCUAUGUCACAAAAGGGGGUCCAUGUGACGACUAUUGUAAGUCGUCACAAACGAUUUCGCUUUUGUGAUGACUCUUGUCGUCACUCAUUGUUGUACAUUGUGUGACGACUUUUAUUGUCACUAAACUGGCUAAAUUCUUGUCAUAGUCAACCCUUGGAGUUGUCACAUUAUGCUUCCGUUCAGUGACGACUUUUAUUGUCAUUGUUUUCCAUCCAUAAAAAGUGACGACUUUCUAGUGUCACUAGUAAAACUUGUUGGCAGUGACAACUUUUUUAUUGUCAUUUAUUUUUUUGUAAAAAGCAAUAAGCUAAUGUUAAUUACGCAACAUAGCUACCAACAAUCACAAAACGUUCAUUGAGUAGCAAGGAGAAAAAAAAGCCAACCUACGAAAAGAAAACCAACAUUCAUUUCCAAUAGAAGAUCAACCGAAAUACAUAUAUAUAUAAAUGUUGCCUCAAAUGAGUCAUAAACCAUGCACCAUCCAAAAUAAGCCAUUCAGUUACAAUACUAGUGAUUUCCCAUCCACAAUAGAGAGUAGUAAAGUUCUAUACAAAAAUAUGAGCACGAUUCCCAUCUAGAACAAAACAUGAGCACGAUAGGCCUUGUAGUCUUCAAUUCAAAAACCAUCUUCACAGCAAUGACUGGCUUCUUCUUCUUGGGAAUCGUGUUAGAACCUACACGUUACCAAAAUUGAAGCAAUGAGCACUGGUGUUAAAACUGGAACUAUACUUCUAGAUAGGCACCAUAUUAUAAAAACUAAUGUACACUGUUCAAAUGACACUAACCAAAGAAAAGGUCAUCGCCAUCUAAAAUGCCUUGACAGUACGUUAUGGCUAGAUUAGUGUUAUACCAUCAAUUCUGGUUUGACAUCCUUGAAUAGGCUUGACGAGUAAGAAGGAAGACAAAAUAUAACAGUUCAGGAAAGAGACUACGAGAUGACAACAUCAGAGGGCUGACCGAUGAAAUUAAACUAAUACAAACAACAAGAAGUUUGGACUUAGCAGAAUCAUCUUAAGUCAGCAGGAUCGUGUAGUAAAAGAGUGAAAGAAAAAAGAAUUUAAGGCUGUGGAACACAAAAUGGAAAACCAGGAGGCUUCCGUCCAAUAAAGGCCUGAAAAGUAUCAAGAAAAUUAUUUAUUUAAGAAUCAUGACACAAUCAAAUGUUUCUUCUCGUAUCAGGCAUAGAGGAUGGGGCUACAAGUACAUAGCCCAACGGCCAACAUGCAGCUAAAACCUAAAACUUAAACUAAAAAAGUCAAUAAAUCAAAUAUGAAAAAAAAAAGAAGCAAAUCACGUUGAACAGAUCACACGUAUCUUUAACAGUUAUUAACCAACCAAAUUGAAAAUUAAAGUGUUACAUGAACCAAUUCUUACAAGACACACUGAAAUUGAUUUAGGGGUGCAAAGUUUAUAACUAUGAAGAGCAAACAAUUGUAUUAAAAAUGAAUCUCUAUUUUGUAGAACCAGAAUUCAUUUCCCUCAAUUGUAAUAACUAUGAAGAGCAAACAAUUUAUUUAUACCUGACACAAAAGUUGCUUAUUUGCGCAAGUCUUUCAGCUGGUUAGCUAACUCAUCAUAUAGGCUUCUUGUUUCUGUUUGUUGCUGUUGCAAGGUCUUAAUCAACUCUUGCUGAGCAGUGAAUUGUUGAGUUACUUCUGCAGCUCGUUUUUCUGCUUCAUCUGCUCUUUUUCGGCUGUCCUCAAUCUCAUGCCUCCAGCGUUCUACCUCAGCAGCUUGCUUCUUGGUUGCACUACGACCGCGGAUGUGUCCAGGUACGUAACCAAGUUCUUGCUCGCAUAUUUCCUUGCUAGUCAUUGAAGUUGUAGCCUGCAAUUCCCUCAUUUUGUCCUAGGCAAGUAAAAAAUAUGAUCAUUAUGUAGCUGGAAUGGAUGUCAAUAAUUUAAAAAUCCAUUAUCCAAGUGAAACAGCUCACCAAGGUCUCUUUUGCUUUGUCAUUUACCAGCCCCCCUGACUUCUUUGACUUUCGACUUAACUCAAACAUGUCUAUCUCUGAAAGCUCGACAUCUUCUUUCCUUUUCUGUCCAAAUUUUCAAUUUUUUCAUUUUCAGUCAUAUGACAAAAAGUAACAAGAAGUUAAAUCUGCAAAUGUGUGCAAUUCAAUAGGAAAGCUCAGAUUGAAUUGAAGCCUGUGGCAUUUGUCAGAUUACAAAUUUCUCAGAUAGCAGACGUGGCAUAUGAAAUUGAGGGAGCUACAAAUCAACGUAUAUAGCUUUAGUAUACAACCAGAGCUAAUGCUAGAGUCAUCCAAUUUCCAAGACAAAGCAGAAUAUGAUGGAAAGAUUAGUCAAAACUUUACAAGGCUUCAUACACAUAAUCUAAAUACUUGGUAGCAUCUAAAUCUAAUCCAGUCAUGGAUUUGAGAAAAGAGCAUUAAAAGUAUGUAGAGAAAAGGAAGGCCAAGGAAGACCAUGUAGAAAGCUGAAAGAAAAACCCCAAGAGAGCAAGGUCAGCUUCAUUCAGAACAAAUUUAGCUUGAUGAUCUAACAGCCUAACAGAAUGUAUCUGCGACAACAAAGACACUCAGAAGCCACAUGUGUGCACUUGCGCAUAAACACAAGGCAUGAAAUUUAUCUUGCUAUAUUAACUAACCAAUUGCUUUACCUUUCCUCUCUUUUUUUUUCCUUUUUCCGAAUAUUUGCAGUACCUCACUGUUGAGUCAAUAAAAAUUUAAAGGAAAUUAUGUAUAAUACUAUUUUCUUCCAUCAAACUUCACUUUAAAACAUCAAAACUGGCUGAGCUAUUCCGGUAGUUGAAAUAUUUGCCUUUUUCAGUCAUAUGGCUGGGUUUCAGAUUACCUUUUCCUCAACAACUCUUGCAAGCGAUUUUGUGCCAACAGUAGUGUAGCAGUCAUUUUUGGCACGAUUUUGCUUGUUACGUUCACUAAUUUUCUGCCACAAAUUAGUGAAAAUUUUAACUGACAAAGAUUAGCAAAUUUGUGAAGUGAAAUCUGAAAUUUAAUAAAAGGAUAGGUUAUUUUGACAAGCUAACCUUAAAUUCAUCAUUUUCAAAGUAGCUGACCAGCCACUUCCAAUCUUCUUCACUCACACCUUCAGGAACUUGCCUCAAUGCUUCUUGCCUUGAUUCAAAACUCUGGAAAUACUUGUGAAGCCUAUAUCGAUGAUUUCGAUAUUGUGUGUUUAACUGCCUAUUAAUAGCAGUUUUUGAGGUGAUGUGCUCUGAAAAUCGAAAGUCAUCCUACAAUAACAGUGCAAUCUACUUAAAACCAAGCAAAUCUAAAGCAGUAAAAUCUCUCUUACUUUCUGGAUGAAAUUAGACAUGUCUAUUGCAGGACAACAAAUACUGUAACCGUGCUGUAUAUGCCUUCUCGGUCACCGGGAUUGAGAUGGGACCACUUUGGAACAUUAAGCCUAGCAGCCUUCCUAACAACACAACCCCCUUCUGUGAUGAAGUAUUGAGAAUCCUUCCCAACAAUCCGCCGAAUACAAUCAUCAAUUUCAAUGGUGAGCGUCUCAUUAGCCUCCCUUUUUUUUGAUAAUGAUAGAUUUCGUGUACGUCCUCUUCUUCUUGCUGACAGCAGCAUAGCUAUUAACAAAUAUCAGUCCAUACAUUACUUUGACCACAUUAACAAAGUCAGUCAUGAAAUAGAAACUUGAUUUUUAAUUUCAGCCAUGAAAAUGAAGUCUAACUUACCAUUUUCUUCCUCAUCCGAAACUGGAUUUGACUCAUUUUCUCCGGAUGCACGAGACUCAGAUGUCUGAGGGUGUAUCAUCCUACUCUCACUAGCAAUUUCUCUAGGUGAAGAAGCUGGAGUGACAUAUAUUACAUCCUCUGAGGAUACACUCUUGGAUGCACUUCUUGGUUGAUUGCUUCCAAUUGAAUUAGGUAUUGCAGGCUGUUGUGCACCUUGAGCUUUUCUCUGCAGCAUUUGGCCUCGCUUUCCUGGUCCAGCCAUCUAAAAGUAACAAGAAGUUAGUGUUACAGCAUAGUAUAAUUUAGGAAUAAAAACUAGUUAGCCGGAGUUAAAGAGAUUAAAUUUAGUGUCAUGUAGUCCUCAUCAAUUUCACCUAUUCCGAAUCGAUGUCAUUAUCACUAAGAAUCUCCUCUUCGUCUUCCUCAUUGUUAGACUCAUGUUCAUUCACUUCAUCAUCAUCAUUAAUGAAGUCUUCAAAGGUGCCAUUUGAGCUAUUUUUUGACUUCUCAGCAUGUACAAUGGAUGAAGGUACAGCCUUCGGUAUCUCAUUGUCUUCUCUCGAAAGUAAUGGUGGAUUGUCGAGGUCUAUUAUAAUAGUGAAAUCCCCAUUUGCUUCUUCUUGAUAUAUUUCCUCGACCAUUGGUUCUUUUUCUAAAUUUUCAGGAACAUCAUACAAGUGCCUUGGACUGAACCUCUCGACGACAAACCAGUUUUUGCCUAGUUUCAAGUCUUCAAGAUAAAAGACUUGUUGGACAUGUUGAGGGAGGACAUAUGGUUGGUCUUCAUACCAUUUUCUAGACGAAUUGACACUUGUGAUACCCCAUUCUUUGUCCACUUGCAUCCCAGCACUAUCAUCGGUCUUCCACCAGUCACACUUGAAUACUAUAACCUUUUUUUUCCCGAGCCAGUAUCUUACUUCAAUAAUUUGUUGUAUCACACCAUAAAAAUCGAUCAUUUUGUUACCAUGCUCACCUCUAACUACAAUACCACUGUUUUGAGUCUUUCUUUGCCUUUCCCGAUUUUCCGUGUGAAACCUAUACCCAUUAACCAUGCAACCCGUAUACAUACAAACUCGGUUGUCUAGCCCAAAUGCUAAUGCUCUAAGCUCACCAUUGGAAGUCUCGCUGCCAUACAUAACCUAGUAAGGACAAUUUCACCUAAAUCAGUAAUUUAUUGUAUUAGAGAUAAAAAAAAGUAGGCUGUCCAAAUGACACUACAAACAUACACGUUGUUGAACCCAUUUUGCAAAUUCUCUAUCAUGCCUUUGGUCCACAUUUUCAGCACUCUCUGCCUCCAACUCCAUUUUAUGCGCACUAUAGACAAAAACAAUCACCUUAUAUAAAUUUGCCUUUGAACAUAUCAAAAUAUAGAACAAAGGUACAAGCUUUAAUUAACAUUAAAAGCUUACUUUAUAUAGUCCUCAAGCUCAUCACAAUUGUUCAAUAUAAAUGUAUGAAUUUUUUCCAGCUCUGAGUCAAGGAAAUUGCCCCUUUUGGGACCUCCAAAUGGACGACCAGGGCAUGAAAAAAUGGACAAUUCACCAGUAUUAUAUCCCCUAUCAUUGUUUCGUUCAGGCUUGUUGAAUAUCGUAUCAAUAUUGUCUAGGUACAUAGAGCAGAAUGUCAAGCAUUCUUUAUCUAUGUACCGCUCAGCAAUGCAUCCCUCUGGCCGGGCCUUAUUCCCAACAUAACUUUUCAGCACUGCCAUAUGUCUUUCUCAAAGGAAAAUAAAAGAAAUUAGAAGAUUGCAGUGGUCUUUAAUAAAAAAAAAACUUACAAGGCUAUAUGUUCAACUCUCUACCUCUCAAAUGGGAACAUCCAACGAUAUUGAGCUGGACCGCCAAGGAUAGCUUCAGCAGGCAAGUGAACCAUCAAGUGCAUCAUUAUAUCGAAGAAAGCUGGAGGGAACAACCUCUCUAAUUUACAUAAGAUGACUGCAAUUUUUUGGCCUAACUCCUCCAGAACCUCUCUAUGUAAUGUUCUAGCACAUAAUUUUUUGAAGAAUUCACUUAACUCGAAUAGCACUUGCCGAACUUCUUUUGUUAAACUUCCACGGAUUGCAAGUGGGAGUAGCCUUUGUAUAAAAAUGUGGAAGUCAUGACUUUUCAUUCCAGAAAUUUGAAACUGGCCAUUUUUUAUACAUCGGCAAAUGUUUGAGGCAAACCCAUCUGGAUAUUUGACAGAAUUCAAGAACUCACAUACUUUUUUUUUUCUCCUCCUUGGUUAGGCUGUAACAGGCAUGUGGCAUGAUAUAAGAGUCGCCAUUUGGAAUCAAAUGUAGCUCUUUUUUCAAACCCAAAUCCUUCAAAUCUUGACGACACAACCAGUGGUCUUUGGUUUUGUUUUCAAUAUCCAUAAUUGUGGCAAUGACAGCCUCUGAGACAUUUUUUGACACAUGCAUUAAAUCCAAAUUAUGCCUAAGAAGGAGGUCUGCCCAAUAUGGUAACUCAAAGAAACAACUUUUCUUUGUCCAGUUCAAACCACUCUCAGAACGCUUGCGUUUCUUUGCAUUGGAUUGCGCCUUGGUCUUCCCAAAAUUUACCUCCAUAUUUUGUACCUGAUCCAAAAUUUCAUUUCCAGAUAAAGGUGCAACAGGAUUCCUAAAGUCCACAUUGCCAUCGAAAGGUUUUUUUUCUCGCCGCCAAGAAUGGUCAAUGGGUAAGAAGCGGCGAUGACCUGUGUAACACAACUUUUUUCGAUGUGGUAAAUGUACGCAAGUUGUCUCAACCAUGCAAAUAGGACAUGCUUGAUACCCUUUCGUACUCCAUCCGGACAGCAUUGCAUAAGCUGGAAAAUCAUUUAUAGUCCAUAGUAAAGGUGCCCGGAGGUCAAAUUUCUUGCCACUAUAUGCAUCAUAUGUUUCAACACCAAGCCACAUUUCAUUCAGUUCAUCUAUUAGAGGCUCCAUGUAAACAUCAAUCUCAUUUCCCGGGGAUUUAGGCCCAGGAAUUAGCAUUGAUAGGAAAAAGAAAGGAUCUCUCAUACACUUCCAAGGGGGCAGAUUGUAUGGCACUAGAUAAAUAGGCCAGAUGCUAUAAGCACUACUCAUGGUCCCAAAAGGAUUGAAACCAUCAGUUGCAAGACCUAACCUCACAUUUCUAGGAUCAACGGCGAAGUCCGGAUGCAACCUAUCAAAGUCUUUCCAUGCUUCACUGUCUGCUGGAUGCCGCAUGAUGUUAUCAUCAUGCACACACUUUUCUUUAUGCCAUCUCAUAUCUGAAGCUAUUUCUUUGUGGGUAUAUAAUCGUUGCAGCCUAGGCUUCAAAGGAAAGUAACGCAAAACUUUGCGUGGAACUCUUGAACCUGCCAUCUUGUAGCGAGGUUCUUUACAAUUUAGAUUUGGACAAGUGUCAAAAUUUUCAUUUUCCUUGCGGAAGAGAACACAAUCAUUGACACAAGCAUGGAUUUUUUCAGAUUUAAAACCUAAGUCUCGAAUGAGCUUCUUAGCAUCAGCAAAAGACUUGGGAACUGUGGCUUCAGGAGGUAGUGCAUGGCUAAAAAUUUCCAGCAAUGCAUUGAAGGACUUUAUGGUCCACCCGCUCAUUGUUUUCAAAUGGAGCAAAGUGACUACAAAGGAUAGCUUUGAGUAAAAAUGAUUCCCUGGAUACAGCUCCUUUUUUGCAUCUUCUAACAAUUUAAGAAAGUUAUUUGUGUCACUAUGAUUCGCAUUUAGACUAUCAUCCGUUGAUUCUUCCCUACCAGCCCAAUUGUCCCCCCAUUGUGCUGUCCCAAUGUCGUGCAACAUGUCAUUUAAAUCUUCAGUAUCACUAUCCUCCUCUCCAUCCCCAUGUUUAGUACUAUCCCCACAAUUUUGGUGUCGAAAUUGUUCCCCAUGGUGUAUCCAUCUUGUGUAGCUUUUACGAAUGCCUUGAGUCAAUAAGUGAUCCUCCACAACUGUUUUAGUUUGGUUACAAAAAUUAUUGCAUUGUGUACAUGGGCAUGGGAUUUUCUGAGUGUCAACUUUUUGAGAAUAUGCAAACUUGAGGAAAUUUUUGACUCCGAGUUCAUAAGCCUUGUCCUUCCUAUUGCUAAUCUUCAUCCAAGUUUUAUCCAUGUCCUAGAUAUACACACAUCAGCCUUUAGUACAAAAUACUUUUCUAAUAUCAAACUAAAGAGAAUAAUUUGUUAACUAGCCUUUUCAAAAAUUAAGGCUACAAGUCAUAUGAAAAGCAGCCAUAAAAGUAAUAUGAAAAUUCAUAUGAAAAGCCAUGAAAUCAGUAUCAUAUAUCAAGAAAAGUAAUAUGUAUAGCAGCCACGAAAUGAACAUGAAAUUAACCAUGAAAAGCUCGGAUUGAAUUGAAGCCUGUGGCAUUUGUCAGAUUACAAAUUUCUCAGAUAGCAGACGUGGCAUAUGAAAUUGAGGGAGCUACAAAUUAACGUAUAUAGCUUUAGUAUACGAGCUAAUGCUAGAGUCAUGUAGAAAGCUGAAAGAAAAACCCCAAGAGAGCAAGGUCAGCUUCAUUCAGAACAAAUUUAGCUUGAUGAUCUAAUAGCCUAACAGAAUGUAUCUGCGACAACAAAGACACUCAGAAGCCACAUGCGUGCACUUGCUCAUAAACACAAGGCAUGAAAUUUAUCUUGCUAUAUUAACUAACCAAUUGCUUUACCUUUCCUCUCUUUUUUUUUCCUUUUUCCGACAAUGAAACCCACACUUCAACUCGGAUUCCGGGGGGGGGGGAAUAGGGAUCGAUGCAUGUUUUCCGCAGACCUCACUUUUUUGCAUUAAAUGAGAAGUGUCACUUUUGUUUCUUGGGGUUUUACUUAUUCAAAGACCAGAAAUAAAGGCAGACAUACACAUUUUAUUGCCUGCCCCUUUCUGCUGAAACAGCAGGGCCAAUUAAUGGGGUAGGAACCGAAAACGAAAAGGAGAACUUAGAUCCCAAUAUGUUAAUGCCAGGGAGUCCGGGAAUCGACAUUGUUGACUUGCACAUUUCUUUAGGCAAAUGCUAAACAGUAAACACACAGAAGCCACAAACUCUUACCAGUCCACUUCUCCAAAGUCCAAACCAUUCCUUGCAUCCACAUUGCACUGGCUUUUAACAAAAAGACUUGGAAGAGGUGAAAGAAAAACAUAAAAACUUUCGUGACUUCAUCAUAUGCAUUUAUGCUUGUGCACCUCCAUUCAUUGUAUUCUAACUACCCAAAAUAAAUGAAGUAACUAAACACAAGCAUUUUUUGUCACUAGUAUUGAUUCGCAUUCUACAGGUGGGACAAAGAUUAAGGUGAUAGAAACAUAAAGACCAAAAGAUAAAACAUAAAUGAGAAAAAUAAGAAAGUACUAGAAACUUUAGAGUUGAGAUUAUGCUGUAACAUUUUUUUUAUGUGAUAUAUGAUAGAUAAAAAGAUAAUUAAAAAAAUAAAAAAAUAAUUAAGAAGAAUACAUGUGAUGAAACGUAAAAUUUAAAUUUUAAAAAAAAAAAAAAAACAGGACCUAUCCAAACAUAGUCAAUUGUUGAGCAUUUCAACGAACAACUUCACAUGAUACCAUACUACUAUUAGUAAAUAGGACUUGUAUUUUUUUCCCCCUCUCAUAACAUCAAUUCGGACUCAAACAUAGGGCAGCAUAAAAACAGAAAAAGUGCAAAAACCAGCACGUCAGAGCCUCUCAAGACUCUGUUUUCUACCAUGAAAAAUUAGCUAUCAUGUUCGGACAAACACUGAACUAGCCGAAUGUUCCUUUUUCUCACACGCAAAACGCAAGCAAAAUCAUCUUCAAGUAGAACUCUCAACUGGGCAUUUCAUCGAACAGGUCAGGGGUAUAAAGAAUUUCGCCAAUCCUUUGCUCAAUUUGAAGUUAAUCAGCCCCAAAAUUUACAGCAUCCCAAUCAAAUUUCUCACACAACAGAAAUUAUAGCCCCACAUGAAUACAUAGACGUCAGAAAAGGAUAAAAGUUUUACUAAAAAGAAGAAAGGAAGAGAAAAUCAGGUCAAUACCUCUCAUUUUCACCCAUCCGCUAACAAAAUUAAAGAGAGGAAUGGAGAAAGGGAACCUUACCAAGCUUUUGCGGUGAGGACUUGCAGGUGGUGGUGGUGGAUUCUGGUGGCAGCAGCGGCAACAGCAACUCCUUGCUGAUUCCUUCGAUUCUUGGUUUUCCUUUGCUCUGUUUUCUUGUCGAAGCUCUUCCCUUUUUCCACCCCUCUUUUUUCAAUUUUUCUUCCGUCUACUCUCUGGCUCUCUCUCUCUCUUUUUGCUCUGUUUUCUUUUUCCUUUCUCCAAACCUCCUCCCUUUUUCCGUUCAGCCGAAGACCUCCUCUCCUUUUUUUCUUUCAUCCAACCAAAUUAAUGCAGUCAAAAUAUGUUCGCAUUUCAUAGCUCCUCAAAGAAAGCCGGUUCUGACCAUCCCUAACACUGUUAAUACUCCAGAUCGCAAGUGUUUCGGAUGCGAUUUGGCCAAGAGUAUUAUCUUCCCCACUGCUAAUUAACAAUCUAAUUCAUAAAUUAGUCUUUACAAUAGAAGGCUGAGCAGCUUUUGAAAGCAAAAAAAAAAAAAAAAACACAUACCGCACAAUUAGCUGAAAAGGGGGUCGGAGAAAAGUCUAAACUAAAGUCGCGGAACGAGGAGGGAGCUUGGAAGUGUUCUGACUUCGCUUCUUCGGCGAGCUUGACCUGAAGAUUGGCACUCGUCAAUGGUGCUUUAGAGGAGCAUUUUGCGGAAGCAGAAGGUGUUAGAGGUCCAGAGUUUUUCGGUGUUCACCAUAGGAAGGAAAGAUUGAGAAUGAAAUUUGUCUAAGUGUUGGAAGAGAGAAGCGGCGAGACUUUUGUUUGUCUGUGAACAACCAAAAACGACGUCUUUUUGUAGAGAUUUCAGCCACAAGCUUCGCGCCUCUUUCAGAUUUCAGACUGGCGCUCUUUUUUUUUGGCAUCUAAACACGUCUUUGAGAUUCCAGGAUUCACGCCUUUAGCUUCAUACAUCUUUUUUCUUUUUUUUUUCCCUGGUAAAAUUUUUUUUUUCAGGUUUCUUUUUUCAUACUUAAUCUCUUUUUUUUUUCUUAAUCUCAUCUAUAAAUAUCAAAUAAAUUAUUUGAUAUUGGUUUCUUUUUUGUGCAUGUAUAUAUAUGUGUGCUUGUUUGUGUCUAUAUACAUCUUUUUGGGUUUGGACAACUCAAUAUACAAAUUAUUUAUGAAAUUACCUUACAAUAAAACUUACACAAUAAAAUAUGUUUCAAAAAUUUAACAUGCAUAGAAUUGCUUAUAUACAGUAUAGCACUUCUUACUCAUGCUUAUCAUACUCUUUGUCUAUUACUUAGUUUUUAUAAUAAAUUAAAAGAAACAUGUAAUCAAAUAUUCUGUUAAAUGUGUUACAACUCUCAAUCUUAUUGCACGACAGAUAUUUUACUGAAUAAUUUUAAUUUCGUAUAUACCCAUUCCAUAUGAAAAUAAUUAUUACUUAUGAUGUAUUACACGUUAUACUAAUCUUUCACAAUGCUAACAUUAGACUACAAAUUAUAUUCAAUUACACUUUUUCAAAUUAUUUCAGUUAUUGAUUUUUGGGGGUUGUUAUAAGUAAUAAUAAACAAUUCAUGAAAAAAAUUUUAUGCUCAGACAUGUCUAUUAUGUCAACUUAGCAAAAAUUACAAAUAUCUAAAACUAGUUUGUUAUUAUAUCAUUUGCAUUUUGCUAAUACGUAAUGAAUAGGGGCUAAAUUAUAAAAUUAGGGUGUCAUAUCUUCUGUGCUUUUGCUCAUAUAAAAGAAUUGGGGGCUAAAUAAUAAAAUUAGGGUGCCAUAGUAGAAUUAGUGAAAUUUGAUGAAAAUACUAUAGAAUUGCUUAUAUACAGUAUAGCACUUCUUACUCAUGCUAUCCUACUCUUUGUCUCUUACUUAGUUUUUAUAAUAAAUUAAAAGAAACAUGUAAUCAAAUAUUCUGUUAAAUGUGUUACAACUCUCAAUCUUAUUGCACGACAGAUAUUUUACUGAAUAAUUUUAAUUUCGUAUAUACCCAUUCCAUAUGAAAAUAAUUAUUACUUAUGAUGUAUUACACGUUAUACUAAUCUUUCACAGUGCUAACAUUAGACUACAAAUUAUAUUCAAUUACACUUUUUCAAAUUAUUUCAGUUAUUGAUUUUUGGGGGUUGUUAUAAGUAAUAAUAAACAAUUCAUGAAAAAAAUUUUAUGCUCAGACAUGUCUAUUAUGUCAACUUAGCAAAAAUUACAAAUAUCUAAAACUAGUUUGUUAUUAUAUCAUUUGCAUUUUGCUAAUACGUAAUGAAUAGGGGCUAAAUUAUAAAAUUAGGGUGUCAUAUCUUCUGUGCUUUUGCUCAUAUAAAAGAAUUGGGGGCUAAAUAAUAAAAUUAGGGUGCCAUAGUAGAAUUAGUGAAAUUUGAUGAAAAUACUAUAGAAUUGCUUAUAUACAGUAUAGCACUUCUUACUCAUGCUAUCCUACUCUUUGUCUCUUACUUAGUUUUUAUAAUAAAUUAAAAGAAACAUGUAAUCAAAUAUUCUGUUAAAUGUGUUACAACUCUCAAUCUUAUUGCACGACAGAUAUUUUACUGAAUAAUUUUAAUUUCGUAUAUACCCAUUCCAUAUGAAAAUAAUUAUUACUUAUGAUGUAUUACACGUUAUACUAAUCUUUCACAGUGCUAACAUUAGACUACAAAUUAUAUUCAAUUACACUUUUUCAAAUUAUUUCAGUUAUUGAUUUUUGGGGGUUGUUAUAAGUAAUAAUAAACAAUUCAUGAAAAAAUUUUUAUGCUCAGACAUGUCUAUUAUGUCAACUUAGCAAAAAUUACAAAUAUCUAAAAAUAGUUUGUUAUUAUAUCAUUUGCAUUUUGUUAAUACAUAAUGAAUAGGGGCUAAAUUAUAAAAUUAGGGUGUCAUAUCUUCGGUGAUUUUGCUAAUAUAAAAGAAUUGGGGGCUAAAAAAUAAAAUUAGGGUGUCAUAGUAGAAUUAGUGAAAGUUGAUGAAAAUACUGUAGUAUACAGUGAUGCAAAAAGUUGUCACAAAAUUGGAACCAGGUAGACUUUCAAUGACAACAAGUUAUGUUGUCACUGUAGAGAGAGCGUUUGUGACGACUUUACUUGAGUUGUCAUAAAAUCAUUUCCCGCGGCAUCAAAUGAGAUGCGCGCCAACUAUUUCGUGACGAGUUGAGAAUGACAACUUCCAAUGUUGUCACUGAUUAUGCUUGUGCUGUACUCAUCUGUGAUGACACCUAAUGUCGUCACUGAAUUAGGUUAUCUGUGACAAGAUUUUUGUUGUCACAUAAAUUUUUGUCACUGAAAAACAUAUUUCUUGUAGUGUACCCUGUAGGACCUUUGCAUUUGUCUUUUUCGACAAACAUGUUAACAUCUUUUGGCUGUAAUGGCCAAGAUUGUAGCAGAGCGUAUUUGAAAGGAGCAGUGGAAGUGGCCCCAAGGGAGGAAACUGUCAAGAGAAGUAACGACGGUGAUGUUGGCAAUACCUUGUUCCUUUGUGCCCAGACUUUGACAGUAAUGAUAAUACAAGAUGGACUGCAAAUGGUUCAGGCGUUUUCAAAUUAAAAUCAGCCAUGGAAGCCAGCCAUCAGAGGGAAGAGACCACAUGUGGGAUGGUACGGACUGGUUUGGUGUAAGAAUCACAUUUCUAGUGUGCUUUCAUUCUGCAGUUGCUACGUAAGUGAAGAAAGAACACGGUUGAUAGGUUGCAGAAGUGGGGGUAAAGAUAGAUUCUGAAGCAUGUGUUUUCUGCUCAAGGGUGGAGGAGAGCGUAUAUGACACCUAUUUCUUGAUUGUCCUGUGACACAAAUGGUUUGGUAAAAAGCUCAAAGCAUCCAAAUACUCUUGGGCAAUUAAUACUUUCAGUCAUCAGUAUUAAACUAAGGACUAGUAUUAGCAGUAACUGUUUACAGUAUCUGGAGGGUGCGAAAUGAAGUCAGAUUCCAGUCCAAAUACAGGACUGCUGUGGGAAUUUUGGACUCCAUUGUUACUAGUCUAAUAUGCUGUUUUAUCUUGGAACAAUUGGAGAUUGCUGGUGAAAUAGGGGAUACCUACUAUUUGUAUGAGAUAGUGAGAAUCUGAGAAGAGUUUCAGGAAUACUAUAGAAGUGUAUAUAAUAGUGGAGAAAUUUCUAAAUUUAUGAUGAAAUUUAAAAUUUUUCUACAAAUGGGGCUUUUUGAGUUUGGCAUUCUGUCUAAGAGAUGUUCGCAUUUGCCGAAUGCGAGCUCACUGAGAUCGCAUUCAGCAAAUGCGAUUUAUUAUUGAAUUUCUGAUUUUGCAAAAAAAAAAAAAAAAAAAAUUUUGCUUUAGGCCUCGCGUUUGACAAAUGCGAGGUCAGGCAUCCAAAUGACAAAUGCGAGGUCAGGCAUCCAAACCUCCAUCUUUGGACUUCUGAACCAGGUCUGGCCACAUCUACGUUUCCAUGUUUCCAACAAAUUUCCUCACACUUAACAUGAAUAGUUUGCAAAAAGCGUAUAAAUGCAAAUACGAGGUCUGAAGCUUUAGUGUAUUUUAGGGAAAUAAUUUUUUUGGGUAGUCUUUUAAGUUUAUACUGUUGGCUCUGGCCUUUCAGCCAAUUCGUGUCUCAAGUUCAUUUUCCCUUUGGGUAAGAAUUUUGGUUGAAUACUACACAGCUGCUGUUGAAUUUAAGGUUGUCGACGUAGGAUUUACAAAAUAUAUUUUGACUGAUUUCAUUAAACUCACCUGACAGAUGCAAUACGAAAAAUACGAGAUAUUUUAUGCCGGUCCAAAGUAACUUUUAACCAUGGGCCCCUUUUGAUAAGUGAAUUUUUUGGGUGUUUGUCUAAAACUUUACUGUGACUUACUGUAGAAGUUUUUAAAAAAAAUUUUGAAGUGUGUUUUUUUUUUGAAUAUUUUGAAGUGUAUAAUUUAAAAAUUUUGAGAACUUUUUUGAGGUUAUGUAGCUAAAGUUUUUAAAAAACUUGUAACAAACAAACAUGGCAAAAAACUUGUCUGCCAGACAAGGUAUAUCUCGUAAUUAUUUUUGAACCAAUAAAAAAGUUUUUUUAAGUCAACAUAUAAGGGUCAUAUUUGAUUCCAUUUAAUAUGUCAAGUGAAUUUCACUUAAUAUGUUAAUUAGUAGGUCUGUCCUUGUAUAUCUACAUAAAACAUUUCUAUAAGUAUGCCAAUGCCCAAUAGUUGUUCCCUAUUCAACCACAAAGCCUUUUUUCCCCCUUGUCGAAUCAGUUUAUCGAACAAAAAUCAUGGUGCAUCCAUCGUGCCACAAGGCCUUUUUUCAUUAGAGUUUAAUGAAGGUUGCCUAACGUAGGUGACCUCGCAUUUGACAAAAUGCGAGGCCUGAAGCAAAAAAUUUUUUUUUUUAGAUUUUUGCAAAAUCAGAAAUUCAGUAAUAAAUCGCAUUUGCCGAAUGCGAACUACCUAUUCUUAGAAACCCCAACACAAACAACCCCUCAAAUAGAAAACUUUUUUUUUUCAUAAUAGUUUUAGAAUUUUCUCAUAAUAGUGACAUUUUGGGUGUAAACUUUAGAUGGAGGGGAAGCCAAAGAUUUUGGAUGCUGAUUAGUUGGUUGCAUUAUAGAAGUAUUAUAGAAAUUUCAGUGAACGUUGUUGGCCAUACCAUAGUUCGUAUUUUAAGUUUCUAAUAUUUUUGUCAUUCACUUUGCAUGAAUUUUGCGACUUUUGCGACAGAUAACACUGGUUUUGGACUUACACUUAGUAAGACCCUAACUUUUCUUCCUUUUUUUUUUUUUUGAAGAGACAUCUAGGCAUUACAAAAAGAAGGGGGAAAAUAGAACAUAAUUUUCCUUGUCAUCAAGCAAAAAAUAAAGUAAUUUUCUUUGCUAUGAUAACUUUUAGAAACAAAAAAUAGGAAGAGAACAAAUUUCUUGAAAAGUAAUUAUGUGUAUCUAAGUAAUGGACUAUUGGCCUUUAACAAACAUAAAUUUAAUAACAGGUAAUUUUCUACUGCAAGUGUUAGUGAUGAAAAUUUUGCACUAAAAGCUUCGCCUAAGUCAACUAAGCUCUCCCACAUAUUGGACAGCUAUUUACAGCCACCUUGCUUGAUGCCUCAACCUCAUCACCUCAACGGCUCAACCAGAACACUUUUUCUUUUCUCCUUUAAUAUAUAUUGGCUUUUAUUGUACUUGUUUUGUCCAUAGACUACAAAAAGUCUUAGAGAAAAAUAGAAUCAAUUAUUUCAAGUACAUGUUUAUGCCAUAUUACAAUAUAUAUGAAUCACUUUUUUAAAAAAUAUAACAACAAAUUAUUGGAAAUAAAUCAAGAAAGUUGCAGAUCAGCUUUGGCAUAGUAUUUGAAAUCUGUUUAACAGUACAACCUUUGUGGUCUUAGGGUUGUUGUCUUUAUUGGUAUUCCUAACACUAAACUAAAUGGCUGCUAGGGUUUCGGGCUGCUAGGUUGUGGCUGCUAAGGUUUUGACAGAAGCCAUGGUAGCAGAGGCUGCCCUCCCACCUCGAGGGGGGGCACCUUGAAUCUUUGUCUCCGUCUUUCAGGAAGAAGGUCUUUUCAGAGUUAUUCGCUAACAUCGCGCCAAUGCAGGUUCAUGCGACUACGUCGACUCAUCGGGGUGAGCCGGCAGUGGUCUUCAAGGCUACUGAUAUGAUAGCAGUAUCAUUCCCAUUCCGAUACACUCUGGUAGGAAAGUUCUCAAAGGGUAGGCUGGUAAUGCCAAAGCUACGAAAAUUUUUCACUACGUUGGACUUGAAGGAUGCGGUUACAGUCGGUCUGUUGGACGGCAGGCAUGUCUUGAUCACUCUCAAGAACGAGGUAGAUUUUGUGGUGACCCCACUUCCCCCUAAGACGAACCAGAGGGUUGGCGGGCCGUCUGCCUAGCUCUCGCCAGGACUCACACAAGCAAUCUAGCCCAAAUCCUUCCGAAAAAUAACCUAAGCUAUUACAACACCGUUUCCUUCCAAAUAGACUGAUAACUAAAUCCUCAUUAACUUCAAAGAUAACAACAUUUUUAAGAUAGCCAAUCGUCGACUCUUAAAUACCUCACGCGUUACAAACCAGGCAACAAAAACAUACAAUCCAAAUACAUUAGUACAAGCCAAAUAACAAAUCCAGGGUUUACACUUUUCCAGCUUCAAGCAGCAAUCCAACAUAAAAGAUACAAUGUCUAACUCAAACUACAUGCAUAAAAGUGAAAUUAGAUUUCAAGUCUUGCUCAAGUGCCAGAUCCUGUCAAGGAAAACAAAAUAACGUGGGGUGAGCUAAAGCUCAGUGGUGCCCCAAAACAUGCAAUCAAAUAAACAAAUAACAAGUAUUGAUUUCGACUAUAGUACACAAACAGGAAAGCGAAUAGCAGGACAAGGUAGGAUACAGGGGCUCUCAGGAGCCAUUCUCCUCGCUUGAUCAAAAGUCAUCGUAGUUGACCCUCCGUCAACUCUCACUACUUACGGUCCAUGUAGAUCUUUUUCUUUUUCUUAACCCGUCACCAAUCAUACCCCUGUCCCGGGCCCGAACACCAAAUAAGAAAGCGGUAAUACUCGAGUAUACCCUUUGGAUAAACUAGUCGAGAGAUUCACUCAACGACGUCACGAAAUAAGAAAGCAGUAAUACUCGAGUAUACCCUUUGGAUAAACUAGUCGAGGGAUUCACCCAACGACGUCACAACACUUGAGAUAUUCACGAAAACAUUUCACACAAGUCACCACUCGAACGGCUAGUGUGAUAAAGUACACACUGCUCACUUCGAUGGAUCAAAAACCACUUUGCAACUAUCAUAUAUCGAGUCAAGAAAGCACUGUAACCACAUAGUCAUAAAACAAGCAGGGACACUCACCAAGAGUGAAGUCACAAGUCAAGCUGGGAAUCAAAAUCUGCGUCCUCGCUAAAUCCUAGAAAACCAAGUUUUAAGAACUAUAAGUUUUCUAUUCAAGUUCUAGGUUUAUAAAUAUAAAAGAUUCUCUAGAAUAUAAAUAGUUUAUUUUUUCGAAAUAAUUCGACAAUCCACUUAAGGUUAAAAUUAGUAAAAGUAGAAAAAUGUUUCAUAUGGCUUUCUUCAAAAUACUUUUCUUUUUAAAGGUGCAACUAGAGCUACUUUACUGGAAUACGUUAUCUUGCCGAGCAAGUUUUCCUCUAGAACAACUAGCCUGGGACAAAUUUUAAGGAAAGAAAAGAAAGUAAAACAAGACUUAGGGUCUUAGAAACUAGUGAAAUCAUUUUCUAAAAAUAAUAAGGCUAGUUUAAGCUAAAGGAUGAAAUAUCGAGUCGGCAAAGUUUAGAAAAUCCCUACACAAGAAUUUCUAAUGUUAACGUAUAAUACUAAGUUUUAUUGUUCAAUAUUAGAGCGAAGAUAUAUUUAAAUAGCUUGCUUAAAACUUUCUCAAGUUCACAGGACCAAAACGGAUUCCUUACGAUUCCGAUUCACAAGCACGUAAUAUUUCAGAUUUGCCAAUAUAGCGAACUCACAUUUCAAAUAGAAACCUCACUAGGGCUUCGUCAAUCAUUAGCCCUAGGUUUCAACAAAUUCAUUUCUGAUAAAAAAUUAAACAAAAGACCAAGGCUUCGUCAAUCAUUAGCUCUUGGUAUCCAACAUUCUCAUAUCAGAUCACAAUUGAACAAAAUAAAUGCAAAGCCUCCAAGCAAUUCCGUCGACUAAACCGCAAGGGUUUUGUCAACCAAGUGGAUGUAAUAACAAGCAACUCCAGCAGUUAAUUUCAUCAAAACCGUAAUGCUCGUAAAAAUUACUCAAAUAGCCAAGGGCUUCAUCAAUCAUUAGCCCUUAGCAUCCAACAAUCAUUUCUUAUAGCAAUAUAGCCAAUAAUUCAAUUGUUUAGAAUCACUAACAGGUACAUGAACACAGGGACAAAAUUUGCAACACUAUCUUAUCCAAGAUUUCAACCAAAAUCUCAUUGUUUGUAACCAAAUGCAGAUUAAACAUUUUCCAGCAAUUUUUAUUCCAAAAUAUCCAUUCCAAUGCCAAGAAUUUCAUCUCAACAUUUUAGUCGUAAUAAAAAUCAAAUUAUCAAUCGUAUCAGAAGUUUCACAUCUACGCAGCUUACUAGGCUUAAAACACACAUUUCUCAUGCAUUUCUAAACUGUUAUAUUCCAAGGAAAAUUCCAAAUCACAAACCCUGGUCCUUCUAAGUACGUUUCAACCAACCACUUGAACAAAUUCACCAAAAAUUAAAUUCUUGCAAAAACUACUCAAAUGGCCAAGAGCUUCGUCAAUCAUUAGCUCUUGGUAUCAAACAAACAUUCCUUGCCAUAAACAACAGAAAUCUAACUCAAGUAUAAAAGAUAAGUCACGGCUAGCUUACAUUCAAAUAACUCUAGAAGUUCAUACUUUCCUUUCUUUGAUAAUCAAGAAAAAUUCUAGCAAAUGUCAAUUCAAGAUGUCUAUUAAAUCUCCAUCUCUUACUUGCUAAGUGCACUAAACUCUUAUCAUGCAAAAGAAAAUUAGCCAACCACGAACUACUCUUAACGUCCAAUACGAGAGUCUUAGCUAAAAAUUCGAGAGAAACUAGUUAAAUGUUCAACCCAAAACAAGAAGAAAAACCACAGCCAACUUGACUGCCAAAUAACUCUAAAAUUCAGAUUUUUCUUCAAUUUUUACUUAACAACAUACAAAAGGUGAUUAGCAAGCUACAAGUAAAUCUUAAACAUUCCAUAUGAAAAUCUUAGUUAAAAUUCAAAGGAAAACGAAUUAAAGGCUCAACCUCUUCUUUCGGCCGCAAUUCAGCUUUCUUUUCUUUCUCCUUUUUUUUUAAUUAAACACGACUCAUCUCAGCUUCAUGCAUGAUCAAAAUAAUUAACUAUCAAUCAGCUUUGAUCCAGUCCAAGUGCAGACAUCAUAAAAAAAUCAUCCAACCAGAAAUUUCAUUCCAACCCACUCGAUUGACAUGCAUGCAUCCAGAUUUUGUUUUCCUUCAAAUUUCUGGUUUACACACUACUAAUAAAUCUCAUGCAGGGCUUAAUCAUCCAGUAUUUAGUUAGCUAAACACGCAACCAAGUGAGAAUCAAACACUUUCGAGCAAAUUUCAUACUAGAAUACCCAUACAAUUCCCAAAACAACUCCAUCGGCUAAGCUGGAAGAUUAGUUUAGCAGUCCAGCAACUUCCAAUUAAAUUUUCCAGCCAUGCAACCGAAUUCCUGGCCAUAAAGUUCACAUGCAACACCAAAUAAAGGCUAUCUAUUAGAUUGGGUCCAAAACUAAGCUCAGAUCAUCACAAAUUAACAAAUUAAAACUGAAAUUUCCAGCUCAAGCUCUCGGCAACUUCAAUUCCUUCUCAAUCAGAUUUUUUUGUGACUUAAUCUAUCAUCUAACCACACAACCACCACAUGCAAGCCUAUAAUCAACAUCAUCUACCCUUAAAUAAAGGCUAUCUAUUAGAUUGGGUCCAAAACUAAGCUCAGAUCAUCACAAAUUAACAAAUUAAAACUGAAAUUUCCAGCUCAAGCUCUCGGCAACUUCAAUUCCUUCUCAAUCAGAUUUUUUUGUGACUUAAUCUAUCAUCUAACCACACAACCACCACAUGCAAGCCUAUAAUCAACAUCAUCUACCCUUAAACAACUAAUCUAGUUCCAGAAAUUACCUCGGCUUGGAGUUAACACACACGGCUAGCAGUAGAAAUUAAUUUCCUCCCUCUCGGCAAUCCAGAAAUGCAGCCGGCUAGCUCUUCCUCUCCCUUGCUUCAACUUGCGACUAGGAUGUAGAUAAUAUGGCUCUCAAUCUCUUCACCAGCUCACGGAUAGAAGGUAAAUGAACAGCUAGUCUCUCUCUUCCCUCUCUAGUUUACGGACAGAAAGAAAGAAAAAUAAAAGGCUCGGCUCUUUCUCUCUUGCUCUCUACUCUCAGCUCAGCUCACAGCAGCAAGGAGUAAUAGAAGUGAGGUGUUGUGGUAAUUUGUAAAUGAUAUAGUGGAGUGUGGGGUAGUGGAAUGUAUAUAUAUAUAUUGAGGUGUUUAAAAUGGAGCUAAGUCGGUACUAGGAAUGGAAGGCAAUCCGGCAGAGGUGAAGGUGUUUAUGUUUUAGAGUUGGCCAAUGGGCUUUGGUGGUUGCAUGGCAAAUCCGAGGUGGUGGAGGGCUAAUUUGGUCCUUUCACAUCUUAUCCGAAUUUUCACUUAAGUCAUCAUUCUUAAUCUAAUUCCACAAUUUACCCCAAAUGAAAUUUGACUACUUACUAGUAUACUAUUCUUGCAAAAAUUCAAUUUUUGAGACUUUUAUGUCUUAGGUAUGCUAAGUGUACUUGUGAUGGUUUUGUCUAAAAUAUAUUGACUUCGUCUAGACGCUAAGGUUCCUGUUAACACUUAAUUAUUAUAAACGCUUAAGAUUAGCUAUCGGAAUACAAAGAAUUUAUUUUAAGACUAUGAAAUAAUCUACCUCACGAGAUGUUAAUUUAACUUAACAAAACCAAGUAAUUUAAUAUUUUAGCACAAUUAUAUUAUUCGUAACCUAAACAUUCUUUGUAUUUUAGCACAAAUAUUUUAGCACAAAUAUUUUAGUAUAAUAUUUUACACACUUAUUUAAGAUCAAGUAAAAAUAAAAAUGAAGUUUAGUAACAAUCUAAAAUGCAGGUGCAAUACAUAUAUUAUAUAUAUAUAUAUUAUUUUUUCACUAUUAUAUAAUUUGUAACAUGAGAAUUGUUUUCACGUACUCAAUUAAGAACAAGUAUAAAUAAAGCUAGACUUUAUUUAAGAAUCAAAAUGCAAAUGAAAUAUGCAUAUAGAUGAAGGUAUGUAUGUAGGCAUUUUUUCGAGAUUCUCACAGAUUUCUUACGGGUUUGGUCUAGAAGUAUUUGGUAUGUUUGCGGUUGCUCCAUGAGAGUCUUUAAAUGGACACCAAAGUUCCAUGUGGACAGAGAAUCCUCUUUGGUUCCUGUUUGGUUUAGGUUGCCUAAGUUACCAAUUCACUUGUUUGAUAAGCAAUGCCUGUUUCAUAUUGUUUCCUGUCUGGGUACCCCCCCUAUUUGUUUGAUGUCGCAACUGAUUCACUACAAGAAUUUUGGUCAUCAGUGAUAACUACUUUUCGUCACAAAUAAUCAAAAAGUCGUCACUGAUGACCAUUAUUGACAACAUUUCAGUUGUCGCAAGGUCGUCACUGAAUCUCCGUCGGUAAAAGUAUACAGUGACGACUUUAAAGUCGUCAGUAAAUAGAACCUUUUUUAUGACAAUCUAUGUCGUCAGUAAAAGAUGAAAUUAUACAGUGACGACCUUAGAGUCGUCACUGAAUGAAACUUUUAAUGACAACAUAUGUCAUCAGUAAAAGCUAUAAAUCUAGUGACAACACCUUCUCUUGUCAGUGAUGCAAGUGAUGCAUGAAGGGACGAUAGUGAGGGCAUAGGGGAAUUAGUGACGACUUUGUUGUCAAUAAACCCCUGAUCAACUGUGACAACAUUCCCUUAUCAAUAGACAGUUUUGAUUGAGUGAUAAUAACAAUUGUCAAUAAAGACAUCCUGCCUAGAAAAAUACUACUCAUUUACAACACCUUACACAUGACUUUCCUACUGCAAUAAUAUCUAAAAAAUGAAAAUAUCAGCAAUGUUUAAUAAAUAACAAAUGUAGGCACCGUUACAAUAGAAUAUGCCAAAAUAAUAUAUUAAAUAUUCAAAUGUCAUAAAUAAGUGCAACAUCAUAGUACAAAUAGUUUCAUAAGUUUGAGUAGAACAAAUACUACUCAUAUAAGUCAAGGCUGCACUAAAAAACAUAUUCCAAGUCCCAAAACAUUUCCUACGCUUCUGAAACAUUUUCUAAACUUAAGACAGCACUAUAACCACAGUUUUUGAGCCGACAUGUAAGCCGUACUGCUAAUCUUCUUCGAAACCUCCAAAAUGAGCAAUAUAUCUGCAAUAAAGUAGUAAAGUUAUUAGUAAAGUUAUCAGGUGACAAAAGCAAAACAGUCUCUAAUUGCUAAAUAAACAACAAAAGUAACAAGCAUUCACUAAUCUGAUACCACCGUAAUGAAUGCAGCAAUUGCAGCAGAAAUAGAGUGAUAAGGGGGAGAGAAACUAGACUUGAGGAAGAAGAAAGAGAGAUAUUAUUCAAAAUGAUAUUUCCAUGUUGCCCAAUCCAGAUUUCUGCAUUCUUAUACAGCUCAAGAAUAACAAAAUAACUACUUGAUUGUUGACUCAGCACAACAGUCUAACUAACAAGGAAGAUUCCCUUUAACUACAUGAAGGAAAUACAUUUCGCAUGUACUAAACUGGUAUUCUUCAAGUGAAGUACUAUACUAGAAAUACAUUAAUUCUUUAAGUUGAAACUGACAAUCCACUGCAGAGAGACCAAACAGUACUAUACUGGUAUUAAAGGCUAGACGGACACAAAUUAAUGGAAGGGGAGAAGAUGGAGAAGGGGAGAGUAUGUGUAACAGGUGAGCAAGGAGGACUAGGUAGGUAGGUGACAGUUCUUCUCAUGGCUGGUAAGACAUAACAAAACUGUUUACCCCAAUGAAGAAAAAGCAAUCUUUAGAACUAAAGUCUGUAGAGCUGAAUCGGAUUCCACCCUGCAUGCCAUCCGGAGGAUUGUAAAUGGAUUGAUGGUCUGUGGAAAAAAAAAAAUUAGUGCACAGGAGUAUGUGUAGGAGGAAAGAGUUGGUGGAUUGGAUUGAUGAUCCGAAUUUGAUUGCUGAAGACAUUGGUGGGGUAGAAAAAUCUUGUUUCUGCAAAUUUUGCCUGGAUGUCAAGAAAUGAUAUGUUUUUGCUGCAAUGGAUGGAAACAGGGAAAAACUGGGAACUGUGAUAAUUGCAGGCCUUAUCUACUACACAAGAUACCUUGGAUGACUACCAAAGAACGAGUGUUAACAGUUGUAAAGAGGAGGUUUGUCACAAAUGAAGACCAAUUUUGGCAUCAGCAAUGUUUCUUUAAUCUGUCAAAAUACUGUCAAAGAUGAAUAAAUCUUCUGUUUUGUUCGUCCAUCACUACUAUACUACCACUCUGCUAUACAAGAGGAAUAUUCCUUUUAGAAUAGUCACGUAAUCAAAUCAGUAAUCUUACAAUACAAGUCAGCGAUUGAUAAAAUGUUUACGUAAUCAAAUGCAGUAUUCUCCCAACCCAACACAAGUCGGAGAUUGAUUAAAUUGUUCACUUAACACUUGGGACUGUAUAUCUUGUUCCGUCAAAAGUUUUUAGCUAACUCAUUGGCCAUGAAAAGUUUUUAGCUAACUCAUUGGCCAAAUGACAAUAAUAAUCUUUUCUAUUCUUUAGCCCUUCUGUGCUCCUCAAAUUAAUAUCAUGAAACAGAAACACUAUUGAAGCUUUUUUUUUGUGUAAUGUUAUUGUUUCAUGAUAACAAAGCUAUGAUAAAGCCACAAAUGUACUCCCAGGAUCAAAACACCAUCUGAUUAGAACCUUGUGUUGACAGAAGUAAUUCUUAAAUGUCCCUCCUCAGUCUUGAUAUUACAAGUUAAUAUUGUCACCUACCAAUAACUAAUUUGCAAUAACUUAUGUUAACUUUAAACCAUAGCAGCCAUUAUAUCUAUUUAGACAAGUAUAUAUAGUUGAAAAAUUGCUUACCAAUCAGUUCGUUCAGAUGUGCCUUCAUCGAAAUGGAUAGGAACAAAAGGUUCCGAAAUGGGACUCAAAUCAAUAUUCAACAUUAAUUGGUUCACAUUUUCCACAAGUCAACAUCCCAUUUUUUUUAAUCUGGAUUUGCUUUGAAAGCAAAUUGAUACACAAAUCCAAGAUAAAAAUAAGAAGAAAACGAGUGAAAUAUUUCCUCAAUAAGGACAGUCUUCAUCCAGCAUUUGCUGUGAUUGAGUUAUUAUGGGCCAUAGUAGCACCAUCAAAACUAUAAGUUCUUUAGAAAACCAUUAAACUUUCCUAUUUCAUCCUAAAGUUCAUGAAAAAUCUAUCCACAAAUCAAAUGAAAACAUACCAAGGAAAAAUAAUAUGUCAAAAGGAUAAAAAUGAUUAAUCUUUUCAAUCUUAUGGGCCAUAGUAGCACUAAACCCAAAUUAAGGGGUUAAAGUACAAUUCUUUGAACAUUCCCAUGCAAAAUGCAUGCAAAAUGCUACGACCCAGCUUCUGCAGCAACAAACCAAAAAAAAACAACUUCCAGCAUGCUAAAAAGUGAAUUCCCUAUGAUUUCAUCCGCAAGCUUCAUUCAUAAACCUUCAGCAAGCGAAACUUUGAACUAACUUUAAUUAAAACAAGACUAAACAACACCUGACAAGGCAAUUAUGCAAAUUAACUGAGAAACAAACCUCUGCAACUACUUUCUAUACUUCAGAAAUUUUUUUCUUUUCUUCCCCAACCAUUCUCAUGCAAUUUCUUUAUUCAACUUAGAUGCAUUCAUGCGAACAAACCAAGAAAAACUUGAUUGAUUUGUUAACUAAACAGAAAACACCGGAGCUUGGAAUCAAAAAGAAAGAAGAAAGGAAAAAAAAGGACUGUCGAACACAGCCUACAUCCAAGCAAUCACAGCUUUGAAUCACAGGCCCUUAAAACAAACUUAAAUCAUGGACAAGAGCGAAAACCACCCAAAGUUAGCAGCUCACAUUACUUCAGUUUCACGGGAGAAACUGAUACACCAUAUACAUAAGCUCCCCAUCAAAAGAUACAAAGCACAGCUUUAAGAAAGAACAAAGGAGCAUCCAAAACUUCAGGUUCCUAAAAUUUCCUAAAGGUUUCUGGGCUCCGGCAGACCGAAGCUUUCUUUGCUCCCACAAAGCAAGCUCUUUCUGCUGCAACAAUUGCAGCUCAAACCCAAACAGAUUCAGCAGCCAAACCGACAUUAACUUUUGUAAACUCAUAAUCAAAAUGCCAUGUUGUACAUACAAGAGGAUAAGAGCUAACAAAGUGAAAGUUUGCAAAUUCUAAUUCAUUCAAAAGGUCUCCACCAGUUCUGAAUUUACCUAUGGGAGUUCACUUAAUAAGUUAACACUCACACUUGGUCGGCAUUAUGAAAAGGAAAACAGCAGUGAAAGUCUUGUUUCAUGGUAAAGCAAGUCAAAAUCUCUCAAACGGGCUCUUAAGCAAAACUCCACAGAAACGUAAGAAAACAGUUACUUAAACAAGUGAACGAACAGGAGCACAACAGAAGGUAGCAGGCUUACUGAUUGCUGUUUUAAAUCGUAGCAUACUCAUAUAUGAGAUUAUUAUCAAACAACAAACCAACCAAAAAGGAAAUUCAAACCAUUCCAGAAACUUCAACAAUUCAAAAGAUCAAAAUUUUUAUUGCUGCAGCAGGACAAGGAGCACCGUCCUUGUUGCAGCAACUCUCAGCUACUGGAAUUGCUCGCAUAACAGCGAGGGAAUGGGAAAAGAGGACAGUGUGCCUUUAGUUCAAGGCUAAUGACUUUCUAAACACAGCCUUGAUAGCUGAUAUGUUCAUAGUAUCCCACUCCAGUUGCAAACGAAAACAAGAUUAUCAAAUGAAACCACAACUUUAGCAAUCCCAGAAAGAAAAGACUGCUGCAACAAGCCGAUAACUUCGAGCUUGUCGCAGCGCAUCCUUCGAUUGGACUCCAAAGGCCCUAACAGACCCAGGUUAUGCAAAUAAGGACCAAAGAUGUAGUCUUUGGCUUACCAGAUUGGAGAAAGUUAAAACCUUUGGAUCAAACAACAAACACAACAUCACAUCAAACGCUAUCUCAGCGACCGAAAGGCCAAAAAAGAUUAUAAAAAAAAAAGUACCGGAAACAGUUGCAACAAGCAAAAGGUUUCAUCUUGUUGCAGGGGUUCUAACAAAACCAUUAAUCACUACCACAAGUAAAGGAAUGGAACGUUGAAACAGGAAAUUUAUGUGAUUUUUCUGAUUUUGGCCUGUCAAAACAUAAGAGGGCAACCAUAAACAUCCAACGAAAGACCUCAUGGGUUCAUCAUAGACUGUACCAAGAACCUUAAAAUCAUAAGUAUGGCAAGGCUACCUCGUCAUCGUCAAACAGAUAGAUAAGAAGUAACAUACCUGGACAGCAAAAAGGAAGCGGAUUGGAAAGAUCUUUAGCGGACAGAGUUGCCCUUCAACGAUGAUGGAAACCGAUGAUGGAAAGCGAUGGUUUUCUCCUUCACUCGCUGCUUUCCCUUUCCUUUUGCUUAGAAUUUCUCAGCCUUACUCUCGGCUCUCUCGGUUUCUCUUCUCAGUUUUUCCUUCUUGUUUCAGUCUUUUUCCUCUCAGCUCCAACACCUUGCUCCCCUGUGCUUCCUCGACAUAAAUAGAGGGGGCAAAAGAUUGGAAAAAAAAGGAGAAAAGCAAAUGUAGUAGGGAUUUGGAAAAAUUGGGGAAAAUGUAGUAGAAUAUUAGGGAUUUGGAAAAAUUGGGGAAAAUGUAUAGGAAGCUCUGUUUCAGCUCAGUGCAGAAGCUUGUUUGUGUUUCAGACCAAGUGUUCCGUUGCUUUUGUUUUCAGAAUGUGUUCCACUGCUUUGGUCUUUGCUUUGCUUUGGAUAUUGUUUUUGUUGCGCGGCACUUUCCUAUGAUUUGAUCAAAAUUUUGACUUCACUCAUUUUCCCCCCAUUUGAUACCAAAAAUCAUGUUUUUUUCUGGAUUUGUAAUAUGGUUUGAACCAUAGAUUUUAAUGCUAUAGUAUUAUUCUUUAUUUUUUUAGCAAAAAAUAAAAAUUUUCAUCAACAUAGGUGGCAAAAUUUGUUAAUUUCAUAUAAUUGAAAAUGUACUUUUAUAAUUUGCUAAUAUUUUAUACUAAUUUCUUAUAAUUGCAGCACUAAAGAACAUCAUGUAAUUCAAAAUAAUUAAACUCAAAUUAUAUCGUUAUAACAUAGUUUCAAUAAAAAUAAUCAUUUUCCCAACAUUUGAGACCAAUCAUCAUGCUUUUUUUUAUUUUUAAUUUGGUUUGAAGCAUAGAUUUUAUUGCUAUAGUAUUAUUCUUUAUUUUUUAGUACAAAAACACAAAUUUUCAUCAAUAUAGGUGGCAAAAUUUGUUAAUUACAUAUAAGUGAAAAUAUACUUUUGUUCUUUUUCAAACAUUUAUUUUAAUGUUUAAUUUUGUUUAAAACUAUUGUACUAGUAUAGAUUUGCAAGACAAAACUUAAGUUCUCAAUAGUUAAAAAAUUCAUUACAGAGAAAACACAAAGUAGUAGUUGCAAAAUGUGUAUAAAUUACAGAUAUUUUAAUGUGUAUAAAUUACAGUUUAUUUUAAUGUUUAAUUUUGUUUGAAACUAUUUUACUAGUAUAGAUUUGCAAGACAUAGAUUUAUGGGUAAUUUCUUUUUUUUUUGCUUUCACAUAUUUAAUUUAUGUUAAAUACAAAACCUACCAGUUUCCCUUUCAUAAAAAUAUUAGUGCAACACUUUUUGAAUUUUACUUACAAACAUUUAUGUAUUUAACAUAAAUUAAAUGAUUCAGAGUGAAAUGCCCAUAAAGAGCAGAAUAUUUGUUCAUGUAAUGGAGGAAACCCACAAAGAGUUGGUACUUUAUGGGCCAUUUCUUUUUUAAAAAAAAUUUAAUUUAUAUUGAAAAGAUAACCUACCAGUUUUCGUUUUGUAAGAAAUCAGUGUAACACUUUUUGAAUUUUACUUACAAACAUUUAUAAAUUUAUCAUAAAUUAUAUGUUUGAGAGUAAAAUGCCCAUAAAAAGUUGGUACUUUGAAUAGAUAAUGCUCAUUUGCCCAUAAACUGCACUCCCUGAAGGCUAUUUUGUUAAUUACUUUGUAGUACUUUGUUAUUCCUUUGCUAAUACUACUUGGCAUGUAGUACAAAGGAUAAAUCUGGCAUAAAUUUCUUAUUCCAUUGAUAAAAAGACCUGCCUGCUUUAUAACUAUUGUAAUGAAAGAUAUAUCUUUAGAGUUUAUAACAAAUUAUUACUUAAGUUUGAGAAAAUUAUAAAAUAUUUAUGCAUAGUUUAUCAAGAUACCAUUCGCAAUUUUCUAAUAAAAAAAUAGGGACUAAAUUGUAAAAGCUAGGGUGCCAUAAUAGAAAUAAUAAAAUUGGUGUAUUACAUAUGGGUGUUAAAUUGCAAAAGUUAGAGUGCCAUAGUAGAAUUAAUGAAAUUAGUGAAUUACAUAUGGGGCUAAAUUACAAAAGUUAGGGAGUAAUAAUAGAAUUAAAAAAAUCGGUGUACUACAUAUGGGGCUAAAUUGUAAAAGUUAAGGUAUCAUAAUGGAAUUUUUUACAACAUUUGGGGCUAAAUCGCAAAAGUUAGGGUGGCAUAGUAGAAUUAAUGAAAGUGACUUAGAAAUAAGUACUUUAAACAGUGACGAUUAAUUCUUGUCACUAAAUCUGAAUCGGUAGAGUGACAGUGACGAUAUUAGAAGUUGUCACUAUAUAGAUCAUUUUAGUGACAACUUUUUCAAGGUCAUCACUGAAGACUUAGUUGCUUUGAGCAAUUAUGACAACUUUCCUUGUCGUCACUAAAAAUGUUGUCACUAAAAUGUUGUCACUAAUGAACAUAUUUCUUGCGGUGUAGUUUGUGACGAAAAUAACGGGUCGUCACUAAACAUUUAGUUGCUUUGAUGCAAUUGUGACAACUUUAGGUGUCGCGACUAAAGAAAUACUUUUUGUGACGACUUAUUGUCAUCACUAAAAAUUGUUGUCACUAAUAAAUUUUUUUUAUAGUGAUCAGUGACGACAACUAAAAGUCGUCUGUAAAUAGUCCAAGCAAUAGUGAUGAUGUUCUUAAUGUCGUCACUAUUGUGUGUUCUAAACACUCCCGCACUCUUGCUAAAUCUUGCCGGGAAUUUACUAGUGACUACUUUUCUAAGUCGUCACAAAUGAGUUGGCUCCCAUUAGAGGUUUGUGACGAGUUAGAAAGUCGUCAAUAAAGGAUCCACUUUUGUGACAACUUUUUUUCGUCACAGAGAAAAGUUGUCACUGAUGACCAAUUUUCUUGUAGUGAUUCUUACUCUCGAUCGAAUUUGGCUAGAGUUUGUGUGGAGGUAGAUUUGUUGAAGGCCUUACCGUCAAGGGUGUGGCUGGAUAUGGGGGAUGGAGAUGGUUUCUGGCAAUCGCUACAACCUGAAAAUCUUCCGCAGUAUUGUACUCACUGCUAUAGGCAGGGACAUGGAGAGGGUCAAUGUCAUGUGAAAUACCCGGAGUUGAGGCAGUCUCAACGGGAGUCACGUCACAAGGAUGAUUUGGAGCUGCCUAAGCCUGUGCUUGAGUCACAGGGUAAGAGGAUGCGUGCAACCUAGGGGAGUCAGUCGCCCAAUCCGGAGGCUGCACUAGCGGCUAGGCAAAUGGCAUCCUCGGGUUUGGAAGGUGGAAUGAUUGCGGAGAUGGGUGGGGCUGUCCCUGAAUCGCCUCAGAUACCACGGGCUGCCCAGUUGCAGCAGACGUCAGUUCAGCAGUGUGAGGCUAGGGUUGUGGAGUCGGUGGGUCUGGAGGGUGGGGAGCAGCCUGCGGCUGUGGCUGAAGCAAUGCUUGGCGCUGCUGUUAUAGCCCAGCGCGCAGCCACAAUCCUCCCUGCGGCAGUGGUGUAUUCUGUCAUGCCAACCUGGCUCGUCAAGGAGGCUCCUAGCUGCAGCAUUGAUGGUGCGGUUGAGGUUGGUGAGCAGCGUUUACCGGCGUGUAUCGAAAAAGGAUCGGAGCUGGAUGGUUUACUCAUGACAGGAAUGCUACAGGUGGUUUUACCACUUCCGGAGGCGCAGGAGCAGUCCAUCCCUUCUGGAGAGCUAAGAGGGGGAGCUUCAAGGUAGGGCGGAGAUGGCAUUGGAAGAGGAGCUUCAGCUCGUGGAGAAGAUCACAGGGAGCUUGUCUCCAUGACAGAGGGAGGGUAAUGCUAGUAAUGCGGAAUCAUCGUCGGUGUUGGAUAUUUUCAACCUGGACCCCAUAAUCCAGCACGUACAACAUGAUGUGCAGCACCUAGAGGGCUUUCAAUUGGUGGGUCAACACAAGAUGAAGGGGAUUCGGGCAAAGUUUCCUUCAGACCGUUCUUUACGCUCCAAGAGUAAGUCAUCCAAUAAUUCUUUCGCAACUUUGUCAGAUGAUUAAUUAUCUCUUCUGGAAUAUACGGGAUGUAUCACGCCCUCCUAAUUUUCGUCAAUUGAAACAUCUAAUUCGACAUCAUUCUCUGCCACUGGUGGCUUUGUGUGAGCCUAAAUUGCCUGCAACUUCUGCUAAUAUCCAGUCCAUUCGUCUAAGACUUCACAUGGACUCGGCCUUGAUAAAUAGUACUGGCUCAGUAUGGGUGUUUUUCUCAAGUGCAGUAUCUUGCUCAUUUGUGGGUGAGUCGGAUCAGCACUUGUCCAUAAAAAUUAAUUCCCAGCUACUACCCUUCCUUAUGAUAUUUUUUUUUGUGCAUGCUAAAUGUACCGUGGCUGAGCGAGAGGGCCUUUGGGCUGGGUUGCCCAAGGAUAAGGAAGCGUCGGAGCCUUGGUUUAUUGUAGGGGAUUUUAACGUAAUUACAGGAGAGGAGGAAAAGAAAGGGGGGUACCGGUUAGACUUUGUGACAGGUGCCGAACCUGUGUGCAAUAAUAAUAAAUAAAACCUAACUACCACCUGAAGUAGUCAAUAAUCAAUUCUAGUACUGGAGCAGGGACUCUAGGUGUGCAAUGGAUUACUUGAUUCACCCUGUUCUCGAAGAGUUUGCUUGAUCCGAUAUACUUGAAUUAAUUAUUUAACCGAAUUCACUAACUAGUAGACAGUGGCAAGCAGGGUCGUCUUCUCAGGGACUAGCAAGAAAUUUGUUCCUUUUCAAGUAAAGAUCAAAGGGGGGUUUUUGGGAUAAAAUGCCAAUUAAAUAAAUAAAAUGCAGAAAAUAAUUAAUUCAAAGAAAUAAUUAGAGAAACUCCAGCCAAGGGUACACUUCAGAAAUGGUUCAGACACUGAUCAUCGAUUCACAGAUAAUUCCAACAGUUAUCAAUAGACUAGUUAUAGUUGUCAUGCACGCGAUAAACAACCAACCUUUCCUUAAUUUCUCGAUAGCUAAGGUAUGACCGUUAACUAUUUUUCUAACCCAGAAACAACCCUAGGUAUGACCGUAAGAUUUAAUUUCUAGCUUGCAUUAAUAAUUAGAAAGACUCAAUCCUAACUAACAAACACGCUAUGAGGGUUUGUUUAAGUUAGAUCGUAUAUCCCCCUGACAUAAACCCAAUUACGCCAGUUGCUACUAAGACAGUGAUAACGAACAAUUACGGAUUCAAUUACCCCUAUUUAGCAAAAUAGCCUAUAUGAAUAAUUAAUUAUUGCGCACCAACCAAUCACACACAAGGGUAUAACAAUUAAAAGCAGGGAACAUAUAAAUAUCAAUAAAUGAAGAAAAUAAUUAAAAGCGAUUUAGAUCUCACAGUAAUUGCCGAACCAAUUCGUCAGUGCCCCUUGACUAGAAUUAGAGAAUUAGCCCUCCAUUAAUGGAGGACAAACUGCGCGUGUGGAUUUGGAAAAAGUUUGCGAACCGAUUCUUCCAACGUCGGUCAACAACAGGAGGAAAAAGCAAGGGAUUUUAUUGCAUCCAAUUGUCUCCAAAAAUCCAACGUAAAAGAGAGUCUGAUGCCCUCUUCCAAUUUCGGUCAAAGUCAAUUGAAAAGCAAAGCCAAAAGGGUCAAUAAUGGCGACUCAAUUGCUUUCUUUUCCUAAUUCCUCGCAAACAUACGGGAAAGGCUUUUGCUUGAUUUCUCAAUUCGGUCAAUGCAAUUGGAAAAGCAGUUUUGCAAAGUCAACAAUUGGGGCUUGUGUCCCCUUGAUUCUUUAUAGAGAUACGGCAAUCCAAUUGAAAAGCAAGGGCAAAAGAACGAGAAGAAACCUAAGCUAGAAGGAAAAUUCCUUCGCUUAAAAAAAAAACCGACCUCUUGGAGUCUAAUACUCCCCUCCUUUUGUUCUUGGUCCCCACUGACAUUCAAGGAGGGGAUUUUCCCUUAUCGGAAAUUGGUGUUCAAAAAUUAAAACAAGACUCCCCAAAAUAAAAUAACAUAAAGUCUAUUACAAUUUAGUUUCUUCAGCUUCUCAAGCGGACCCCACUACUUGAAGUGCCCCACGUACGAUGAAUCUUCUGAAUUUCGAUUUUAAGCACUUUUCAGCAUCAAUUCCUGCAAUUAGCACCAAAAUCAUAUCUGAGUAGAAUCCACCCAAUUAAUGAAAAUAUUUAGUCAAAUAAUUGUGCAAUAAUGCCCAAAAUACCCCACUAAAAUGCACCCUAUCAAUCUUCCCCACAUCUAAACUAUGCUUGCCCUCAAGCAUAAUUAACUCAGAAGUGCAAUCAAGAUACCAAGCAAUUCACAGCAGUUCAUACCAAAAAUGGCAUUCCAAAUUCCCCAAUAACCUCAUCGAAAUCAAAAUAUACCAAAAUAAACAAUUCUCGCAGUUUAAAGUGCACUCAUUUACUCCAAAUUGUAUAGGAUAUAUAUAUAAGAUGGCUCUCAAAUCAACACAAUAGAAUGAUACUACCAUAAGCUUGCUCAUAUAUCAUAUCGCCACCACUUACUUAUGAAUUUAAAUGCAGCAAUCGAGGGACUUUGCAAGGUUGUAAUGGGGCUAGGGUGAGAAGGUAGGAUAAAAAGGGUUCAAAGGGUGUAAAAAAUAUAAAGAAAAUGCUCAGAAAUUCAUUACACAGAUUCUUGCACAUUUGAAACUUCACGACACCUCAACAAUCGCACAAGUGAAGUAAAAAUUGGCCCUCGCUACAACCUUCGACUUCUCUUUUUCUCUUUCAUCUAUUUCUCCUCUCUUUUUCUUUCUCUUUUUUUUUCUUCUUUUUUUUUUCAAUAAGUUCCAACACCAUAAAAAUCAACUCCACUUAUUGAUUUCUUGCACUUUUUUUUUCUUCUUUUCACAUUUUUCAUUUUUUUUCUCUUUUUCCUUCUCAUAUAUACAUGUAAUGCCUCUCGAAUAAUACUCCAAAUUUCUAUGUAAUGAAAUCAAAGCACUUCUUUACACGAGGUUCAAAAAGAAAGUCUAAAAAGAAGUUUUACGGCUAAAAACUAGGGUCUCAAGCGAAGAAUAAGGGUUAAGGCUCAACUUGGCUCCCUAAGGGUAAAUAGACUAAGGGUUAGUUUUUAAGAAAGUUAAAAAUAGUUCAAUUCUAGGCGCCUUAUCAUUUUAAUGCAUUAAACUCAUUUAGAUGUGGUCUUGACACGUAUAAACCGAGCAAGUUCUAGAAUGACAAACCAUGUGCAAUAACCACUCAAACAAACGAAAAAGUAGGCCCAAAAAUCGCACAAAUGGUCAAAUUUAUGUCAAGUUCAGCAUAUUCAUCAAUCAAUUCAUCAUCAAGGAAAGUGAAAAGUCUCAUGGAAUGAACUUACUACUCAUGACCAUAUCUCAAUUGCAUUCAUCACUGUUUAAAGAAAAGAACUACUAGGGUAAAGAAAAUGCACAUCAAACAACUAAAAACACCACUAAAGCAUAGUUAACCCUCCCCCAUACCUAAACCAUUCAUUGCCCUCAAUGGAAGCCGACAAAGAUCAAAAUAGAGUUAUUGGGGCAACGGCACUUCCCUUAACACGGAGGAGGGCAGAGGUAAACUAAGGCCAUGGAGGGCACGGUAGGUGGAAACCCACGUGGUGGAGGUAUUCGUCAAAUUCUGGGCCAUUCCGGCCAUUUGAAGCUCCAUUCACUCCAUACGAGUGUCCAUGUGCUACAUCUGGAACCGAAGGGCUGCAAACUGGCUAUCGGCGGAGGAAGACGGUGGAGGUGCCGAAGAGGACGGUCCGGGGGCAUCCGUGGAAGGACCACCGGCCUCUGAGGCAGUGAAUUUGGAAGCCUUGCGCUUCGGAGCAACAUAUAUCGGCCCCGGAGGGGCGAACUGAAAAACACCAUUUACCUAUUGCACAAGACCCAUUUUUUCCAAGCAAACUAAAUCUAGGGGUUCCAUAGUACAUGCUUGAUGCAGAUUAUGAUUAUUUAAAUCCAAAACUCCUAUAUUUAUGGCUAAUUGAGUGAUAUAUGAACCCAGAAUUAAAGACUUAUUCUUCUUACUCAAGACGGUUUGAAAGUGAGAGGCAAACCAACAACCCAAAUUGACCUUAAUCUGAGCAACCAUGCUCUAAAUGAAAAAGAAUUCGGGUUUGGUCAGAGUACCUGAGCUGUCCUUUCUACCAAAGAAACUACAAGCCAUGAAUCUGUGCAAAUAGUGGUAGGUAGGGCUUUUGAGAAAAGAUGCCUUAGACUGGCUAGAAUCAUAGUGUUGUCGAUCAACCGACAACUCUCUCCAAUAGCCAGUAUUGUGAGAGAAAAAAGGCUCCGUGUAGUCGCACAAACUGUGCAAAUAUUCCUCACUCUGAGAGUAGGGAAUGUCAAUGAACCCAAGGGCUAAAUUAAAUUCAGUGAUAGAGUGGGUGAACUCUCGACCCAUUAAUCUAAACCGCACCACCCCCGGAGUAGUAACAGAAAAUUCAUCGGGGAUAUUAAACUCAAAAGUAGCAUAAAAUUCCCACGUCAAUUCAGUAAAAGCAGGUAAAAUGAUAGCAGCAUAACGUGUCCAGCCUAUGUCGGCUAACUUUUGAGUGACCUCACCCCUAAGGUUCAGAAUAUCAAGUGUAGGGUCGUGGAUAUAGUUACAAGAAAUUAUCUUCCUUGUACACGCCGAGGCGUACCGCUCUUUGUCGGCAGCCCGGGUGAAGGUCAAAUGACCGCCAAAAUGGGCCGGGAAGGAGAUAUGAACAUCCCUACUCUGCCUAAGGCGGGUCCGGGGCCCUCCCGGAGCAGUCGCUGGGGUAGGUCCUCCCAAGGGGACCGUAGGCUGUGGGGUGGAGAUAAAAGGUUUGUUCUUACCUUUAGUUUUUAGUUUAGUCAUUGGGUAUCAGUUAACAGGGCAAAGACAAGGUAAUGGUGUUCAAAAGAAAGAAAUAGGCAGCCACCAAGCAAAGGGUUCCAAACACAGCUCCCAACCACAGAUAAUUGCAGAAACGGACAAUAAACUCACCCCAAAAAUUAAGUAAACAUGUAAACAGCAGAAUUGUACCCAAAUACUACCAAUUCAACCCCAAAAAUUAAUUAAUUAGAUAAACGCAGCAAAACUUUCCCAAAAACUAAUUAAACAGGCAACUAGAAUAAAAACUUCCCCCAAAUAUCACUGGUUGAGCACAAAAUUUAACAAAUAGUCAACAAUCAACCACAGAUAUAUCACAGCACCCAAACAAGCACAAAAUUUCUGUCCUCAGCUAGCAAAUCAAAAAUCUGGCCUCAACUAAGAAAUUAAAAUUUGGCAUCAGCUAAUAAAGAACUAGUAAUUUGGUCUCAGCUAAUUAGUGACAGAAAAUUAAAGAAGAAAUCACCGGAGGUUUGGAAUAAGCAGUGGGUGAUAGUGGAAGAAGCGCAGGGGACAACGGAGGGGGAGGAAGGUGACGUGCGCGUGUCGCACGCGCUCGGGCAGGAUGGCUAUGAGCUUGGCGCCUAGUGGGUUGCGUCUGCGCGAGCAGGCUUGCACGUGCGUGAUGGGUCGCACGUAGGCAAGGGAGCGCGCAGAGGCUGGCGCUGCUGCUGCCACUCGCUGUUUUGGUCGCGCGCAGACUGGCGAGCGCGCUUGUGGUCCGCGCUCUGGGCUAGGCUGGAGAAAGGCGCUGGCCUGCUGGUGAGUGUGCUCAGCUCGCGCUUGGCUGCGCGUGGUGGGCUUGGAGAUCGCGCGCAAGGACGGAGCUACUCGUGAGCCUGUGGCUGAGCUCACGCGCGCGGUCUGCUGAGCUCCACGAGCUGGGCUGCUGCUGGCGCAAGGCGGUCGCGCUGGUGCGCGCCUGCUGCUGCUGCUCGCGUGCUGGGCUGCGCCUGGAAAGGAGCUGGAGUCGUGCGCGAUGGGCCAGAGAAGGGCGCGCGGGCUUGCUGGUGCUGGUGCUCUGGCCACGCGCGAGCUUGCUGGUGGACGACGGAGCGGUGGUGACGAUGGAGGGCGGACGAAGGCGGCGGUGGACCUUGGCCGUAGCGUGGUGUGGCGGGCGGAUAAGGAGAAAAGAAGGAAGAAGAAAAGGAAAGAAAGGGAAAAAGAAAGAAGAAAAAGAAAGAAAAGAGAGAAGAAGAAAAAAAGAACAAGUAGGGCUACGGGCCCUUGUAAAAUUUUUUUUUUUAUUUUAUAAAUAAUCUUUCUAUUUUUUAUUAUUAUUAUUUCUUCUUUUUUUACAUCUAUUAAAAAAAGGGUUAAUUCCACUUUGUCCCCCCCAAACUUUGGACGAUUAUCCACUUAAAUCCCUAAACUUCAAAAUGGGACACUUAAAUCCCUAAACUUAUAAAUACCUCCCACUUAAGUCCCUAAACUUAUAAAAUGGGACACUUAAAUCCCUAAACCCUUAUAAAAUGGGACACUUCGACCACCAGCGGCAUUCAGGAUUUGUUAACAAUUUUCCUUAAGUGAGAGGUAUUUAUAAGUUUAGGGACUUAAGUGUCUCAUUUUGAAAUUUAGGGACUUAAGUGGGUAAUCGUCCAAAGUUUGGGGGGACAAAGUGGAAUUAACCCUUAAAAAAAACCUUUUUUUCUUUUAAAAAUUUUCUUUUUCUCAUUUUUUAUAUUUUUUUAUAUUUAUUAUUUUUUUUAUUAAUAUAUUUUUAUUUCUUUUUUUUUGAAAUGAGGACAAUCAUGUCUUUUCACACCUCCCUUUACAUAUAUAAAUAUCAAAGAACCUGUGUCUUAGGCGCAGGCAAGCCUAACUGCCCUCUAGUCUUCUGACCAAUUUUCGAAAAUUGAGUUCCUUAGGCGUACCCACGCCAGGUGGUCAUGCCUAACUACUGUAGAGUCUUCUGACCGCGGACGAGAAUUUUCUUCCCUUAAGCGUGACCACCUGGCGUGGGCACGCGUAACUGCUAUAGAGUCUUCUGAGCAUCGCCUUUCAACUCUUUUCCUUAGACGUGACCACUUAGCGUGGGCACGUCUAACUGCUAAUUUUUUGCCACAAAACAACAAACUACAAAAUGAUACCAAAACUUAACAAAAACUUCAAAAAUGUACGAAAACUAAAACAAAUAGUCUUGGGUUGCCUCCCAAGUAGCGCCUUUCUUUAACGUCUUUGGCUAGACAUGGCCGGAACCCUCAAGCGAGAUAAAUUGGAUACUGGAGGUGUACAACUUCUACUUCUUCAACAGAGAAUUCUUCAUAAUAAAGUUUGAGAUGAUGGCCAUUCACUACGAACUUCUUCUCUGUCUUUAAACUUUGGAUCUCCACUGCACCAUAAUGAAACACAUUAGAAACGACAAAUGGACCAAUCCAGCGAGAACACAACUUACCGGGAAAAAGUUUAAGUCUCGAGUAAUACAAGAGGACUUUUUGCCCCACUACAAAAGAUUUCCUUGAGACUUGCUGAUCAUGGAAGAUUUUACUCUUUUCCUUGUAGAUCGUGGCAUUCUCGUAUGCCUCAUUUCUAAUCUCUUCCAAUUCUUGUAGUUGCAAUUUCCUUUGGACCCCCGCUUUUUCAAGAUCCAUGUUACACUAUUUCAUUGUCCAGAACGCCUUGUGUUCGAACUCCACGGGAAGAUGACAAGCCUUUCCAAAGACUAGUAUGUACAGGAACAUCCCAAUCGGCGUCUUAUAUGCGGUGCGGUAUGCCCGUAGUGCAUCUUCUAAUUUUAAACUCCAAUCCUUCCUGUCGGGCCGCACCGUCUUCUCCAAGAUUGAUUUAAUCUCCCUGUUUAACAUUUCGGCUUGGCCAUUUAUUUGCGGGUGAUACGGUGCAGACAUCUUGUGGAGUACGUCGUAUUUUCGGAAUAGGGCAGUGAUAGUCUUGUUGCAAAAGUGUUUCCCUAUUACUUACCACAGCUCUUGGCAUUCCAAAGUGGACAAAAAUAUUAGAUUUUAAGAACUCUGCAACCACUUUAGAAUCGUCAGUACGGGUGGCUUUCGUUUCCACCCACUUAGAGACAUAAUCAACCGCGAGUAAGAUAUUUAAGAAACCAAAAGAUGAUAGAAAAGAACCCAUAAAAUCUAGGGUAAAAUACAUAAAACCCCCCUGUGUUAAAGGAAAUUAACACGAAAUUUCCUCAUUGUUUAGAAAUACCCACUUAACCCCCUCGUGCUUUGGACUUCUUAGGAUUUUACCUGCUAACCGGCUGGAAAGCUAGCGAGUGAUAUUGACGCGACCUAAUGGUCACCUGUGACCAGAAGAAACUCGUUUUCAUUCCAAUUUUGCCCUCCAUAUCUCUUACAAAUGAAACCCACCAUAGUUGUAGUUCUGCAAAUGGAAAAAAAUGGACAGAAAAAUACAAAACUAAGACAAAAAAACGUCAGAGUUUGAAAAAAAUGCAAGGCUGAAUUGGCAAAUUUUGAGCACACCAAGUUUGGACUUUGCACAAAAAAAAAGAAAAAAAGAAAUGGUGUUAGCAAGCUCCAGAUUGAGGUAGUGAUUGCUAGAAUGGCAGCAGCAACUGUAAGGAAAGAACAACAACUAACUAACUACUUUACCUGCCUCUUAAAAAAAAAAAAGAGUAUUCCUCCUUUCUUCAUCCAAAUGGCGGUAAUGUUGUACUAACCAGAAUUACUACCGGUGAAGUAGAUUAACAAAAUCUCCCGGAUACAAGUGGAGACCAAUCAGUGGCCAGCUUAUUCAUAAAAUGAAUGAACAAAGCAAGAUGAAGAAGAGACAAUUUACAGUAGUUAUGGUUGACGGGUUUUUACUUUAAGUGCAAGUUUAAUUCCGAAUUUACACCCGUUGGACUGCAAGUAUACAGGUCGCAAUUGUAGUACGAGAUGUGUAUCGGGUCGAUCCCACGAGGAGCAAUUUAAAACAAUUAUUAGAUACUAAUUUACUCUAUUAUUUAGACUUACAAUUAAUUUGAGCAGAAACUUCAGAUUUUAAUUCAACUACAAAAAUUCUUAAAUAGAUAAAUGCAAUUUCACAAUAGGAGUAGAAUUCACUAAAUAUUAAGAUCUAGGGAUGUAGAUUCCACUUAUAACACAAAAGAUCUAAAAUGAAUUAAUUCAACACUUGUUACUGCUCUUGUUUAACCAAGGAUUCAUUUUCAGAAAUACCAAAAUCACAUUCUCAUGAUAAUAAUGGGUUAAAACAGAUUAGUUUUUCCUAAUCUCUUGGUAAAUACUAAAUCUGUUCUUAUUCACACAUGAAAUGCAGAUUUCAUCCACUUGAAUGUAUUUCUAUUCUCAUGAAUAUACUACUCAAGCUCUACUUAUGUCAUUCCAUUAUUUUUACCAUUUCUCAAUGAGUAAAAACAACUAUAAACCUGCUAUUGGUGAUCAAGCAACAAGUAAUCCAACAUACACAAGUAGAUAAGUUAAUACAAGACAUAACAAGCAUAAAUCACAAUCACUUCAUAUCAUUUGGCCAUAAGCUUCAUCUACUCCCUAGAUAAAGGAAAUUAGCUACUCAUGAAUGAUGAAACACUCAUAACUUCAUUAAUGCAAAUCAUCAUGAAUUUACAAAUACAAAAAGAGUAAAGAAAGUCUUAGCCAAGAUAUGGUGAAGCCUUCCAAAAAUCUCCUUGUCUUGAACUUAGAUGAUUACAAGAUGAAACCUCAAUUGUCCUUUGCAAGUACCUAGCUAGAGAGACUAUGUUUUUCUGUAAGAAGCUAAGCUACGAAUGGCUCUCCAGACCUCUCUCAAUGUCUCUGCAUAAAAACUACUCAAAGGCUCAUUUUUCCAAGUCAAAUUCCAACUUUUGAUUCCCCCAAUCUAACUUUGUUAUAAUUGUCAAUAACCAAUAUUUUUGACUUGAAAAUAAGCCACUUUUCUUGCCCUUUUGUCUUCUGAAGCAUGUGCACCGAAUUCCCUUGCAUCUUAUAGCUGGAAAGUGGUGUGAACACAAGAGAAUUGGCUGAGUCAAAUUACAGAAUUUCGGCUAUAAAACGCGCCUACACAAAACGCGGCAUAACUCGCGUUUUGUCUACUCGCGUUUUCACUCUGGCCUUAUUUCAACUGUGAUUUUCUCAUUGAUAAAGGCCAAACUAGCUUUUGUGCAAAACACAAAAGUUGUAGCCCUUUGUAUUAGCUUUCCAAUGCUUCAAGAAUCAUCCAAAUCGGAACUUUGUAGCCUGAGAUAUGAUCGAAAUACUGUCACCUGUUCAAACCUCUGUUUUAACUUCCGACCACAGAAUGCAGCUUCUGUAUUCCAACGUUUUGCCCAUGAAGAUGGCAGAAAUGGAUUUCGAUGUCUUCAUACGAAUUGUAGGUCUCUUUCUUAGCUUUAAAAUGGUAUAAAGAUCACCUCAAUCCGAUAUGUGUAGCUCCAGAUAUGGUCAAAAUACUGAAGAGUGUCAAAACUGACUUGUAUUGCAUUUCCUCACUUGAACGUUUUUCACUUCAUUCUUCUUGUUGCCACUUGAAUUCAUCACCAAAUCUCUAUUUUUACCUCAUUUGACAUCCUUUGGUGAUUGAAUCAUCAUUCCUGCAUAAAAAUGAAGUUUUUACCAUUAAAAUCAAUAGAAAUGCAAAAUUAUCCACUUUUACCAAAAAUAUAUAAUUUUACCAAAAACCUCUUUAUUUUAUUUAUAAAACUAAAUAAUCAACUCAAAAUUAACUAAUAAAAUGCACUUAAAAAUACGUAAAAUAAACUCUUAUCAAAUACCCCCACACUUGAAUCAUUGCUUGUCCUCAAGCAAUAUAAAAUUCUAACCAUCAAUGAUCCAAAAAUUGAAAAUAAACAUAUAUAGUAUUUCAACUCCAUUUCCUUGAAUCAAGGUAAAUAACCCUUAUGUGAUCUUUCCAUUAAGUUCAAGUACUCAUAAUAUCAAGCAAAGAAGAGCCAAGUAUACCAUAAUUUUACCAAUUCAACUCAACUUCUUAUUUUUAUCCAAUUUCGCAAGCAAGCAACUCCUAUAGUCAAUAAAGAUGCUAACUAAUCUCAUGAUCAACUUCUUAUUUUUCUUAAAGAGGGAUUUAAUUUACUUUUUUAUAUAUAUAUAUAUAUAUAUAUAUAUUUUAAGGGUUAAAUAUUACUUAAGUUGUGAAAAAUGCCUUUUGACGCGAAGAUCAACAUUUUUAGAUGCAGAUCCCCGGUUACUCAACAUUUCACAUACUCAAGUUGCUUUGCAUACUCUUAAUUCAAGUACCUUUUUACGCGAAUGUCGACAUUUGUAGAUGCCAACCCCCGGUUACUCGGUAUGAGAAUCAUUGGAGUAGAAUAACCCUUUUUUUUUUUUAAUAUAUAUAUAUAUAAUAAAAUUCCCUCUAAGAGUAAUCAUGAGAAGAGUAUGACACUUAUUAACCAUAUUAAUUUCUUAUCUUAUAAAAUUAGAUAAAAAGAAGAAUUUUCAUCAAAUAUACAAAAUGUAGGCAUAAUUUUCUCCACUUUACUAGAUAUACUUUCCUAUAAAUGUAAAAAUUAUAAUCACAUAAAAAUCAUUUCCAAAUUUCAUAAGAAAAGAAGUAUCAAAACCGCAUAUAUUUAUUUCAAAAGGAUAAGUGACAACAUUUUAUUUAUUUAUUAUAGUUAAUAACAUAUAUGUGUAUAAGGUUUUGGAAAAAUUUUGACAGAGUCUCCCCUUAAAAGUGGACUAAAACUCCCUGCCAGCAACCACAAGAAACAUAAUUUAAGCACAAGAAUUAUAUCAAACACAACUAAAACCACAAGUACCACACAUAUUUCUCCCCCCCACACUUAAAUUACACAUUGUCCUCAAUGUGUAAGGAAAGAAAAGAAAAGAAAGAAAAGAAAGGAAUAAGUGACUCCCCAAGUGAGAUGACUGCGGUCCAGUGAAGCCUUGAAUCAUGAGUCAUCGACCGCGCAACCAUCUACAGUCAACGAUCUACUAGUUACUGCCACAAGUUCCAAUAUUCAAAAUAAGGAAUGUAAGUUAACAUUUUUUCAAACAAAAGAUAAAAAUAACAAGCAAACAAGCAAACAAAAGAAAAGCCAGCCAAAGGACAGCCUCAAUCAUCCUCUUCAUCGUCAUCUUCAUCAUCAUUGAUGGGAGGUGGGUGUGUGCCUAAAUGAUCUUCAAUUCGGUCCAGGCGAGUAUCCAUUCUGGCUAAGCGAUGAUCGAUGUCAUCUAAACGACCAAAGAGCCGCUGCCAGUUGGUUUGUGGCGGAGGAGGAGGUGGUGCUGCAGUAGAUGGUCCAGCUCCAUCGCGACCAUGUCUAGCCUUUUGUCUCCGCUCCUGAACAGGGCGUGGAAUGUCUCCCGUGCCAAUACCAAGGCGGCGAAGAGUAGUGAUAGUCAUCUCAGCACGUGGUGGAACAUACUCCCGCCGCAUGCCUUCCAAGGGAACUCCGUGUGCCCCGUCUUCUUUGGGAUGACAUUGUGAGCCAUCAUGUAAAUGAUAAGCCGAUGACGAGGUUCGAAUACAUUUGCCAAUAUAGUCUCCUUUCUGGUAGAGCGAAAAGGUUGGUACUCGAGACCAAACCUAGCCAUGGCCAAUGAUGGAUCCCACCUCCUAUUCGGGGGAACAAACUCCUUCUUCAAGUCUACUGGACGUCCGUCAUCCAUACACCCCAAAAUAGCAGCCAAAUCUUGUCGUGACAAGGUGAUUCGUCUUCCACGCACCCAGGACUCAAUUAUUUCUCCACUAUGGCGCGCCUUACUUUCAAUGUUGGCGUAAAACUCGCGCACCAGGUCUGGGUAGUAAUGGUUUGGAAGGGUGAGAAUCGGAGCCCAUCCUAGCUGAGCAAAAGCUUCUGAGAUGUUGUACAUCAUCUCAACUGGUGGACUGACGUGCAUCUCAAACAAAAACUCCAAAUUAGCACGCGCCUCAUGCCACUCCUGAUUCCUGCGAGUGUUGAACCUAGCACUGUCAAAUACCGAUCUUCCCGCUCCACGGGAGGUGCCCUCACCAGGUCGACGGUUAAUUGGUGGAGGAGAAGGUGAAUUCUCCUCUUCAGUCACCUCCAUCUCUUCAUUAACCUCCCUCUCCUCACUACUAGAGGAUGAAAGUACCGCUCUUCUUCCUCUUGGCAUAGUACCUAAAAAAUAUUUCAAUUAUUCACAUGUACUACAACUCAUUUUUUUGGCAACAAAAGUUCAGCAUUAAUCCAAAUAACCUCAAAUACAAUUGCUUAAGUUCUAAUCAUUCAAUGAUCGUACAAGACAUAUUUUCUGCCUAAAGUUGCCCAAAAUCACCAAAUUACACAAGAUAUGUAUCAAUUAUAAUUCAAUUAGUGAAAAUAGGAGCAAUUAUGAUUAUAACUAUUUAGAAUUAACAAUAAUAAUAUGCUUUUAGCUAUAAUCAUGUUUAGGCAAAAAUUAAACUAACUAACUCACCAAAUCAACCAAAUUACUCACUAUACACAAUGCACAUGCUUAAACAUCAUCAACUAACCCUUUUUAACCAUAAUUUAACAUCACCAAUGGCUCAAAAACAUCCUAGUUCCUUUUUCCAAUUUCAUCUAAAUAUAGCAAUUGUGAAUUUUAAAGUACUUGAAAACCAAUAAAUUGCUACAUUUAAACAUUUAAACAUGCUUAAACAAUCAUAAUAAUCAUGAAUAAAAUAAAAAAUAGCCAUGAACCUCAUCAAAUUUUCGAAAUUAAAAGAUGUCAGAUAGCUCAGGAUAAAAAAUAUGAACUUCUAAAAUCAAAAGAUUUGAUGAAGAAACUUACCUCAAUCACGUAGAAGGAUGUUUGGUGAUGCUAAAAAUGCAAAAAGCCCUAUGAAACAACCUCCAAUUGACCUCCAAUUGAAGAAAUUAGAGUUUAAGAACCCUAACCUUCAAUCCCUCAAAAACCUGAUUUUAGGUGUUUUUCUUGGAUUUUAAUCGGUUAAAAAGGUUGUAUGAAGCUCAAAAGGUGUUGGGGUGAUGAUUUCUAGCAAGAUUAUGGAGUAUAAAUGAAAAUUUGUGAGUUGGGUAGAAGGAAGAGGGAAAAACGCGGCUGGAAAAAUUGGAGAAGUGAAGAAGAAAGGCUGAAAUCGCGUUUCUGAAGGCUAUAUUCAGAUACGGAAAACGCGACUAAAAACGCGCCUUCAACUCGCGUUUUUGAAGUCGCGUUUCCUGCACAAAUCUUGCAGGAAUGAAAACGCGACUGUGAUGGAAAACGCGACUUCGAGUCGCGUUUCUGAAGUCGCGUUUUUGAGUCUUGAUCCAGGCUUGAAAACGCGAAUUCCAUUAAAACGCGACUUUGGGUCGCGUUUUGAAGGCGCGUUUUCUGUUCUGCAGGUGCAGAAUUGAAAACGCGAUUCAUAGAAACGCGACUUGUAGUCGCGUUUGCUUUGAAAACGCGUUUUCUGCUUCAAUUUUUAGCAGAAUUUCAACUUUUGAAAAAUUACAAAAGGUACCCCAAUGACUCAAAAUGCAUCAUAGAUCAUUUGUUUGCCAAUUUUAAUGACUGGAACAAAUGUAAAACAUUAAAAACAUGCAUUUUACCCCUUUAUAAUGAAUCAAAAACACCUUUAACGCAAAUCGAGGGGUUGAGUUGUUUGAUCAAAGUUCGCCUUUUUUGUACUCAAUUGGUCAUCCUUGCCUUCAAUUGCCAACCCUACAUUACAAAAACAACUAUUUAGCUAAAACAUUGAUUCAAACCACAAAAUCACACCAAGUUAACAAAUAUAACCUAAAUAUUGGGUUGCCUCCCAAUUAGCGCUUUUGUUUAUAGUCGUUGGCUCGACUGAAAAAGUUGAAUCACUUUAGAGCAUUAGAGAGAGAUUUUCUCUCCAUGGGUCGAAACUCCCGAGCCAAUCCACCAUGUGGUGAACCAUGCAUUGAUCUUCAUAGUCCAAUUUCCUCAAAUGCCAAGGAGGAAUAUUAGACUUGUCAUAGAGAGGCUCAACUUCACCUUGGAGUGGAUUUUGCUUGUCUUUUCUGAAUUGGCUCAACUUUUCACCAUUUUCUUCAUGGAAUGGCGAAUUUAUUAAGCCAACUUCCAUCCUUAUCUUCUCCUCCUUUGUUCCUACACCAUGAAAGUUAGUACCAAGGACAUUUAUAAAUUUAACUUCUUCGGUCCUUUCUUGGUUAACCUUUUCAUCAUAUGGCAUAUUAGAAACAAGAGCAGUAGGCUCUAUAUUCCCUUCUUUAUUAUCCAAAUUGAAUUCCAAUUCCUCACCAUUAACCCGUAAUAUAAGCUUACCUUUUUCUACAUCAAUUAUAGUUCGUGCAGUGGCUAAAAACGGUCGUCCUAGAAUAAUUGGCAUUCUCACAUCUUCUUCAAUAUCUAAGACAACAAAAUCCACAGGUAUUAUAGAUUGUCUUACCUUUAUGAGCACAUUUUCCAAAAUACCCAUGGGACGUGUGAUUGACCGAUCCGCCAAUUGCAAUGUAAUAUUGGUAGCUUUUAGCUCUUGAAGUCCCAAUCUCCGGGCAACCGAUAACGGCAUAAGUGACACACUUGCACCUAAAUCACAUAAAGCAUUAGAAAAAUGCAAUUGACCAAUAGUGCAAGGAAUAGAAAAACUUCCCGGAUCUUUCAAUUUAGGAGGGAGUUUAUUCUUAAUCAAUGCACUACACUCUUCCGUUAAUGCUAUCAUCUCAUUAUCUACAAUUUUCCUCUUCUUUGACAUGAUGUCUUUCAAGAAACGUGCAUAAGAGGGAAUCUGUGUUAUAGCAUCAAUGAAAGGAAUGUUAAUGUGCAAUUGUUUAAACAUUUUGAAGAACUUUUCAAACUCCCGAUCCUGUCCAUCUUUCUUCAACCUGUGAGGAAAAGGUAUCACAUUAGAAUUUAAUUUGGGAUGAAGUGCAUCAAUAUCAAUGAUAACAUGAUCAUUUUGACUUUCUUGCUCCCCUUCAAUUGCUUGCUUCUUGUCUUUUUCACCACCUGAAUUUUCAAAAUCAAAUCCCUCAACCGUUUUACCGCUUCUAAGAAUGAUUGCAUUGACAUGCUCUCUCGGAUUCACUUCGGUUUUACUUGGUAAUUCACCAGGGUUUCUAUUGUUGAUCACAUUGGCAAUUUGACCAAUUUGAACCUUCAAGUUUCUGUACAUCCCAGCUAAUUGGUCCAACCGCCCCUCAACUCGCUCGAAUCUAUCCGAAGUCACCUUAGCAAGUUUUUCCACCGCGAUCUCCCAACUUGGUUUAGUUUCAGCCUGUGGUUGCCUUGGUUGAAAUCCCGGCGGAUUGGUUGGCCUUUGUUGAUUGCCUUGAUCUUUCCAUCCAAAGUUUGGAUGAUUUCUCCACCCCGGAUUGUAAGUAUUCGAGUAGAGAUUAUUUGGAGCAUUUCGGUUGUAAUUAUUAACAAAUUGUACCUGCUCAGAAUCAACACACUCAUUAAUAUCAUGUUCGCCUCCACAGAAAGAGCAACAAGCUACGUGAGCAUUAGAUGAACUUGGGCUAACUCCACCUUGUCUACUUAGCAAUUUCAUCACAUUAUUCAUUUGAGCACUCAGCAUAUUGAGAGUGUCCAUUUCUAUCAUACCUGCGGGACGUCUUGUAUUACCUCUCUCAUUGGCCCAUUGGUAGUUAUUUGCUGCCAUUUCUUCUAUCAAAUUAUGAGCUUCUUGGGGUGAUUUACCCAUUAAAGCUCCACCUGCAGCUGCAUCGAUCAUAGUUUUAGUAGAAAAAGCUAAACCAUUAUAGAAGGUUUGUAUGAUUAACCAUUCCGGCAGUCCAUGAUGUGGACAUUUCCGAAGCAAAUCUCUAAACCUUUCCCAUGCCUCAUAUAAUGAUUCUCCUUCCAUUUGACUAAAACCAGUGAUAUCCAUUCUUAGCUUAGCAGUCUUACCAGGUGGAAAAUACUUAUUCAAAAAUGCCCUUGAUAAAUCAUCCCAUGUGGUAAAAGUGUUAGGAGCAUGAGAGUGUAACCACAUUUUUGCCUUAUCUCUUAAUGAAAAUGGGAACAACCGUAACCUUAUAGCAUCAUCACUAACUCCAUUCAUUUUAAUUGUAUCACAUAUUUCUAAGAAUGUAGCUAAGUGUGAGUUAGGAUCUUCUACAGCAUUACCUCCAAAUUGAGAUUGUUGAACCAUUUGGAUAAGUGAUGGCUUAAUCUCAAACUUGUUAGCAUUUACCGUAGGCCUUGCUAUGCUCGUUUGAGAUCCUUGUGUUCCCGGUAGAGCAAAAUCUCGUAGAACUCGCCUAUUUGCUUCAUUUUCAGCCAUUUCUUCUUCAAAUGGUAGUUCUAUCAAAAUUUCCUCUAUCGGUUGCCAAAUCUCUUGCUCCUCCUGCUGUUGUGUGUGCCUCCUUUGUCUACGUAGUGUCCUCUCAAUUUCUGGAUCGAAAGGUGCGACUUCUCGAGACGCCCGGUGCAUACACUACAAACAGAAAUAAGAGAUAUUAUGCAAUUUCAAUUGUCAAAAACUGAUUACAAUAUAAGAUUAAAUAUAAUCAGCUCAACUAAUAAAAAUAAAUCUGUCUAAAUUAAUAGAGUUGAUUAGGCUCUAAUAUUGCCGCUCCCCGGCAACGGCGCCAAAAACUUGACGGGUUUUUACUUUAAGUGCAAGUUUAAUUCCGAAUUUACACCCGUUGGACUGCAAGUAUACAGGUCGCAAUUGUAGUACGAGAUGUGUAUCGGGUCGAUCCCACGAGGAGCAAUUUAAAACAAUUAUUAGAUACUAAUUUACUCUAUUAUUUAGACUUACAAUUAAUUUGAGCAGAAACUUCAGAUUUUAAUUCAACUACAAAAAUUCUUAAAUAGAUAAAUGCAAUUUCACAAUAGGAGUAGAAUUCACUAAAUAUUAAGAUCUAGGGAUGUAGAUUCCACUUAUAACACAAAAGAUCUAAAAUGAAUUAAUUCAACACUUGUUACUGCUCUUGUUUAACCAAGGAUUCAUUUCCAGAAAUACCAAAAUCACAUUCUCAUGAUAAUAAUGGGUUAAAACAGAUUAGUUUUUCCUAAUCUCUUGGUAAAUACUAAAUCUGUUCUUAUUCACACAUGAAAUGCAGAUUUCAUCCACUUGAAUGUAUUUCUAUUCUCAUGAAUAUACUACUCAAGCUCUACUUAUGUCAUUCCAUUAUUUUUACCAUUUCUCAAUGAGUAAAAACAACUAUAAACCUGCUAUUGGUGAUCAAGCAACAACAAGUAAUCCAACAUACACAAGUAGAUAAGUUAAUACAAGACAUAACAAGCAUAAAUCACAAUCACUUCAUAUCAUUUGGCCAUAAGCUUCAUCUACUCCCUAGAUAAAGGAAAUUAGCUACUCAUGAAUGAUGAAACACUCAUAACUUCAUUAAUGCAAAUCAUCAUGAAUUUACAAAUACAAAAAGAGUAAAGAAAGUCUUAGCCAAGAUAUGGUGAAGCCUUCCAAAAAUCUCCUUGUCUUGAACUUAGAUGAUUACAAGAUGAAACCUCAAUUGUCCUUUGCAAGUACCUAGCUAGAGAGACUAUGUUUUUCUGUAAGAAGCUAAGCUACGAAUGGCUCUCCAGACCUCUCUCAAUGUCUCUGCAUAAAAACUACUCAAAGGCUCAUUUUUCCAAGUCAAAUUCCAACUUUUGAUUCCCCCAAUCUAACUUUGUUAUAAUUGUCAAUAACCAAUAUUUUUGACUUGAAAAUAAGCCACUUUUCUUGCCCUUUUGUCUUCUGAAGCAUGUGCACCGAAUUCCCUUGCAUCUUAUAGCUGGAAAGUGGUGUGAACACAAGAGAAUUGGCUGAGUCAAAUUGCAGAAUUUCGGCUAUAAAACGCGCCUACACAAAACGCGGCAUAACUCGCGUUUUGUCUACUCGCGUUUUCACUCUGGCCUUAUUUCAACUGUGAUUUUCUCAUUGAUAAAGGCCAAACUAGCUUUUGUGCAAAACACAAAAGUUGUAGCCCUUUGUAUUAGCUUUCCAAUGCUUCAAGAAUCAUCCAAAUCGGAGCUUUGUAGCCUGAGAUAUGAUCGAAAUACUGUCACCUGUUCAAACCUCUGUUUUAACUUCCGACCACAGAAUGCAGCUUCUGUAUUCCAACGUUUUGCCCAUGAAGAUGGCAGAAAUGGAUUUCGAUGUCUUCAUACGAAUUGUAGGUCUCUUUCUUAGCUUUAAAAUGGUAUAAAGAUCACCUCAAUCCGAUAUGUGUAGCUCCAGAUAUGGUCAAAAUACUGAAGAGUGUCAAAACUGACUUGUAUUGCAUUUCCUCACUUGAACGUUUUUCACUUCAUUCUUCUUGUUGCCACUUGAAUUCAUCACCAAAUCUCUAUUUUUACCUCAUUUGACAUCCUUUGGUGAUUGAAUCAUCAUUCCUGCAUAAAAAUGAAGUUUUUACCAUUAAAAUCAAUAGAAAUGCAAAAUUAUCCACUUUUACCAAAAAUAUAUAAUUUUACCAAAAACCUCUUUAUUUUAUUUAUAAAACUAAAUAAUCAACUCAAAAUUAACUAAUAAAAUGCACUUAAAAAUACGUAAAAUAAACUCUUAUCAAUGGUAUCAAAGGAGGAAGAAGAAAGAAAGAAAAAACUAGAGAGCCCUCUCCUCUGCCCGCACCCAAGAGAGUCCCAGUGGGCACUGCAGUGGCCCCCCACCACCACCAAAACAAGAGUAAAGAGACAGACCAAUCAGUAGCCCAGCAGGCGGCAGUAAAGAAAGGGGAAAGGGUUGCAGACAGACAGCAAUCAGGUUGCUCCGAUAGUUGCUCCGAUAGUCCCUCUUGCCUUCCACCCAUGGCUGAAAGAAGAAGAAGCAGCGACAGCAGCAAUGAAUCAUCAUUAUCAUCAGGUGCAGCAGCAGCGACCGUGUGCAGAAUACCGGAUGACCACCUCUUCUCCAUCUUGUUGCGUCUUCCAAUAGACUCAAUCCUCUACUUUGGUAUGACUUGCAGAAGAUUGAGGUCUCUUACUCACUUCGACGUUCUCUGGGAAUCCAUCUGCAGGUGCGACUGGGGUUCAAAAUAUCCCUUUUUUUUUCAAAUAAUACUUCUUUUACCAAAUUUCAAAAUAUCCACAACAAUUUACUAUGAAAACUCCUGCCAUCAAACAAAUCAACUCCUCUGAAAUUUAGGGUUCAAAUAUGAGAUUACCUGGUUAAUAGCUAUGCUCGAUUCGUUGCAACCCUCAACCGAUCUGCACAGAAACGCCGACUCAUCUUCACUAUAACUCAGACCGAUCUGCAUAGAAACACCUCUUUCUUAGUUGUAGAUUUAGGGUUUCUCUCUCUACACAUGAAGUACUCUCAAGAUUUACUAAUUGCAUCUGUAUCUUUUCAGAUAUUAUAAAUGAGGGUAUCUUUGAUAUUUCAUAUUGUUACUGGCUUCCCAGCCGGUUAGCAGGUAAAAUCCUAAGAAAUCCAAAGUACAGGAGGGUUAAGUGGGUGUUUCUAAAUAAUGAGGAAGUUUCGUGUCAAUUUCCUUAACCACAGGGGGGUUUUAUGUAUUUUACCCUUUUUAUUCCCCAUACAUCAAAAAUUUCAACAAACAACAUGGAGAUUUGAAACAUUUGGUCCUUACGAAAAAUAUUUCCCAUCCUUUGACACCUAUCACAGGAUUUGCAAAAUAAGUAUGCAUCUUUAAAAAGAGUGGACCAGUAAAAGCCACUCUCCAACACUUUGCGAGCUGUUCGCUUGGCCCAAAAUGUCCUCCACAUGCAAACAAAUGACAGAAAUUUAAAAUGGAGUAGAAUUCACCUGCACUCACACACCUUCUUAGCACUUGAUCCGAACAAUGUCUCCAAAGGUAGGGGUCGUCCCAAAUAUAGUACUUGACAUCACUCUUUAACUUGUCUCUCCUAACCUUUGGCCAACCUACAUGUAAUUGAUUAGUCACUAAGAAAUUUACUAUAUCAGCAUACCAGGGUGCAGACGAAUCAACGGCAAGUAGUUGUUCCUCUGGGAACGCCUCUCUCAAUGGUUGCUCCUCCUUAUGUGCAAACAAGCGGCUCAAGUGAUUAGCAACUAAGUUCUCUGCCCCACUUUUAUCUUUAAUCUCCAAGUUGAACUCUUGCAGGAGCAGAAUCCAUCUAAUGAGCCUUGGUUUUGCAUCUUUCUUCAUCAUCAAGUACCUUAAGGCUCCAUGAUCAGAGAAAACUGUUACUUUUGCACCAAACAAAUAAGGUCUAAAUUUUUCUAAUGCGAAAAUCAUAGCUAAUAAUUCUUUCUCCGUCGUAGAGUAAUUGAGUUGAGCUCCAUUCAACGCCUUUGAUGCAUAGUAGAUUGCAUGUGCUGCCCUGCCAAUUCUUUGCCCCAACACCGCUCCCAUUGCGUAGUCACUCGCGUCACACAUUAUUUCGAAUGGGAAGCUCCAGUCUGGAGGUUGAAUGACAGGUGGUGAGGUUAACGAUUCCUUCAAUUUGUCAAAUGCCAUCUUGCACUCCUCGAUAAAGUCAAAUGUUACAUCCUUUUGCAACAGCUUGAACAGGGGCGCUCCAAUUUUGGAGAAGUCUCUGAUGAAUCUCCUGUAGAACCCUGCAUGACCCAUAAAGGAACGCACUUCCCGUACACUUACGGGGUAAGGUAAGGCAGAAAUAAUAUUGAACUUUGCUUUAUCUACCUCUAUACCUCUAGCCGACACUACGUGUCCUAAGACAAUAUCAUACUCCACCAUGAAGUGACAUUUUUCCCAAUUAAGGACUAAAUUUGUCUCUAUGCAUCUUUUCAAAAUUAAAGUUAAGUUAUCAAGACAUUCAUCAAAACUAUUCCCAUACACACUAAAAUCAUCCAUGAAUACCUUAAUAAUCUUUUCUACAUAUUCGGAAAAGAUACUCACCAUGCACUUUUGAAACGUCACUGGAACAUUGCAGAGGCCGAAAGGCAUCUUCCGGUAGGCAAACGUACCAAAGGGACUGGUAAAUAUAGUUUUCUCCCGAUCCUCUGGUGCUAUUGCGAUCUGAAAAUAACCUGAAAAACCAUCAAGAAAACAGUAAUAGACAUAACCAGCUAACCUCUCUAUCAUCUGAUCAAUAAACAGGAGAGGGAAGUGGUCCUUCUUCAUCAGAGCAUUCAGUCGUCGGUAGUCGAUACACUGGCGCCAUCCUGUGGGUUUUCUCACCGGGACCAUCUCGCCUUCCUGAUUCUCUUUUACCGUUACUCCCACCUUUUUCGGGACUACCUGGACCGGACUAACCCAUAGACUAUCUGAAAUGACGAAAACGAUUCCCACUUCCAGGAGUUUAAGUAUCUCCUUCUUUACCACUUCCAUCAUUACUGGGUUUAAUCACCGUUGCGCCUGUCUUACCGGCUUUGCAUCAUCCUCAAGUCGGAUCCGAUGCAUGCAUAAGGAGGGGCUAAUUCCCUUAAUGUCUGCUAUGCUCCACCCAAUCGCCUCCUUAUGAUAUCGAAGAAGACGAAUAAGGUUGUCUUCUUGUCUUGGUGACAGGUGAGCAGAUAUGAUGACUGGUAGCGUCUCAUUGUCUCCGAGAAAUGCAUACUUCAAGUGCUUUGGGAGAGGAUUGAGCUCCAACUCAGGUGCCUGCAUAACAGAAGGCAACAAUUUCGCCUGAGUUUUUGGUACAAAGAGAGAAGUAAGCUCAUACCUUGGAGAAAUUGGUGGGAGCGAAUGCAGUGCUUCAACUGCUCGGUAUAACUCAUCAUUUAUUUCUACAUCAAGAGUUGCUCCCAACUCAAGAUGUUUGGCCAAUGCCACUGCCAGUACAUCGUCCCCAUCCAAUUCAAAUGUGUCAUGUACAAGGGGUUCAAUAACACUCAAAGUAAAAACAGAGUUAGCCUCAUCCGGGUAUUUCAUCGCAUCAAAGAUAUUGAAAUUGACAAUUUCACCAUCAAAUUCCAUCGACAAAGUACCCUCAUUCAUAUCUAAUUUUGUCCUAACAGUGCUUAAAAAUGGUCUACCUAGAAAAAUAGGUGACGGAUUUAAUGACCUCUCAUCUCUCAUAUCUAGGACAUAGAAAUCUGUAGGAAAGACUAACUCACUGACCAGUACUAAAACAUCUUCAACUAACCCUUCUAGGUAAGCGUUGGUACGGUCUGCUAGUUGGAUUAUAAUGCUUGUGCCUUUUAAUGGCCCAAGAUUAAGGGAGGCAUAAAUUGUCUUAGGCAUAACAUUAAUUGACGCCCCCAAAUCCAAUAUCGCUUUCCUAAUUGGGGUACCUCCUAUUUUGCAGGGAAUGGUGAACAUACCUGGGUCUCCACAUUUUGGUGGGAGUUUCCUUUGGAGUAUAGCUGACACAUUUUCUCCCAUCGCUAUCCUUUCGUCAUCCCUUAGCUUCCUUUUGUGGGUGCAUAAAUCUUUCAAAAACUUGGCGUACUUCGGUAUCUGCUUGAUUGCAUCCAACAAGGAGAUGUUGAUCUCCACUUUUCGAAACACAUCCAAAAGUUCUUUUUCCUUCUCAACCUUCUUUGUUUUUUUCAACCUGCAAGGAAAAGGAGGUAAGUUAGAUUUAAUAAGGGGUGGAGGAGUGAAUGGUACCUUAGGAUCCUCGUGAAUGCGUCCUUCUUCUUCAAUUUCUUUUUCUAUCUCCUCCUUACUUUUGCUUUCGAAUUUUAGGUCUCUCCAGUUCCUUGCCACUCCUCAGUGUCAUGGCACUUACAUUUCUGAGAUUUACCUCGGGUUGCGAUGGUAAUUUUUUAUAAAUGUGGGACUCCAGGCGAUUGAUGGCAGUUGCCAUUUGGCUCAUUCGAGCCUCCAUAUCUUUCAUGUCUGCUCUGGUGUCCUACUAGAACUGAGUAGUCCUCAUGGUUAAGACUCUAGUUUCUUGCUGGAGUUGAACCAUAUUCGUGAUCAAUGAUCUGGUCUCCUGCUGGAGUUGUCUAGUCUCUUGCUGGAUCUGAGUAGUAGUUGUGGUCAGACUCUUGACAAUAUCCUCCAAAGAGCUUCUUGAGUUGGAGGUGAAGGUUGAGGCUUUGGUUACCAUAGUUGCUGAAACCCUGGUGGACGAUUUGAGAGUGAAUUUUGUGGCCUAUUCUCAUAACUGAAAUUGGAAUGGUCUCUCCAACCGGGGUUGUACGUGUUAGAGUACGGGUCAUACUGCCUACGGGAUGCGGGCACGCUUCCGGCCAUGUUCACCUAUUCCGCCCCAUCCUCUUGCAAAAGGGGACAUGUGUCCGUACAGUGGUCCAUGCUUGUGCAGAUUCUACAGACCUUCGCUCACUGCACGUUCCCCAUGGCUAAUUGCCUAACAACCGACGUCAACUCUGACAGCUGCUGCUGAAGGGAUGACGUCUCUAUCUCGUUGACCCUACGGGUGGGGUUGUUCUCACGGAAGCCAAAUUGCUGCGAAUUUUCUGCCAUUGACUCAAUAAGCUCCCAUACUUUCUUUGGCGUCUUAUUUGCCAGUGCCCUUCCACUUGUAGCGUCAAUGAUAUUCCUGUCAGUUGACUAGAGUUCUUCAUAGAAGUACUGGAUCAACAGUUGUUCACUGAUUUGAUGCUACUGGUAUCUAAUGCAUAACUGGUUGAAUCUUUCCCAAUAGUCAUACAAGGACUCCCCGGGAUGCUAUUUAAUACUGCAUAUCUCCUUUCUCAAACUUGCAACUCGAGAUGCGGGGAAGAAUUUUUCUAGAAAUUUCUUUUUCAAUUGUGCCCAUGUGGUGAUACUACCUGCAGGUAGGUAGUAUAGCCAAUCUUUUGCUGCAUCCUUGAGAGAGAAGGGGAAUGCUCUAAGUCUAAUUUGCUCCUCAGUGACCCUAGGAGAUUUCAUGCUAGAGCAAACCACUUCGAACUCCUUGACGUGUUUGUGGGGUUCUUCACCAGAGAGACCAUGGAAUGAGGGUAGGAGGUGAAUCAACCCCGAUUUCAGCUCGAAGGAGGUAUUCUCAGCCAGAGCUGGGAAUGUAAUGCACAAAGGCUGGUGAGUCAACUCCGGGGUAGCCAGCUCCCUUAAUGUUUGGGUGUUGGUCAUGCUAAAUUCGUCUUCUACUGACUCGUUUGCAGUAAAUAAUUGCCCUUCUUUUCGUCUUUUGGUCUUUUGCCUUCGCCUACGUGCUGCCUUCUCAACCUCAGGUCGUAUAUCAAUUCACCUGUGCGAGAAGAAUGGGGCAUAAACUAGCAAAAAUACCAAGAAAAAUAAAAUAAAAUAAAAUAAAACUGAAUUAAAAAAAGAAACAAAUAAUUCAAACGCCACUCCCCAGCAGCGGCGCCAAAAAUUAACAGGUGUCGAACAUGUGCAAUAAUAAUAAAUAAAACCUAACUACCACCUGAAGCAGUCAAUAAUCAAUUCUAGUACUGAAGCAAGGACUCUAAGUGUGCAAUGGGUUACUUGAUUCACCAUAUUCCCGAAGAAUUUGCUUGAUCCGAUAUAUUUGAAUUAAUUAUUUAACCGAAUUCACUAACUAGUAGAUAGUGGUAAGCAGGGUCGUCUCCUCAGGAACUAGCAAGAAAUUUGUUCCUUUUCAAGUAAAGAUCAAAGGGGGGUUUUUGGGAUUAAAUGCCAAUUAAAUAUAUAAAAUACAGAAAAUAAUUAAUUCAAAGAAAUAAUUAGAGAAACUCCAGCCAAGGGUACACUUCAGAAAUGGUUCAGACACUGAUCAUCGAUUCACAGAUAAUUCCAACAGUUAUCAAUAGACUAGUUAUAGUUGUCAUGCACGCGAUAAACAACCAACCUUUCCUUAAUUUCUCGAUAGCUAAGGUACGACCGUUAACUAUUUUUCUAACCCAAAAAUAACCCUAAGUACGACUGUAGGAUUUAAUUUCUGGCUUGCAUUAAUAAUUAGAAAGGCCCAAUCCUAACUAACAAACACGCUACGAGGGUUUGUUUAAAUUAGAUCGUAUAUCCCCCUGACAUAAACCCAAUUACGCCAGUUGCUACUAAGACAGUGAUAACGAACAAUUACGGAUUCAAUUACCCCUAUUUAGCAAAAUAGCCUAUAUGAAUAAUUAAUUAUUGCGCACUAACCAAUCAUAUACAAGGCUAUAGCAAUUAAAAGCAGGGAACAUAUAAAUAUCAAUAAAUGAAGAAAAUAAUUAAAACCGGUUUAGAUCUCACAGUAAUUGCCGAACCAAUUUGUCAGUGCCCCUUUGACUAGAAUUAGAGAAUUACCCCUCCAUUAAUGGAGGACAAACUGCGUGUGUGGAUUUGGAAAAAGUUUGCGAACCGAUUCUUCCAACUUCGGUCAACAACAGGAGGAAAAAGCAAGGGAUUUUAUUGCGUCCAAUUGUCUCCAAAAAUCCAACGUAAAAGAGAGUCUGAUGCCCUCUUCCAAUUUCGGUCAAAGCCAAUUGAAAAGCAAAGCCAAAAGAGUCAAUAAUGGCGGCUCAGUUGCUUUCUUCUCCUAAUUGCUCACAAACAUACGGGAAAGGAUUUUGCUUGAUUUUUCAAUUCGGUCAAUGUAAUUGGAAAAGCAGUUUUGCAAAGUCAACAAUUGGGGCUUGUGUCCCCUUGAUUCUUUACAGAGAUACGGCAACCCAAUUCAAAAGCAAGGGCAAAAGAACGAGAAGAAACCUAAGCUAGAUGAAAAAUUCCUUCGCUAAAAAAAAACCGACCUCUUGGAGUCUAAUACUCCCCUUCUUUUAUUCUUGGUCCCCACCGAUAUUCAAGGAGGGGAUUUUCCCUUAUCGGAAAUUGGUGUUCAAAAAUUAAAACAAGACUCCCCAACAUAAAAUAAAAUAAAGUCUAUUACAAUUUAGUUUCUUCAGCUUCUCAAGCGAACCCCACUGCUUGAAGUGCCCCACGUACGACGAAUCUUCUGUAUUUCAAUUUUAAGCACUUUUCAGCAUCAAUUCCUGCAAUUAGCACCAAAAUCAUAUUUGAGUAGAAUCCACCCAAUUAAUAAAAAUAUUUAGUCAAAUAAUUGUGCAAUAAUGCCCAAAAUACCCCACUAAAAUGCACCCUAUCACCUUGGGAAGGGGUUGAGUUGCUAUCGUUUAUGUCCAUGGUUGGGGUGGUGGAUACGGGCUUCUCGGGGUCCAACUUUACGUGGUGCAAUAAUAGACAAGGUCAGGCACGCAUUUGAAAACACUUAGAUCGGCUGCUCAGUGACCGGUAGGCAGUGGAGAUGGGUAUAAAUUUUAGGGUCCAACAUUUGAGUAGGGCUCCUUCUGAUCAUGCUCCCUUGCUACUGUCUACAGUCCCUCGAUUGGAUAAUUCCUCCAAACCAUUUCGUUUUUUAAACUAUUAGACUACGCAUGAGUCUUUCCUGAAUGUAGUUCAGCUGAACUGGCAUGUGGAGUUUGUGGGGGACCUCCUGUAUGUGUUGGCAGCUAAAUUGUGCCGAGUUAAAAAGGCUCUUAAGGCAUGGUUGAGGGAGUCUUUUGGGGAUAUUUUUUAGAAGGUGAAGAAGGCGGAGGAGGAAGUGGCACAUGCAGAAAAUUGUUUCGAUGAGGAUCCUUUAGAGCUGCACCAGAUUCGAUUAAAUGAGAGACGGGCAUUGCUAACCCAUGCGCAGGUGCAAGAAGAUAUGUUUUGGAGCCAAAAAGCCAGGGCGGCAUGGUUGAACGAUGGGGAUAAGAAUACCAGAUUCUUUCAUGCGUGUGUGUCUGAACGGAGAAGGAAGUCUGUGAUCCAUCGGAUAAGAUCGCAAUGCGGGGAGUGGCUGGAAAGGGAGGACGACAUCUCUAAGGGGACAGUAUCCUUUUUUCAACAACUGUUCUCGGAUCAAUCAGGGUUGAGCUCCAUUCCAGUGUCGGAUGUGAUUCCAAAACUGCUAUCUGAUCGGGAUAACCUUGAGUUGGAACGGCAUCCCUCUCUGGAGGAGAUUAAGGACGUGGUGUUUUCAUUGGAUCCCGACAGUGCUGCUGGUCCUGAUGGAUUUUCGAGGAGGUUUUUUACCUUUACAUGGGAGGUUGUUGGGAAAGAUGUUUUUGACGCGCUAGGUAGCUUCUUUUCUGGAUCGGAGCUGCCAAGGAGCAUAACGGCUACUUCUAUUGUCCUCAUUCCCAAGGUGGGCUUUUCUUAGGAUUUCUCGCAAUAUCGACCAAUUAGUCUGUGUACAUUUGUGAAUAAGAUUAUUUCUAAACAGCUUGCGAAGAGAUUGGCUGAUGAGAACAUGAAGAUUUGGAUUCCCUUCAAAUUCAAGGAAAUUCAAUUGAUGAUUGAUGGUGCAAUCGGGUUCAAGAAUCAUUGAAGAUUUGUCAUGCUUAUUUCUUGUUAUUUAUUUAAGUAAGUUUCUAGCAAUACUUGUUAGUUAGUCUUGAGUUAUUAAGGGAAAUAAAGGCUAAGGUCAUGUUGACCAUAGUUAAGCCAAUUAAGUCAGUUAGUUUCCUAUUCUAAUUGAAUUAGAGUUUUAGGAAAGUAGUUAAUUGCUUCCAAAUUUAUUUAGGAAGUUGUGUCAAGUCAAAUAAGGAAGCUUGUAUUGUUUCCAAUUUAGAUUAGGGUUUUGAGUCUUGUAAGGCUAUAAAUAGCCAACUUUAUUUAACUAUUCAGGCAGAUGAUAUUGAAGAUGAAUUAAAAAAAAAAAGAGUUGUCUCCUUUUAUGGAGUUUCUUGAUGGAACUUGAGUUUUUUUCUUGAACAGUAUCAAGUAUUUAGUUUGGAUACUUGUGGUGUUCAAGGCAAGAUGAUCACAUCAUCUUGUUCUUUCAAGCCAAUAACCAAUCCACUAGGUUUCUAGAGACGGAUUCUCUUUAGGUCUAACAAGAUAGUUAUUGUUCCAUGCCAAUAACCAAUCCACUAGGUUUCUAGAGACGGGUUCUCUUUAGGUCUAGUAAGGUAGUUAUUGUUUCCAUAACCUGGUCAAGAUAGAUCCUUCCGCUGCCUGAUCAACUUGGUUCUUCAAGACAGGUUCUUGCUGGGUCGAGUUCGUAUCAUUGGCGAGAUAGCCAGAACGGAUUUGUUCAGGGUCGACAACUUUCUGAUAACUUUUUGUUGACCGAAGAGCUAGUUUCCGGCAUUCGGAGGCCAAAUAGAGGAGGUAAUUUAGUCCUUAAGCUAGAUAUGGAAAAGGCCUAUGAUAGGGUAUCCUGGAAUUUUCUGAUGCAAGUGAUACGUAAAUUUGGUUUCAGAGAGAGGUGGAUUGAUAUGAUGUGGCGACUAGUGGCUAAUGUGUGGUUUUCAGUGAUUAUUAAUGGGACACCGAAGGGGUUCUUCACAUCCUCCAGGGGGCUGCGCCAAGGGGACCCCAUAUCACUAGCUCUGUUUAUUUUAGGGGCGGAGAUUUUAUCUCAGUCACUGAAUACUUUGUUGGAAGAUAGGCGGUUUGUGCUGUUCAAGGUUUCCAGAGGCUGCCCUAACAUUUCUCAUCUCGCUUACGCAGACGAUGUAAUGAUUUUCAAUAGCGAGUUGAAGAGUUCUUUAACGAUGGUCAUGAACUCUAUGGAAGCAUACUGUAAAGUGUCGGGACAACAGGUGAACCUCUAGAAAAGUUGUUUUUGGUGCAUCGAAGGCUUAAUGCAGCACAAAAGCGUAUCAUCUCUCAGGUUACGGGUUUCAAAGAGAAGUCUUUCCCAUUAAGUUUCUUGGUUGUCCGUUCUAUGUCGGAAGGGGUAAGAUGGCCUACUUCUCUAGAAUUGCAGAGUUAGUGUCCAAGCAGGUGUUUGCGUGGAGAAGUAAGUUGUUAUCUUAUGGUGGGAACUUGACUCUUAUUAAGAGUGUUCUUGCAUCUAUACCAAUUCAUAUAUUGGCUAUUGCGACUCCCACGAAGGGUUUCUUUCGAAGUCUGGAAAAGAUCUUUGGAGGAUUCCUAUGGGGUAGUUCAGACUACGGUUUACGGUUACAUUGGAUAAAAUGGAGCACCCUUUGUAAGCCGGUAGAGGAGGGUGGCAUGGGGAUACAGUUGUUAGAGUCGGUCCAUGACGCUUUUUCAAUGAAAUUAUGGUGGUCAUUCCGACAAAAUGUGUCCUUAUGGGCACGCUUCAUACAGGGGAAAUAUUUGCGUGGGGGUCAUCCUUGUGAAGCUGAACAAGUUUGGGGGCAAUCCCCCAUAUGGCGAAGGAUGGUGAUGGUCAAAGACCUAGCGGAACAGCAUAUUAGAUGGGUCUUGAGGAAUGGGGAAGUGGAUUACUGGCACGAAAUUUGGAUGGGGUCUGGGCCUGUGUGCGAUAAAGUGGAGUUUUUUGGGGUGCAUUCAGUGGCGAGUUUUGUUGUCCAAGGCUGGUGGAGUAUAAAUCUGUUACAGCAAUAGCUGCUGCGAGUCAUUGUGUCGAAAAUAUUACUUAUUCCUUCUCUUGUAUCCCGAUGGUCGGAUCACAUGGUGUGGGACUUAAGCUCAUCAGGUUCGUUUACAGUUUCUUCGGCUUAUCAGGUGGUGAGCCAACCUGCACCCAUGUCAUUCUUUUUGGCAAAUACAUGGCAUUCGCUGAUUCCUGCAAAAGUUUCCUUCUUUAUGCUUUGUUUGCUAGAGUCCCGACUACCAGUUAUAGAUAUUCUUUACCGUUUUCAAGUACAGGGUCCAUCUCACUGUUGGUGUUGUAAAGAGCCGGGGGUAGAGAGUCUAGACCAUAUAUUUUGCACUGGAGAGAUCCCAUCACUGGUUUGGCAGUCUUUUGAAGGGGUUGACGGAGGCCUCAGCCCAGCUUAUAUGGUGCGACAUGUGCUGGCGAAAUGGUGGUUACGGAUUACAACAAAAUCCACCUUGAAGCUUAUCUAUCGAAUUCUUCCUUGCCUAGUGUGUUGGCACCUAUGGAGGGCUAGGAACUCGGUGCUAUUCAAAGGCAAAAGGGUGACGGCGGAAGGUAUUCAUUGGUGUAUUCUCAGGGAGCUGGGAGAGAUUUUGUGUGGCCGAUUCCCCAGUCUUGCUUCUGGUGGUUUGUCUUGGUAUUCUCUUCUUGAUUUAGUGGCCCAGAGGGAUAAACCUAGUAGGAUUUCCAAGUAGAAAUGGAGCGGGUCGCCGUUCAUGAUCCCAAAGUUGAAUGUGAAUGGUUGCUAUUGGGACAACCCGGGAAGGGCAGGCGAGAGUGGUAUUCUAAGGGAUCCAUCGGGGCAUUUUAUUUUUGCUUUUGCUAACGUUGUUGAUGUAGCUAAAAGUUUGCAGGCAGACCUGAAGGCAGUGAUUGAGAGGGUGAGGCUUUGUGUACAACAAGGUUUUGCGGACGUGCACGUGGAGUUAGAUUCUUGGCUUGUGGUUCGAAUGUUCCAUGACGAGGUGGGGAUACCUUUGUGGCUAAUGCGUGACUUUGAGGAGCUUUUAGCUUUGCGCCAUCAUGUGUGUAUCAUGACGCAUUGUUUUCGAGAGGCAAACAAGUCUGCUGUUUGUCUUGCUAGGGUUGGCAUUACCUCGGGCAUCAACCGGGUAUUCGAGUCGUUGGAUCAACUUCCCCUAGAGGUUUGAAGUGAGGUUACUUUGGAACGCGUAGGUACCCUUCUAUUAGGAUUGAAUAGUGCUCGUCAGAAUAGUGCAAUAGCUCUUUGUACUCCGCCAUUUACGUAUAAGCAAUAAAAGGGAAUUUUUAUUUUAAAAAAAAUCAAGAAAGUUGCACAUUGAAACAAGAGGGAAAAAGAGCGCAUACCUAUAUGUAUGAUACAAUUUUACGCCUUGCUUAAGUAUUUGGACAACUUAAAUAUUGAUGAAUAGUGGAACAAAUUAAUUUACACAUUUAAUCGGAUAAUUGGAUUAGCGUAUAUGUAUUGCUUGACCAUAAAUACACAUAUACCCAUUGUUUCAUUUUUAUGUUUGUUGGUGUAUAUGUUAUUGUGUAGUUUGCUUUUCGUUUAUGGAAUCAAUGAUUGUCAUACACAAAAAUUAAAAGUAUAAUUAGUUGCAUACUGCCCUAGAAAAAUAGUAUUUUCUUUUUGUUGUAUAAAAGAUUACAAGGUAUAACACGUCAAUUUUUUUGACCUUCAAGACAAAAUUAAAGAUUUCAUAAUUCCUAAUCUAAAAAUGUAUCAAAUUAUUGAAUAACAAUUGAUACUCGAUCAUUUAGGUUGAGAAAUUUCAGUCAAAUUCAAGGGAUACUUUUCAUUUGAUUGUUUUAGGAUAUCAUAAAUGAGGAGCAUUUUGUGGCUGACAAUCGGUAUACAACUAAAAAAUUGUUGAAUAUUUAACUAAUAGUCCACAAGAAGAAGAAAAGGGAAAAGAUUUUGAAAAAGAAAAAGUGCACAAUAUGUUUAUGGGAAAAAUGUACAGACCUUCUCAAUAAAAGUAUUCCAAAAAGAUGUAUUAAAGAAAAAAAGAAAGGAAUGAAGUAUAUGUUGGAGAAAGCAAGAUAUAUGUAAAAGAUGAAAUAUUGUUUGCUAGCAUAUAUAUAAAAGUAGUUUUCAGCCAAUUCAAGUUCCAAUAUAACUUAAAAAGUAUGGUGAAUAAAUUGUUCAAAAAAACUUGGUGUAUUUAUUACGUACGGCAUUUAUUAUGCCUAAGUUAGAUGUACUAUUAUAAUCUGUAGUACUUUGGCAUGCAAUUAUAUGAGGUUGAUUUUUUUUUAUCACAAAAGUGCAAUUCUGUAAACAUCAAGGAAUGUCUCAUAUCUAACUGUGUUUUGUCUAAUUGCUAUAAUUCUUAUUAAAUUUGUUGUAUUUUACUUGAGGAGCUAUUCAGAAUCAUAUUUUUAAUUACACCAAAAUUGUAUAAAUUUACAAAAAAAAAAUCUUAUAAGUAUUACAUACCCUAAUAUAACCCAGCAAAAUUCAACUAGACCUGCCCUUCUGGCAACAUAUUUCUGCAAUCUUCUACGUUUCUGGAGCUCUCAUCUGCAAAUACCAAGUAACUUACAUUUUGUUACACUAUCUUGAUUCUAAAUGAGCAAGGGUUGUACUCGUACAAAACAUAAAUAGAAUUCGAAAAAAACUAAGUGAUAAAAGGUGAAAAUAUUGUGAAACAUUCAGUAUUAGCCCUAUAUGAAAAUUUUACUCUAUGUUCUAUACUUGAAUCACUUUUUCCAUGGUUCUUGCAAAAUAUUGACAGUAGCAUGCAAACCAAAAAAAAAAUCUGAAACUGUAAAAAAAAAAAAAAGAAGGGUUAAAUUAUGUUGUGGAACUGUGGAAAAGAAUAUUGAGUAUUCACAGAAGCAUGCAAUUCCAUGCAACUCUACUCCCACCUCAAAAAAAAAAAUGUCAUACAAGUAACAGCCACCUUUUUUUUCGGUCGCAAUACAAUUAAUUCUUCACAAGGGCUGCCAAGGUCACCUUCAACAGUAGUAUUUUGAUUGAGCUGUGGCAUUAUUGAUCUGAGUCUAUAACAAGAUAUGACCAAGUAAAAUCUAUAUUGGCCAUGUAUGACAAAUCCGAAAAUCCAACUAUAUUGCCAAACUUUUAAUGAUCAUUAUCCAUUUCCUCACACUGGGAAAAUUGUGGAUAUGUAUACAGCCCCCUAAAAGUGAAAGCAACCCUUAUUUGUUAUACUAUCCUAUGAUCCAGGAAAGGUGUCUAGUCCAAGACUUUAAUCGUAUUGGGAUAAGAGGUGGGGAAGAAUAGUGUUGAGAGGUCACCAUUAGAAAAGCCCUGUCAAUAAAGCAUAGCCCGAGAGGUCACUCCAAAAAAAAAAAAAAAAAAAAAAACUGUGAGGUUGGAGAUUUUUGUGCAGUGAAGCACCUGUUUCUUUGUCGUUGAAGGUAACUAAUGAAAUCAUGAUGUAUAAAUCAUACGUGGAAGAGAUUAAUGUGGGCUCCAAUAUUCUCUACUUCAAAAAUUUUUAUUCUAUUCCUAUAUUAGUUAAUUAGUAUCCUAAUGUACCCUUCAAAGCAAUUAGUAAUUUAGUGUUCCUACAUUAUGUUGCUUGACAAGUCGACUCUAGGUAGAACAACUUUUGCUCAUACGGACUUCUCGAAUGAAUUAUUAAAUCAGCUAAGAUACAUCGAAAUGUACUUUAAUUCAAUUUUUUUUUCUUUUGUUGCUAAAUGGAUCAUCGUUUUAUUUCUUCUUUUUUACAUGACAGUGAAGUGUUCCUCUAUUUUUUUUUUCUUUCCAUAUCAGUUUCACGUACAAAAAAAAAACACAAUCCAAAAAGAAUAUGUAAAUAACGGAAAUAGUUGGGCAAAUUCAAAGUGCUUUCAAUACAAGUAUUGAAUUCUUACUAGUUGAGCCACAAUACCUUGGUAGAGAUUUAUUUGUGUGACUUAUCUCCUACAUCAGAAAUUUUGCAAAGCUUCUUGUCCUUUGGAGGCCAUAAAUAUAGAAGGUUUUAGCAAGAUUGAGUAGACAAAACCCCGAGAUAGGCUAGUUGGGGCUUUGGAUCAUAGAGCCUUCUGUAUUUCUUUGCGCUUUCUUUUUGUCUUGUGCUUCCUUGUAUUAGUGCUUAUAUGUCUAAAAUUACUUUUCUGUAAUUUUAUCUGUAAUUUUACUUUUAAUAGUUUCUAUGAAAUUUAUCCUAAACUUCAUAAAAUAUUCUAAUUUUAAUGUUAUUUUUUUUAUUGUUUUACAUAUUUAUGCCUGACAUAAUUCACCCCUUCAAAAGUAACAAUUCAGUAACCAAAGGAAUGGAAGGAAGCCAAAGAAGAAGAAGAAGAAAAUAUGAAGAAUUUUUCAAUAUUUACAAGUUGAUCGACAAGUUAUUCUUAAAAGGUAUUUAUCAUGUUGAAGUGUUUUUGUGCGUGUGUCCAAAUGAAAUUAGUUAUUUACUCAAAAUUUUCAAUUAUUAGAAUAACAGGGUGGGGAAACAAAUGAAGACGAAAUGAUUUUAGAGAAUUUUUUUUCUAAUUUUUCCCAGUAAGGAAUGAGUGGAUUUAAGGAGCGAAGAGAUGAUAGGAGAAUUAAAAUUCAGGACCUCUAAUUUUUGGGAUCUCAACUUCAGCCAUUAAACUAAAGAACUACCAUUAUGUGAAAACCACCAUCUUCAUCAUGAGUCAUGAAGUAGACAUUAAUUCUUUUGCUAUCAAUCAACAUUUGAAAUUGAUCAUCAUCUUUAUACACCCUUAGUUACUAGUAUUAUCUACAAAGAAAUAUGAAUAAAUUACAUUUUACCCUUCUGUAGUUUGGCACUUUACCACAUAAUCCACUUACGAUUUUAAAAUUUAUAUAUAACCCCCGCAUGAUCGAGAAUAUAAGUGUACACAUAUACACUACUCUUAAACCUUUUUUAAGUGUAAAAUAUGUUAUUCAUGUCCAAACACUAGAAUUCAAUUCACUGGCCAAAAGUCAAUUGAACUUUUGUUUUCAGUUCCUUUUUUUUCAAGCUUUAAUUUCAGAUAGACAUGACUGUAUUUCUAAGUUUUGAUGCAAGAUAUCAUUCAUUUUGGUCUAUUUGUUUUGGUUGACUAAAAAUAAUUCUUGAUCAUGGGGGGAUUAUUUAUAAGUUUCUAACUUUUAAUCGCAGUCACAAUUGCAAGUAAUCUCAAUCGCAGUCACAUUUGCAGCGGUUGCUGUAGAAUCCAUUACUCACAUGGGCUGCCGACAUCUCUUCGGCCAGCCUCGUUUAAUUUCAGCUGUAGCAUUCAGUCCUCUGGGUCUACAUAGCCAAGUAAACCUUCACUAUGGCUACCUAUUACAAAUCCAAAUAUCUCUAUCAGCAUUCCCAAACUUUUGAUCAUUAUAGAUUUCCACACACUAGGAAAAUAGUGAAAUUGUAUACAGGUGACUAAAAGUGAAAGCAACCCUUUACCCGUCUUAGUGGAAAAUACAUUUAAUUAUUAUAAUAUAUUUAGGCUAUCAUUCUGGUGAUUAUAUACACGUAUACAUAUACAUACAUACAUACUCUGGUCGAAGACUUUCGCCUUUAGAGAUAAUUAGAAAGAACAAGAAAAUUAUUUAGAGGCAUAAGCGUAGAGCUGGAAAAUGUUCAUACUACUUUUUGUAAGAUUCAACAUGCAAAGUUUUAUGGCUGUUUACUCAUGAAUAAUUUUUUUUGUGCAAUAUUUAUCCAUUAAAUUAUGUUAUUACUUGCUGCUUGAAGUUGAAUGUUGAAUUUUCUAAUCAGUUAAUCCAAUUGGCAUUCUUGAAAUUUAUGACAUACGGCUUAAUUUGUUUCCACUUAGUUUCCUAGUACACUAUUUCAAACUAGAUUAAUAGCUUGACCUCAUUUAUUUGCACUUUAUUUUAGUACCCAUUCUCAAUUUUCACCAUAAAGCUUAUAUAGUAUUUGUCUAGUCAUAAGCACUUGUUGAAUUCUAAUCAUUGUGGUCGGGCACAUAAUUUUUUAGAAACAAAAAAUAUCAAGUGAAAACCAUAGUUAUUAAACCCGGUCCGAAGAGGAACCUGGCGAAAGAGGUGGGUGAACGGGUUACUGGUUUAACUAGUGGGUGAGUGGUUCAACCGGUGGAUCACUAAAUAUAUUUAAAUAUUAUGUUUCACAAUUUUUGAUAUGGUUAAAACUAUAAUAAAUUAUGCCAUAGUAAAUGCUCAAUUAGUCUAAUUUAUUAUAGAAUCAUUAAUUCUUGUAAGAAUUAACAAAACCUAAAUUCAAUUAGUAAUUCAUCAAAUUUCAAGUAUAAAAUUUUAUCUUUGUGUAAUUAUCUAGUUUAUUUAUGAAUUUUAAGUGCAAAAGAUUAUUUAUGAAUUGUAUGAUAUGUUAUUUUUUAAAUACAUUUCAUAAUUGAUAGAGUUUGGGGAAUAAUAAAAUUUAUUAAAGAUUCCAAAUGAAUUGUGUUUUGAAGAAAUAAAAUAAGAAUAAAAGUCUAAUAUAUAAUAUAAGAAAGACUAAACAAUCAACAAAUGAGCUGUUGGUAUAGUGGUGAUUUCAUUGACUAAUAUACAUAAGGUUGUUCGAACCAUUGCUUUAGCAUCUUUCAAAAAUUUUUAACAUGUAAACCGGGUUCCCUACAAAACCGGACGGUUCAUCGGGUUGAUCGGUUGAACUGUCCGGUUGAAUGGUCCGGUCUGUUGACAAGUCAACGGUUCACUUGCAGAAACGAUCCAAUUAAUAACCCAGCCCAGCUUAAUGACCGGUUCAUCAGGUUGACCGGUCGAACCAUCGGGCCGGACCGAGUUCAAUAACUAUGGUUAAAACAAUUAAAAUAGGAUAAUCAGCUAACAACAACAGAUAUGCCUACAAUUUGCAACUCUUUUAAUUUUAUAUUAUGUUAUGUGAAUCGAAAGUGCUUUGUCAGUUUCCAGACAUUAAACAUAACUCAAAAACUUCUUUAUUACAUCAUGCAUAUUAAAAUUGUUAACAGGAUAUUUUUUUACUAUGACAUGAAAAAUAAGAUAAAUAUAUGCUUUCAAGCAUAUAAGAUAUGUCAAACAUUUCCAUAUGCAGCUUUUAAACACAAAAAAUUCUUCAUACAAAAGCAUCUUAGGCUAUAAUUGUAUUUAAUUUGUAACAAAUUCAAAAUUGAGCUAUAGCACUUUUCAAACCUUACUGUCUACGCCAAGAUGACGAACUCAAUCAUAGUAUGUUUUCGUAUUAAUUUACUAUUAUGGCUAAACUUAGGCAUUGUUUGGAUUGAAAGAAUGAAGGGAAAGGAAAUGAAAGACACCAAUAAAAAGGAAAGGAAAGGAGAGUAGAAGAAAACUAUUUCUAUCUAUUUUGUUUGGAUUGAACAUGGAACCAAAAAAAAAAAAAAAAUGCCAAAUUUUUGUUUGAAUUGAUGGGGAAAAAAAGAAAAGAUCAAGUGUUAGUUAACUAAAAAUGAUGAAAAGAAUAAUCUUUUAACAAAAUUUAAAUUAUUUUAUGAAAUUUGAUUUUCUACCUCUCCAUUUUUACCCACAUUUAAAUGAAAACUAUAACUUGACAAAAUAAUUAGAUAAUUUUCCUCCCUUUUGACAGUGUCGAGCCUGUACAAUAAUAAAUACCUGCUCAAAUAAAGUAUAAAUUUUGUAUACAGUAGUAAGCAGGGUCGAAUCCACAGAGAUUGGAGAUAAUUCGUUCCUUUUCAAGUUAGGAAAAUUUAUGGGGAUUUUGGAAAAUUAAGAGACUAAAAGAAAGUGAUAUAUCAAAGCAAUAAAAAUACGAGAAAUAAGUAAUGGAAAAAGCUCUAGCCAAAGAUACACCUCAGAAGUGGUUCAGGCAACUGAUCAUUGAUUCAAAUAUAAUUCCAAUAUUCAUUAAUAAAUAGGUUUUUAAUUGCCAAUACGAUUUGACAAUCAGUUUCUCCAUACUGUUUCGAUAGUCAAGGUAUGACCAUUGACUAUUUCUCUAAUUCAGAAAUAACCCUAGGUACGACCAUAGAAUUUAAUUUCCUAAUUACAUUAAAAAUUAGAGAAUCCCUGUUCUAAUUAAUAAACACGUUACGAGGGUUUAUUUAAAUUAGCCUAUAUGUUUCCCUAACACAAAUCCAAUUAUGUCAAUUGCUAUCGGGAUGAGAGUAAUCAAACAAUUAUGAAUUCAACCAUCCCAAUUAGCAAAUAGAUUACGUAAAUAAUUAAAUAUCGCGCAACUAUUCAAUCAUAUACAAUUAUCAUAGCCACGAAAAGUAGAAAACAUACAAAUAUCAACGAAUGAAAGAAGCAAUUAAAAUAAUUUAGAUCUCACAGUUAUUGUUGAAUCAAAUCUUCAGUUGUUCCUUGACUAGAAGAAGGAAAUUUAGCUACUCUUUAUUGAAAAUAACCCACGUAAUUUCAUUGACAAAAGUUGUGCGAGCCUUCAACAAUGGAAAAAUAAUGAAAAGAAAAUGAAAGGAAGGAAAACAAAAGGAAGGAACGACGCUUUUCUUUUGCCUUCCAGGCCUGCCGCCCAGUCUUUUUGCUUCCUUCAAGUAUUAAUCAUGCAGGAUGCCGGCCUUUUCUCUUCCUAUUUUCUAGUUUUCUAAGGAAAACAAACUCCUAAUUGAAAAAGGAAACAUUCUAAAGAGAUAAUACUUAAUUGUUUCCUAAUUCAACUCUACAACUAACAAAGAUAAUUAAAGUCUUCCAAAUUCACCAAAGAUGUCCAUAUUUGACUCGAACUAGGAAAUCUCCAUGCGCGAUAAAUUCUCGAGUCUUCUGGACUUGAAUAUAGGUCUCGAACGUACCACCACCAAAUUAGCUGAAAAUUGCCCCUUUUAAUCAUGUUUUGGUUAUUUUCCUACAAUUAGCACUAUUAACCAAAUAUAAGUAGAAUCUAUGAAUUAAAACAAUAUUUGGUAAAGUAAAAGAGGAAAAUAAUUAUAAAAUUGAUGAUAAAAAUGUAACCUAUAAAUUUCCCCCAUACCUAAACCAUGCUUGUCCUCAAGCAUGAGAACAACAAAUCAAGCAAUCAAAAUCAAACAAUGACUAUUGCUCAAAUCUUCUAUUGUCAAGAUACAAUUAAAAUACAUGUCAGGUAUUGGUGGUUAAUCUCUGAGAAAUAUCUCUCUAGUUAGAUUUCAAGAUCAAAAACUUUUUCAAUUUAUGACUAACUAAUCCAAGAAUAUAAAAUAUUCAACCAGCAUUUUUUAACAAACGAUUCAACUAUUAAGCAAAAUCUUGACAUUAAAAUUUAUGGAUCAGCAGGCUAACAAUUCAUUCAAACACUUUCACAUUUUUCACUAUUAGCACAUAUUUUUUUCUUUUCUAGAAUAUCCCAACACUUGAGUUUUUUUUUUUAGGGGGAAUGCUUUGUCUUUAGUCAUUUAAUCGUUUUGAUGCGAAUUCCGAUAUUUGUCAAAUAAAAGAGUCCGGUUACUUAGCUCUCAUUAUUUAAAAACCACAUACUCAUAGUUAUCGUCGUUUUUUGACGCGAAAAUCAACACUUUUGGUGAAGACCUCCGGUUACUAGGCAACGAUACUAGCGGAGUAUAGCCAAAUACUGUUCAUAAAUAAGCAUCAAAUUAAAAUUAAAGAUCACACAAACCCGCUUCAUUUCUUAAACAUGGAGAAUUAAGAUUAAUAGUUAACUAAUUUGCACAAAAAAAUACUAGAUAAAUAUUUACAAUACUUAGAGAAGUUAACCAAAAAGUACAAAAGUCAUAAAAUCUCAAAUAUUUGCCAAAAAGAUACCUUUAGAUUUAACCAUGUCAUACUUAACACCUUAGAGUAUAAAAUCUUAGCAAUAGAAAAAUUUGAAACAUCUAACCAUCGUUUAUCAGGAACAACCACAAAUAUGCACAAAGAUAGGCAAAAAUUGAAUAAAAUUCUAAAAAAAUCGAACAAAAAAUUCUAACAAAAAUGCCUAUGUUGCACUUUUUCAAUAUACUACUCCCCCCACACCUAAAUAUUACAUUGUCCUCAAUGUAAAGGAUAAAGAAUCAAAAGGUGAAAUAAAAAGGACAGCAAAACUUCCCUGAGAAUUGAGGGGGUUCAUGGACAGUUAAAGGUGAUGGGCAAAUGACUGUGGAGCUUGACGUAUGUUGAUGGUUGGUGGCGGUGGAGUUCAGAUGGAAAGAAUGGAAGAAAGAAAGAAAGAAGAAAGAAAAAGAAAAGAGAAAGAAAGAAAGAAAAAGAAAAGGAAAAAGGAAGAGAAAAGGAAGAGAAAAGAAAGGGAAAAAAAUUAUUUUUUUGGACCACUGCGUUAGACAUGAGCACGCCUAACUGCCUUUAAGUCUUCUGACCAACCCUCGAAAAUUAAGUUCCUUAAGCGUGACCAUAUGACGUGGGCACGCCUAACUAUUAGAGAGUCUUCUGCCCGCAAACGAAAAUUGCCUCUCUUAGGCAUGCCUAAUUGGCGUGGGCAUGCUUAACUGUCCUCGAGUCUUUUGAUGGUGGAGUUUAUUUGUGCAUUUACCACUUGCCCUUUAGACACGGGCGCAUCAUGUCGGGAGGAAGUCUGCUAAUCAUUAACAACAAAAAAUUAAACCACCAAAUAUGAAAAAUCUGAGAGAAACAUAUUGAAACACAUAAAAAAAACAUUUAACAAACAACUAAAAAAUGGAUUGGGUUGUCUCCCAAUAAGCGCCUUUCUUUAAUAUUUUUGACUAGACAUUACCAUGUUUAUUCACGGAGGAUAAAAUCGUGUAACUCGUUUCAGUGCUUCAUCUUCUAUGUAAGCCUGAUAACCCUCAUAAAUCGAGUAACCAUUGUGCACAUGAGGUAAGGUCUUCCAUGGACUAGUAGAUGACGCCAAACAAAUCAACAAUAAUUUUAAUUCUUCACUCACUUCUCUAUCACGAGCACUUAUUGGUUCGAGAUAUUUUGCCAUCGCAACUCUUAACUUAUUCCUGUCAUGAAAUUCAAAAUCUUCUGGUAUAAUAAAGUCUAUCUCACUAACAGGAAUUAAAGAAUAAGAGUCAGGAGAAUAUUGAUUAAGGAAUGGAGGAGAUGUCACUGCAUUUAGAGAUUGUUCAUUGGAUUCAUUCACUUGAACGAUUUGAUGUCACUGCAUUUAGAGGUUGUCGAAGCCUGUGCAAUAAUAAAUACCUGCUCAAACUAAAAGUAAUUUCUGUAGACAGUGGUGAGCAGGGUCGAAUCCACAGGGACUGGGAGUAAUUGUUUCUUUUCAAAUUCACAGUGACAAUGGGGUGUUUUUAUGCAGAAGGUGACAAUAAAAGAAGUUCAAAUAAAAUCUAAGAAACUACUAAAAAUUAAUUAACAAAUUACUAAAAUCGAAUGAAUGAUAAUUAAGGAUCUAGCCAAGGAAUAACUUCAGCAAUGGUUCACCUAAUUGAUCAUCGAUAAGCAAAGGCAAUCCCAAUUAUUUACUAAUAAAUAGGUUAUAACUGCCAAACAAGCGAUGACAGUCAACCCCUCCUUACUGUGUCGAUGAUUAAGGUACGCCCGUUAAUCACUGCUCUAAUUGAGAAAUAAUUCUAGGUACGCCCGUAGAAUUUAAUUCCCCAAUUGCCUUACGUAUUAGAGGAGCCCUAUUCUAAUCAAAUAACGCACUAUCAGGGUUAUUUUAGAUUAGCCCGCGUAUUCCCCUGACACAAACCUAAUCAUGCCAGUUGUCACUAUUUUAGAGCAAUUAAACAAUUACGGAUUUAAUGCCCUAAUUGACAAUAGAUUACCAAAUCAAUUAAUUAUCCGGAUCCAAGACAACCAAUUAAUUAAAUAACCAUAAGCUUAGCAAUCAGGAAAUAUGCGAAUACCAACAAAUAAAAGGGAAAGAUUAAAUUAAAUCGAUCUCACAAUUUUUAGGUAACCCAAAGCAUCCGUCGUUUCCUGACUAGAAUGAGGAGAUUAGUUCAUAUUUGAUGAACAAAAUCCACACAAAAUUGAAACAAGAGUCGCGGCCAUCAACUCCGAAAUUGGGAAAUGCAAUUCACUCGAAGGAAUAAAGCAAAGUAAAGUAACAAUGGAUGAUUUAGUCUUCAGUGCUCCUGACUCACGUAGGAGGUAGCCACAAAAGAUUCCAAGGAAAAGUCAAAAGCUCUCCACUACAAGACGAAGGAGACCAAACGGUCAAAGGAAAAGCUAAACUAUAAAAAUGGAAAAACUAAGAGGGAAGCCAGCUCCCUGCUGUGCGGCGGCUCUGUGCGGCGCCCUCCCUUGCGGAGAGGACUCCGGAGGAAUAAGAAGCUCUCCACUUCAGCUCUGCGUUCCUCCUUUUAAUGCUGCCAUCUGCGAAUUACCAAAAAAGACUUGUAUCUCCUUAUUCCAGAAAUGCCCUCGAUUGCCUGCUAUGUGAACUCUUUCUCGAUAACUGUCAAAUUGGCCUUUAUUGUGACAUUUUUGUUCUACUCCCUGAAAUAAAUGUAAAUUACGAAAAGUGAGUAGAAUCUAAUAAUUAAUUCACAUUGGGUUAAGUAAUAGGAAAAAUUAAUAAUAAAAUUAACUAUCAAAUUGCAACCUAUCAAUUUCCCCCACACCUAAACCAUGCUUGUCCUCAAGCAUAAGAAAAGUAAACAAGCACCAAUAUUUGAUAAUGGUCAUUGCUCUAUCCAACAAAUUGCCAAGGUACCAAGAAAAAUAAUAAUCAAGAAUCAAUGGUCAAGUCCAAGAAACAUCACUCCGGUUAGCUUCUAAACCACAAACUCCUCUAAUUUUAGGUUAACUAAUCUAAGAAAAAGGAAUGACGCAUAACAUUUAUCAGUAAAUGGUCCAACUAUUAACCAAAAUCUUCAACAUUAAAUCCAUAAUUCGGCAAGCUGACGUUUAUUACACACUAACACAACCUUCACUUGUUUUUUCUACUUUUUUUUUUUGUUUUUUUUUGUUUUUCAAUAGUAACAAAAGACUUAGUCGCUAGCCAUUUGAGCCUUUUGACGCGAACUCCAACAUUGGCCAGAUGAAGGAGCCCGGUUACUCAGCUUCUAUCGCCGCGUGACCACGUACUCAUAGCAAUUACUACUUUUUGACGCGAGAAUCGACACUUUUAGGUGCAGAUCCCCGGUUACUCAGUAGUAACUAAUAGCGGAGUACAGUCAAGUUUAUGCAUAGCUAAAAAUCACAAAAAGUCAAUAUAACACAAGAACCAAAAGAAAACUUGCAUCAGCUAGCCUCAUUUUCAAACAUGGAGAACUAAAGUUAAUAACCGGACCAAUUCACUAAAAAUGCCAACAAUCAUUCCCUAUGCCUAAGAAAGUUAACCAAAAAUUAUAAGAGUAAAACAAUUAUUGAUAUUCACCAAAGAGAUGUUCUUGAAUUCAACCACAUUAACUUGAUACCCUUUUAUUAUUAAAAUUGGCAAUAGUAGAAACAGAGACAAUAAUCCAACAUCAAACCUUGGCAUGCACUUACGAGCCAAUCACUAAAAAGAAAAAAAAAAUGAACGAGAGGUGGACAAAUAACAAACUAAAAAUAAAGAACUAGUAUAGCUGUCCCCCCCACACCUAGAUCCUACAUUGUCCUCAAUGGAGGGAUUAAAGCAAUUAAAGCGAAGAGGGCAACGAAACUUCCCUCACGAGUGGCCAAAGGAUAGGAGGGAACAGUGGAAGGAAGCCGAGCUCUGAGACAUCCUUGCCACUUGGCGGGUGAUGUUCGUCAUUCGUUCAUCUACGUUGUGAACCUGUGCUUGUAAGUGGCGCCACUCACCAUUGACGCCAAUUAUCACCCCAAGCAACAAAAGACAGAAUAUCCAACAAAGAUAGCAAUCACCAACGCACAUUCAUAGUCACCGGUGUUCCCCAACUCAACAAUUAAAAGCAAACACGGGCCACCCAAGCCCAAAUAUGGUCAACAAAGCAACAGUUGCACUCCAAAACUAACAACCAGCAAUUAUUAUCAACAACUAGAAACUAGCAAGGUCACGUCAAUAAGCACAGGGGCUACCCAAAUCAGUCAGUCAACAAGCAAACUCGGGCCAUCCAUACUCUCAACAAAUGCAUUCUAAAAUUUCAACAAAUAUCUCCAGAAAUUUCAACAAAUGCUAUAGCAGAUCAAAGCAGUAGUAAAGCAAUAGCCCCAAGUAUGUACUAAUCCACCAGUUGGGAACCCCGGCCACUGAGGUCACAAACAAUGGUCCCAAAAUAGCAAUAUUAACCAAUCACCAGGAUGUCUUCCAUAAUUAAUAAAUGCUACCAAUCUCACAAGUAAAACAAGCGGCCAGAUAUUCCAAUUCAACAUGCAAAAGCAGAAUCAAAUCGCCCAAAUGUCACUAGACAGUUGCAGUAUUUCAGCUCACCCAAAAUCCCAACAAAUGGCUCCAGUUGGCCAAUAAAAGUCGCAACUCAAAAUUAUUAAUUUCAAUGAUAACAGCUCAGGGAUUGGACAAUGAUCACUUGGUCAACUAAAUAGAAGUAUGCAAUUGAGGUCCAAUUACCUCACCAGUACCACUGGUGUAGUAAACUUUGGAAAAGAAAUCACACACUACCACUAGCCGGCCACCGAUAAACCAAAAUAACAACUAUCAAUGCCAACAAUUGAGAAUUUCAACAAUCAAAACACAGGCAGAGCUGCCGUCCUAAUUAGCAAAAGAAAAUUUCACAACACCAGCCCACCCAAUGUAGUCAAAUCGUAACAAGGGCCCCAAUAAUAUGGCAUACCAGUGACAGCAUUUCAGAAAUUAAACAAUUACAACCCAAUCACAAAACCUCAGCAGUUAACCAGGUGGCCAACCGAAUGAAAUGAAGAAAUUAGGGGGGGCAACUUCCAAUUACCUCCACCGUAGGUAGUAGCCAGACGAAAUGGGACAGUAGUGGGUGUCAGUUGUGCCGGAAUCGCGUGAGGGGUUGCGGCGGUGUCGAUGAAAACAGCGGCGGUCAACGGUGGAGCAGGAGCGAGCGGCGCGCUAUGGAGGUGAAGAUGGCGGUGGAGCGCGCAAGGUGGGCCGCGACUGGCGACGGAGAGCCGCGCUCUGGUGGAGCGCUGGGGUCGCGGGCGGCGGCUGGUUGCGGACAGUGGAGGCGAUGUGGUGGACGGCACUGUCUGGCGGGCGGCGAUGGGGGCUGGUGGAGGUCCGCUGAGUGGCGGCGGUGGACCAGAGAGAAGAGAGAUGGGAGAGCUGCGGCGGUAGGCUGCUGCGUGAUGGGGGUUGCGGCGCAAGUGGGCGGCGGGCAACAGAGAGGGAGCAAGGGAGGAAGAAAGAAGAAAGAAGAAAGAAGAAGAAGAAAGAAAGAAAAAAAAAAGAAAGAAAGAAAGAAAAGAAGGAAAAGAAAAAUUUUUUUUCUACGGAAAUCAAAUUUUUUUUUGAAUUUUGGAAACUAAAGCUACGUUGAUAAGAAAAAUUUUCUUUGUUCUUUGUUCUUUUUUUUUUUUUUUUUUUUUUUAAUCCUUACCUUUCCCGCGAACGUGACGCGGGCACGUCAAGAGGGCAGGAGAGCUCCUCAAAUUUUUUUUUGAAUUUUGGAAACUAAAGCUACGUUGAUAAGAAAAAUUUUCUUUUUUUUUUUUUUUUUUUUUUUUUUUUUUUUUUGAAUCCUUACCUUUCCCGCGAACGUGACGCGGGCACGUCAAGAGGGCAGGAGAGCUCCCAGAAGUUUCAGAAAUUUCUGAUCGUGAGCUUCCUGCACGUCCCCACGCGGGCACGUCAAGAGGGCAGGAGAGCUCCCAGAAGUUUCAGAAAUUUCUGAUCGUGAGCUCCCUGCACAUCACCACGCGGGCGCGUCAUGACUGAAGGGCACCUAUAAAUCAGCAAAAACGAAAAUUAACACCCAAAAUCAGUCAAAUUCAAGGAAAGCAGAUUUAAGCUAUGACACGAAACCAAUCAAGCAAUUAAAAGAAACAAUUGGGUUGCCUCCCAAUGAGCGCCUUUCUUUAAUGUCUUUGGCUAGACAUUAUCAUGUUUUGCUCAUGGCGGAUAAAAUCUUGUAGCUCGUCUUAAUGCUUCAUCCUCUAUAUAGUCCUGAUAACCCUCGUAGAUGGAGUAAUUCUUGGGCACACGAGUUACGGGCUUCCAUGGACUAAUAAAUGGCGCUAAACAAGUCAACAAUGAUCUGCAUUCUCCACUCACUCCUCCAUCACACGCAUUCAUUGGUUCAAGAUAUUUUGCCAUCUCCACUCUUAACUUAUUCCUGUCAUGAAAUUUUAAAUUUUCUGGUAUAAUAAAAUCAAUUUCAGUAACAGGAGUUGAAGAAUAGGAGUCAGGAAAAUAUUGAUUAAGGAGUGGAGAAGAUGUCACCGCAUUUGGAGAUUGUUCACUGGAAUCGUUCACUUGAAUGAGUUGAUCCUGGAGUCUCAUUUCUUGCACUUCAGCUUCCUUUUCAACUGCAUCUUUAAAUCCGUUUUCUUGAAACUCUUGCAGUUCCAUGUCAUUUGGCCGGACAAUUGCACUCUCAUCUUCUUCUAGAUCAACAAUGGUUUCCGAGGGCAAUUCUUCCCUUUGAGAAGCCAAUCGAUUCACUCUGGAUGUCAAUAGACAUAGUUGAUCUGCCAGAUAAUUCAUUGCAUCCUUCAUCAUCUCAUCCUCCAUUUGUGUCUCCUGUUGGAAUUGGUAUGUAUUAGUAGCUAUUGGUUCAACUAUUUCUUCAGGAUACAUACCUGACAUAGAUGACGAUUCUUGAGACUCAUACUGCUGAAAAUUCAUUGGCCCCGUUGAAUAAUUAUAAUUGGAGUUUUCCCACCAUCCUUGAUCAUACCCGUAUGGAUUAGGGUCAUACCACGUUUGAGACCAGGGUGAAAAAUCUCCGUAAUUAUUGAAUGGGACACUCUGAUUAUCUUGAUAUUCGGGGCACAUACCUGUUGAAUGAUCCCUGGCAUAACAAAUUUUACAGGUUGCAGCAGCCAUUCUUUUUCUAAUAGAGUUUACUGCCUCUGCAUAUGCAGACUCAGCAAUAAAACUAGUCACAUCGCAUUUUCCGGAAAGAAAAUCCAGUAUUUCACCAAAAUACGAAGUGUUAGAAGCCAUAAAAAAAAUAAGAGAAAAAAAUGAAUUAAAAAUGAAAACAAGGUGAACUCAAAAAGAAACAAAUUAAUCUGACACCAGUCCCCGGCAACGGCGCCAAAAAUUGACAGGUUGUCGAAGCCUGUGCAAUAAUAAAUACCUGCUCAAACUAAAAGUAAUUUCUGUAGACAGUGGUGAGCAGGGUCGAAUCCACAGGGACUGGGAGUAAUUGUUUCUUUUCAAAUUCACAGUGACAAUGGGGUGUUUUUAUGCAGAAGGUGACAAUAAAAGAAGUUCAAAUAAAAUCUAAGAAACUACUAAAAAUUAAUUAACAAAUUACUAAAAUCGAAUGAAUGAUAAUUAAGGAUCUAGCCAAGGAAUAACUUCAGCAAUGGUUCACCUAAUUGAUCAUCGAUAAGCAAAGGCAAUCCCAAUUAUUUACUAAUAAAUAGGUUAUAACUGCCAAACAAGCGAUGACAGUCAACCCCUCCUUACUGUGUCGAUGAUUAAGGUACGCCCGUUAAUCACUGCUCUAAUUGAGAAAUAAUUCUAGGUACGCCCGUAGAAUUUAAUUCCCCAAUUGCCUUACGUAUUAGAGGAGCCCUAUUCUAAUCAAAUAACGCACUAUCAGGGUUAUUUUAGAUUAGCCCGCGUAUUCCCCUGACACAAACCUAAUCAUGCCAGUUGUCACUAUUUUAGAGCAAUUAAACAAUUACGGAUUUAAUGCCCUAAUUGACAAUAGAUUACCAAAUCAAUUAAUUAUCCGGAUCCAAGACAACCAAUUAAUUAAAUAACCAUAAGCUUAGCAAUCAGGAAAUAUGCGAAUACCAACAAAUAAAAGGGAAAGAUUAAAUUAAAUCGAUCUCACAAUUUUUAGGUAACCCAAAGCAUCCGUCGUUUCCUGACUAGAAUGAGGAGAUUAGUUCAUAUUUGAUGAACAAAAUCCACACAAAAUUGAAACAAGAGUCGCGGCCAUCAACUCCGAAAUUGGGAAAUGCAAUUCACUCGAAGGAAUAAAGCAAAGUAAAGUAACAAUGGAUGAUUUAGUCUUCAGUGCUCCUGACUCACGUAGGAGGUAGCCACAAAAGAUUCCAAGGAAAAGUCAAAAGCUCUCCACUACAAGACGAAGGAGACCAAACGGUCAAAGGAAAAGCUAAACUAUAAAAAUGGAAAAACUAAGAGGGAAGCCAGCUCCCUGCUGUGCGGCGGCUCUGUGCGGCGCCCUCCCUUGCGGAGAGGACUCCGGAGGAAUAAGAAGCUCUCCACUUCAGCCCUGCGUUCCUCCUUUUAAUGCUGCCAUCUGCGAAUUACCAAAAAAGACUUGUAUCUCCUUAUUCCAGAAAUGCCCUCGAUUGCCUGCUAUGUGAACUCUUUCUCGAUAACUGUCAAAUUGGCCUUUAUUGUGACAUUUUUGUUCUACUCCCUGAAAUAAAUGUAAAUUACGAAAAGUGAGUAGAAUCUAAUAAUUAAUUCACAUUGGGUUAAGUAAUAGGAAAAAUUAAUAAUAAAAUUAACUAUCAAAUUGCAACCUAUGCUCAUUGCUGAUGAACAAAGCCCACAAGAAAUUGUAAAGAGAGCCGCGGCCAUUGUCACGGAUAUUUGGAGAAUUCAAUUCGCAAGAACUAAAGGGGAAGAAAAGUCAAAGCUAUUCCUAUUUGCUCCUGACAUGCGCAGGGAAGUCCUAAUCAAAAGCUUCAAAAGGAAAAUCGCAAGCUAAGCUCCUCAGCAAUCUUCAUACGUAAGAAAGAAACUAGCUAACAAGAACUAAGAAAAAAGUCAACAACUGCGGCUAAGCUACAAGACGGAAAGCUCUCCAAUGUGCGGCGGCUCCCCUUCCGGAGAGGAAGAAGAAGACCCCCACUUCAGCCCUUCGUUCCCCCUUUUAAUGCUGCCAUCUGCGAAUUACCAAAAAAGACUUGUAUCUCCUUAUUCCAGAAAUGCCCUCGAUUGCCUGCUAUGUGAACUCUUUCUCGAUAACUGUCAAAUUGGCCUUUAUUGUGACAUUUUUGUUCUACUCCCUGAAAUAAAUGUAAAUUACGAAAAGUGAGUAGAAUCUAAUAAUUAAUUCACAUUGGGUUAAGUAAUAGGAAAAAUUAACUAUCAAAUUAACUAUCAAAUUGCAACCUAUCAAAGCAAAUCAACACAAACAGAGAAAGAGUACAACAGAAACAAGAAGGCAAUUUGGAAAUGAACAAAUGGAACAAAUAGAUGUUGAGACUGUAAUUCUGAAGCUUGCAGUCCAACACUAGAAGGAAGCCAAAUCUUUUGGUAUUGGCAUCACAGCACUGAAUGCUGCAAACCAAGGGAUGGCAGCUUGGUCAUUAAGAGAGAGACUGACAAGAAACAAAGACCAAGACAUGGCAGAGGCAGUGAGAUUAUACAUGAUCAAGGCAGCAGGGAAAGGAUGGGAGAAAAUCAAUAUACGGUUUGUGAUACGUUGCAAUUUUAUCAUUUAUUUUAUUAUUAAUUUCCCCUAUUACCUGACUUGAUAUGGAUUAAUUGUUAGAUUCUACUCACUUUUGGCAAUUUGCAUUUAUUUCAGGGAUUUGAUCGAAAACACCAUAACAAGUGCCAAUUUAGCAAUCAUCAGGAAAGAGCUCGAGUAGCAGGCAUCCAGGGGCAUUUUUGGAACAAGAAGACACGACCUUUUUUUAUAAAUUACGGAAGACAGCAUAAAAGAGGAAAAGGAACGAAGGGCUGGAACUUCUUCUUCCUCUCGCGGGGGGGGGGGGGGGGAGCUGCUGCACGGUGGCCAGGCAUUAGAUAGAAAGAAGAAAUAGAGUAGAGAAUUGGUAGGAGUACUUUAGAUUAGCCUUUGACUUUUCCUUUCUAGCUUUUGGUAGUGGAGACUUUUAGUAGUUGUUGCUUCCUUCGUGAAUGCAUUGGAUGAUUCUUUUUUCUUUGCUUUUUGCUUUUUGACUUUUCUUUGGUUCUUAGUAAUUUCUUUUCCUUCUACGUAUGUCAAUUCUGAAUCCUUCUUCGUAUCACUACUUCGGACGAAUUGAGUUUUCCCAAUUUCAAAGGACAAUGGCCGUUGCUUUCUCUUCAAUUUUCUGUAGAUUUUGUUCAUCAAAUAUGAACUAAUUUCCUCACUCUAGUCAAGAAACAACGGAUGUUUGGGUCGCCUAAAAAUUGUGAGAUCGAUUUAAUUUAAUUUUUUUCUUUUAUUUAUUAAUAUUCGCAUAAUCCUUGAUUGCUAUGCUUAUGGUUAUUUAAUUAAUUGAUUAUCUUGGAUUCGGAUAAUUAGUUAAUUUAGUAAUCUAUUGUCAAUUAGGGCAUUUAAAUCCGUAAUUGUUUAAUUGCCUUGAAAUAGUGGCAACUGGCAUGAUUAGGUUUGUGUCAGGGGGAUACGCGGGCUAACCUGAAAUAACCCUGAUAGUGCGUUAUUUGAUUAGAAUAGGGCUGCUCUAAUACGUAAGGCAAUUGGAAAAUUAAAUCCUACGGGCGUACAUAAGAUUAUUUUUCAAUUAGAGUAGUGAUUAACGGGCGUACUUUGAUCACCGACACAGUAAGGAGGGGUUGACUGUCAUCGCUUGUUUGGCAGUUAUAACCUAUUUAUUAGUAAAUAAUUGGAAUUGACUUUGCAUCGAUGAUCAAUUAGGUGAACCGUUGCUGAAGUUAUUUCUUGGCUAGAUCAUUAGUUAUCAUUCAUUUGACUUUAGUAAUUUGUUAUUUAAUUUUUAAUAGUUUCUUAGAUUUUAUUUGAAUUUCUUUGAUUGUCAUCUUCUACACAAAAACACCCCCUUUGUUACUGUGGAUUUGAAAAGAAACAGUUACACCCAAUACUUGUGAAUUCGACCCUGCUUACCACUAUCUACAGAAAUUAACUUUAGUUGAGCAAGUUUUUAUUAUUGCACUGGCUGAUAACCUGUCAAUUUUUGGCACCGUUGCCGGGGAUUGGUGCCUGAUUAAUUUGUUUCUUUUUGAGUUCAUCUUGUUUUCAUUUUUUUAUUUAUUUUUCUCUUUUUUUAUAUAGUUUAUGGCUUCUAACAUUCCGUAUUUUGAUGAUAGACUGGACUUUAUUCCUGAAUGGGGUUAUGAGACUCGUGUUUUUCAUAAUGAUCAAUUAGCUGUUGCAAAUUGUGGAACUUAUUUUGCUUCAGGUUAUUCAACCGACAUAUGCCCCGCAUUUCAAGAUAACCUAAAUGCUCCAAUUGAUACUUUUGGAGAUUUUUCACCUCAAUAUCAAACGUGGUAUGACCCUUAUUCAAACGGGUAUGAUCAAGGAUGGGGGAUGAUUCCAAUUUUAAUUAUGCGACCAGGCCAAUGGGUUUUCAACAGCAAGAGUCUCAACAACUAUCAUCCAUGUCAGGUAUGUCUUUUCAGGAAAUGAUUGAAUUAUUCGCUACUAAUACAUAUCGAUUUCAUUAGGAGACACAAGCGAGCAUUAGUAACCUAGCGGAUCAAGUGCAUCUAUUGAUAUCCAAGAUAACGCAAUUAGCUUCUCACAUGAGUGAAAAAUUGCCCUCACAGACCAACAUCAACCUUGAAGAAGAUGAGAGUGCAAUUAUCCGGCCAAAUGAUAUGGAACUGCAAGAGUUUCAAGAAAACGGAUCUAAAGAUGCAGUUGAAAGGGAAGGUGAAGUGCAAGAAAUGAGACCCCAAAAUCAAUUCGUCCAAGUGAAUGAAUCCAGUGUACAAUCUCCAAAUACGGUGACAUCUUCUCCAUUCCUUAAUCAAUAUUUUCCUGACUCAUAUUCUUCAACUCCUAUUAUUGAGAUUGAUUUUAUUAUACCAGAAAAUUUUAAAUUUCAUGACAGGAAUAAGUUAAGAGUGGCGAUGGCAAAAUAUCUUGAACCGAUAAAUGCGUGUGAUGGAGGAGUGAGUGGAGAAUUCAGAUCAUUGUUGAUUUGUUUGGCGCUAUCUAUUAGUCCAUGGAAGACCGUAGCUCGUGUACUCAAGGAUUACUCUACUUACGAGGGUUAUCAGGAUUACAUAGAGAAUGAAGCACUGAAACGAGCCACAAGAUUUUAUCCUCCCUGAACAAACAUGACAAUGUCUAACCAAAGACAUUAAAGAAAGGCACUCAUUGGGAGGCAACCCAAUUUCUUUUAGUUGCUUGUUCGGUUUUGUUUGUUAGUUUAAAUAUGUUUUCCUUGGAUUUGACUGAUUUUUUGUUUCAAUUUUCGUUUUUGAUGAUUCAUAGGCAUCCCGUUGACAUGACGCCCCUGCGUCAACUGGGCGCGUGACACAGUGCGAUUUCUUGGUGCUUAGUAAAAAGGGUUUCGAUUCCCUUGACGUGCCCGCGUCGAGUCCCAUGAAGAGCUCAUGGUCAGAUUUGUCAAAAGGGUUUCGAUCCCCUUGACGUGUCCGCGUCAAGUCCCAUGAAGAGCUCAUGGUCAGAUUCGUCGAAGGGGUUCUUGUCCUCAUGACGUGCCCGCGUCAAGUAACUUGGAAAGCUCCUCAUUCCGUGCCUUCUUGACGUGCCCGCGUCACGUUCGCGGGAAAGGUAAGUAUUCAAGACUCGAGAAAAAUUUUCAAUUUCCUGUUAAUUUCUAAUUUUGAAUUUCAAAAAUAAAUUUUAUUAAUAAUAAUAACAAAAAAAUUAAAACAAUUUUAAAUUAAAAAAAACUAAAAAUUUUAAAAAUUUUAAAAAAACUAUUUCUUUUUCUUUUUCCUUUUCUUUCUUUCUUUUUCUUUCUUUCUUCCUUUUUCUUUCCUUCUUCUCCCUUGUUUCACUUUCUUUUGGCCAAAACCCACAAGCAACUGCCGCCGCUCUCCUCUCCUUCCUAGCCUCGCGCGCCUUUCUCUUCCUCUCUUGCUCUCCUUCUCCACCGCACCAUCGACGACGCGCACAGCUGUAGCCCCACUCUCUCGCGCGCUGCUCAUUGCACUCCAGGCCGCCGCCGCUGUACGCUGCUCCACACAUCCGCCUCUCUUUUCCCUCGCACGCAGUCGAGUUCCCCGUCAUAGCCAGCUCGUGAGCGCGCGCCGCCACCCUUCCUCGUUCCCUUGCUCUCUCACCAUGCCGCAACCGAUGCUCGUAGCCCACAGACGGCCACCACCAUGUGCCGCCAGCCCUCCAUCUCCCUCACGCGUAGUGUCAACCACGCUCCACCAGCUCUCACCAUCUGUCUAAUUUUGACAGGUGGAGGUAUUGUAUUUUUCCUGCCGUUAAUUAAUCCUCUGGGACAUCAAUUUCUAAAAUAUCGUUCGUUAAUUGUUGUUACCCUUUUCUUACUUGGUUGCCCUAUACUGCACUGGUGGGGUUGAUUUGUUUGAUUUCCCAUCUGUUAUUUGGGAAUUAUUUGGGAGUUAUGUGCAAAUUGAUUGCCAUUUUGGUUUCCUCUAAAUGCUAGUAUUGUUUGGUGUUGGUUGGGAUUUCUCAGUAGUUUGUAUUGACUGGUUGAUUUGUUGAUUACCUGUGCGUGCUCCAGUGGUACUGGUUGUGGUAGUUUGCAUAUAAUUUAUUACUCCUCUGUGAUUGGCUACCUAAUUGACCGCUGGGCAUCUGUGACUAAGUUGUUCUUGUCCAAUUGAAGAAUUUGUUGAGAUUUUGGGUGGACAGAGUUUUGCAUUUGCUGGUUGAAUUGAGUUGAGAUGUCUCAGAACUUGGCCGCAUACUUCUAUCAUAUCGGUUUCACUCCACUAUUCCCUCCUAUCCCUUAGCCAUUCAACAGGGAAGUUUCAUUGUUCUCUUCGUUUUAAUUACUUUAUUACCUCCAUUGAGGAUAAUGUAGGAUUUAGGUGGGGGGGGAAGAGCAGUUAUGGUGCUAGUGUCUUUAAUUUUGAGUUUUUAGAUUUUUUUUUGUUUUUAGAUGUUUUUUUUCUUUAUUUUUAGUUUAUUAUUUGUCCACCUCUCGUUCAUUUUCUUUCUUUCUUUUUAGUGAUUAGCUCGUAAGUGCAUGCCAAGACUUGAUGUUGGUUUGUUGACUCUAAUUCUGCUAUUGCCAAGUUUUAAUACUAAAAGUGCAUCAAGUUAAUGUAGUUGAGUCCAAGAACAUCGCUUUGGUGAAUAUCGGUGAUUGUUUUACUCUUAUAAUUUUUGGUUAACUUUCCUAGGUACUGGGAAUGAUUGUUGGCAUUUUCAUGUGAAUUGGUCCAGUGAUUAACUUUAGUUCUCCAUGUUUGGAAAAAAUGAGGCUAGCUACUUUUUCUUUGUGAUAUUGUGAGAUAUUGUGUUAUCUGAUUAUGAAAUAAAGUUGACUGUACUCCGCUAUUUGGUACUACUGAGUAACCGGGGAUCUUCACCUAAAGUGUCGAUUCUCGAGUCAAAAAGUAGUAAUUUCUAUGAGUACGUGGUCGUAUAGCGAUAGGAGCUAAGUAACCGAGCUCCUUCAUCUGGCAAAUGUUGGAGUUCGCGUCAAAAGGCUCCGAUGGCUAGAGACUAAGUCUUUUGUGCUAUUGAAAAAAAAAGAAAAAAAAUAAUAGAUAAAUAAAUAAUGAAAAAAAAAAGUGAAAGUUGUGUUAGUGUGUGAUAAAAGUCAGCUUGCCGAUUUGUGGAUUUAAUGUUGAGAAUUUGGUUAAUAACUGGACCAUAUGCUGAUAAAUUUUGUGUGCCAUUCCUUUUUCUUAGAUUGGUUAACCUAGAAUUGAAGGAAUUUCUGGUUUAGAAACUAACCGGGGUGAUGUUUCUUGGGUAUUGAUCACUGAUGCUUGAUAUAUGUUUUUUUUGGUAUCUUGGCAAUAUGGUAGACGGAGCAAUGACCAUUGUCAAAUAUUGGUACUUGUUUGCUGUUCUCAUGCUUGAAGGCAAGCAUGAUUUAGGUGUGGGGGGAAUUGAUAGGUUGUAAUUUUAUCAUUUAUUUUAUUAUUAAUUUCCCCUAUUACCUGACUUGAUGUGGAUUAAUUGUUAGAUUCUACUCACUUUUGGCAAUUUGCAUUUAUUUCAGGGAUUUGAUCGAAAACACCAUAACAAGUGCCAAUUUAGCAAUCAUCAGGAAAGAGCUCGAGUAAUAGGGAUCCAGGGGCAUUUUUGGAAUAAGAAGACGCGACCCUUUUUGGUAAUUUACGGAUGACAACAUAAAAGAGGAAAAGGAACGAAGGACUAGAACUUCUUCUUUCUCUCGGGGGCGGGAGCCGUCGCACGGUGGCCAGGCAUUAGAUAGAAAGAAGAAAUAGAGUAGAGAACUAGUAGGAGUACUUUAGAUUAGCCUUUGACUUUUUAGCUUUUGACUUUUAGAUUAGCCUUUGACUUUUCCUUUUUAGUUUUGGGUAGUGGAGACUUUUAGUAAUUGUUGCUUCCUUCGUGAAUGCAUUGGAUGAUUCUUUUUUCUUUGCUUUUUGCUCUUUGACUUUUCUUUGGUUCUUGGUAAUUUCUUUUCCUUCUACGUAUGUCAAUUCCGAAUCCUUCUUCGUAUCACUACUUUGGACGAAUUGAGUUUUCCCAAUUUCAAAAGACAAUGGCCGCUGCUUUCUCUUCAAUUUCUUGUAGAUUUUGUUCAUCAAAUAUGAACUAAUUUCCUCACUCUAGUCAAGAAACAACGAAUGCUUUGGGUCGCCUAAAAAUUGUGAGAUCGAUUUAAUUUAAUCUUUUUCUUUUAUUUAUUGAUAUUCGCAUAUUCCUUGAUUGCUAUGCUUAUGGUUAUUUAAUUAAUUAAUUGUCUUGGAUCCGGAUAAUUAGUUAAUUUGGUAAUCUAUUGUCAAUUAGGGCAUUUAAAUCCGUAAUUAUUCAAUUGCCUUGAAAUAGUGGCAACUGGCACGAUUAGGUUUGUGUCAGGGGGAUACGCGGGCUAACCUGAAAUAACCCUGGUAGUGCGUUAUUUGGUUAGAAUAGGGCUCCUCUAAUACGUAAGGCAAUUGGGAAAUUAAAUCCUAUGGGCGUACCUAGGAUUAUUUCCUAAUUAGAGCAGUGAUUAACGGACGUACCUUGAUCACCGACAUAGUAAGCAGGGGUUGACUGUCAUCACUUGUUUGGCAGUUAUAACCUAUUUAUUAGUAAAUCAUUGGAAUUGGCUUUGCAUCGAUGAUCAAUUAGGUGAACCGUUGCUGAAGUUAUUUCUUGGCUAGAUCAUUAGUUAUCAUUCAUUUGACUUUAGUAACUUGUUAUUUAAUUUUUAAUAGUUUCUUAGAUUUUAUUUAAAUUUCUUUGAUUGUCAUCUUCUGCACAAAAACAUCCCCUUUGUUACUGUGGGUUUGAAAACAAACAGUUACACCCAAUCCCUGUGGAUUCGACCCUGCUUACCACUAUCUACAGAAAUUAACUUUAGUUGAGCAGGUUUUUAUUAUUGCACAGGCUGACAACUUGUCAGUUUGAGAACAGGAAGAUGACGAACCAAUUUCAAACCGGGAAAGGUGGUAGCAUAGAGAUAGCUACUAUUAUGGAGGAUAUCCAGAAAAUGACCUUAUGGUUUCGAAUGUGCUCUUUUGUGAGUUUGAAUGAGGAUACUGAUAGCCUAUGCUACAGUUUGAGCAAAAGUGCUCUUUUGAAUUUUUGUGACAUGGAAUGGAACUACGCCACUCCAUAGUGCUAAAUGCACUUUUGUAAAGAUAGGAGCCCUUGCUCCAAAAUUGUAUAGUUUUGUGAUGAUAUAAAAUUUCUAUCGUUUCGGGAAAAAAAAAAAAAAAAGUAAACUUUAACACUAUCUUAAAACUUGUCUCCCUAAGAAUAGUAUAAUUCAAAACAAAAUUGUGAAAAUCUAACUAGAAUGUCAACUAACGAUUUGGAAUUUUACUUUGACAUAUUCAUGGUCAAAUGGUGGGAGGUUUGACUUUAUCUUACAACCUUUUCUUUUCAAACUGGAGAUAUUAUACCUCCAAUAGAUAGCAUUCCUACUAGUCUAAGUAUGGUGCAAAAGAAUCAGAUUUCCAUUGUCUACAGAGCCACCAAACAGCAGCAGUUAUUUAGCAUUCCAUAGUUUCAUCAGCAUUAAUACAAAGGGCACAAAUACUAGAGACCCAUGCUUUCAAUCUACCUUUGGUGUUUAAUCUUCGUUUGCACAGCAACCAUAAAAUAAAACUAAACCAAGGGACAAAUCCGUGUCCCAAAACCAGCUCGUGCCACUCGAUAGGAACUUUAGUUCCCCUUAGUGCUUUGAUUGAGGAGUUGACAACAAAAAUACCUGCAGAUUGGGUAAUUCACCCAUAUGAUCAAUCCUACGAAUACCAGGGAGGAAUUGCAUAGGGUUAUCCCUCUUCAUGGCGCUAACUUCGUAAGUGUAGUGCCUGCCAAUAUGCCAUUUGCGGAUCCUUUCCGUAAUACAAGCAGCAAUUGUGUCACACUUUGUGAGAACAAAUGAUUCCAGGAGCUUCUCAGUAAAAUGCAGGUAUAGGGGGCCAAGAGGGUGCCAGAAAUCUGCAUUAAUAGUAGUGUUUAAUGCAUUAGAUAAUGUAUGAGUAUUCGCUGGAUGGUGCAUCAUUGAAUGGGUUAAAAAGCAGUCAUAAUACUGAUUAUGUUCUUGUAGAAUAAUAAAGGAUGAUUGUAAGUAUACCAAAGUCAGAAUCUGCAAAGAAAUGAAAGGUUGCGAAAGAAAAGGAGGUUGGAAAUCGUGGAUGCCGUGAAGUUGUCCAGGGCAAGAGAAAGAUGAAUCUUGAACAAAAAAGUUCACAAGCGAGUAAGAAGUCAUGUAACAAUCCUUGGCCUCCAAUGAAUGAGGCCGAAAGCUCGCUAGUAACAACUCAGGCAAGCGGACCUAUGGAAUUGCCUAAUUUGGUUAAUUGUGACUAUGAUGGAGAUACAAGACUGCUACAAACAUAUACAAGUUUAUUGCUGGAUGAUGGUGUACAGUCAAUGACGUGUUGAAAUGGUGAUUAUUUGGGAUCAGUCAUCCAAGAAGAAGCUCCUUCAUCCUAUACUGAAAAACAUUGGUUCAAUUCGACCAUUGAUGGAAUGGAGAAUUCAGAACAUAUAUGCGAAAAUCUUGAAAAUUCGGAACAGCCCUUUGAAGUGCAAGUUUGUGAACAGUCAUCAUCAUCAUCAGUUGAUUGUGAUGGCCAGAUGAUGACCACAUGUCAAGAAGGGCAAGUGGCGGAGAACAACUUGUCAGAUUCAAUCACUUGGAGGAUAUUUUGCGAUCCAUUGAAAGAGGGAAUAAAGACAUAUUUGGAAGAUUGCCAUUACCACCAGAUGCAUGGUUGCAAGUAGCCGUCCCAUGUAGUUGAUUAGCGCUAAGAUUGCGAACUUCUAGAGGCAAAGUUGAUGCCUUGUGACUUAUUUGUUCUUUUGUGGGUUGUGGUUUCAUUCUUGAACAUUAGAUGCAGCAUAUUUUUUAUCUUUUACAGAAAAAUGAAGUUAUUUCUAUCUACACUCACUUGUCCAAGCUUUUCUUGUCAUAUUCAUGCUUUUUCCUCAUUAUGAACUGCCCGAAGUAGGAGUAUGAUAAACUUAAGAGAAAUAAAAGGAAAUUAAAUAGCCCUUUGGAAUUUUUUUUUUUGACUCACUUGUUCAAGCUUUUCUUGUCAUAUUCAUGCUUUGGAAUUUAAACGAGAAUGCUUUUUUUUAUUUCUAGAUUUCCUCCGCAGAUCGCAAUCGUUUUGCUUGUUUGUUUAUUUACUUUGCUUGCUGCUUUUGCUUGUUCAUAAUUUUGAUUUUUUUUUCUGAAUUCGUCUUCUUAAGAUUGAAAUAUAUGAAUUUGGGUACUUUAUAUUUUGUCUAAAAUAGCUUUAGCAGAUCAAAGUCUACUAUGCUGGGCGUUUUAAGGCAAAAAGUCGCUUCUGAUGCUCCUUCUGCUUUGGUAUUUAAACUUCAAUUUUUGCAUGUGUGUUUAGAUUCCUGCAUUCAUUUAUGCUUGAAGGCAGAAAUUUAUUUUUUGAGUAAGAAUACUGAUCUCCUUUGUGUUUUUUGCGGACCAGAUUAAGAAUGCAUAAUCAAGAACUGACAAAUGUGCCUAUUAACAAGUCAAUUAGUAGUGCCUAUGGUGAUUGGUCUUGCGAUUCCAAAAUUUAGAUUUUCCUUGUACUUUAAUUGAUGCUUUAGGUUUAUUUUCUUACAAAUCUAGUAUUAUUUUGGAACUGCACUUGGUGUACGUUAGAGUUACAAGUAUUAGUAUGUAUACUUACCCCAAAAAACAAGUAUUGUUAUGUAUAUAUGCUUCAGAACAAAUAAUGUGCCUCUUGAUAUGAUAUGUUGAUUCAUGAAUACAUUAAAUAGUUUUUAGGGUUGUAAUUGAUCUUAGAGGUGUAAAUUACCCAUGAUUUCACGAAAUAUAACCAAAUUUUUGGUUCCACAAUUUGUUUAUAACAAAUGCUUUUAAAGAAUGUUUGUCCAGUAUUCUUAUAAGUAUUUUGAUUAAUCUUAUAUACACUAAUAGUGUAUAUAUUUUUACCCUUAAAUGAGUGUCAAAGUUUUUGCCAUUUCAUUUUUAUCCCCAUAUGAUUUUUUCCAUUUUCUUAAACUUAGUCCUAACUUGACUAGCACUGUUACGAAGAAAUUUGCCAAAUUGAGUGAUAUAAAUUACCAAAUUUGCCAAAAGUGGAAUGUGAAAUUCCUCCAAAAUUGAUGGAAGGAAAAGAAAUAAUCAAGACUUCAAUAAUGGAAAGGGAAGCAAGAAUAACGCUAGGCAAGACGGCAUGGAUUUCAAUUGUUUUUUUUUUCCAGCGUUCAAUUCCCCUGGAAUCUCAAUAUUUGGAUUGUAGGUUUUUUAAGAGAAAAUUUUUACAUUUUUCUUGAACACAUUUUUUAAUUAUUUUAUUAUUUUAUAUAUAUCAAAUUAUUAUAAUAUAUUUUUUUACAAAAAUUUUAAAAAAAUAACAAUCUAAACGCAAUUGCAGCACUAGUGCUUAGCAAGCUUGAAACAACCCUCUCGAAUUAAGGUGUGAUCAUUUUGACCAAAAAAAAAAAUUAAGGUGUGAUAAUGCUGCACGUCAUCUACGAUUUUUCAGAUUCCUACUUCUUCUAUAUUUUGACAAACGGCAUGUCUGUGUCUAGCAAGAAGUGUGAUAGUGCUGUACGGCAUCAACAAUUUUUUAAUUCCUACAACUUCAAUACCUUGACGGGAUAAUUUUAAAAAACCUCCCUUGAGAUUUUGAUAAUUUUACUCUGCUCUCCUCAAUUUUAAAUAAUUAUGCUUACCUCCCUUGACAGAAUAAAGUACUUAUAAUGACCUUCACUUAAUAGAUAAUUUACAGUAUAAUACAAUAUAUUUGUAAAACCAAAAAAAAAAAUCAUAUUUAUCUAUGUCUUGGCUAGCUCCACUCUUCUCUUUUCUAAUUAUUAUACUGUCAUAUCCUCUCUUUUUUUCUUCAGUUUUAUAGAUAUUACCAAAUUGAAAUUGUAAAAUUAAUAGUUCAAUUGAAAUGAAAAGACUCGGAGUCAUAGAGAAAAAAAAUAAUGAAAUUAAUGAUUGAAACAGGUUGGAGGAUCAAAGAUGAAAAAUUUACCCUAUAUUUUUUUUCUGUGGCAAGCAUUGAUGAUCCUUUGGAUAGUUGCUUUGAUUUGGAACUAGAGUUUUUACUUAGGUGGUUGUUAUGAAUUGGGAUGGUGGAUUUGUGCAGAGUGUGAAAGAAAAGGAUCGAGUAUACUGUAUUUUUCUUUUUUACUUUUGUAUUAAAGGGUAAUUUAGGAUUUUUGAGAAAAAAUCUAGUUUGUUGGACUUAUAUUAUUAUAUAAACAAUAAAAAUAAGGAGUGAUAUGUAAUUUUUAAAAUUAAAGAGAGCUCUUGCAAACAGUGACGGAGCCAGGAUUUUUCCCUUGGGAGGGCCAAAAUUUUUUCGAACAAAAUUAUCUUAAUAUGUUAUGUUCAAACUAAUUUUUAUUUAUUUAAAUAUAUGACAUCUUAAAAUAUCAAAUAUUAAUUUUAAUUAUAAAGCUAUGUCUAUUUCAUAAAUAUGUAGCAUAGUUAUAACUAAAAUUAAGAUAAGAAAUAACAUUUGAUUAAAUAUCUUAUAACAUCACAAACCACUUAAGUUGCACAUUAUGAGAAGAUGCUCCAAUAUGUUACCUGUGCAAAAACAAAAAUAUGACUAUGUAACAUAAAUAUAAGUAUUUUCAAUUAAAAAAAGAUAAAAGUUAUGUUAAUAUACCUUGAAAUUCCAUCCUCUUUUAUUAAAAAUAAAUUGAGUUUUAAGUUCUUUCAUAGAACGUAAUUCAUCUCUAAUUGAAUCAAUGCUAAAUUUUCGAACAACUUCCUUUUUUUAUGUACAUUGUUAGGCAAUCAUUAAAGAAAUGAUCUUUUAUCUUGUUUUGGAGCUUUAUUUUGAUUAUUUUCGUAAUUGAAAAUGUCCAUUCUAUAGACUAUAAAACGGAGCCAGGAUUUUUUCCUUGGGAGGGGGGCCAAAAUUUUUCUGAACAAAAUUAUCUUAAUAUGUUAUGUUCAAAAUAAUUUUCAUCUAUUUAAAUAUAUGAUAUCUUAAAAUAUCAAAUUUUAAUUUUAAUUAUAAAGGUAUGUCUAUUACAUAAAUAUGCAGGGUAUUCAUAACAAAAAUUAGGACAAAAAAUAACCUUUGAUUAAAUAUCUUAUAACAUAACAAACUACCCAAAUUGUACAUUAUGAGAAGAUGCUUCAAUAUGUCAUUUGUGCAAAAAUAAAAAUAUAACUAUACAAUAUAAUAUAACUAUUUUCAAUUAAUAAAAGAUAAAAGUUAUGUUAGCAUACCUUGAAAUUUCAACCUCUUUUUUUAAAAGUAAAUUGAGUUUUACAUUCUUUCAUAGAACUAAAUUCAUCUAUAAUUGAAUCAGUGUUAAAUUUUGAUCAUCCUUUUUUUAUAUACAUUGUUAGACAAUCAUUCAAGAAAUUAUCUUUUAUCUUGUUUUAGAGUUUUGUUUUGAUUAUAUUCACAAUUGAAAAUGUACAUUCUAUAGUUGCAAUUGAUACAGAAAGAGUGAGAACAAAUAUCAUCAAUCUGCCAAUAACAGGAUAUAUCACUCAAUUUCUUGUCUUCACCAAGCCUUCAAGUAAUUAUUUGUAUAUUUGUAUAUGAGUCAACAAGAGAAUAGAUCACUAAUUUUAAAUUUUUUUAUCAAUUAGGCUAAGGUGUAUAUUUGUAUAUGGCCCAAUAAAGUAAUUAUUUUUAUUGUAGCCCAUUGAUAAUUAUGAAUAAAGUCUUUUAUUAUAAUACAUCAAAUUGGGUAAAUUUACUAUGGAUCAUCAAAUUAUAUAAUUUUUUGAAUGUUAAAUAAUUAGUACAAUAAAAAAAAUAACUUUUUUUUGAAGAAAAAAUUAAAUCAAAAGGUGGUAAUUCACACACACACACACAGAUAUAUAUACAUAUAUAUAUAAACUCUCAUAAUAUAAACUAAAAUUAUAAAAAAUUAGGGGGGGCCAACUUUGACUUAUACAUAUAUUUACAUAUUAUGAAUUAAAUUUUUCAAAACUUAGGGGGGGCCAUGGCCCCCUCUGCCCCCUUGGCUCCAUCAUUGCUUGCAAUUAUGAAAAAUGUUAAGGAAGGUUCAUAAAAUUAUCCCAUACUUUGACAAAAGACAUGUCAAUGUCCGGCAAGACGUGUUAUAAUGCUGCACGCAUCAAUGAUUUUUCACUUCCCUACGACUUCAAGACUUUGACAAAAGACAUGUCUGUGUCUGGCAAGAAGUGACAUAAUAUAAUAAAGAGCAAAUUUUCCAAAUAGUCCUUCAACUUUUUUAACUAAUUCACAUUUGGUCCUUCAACUUAAAAAUGAGAUAGAAUGAUCCUUCAACAAAAUUUUUUAGACCAAAUUGGUUCUUAUCUGGCAUAGCAGCCAAGAAAAAGUUGGAUCAAAGUGGUGAUGAGAUUUGAAUUUUCUUACCAGUUCCGUCACAUAGGGACCAAUUAAGCCUAAAAAAUUUCGUUGGACGGCCAUUAUGUCCCAUUCUUAAGAUGAAGGAUCAAAUAUGAAUUAGUAAAAAACUUGAAUGACUAUUUGGGGGACUUGCUCCAUAAUAAAAUUGAAAAGCUGGGAUGUUUGGAAAAUAUUUAGAGGCUUGUAGCAAAGUGUGUUAAUGGGAAAAAAAUGAUUUGAUGGGCAUACCCAUGAGAUAAUCUUGACCUAUUGAACUUGAAGAGGACACGGCUGCUGUGGAAAUUAUAAGUUCAAAGACAAUUCGUGGUUUCUGAGCUACAGCAAUGAGUGAUAUUUUUAGGAACAUCUGUUGGGGUUUUUGAUAAUUAUGUAGUAUUCUUAAACUUCUAAAAAUAUCACUUACCUCUCUCAUUUGAAGUCAACAUCACAAGUCACCAAUAUUUUUACCCUCAAUGCUAUAGGUUUAUUCUGGAAAAAUACUUUCCAACCAAAAGAAUUGGCAUGAUUUUCUUCUUUUGCUUUUUUUUUUUUUUUUGAAUUUUGGCCUGUUUUAAUGAAAAUGUCGCAUAUAUUAGUCCCAAUUCAGGAGCUUAUAUUUUUUAGUGUAAUUCUUUUAUGCCAGUUUACCAACCACAUUCCCCGCAUUAAUUUCACUGCCUUCAUAUUAUUGGAAGAGGUUGUACUUUCACUAUCGAAGUAGAGCCUGUUUUUGGGUUUUUUUCCUCCGCUCUCAAUUUUUUUUCUUAGUUUUGGCUCUCAAAAAUUUCUGGUUCUGGCCUUGCAAUUAGAACCACUAGUGACCAAUCUAGUUUUCUCUAUUUCUUGACUUUAUAUUUUAGAAUAUGUUCAUCAAUGUUUCAAUUCUUUUCAUCUCAACUCUCUUCAUAUGCAUUUCGAGCAACAUAAGUGUCCGUUCCGAUUUCAACAAUAAUUUGCUUAAUAGUUGUUAUAUAUUGUUAUAUUUAGUUGCAUUACAAUAACAAACACUACACAAAAUUUUCUUGGAUUUUAAAUCUUUUAUUAAUACUAAUAAGGAUUUUGGAUAAGGAAGGAACAAGACAACUGAAAGGGCAAUUUUGAAAUAAAAAUAUGCUCAUUUUACUUAAAUGAAUCAUUUAAUCUUACUUUGCUCCUAGUUAGGGGUGGUAGAUGAAUCGAGUUACUCGCAAGGAAUUUAGUCAAAGCUCUACUCGAACUCGAGUUUGACUGAUAUUCGAGUCAAUUAUUGAAUCGAAUUCAAGCAUCUAGGUAAUUGUUAAAUUACCUAAAAACCUAUAUUUUUAGAAAAAAUUGUCUUACCACUCAAGCUGGAAUUUGAUCUUAAUUUGCUUCUUGAGCACCUUUAUCUUUCACAUGAGCCGAACUUGACCUUCAAAGUUGAUGAGCUCAAACUGAGUUUGAGCUCAAGUAAUGUCUUCAAGCUCAUCGAGCUCUAGCUUGAAUACAUUCUGUAUUUGAGUUUGACUCCGUUCAUUGCCAUUCCUAUCCUAGUCAUUGGACAUGUUACAAAAUAAUUUAUUUUGGGGAGGUUAAUGAGAUUUUCAAAAGUUUAGAAGUUCCAAGCGAUAUUCACAAACACCUUAGGGAAGGUUUUCGAAAUUAUCCGAAGAAUCAAUUCAAAGCCAAUUAAUGCAUGUGGCACAGAUUAACCUUAUCAAUCAUGACCGUGUGCAUAAAGCCCCCGCUGGAGUUCGGCAUUCAAACACCCACUGGAGUUCAUUGCCAUACUAACUUAUUUCAGCCCUGAUGGAGACUUGGCUGCUCUUAGCCUUGGCAUGGGUUGUUGCAUUGGCUUUUCUCUCAAAAGUAUCCACUCGCAAACGCCUAAAGCUAAAUCAUCCACCAGGACCAAAACCAUGGCCUAUUGUUGGCAACUUGAAACUCCUAGGUUCAAUCCCACAUCAAUCCUUACACUUGCUGUCCCAGAAAUAUGGAAAAAUCAUGCAACUAAAAUUUGGUUCCAGCCCUGUUGUAGUAGCUUCAUCCCCUGAAAUGGCAAAAGAAUUCUUGCAAACACAUGACAACAUCUUCGCUUCUCGGCCAACAACUGAUGCUGGCAAACACGCUAGCUAUAACUGCUCCGAUUUGACAUGGGCACCUUAUGGUCCAUUCUGGCGACAAGCUCGUAAACUUUAUCUUACCCAAAUAUUUAAUCCAAAGCGACUUGACUCCUUCGAGAGCAUACGCAUUGAAGAAAGGCGUGCUUUCAUUUCUAGAUUGUAUGCUCUCUCAGGAAAGCCAGUAGUUAUGAGAGAUCAUCUAACACGUCUUACCCUCUCCACUGCAAGCCAGAUGGUCUUGAGUAACAAGUACUUUGCGCAAUCUGAAGGGGAGAGAUCUCUACCUACCUUUGAAGAAUUCCAAGAGAUGAUAGAUACUUGGUGUUUGCUGAGUGGUGUGUUCAAUAUUGGGGAUUGGAUACCAUGGCUCGACAGAUUUGACCUCCAAGGUUAUGUAAAGCAAAUGAAAGAACUUCACAAGAAAUUUGAUAGAUUCCACAACCAUGUGCUUGAUGAUCACCAGGCCAGGAGGAAAACAGAGAAAGAUUUUAUCCCUAAGGACAUGGUUGACAUUCUAUUGCAAUACGCUGAAGAUCCAGAUCUCCAGGUUAAACUCACCAGAGAUCAGAUAAAAGGGCUAAUUCAGGUGCUCUUUCUUCUCAUUGUUUAAUCAAAUUCCUAGGUCUCUUUGCCUCUUUAAGUUACUGAAUCUCAAAGCCAGCAGUCUUGCUUAGUAUAAUGUGCCAUUAAAGAUAACUGUCUCCUUUUUUCUAAUUAAGAGUUUUUUAUUUCCUUUCUAGAUUAAUAGUAUUACAAUAUUUGAUCAUAGAGGCACUAACUUUACCAAUAUGUCAUGUUGAGGACUAACUUUACCAAUGUGUUGCUGACCAGAACGUUCUAUUAAAGAUAACUGUCUUCACCCUCACAAAAAAAAAAGGAUAACUGUCUUCUUUCAUCCUUCUGAUUAAAUGGGCUUUGUUGAAUUUUCCAAGAUUCCAAUAUGAGAUUUUUGAAUACAACUAUGAUAUAGACGCAUAACAUUUAUAAAACUAAUCUCUGAAAAAAAAACUAUUAACUAGAUUCAUAUUGAUUCAUUGCUAUUUGAAUCCUUUAAAUCUUUGGCUGGCCUUUCAAAUCAACAUGUAUUGGUUUAUCCUUAAAGAGGGUUCUUCAAUUUCUCUCUGGUAUCUGAGAUAUAAGAACUAUUUUGCAAUGCCAAAGUAUACGACAUAAAAAUGUAUGUGAUCCGGGGAUUAUAACUAUAAUAUAAAUAACUUUUCUAUUAUCUUUUAGUAUUUCUAUUUUGAUCCAUCAUACAAAUAGAAAUUAUUCAUAAGUCUCUGUACAUAGCCAAUAUCUUAUGAAAUACAUUAAAAUCUAAAUUAAAAUGAAUUACUUAAUUGAAUUUAAUCUAAUUUGACAGUUUGCAAUACACAAUUAUUCACAUAUAUAAGCCUAGCUUUGGAUCUAGGAUCCAACAGUUUUUUUCCUUCCAAUUUGUUGUAAAUCAUGAUACUUCACCAAUAUUUAAUCAUGGCAGGACAAACUUUACCAUUAUUUGAUCAUGGCCAGGACUUGCUGGUUGGUGGUACCGAAACCUCAGCCCUUACGGUAGAAUGGGCAUUGAAUGAACUUCUCAAACAUCCACGUCUCAUUCGAAAGGCAACCGAAGAGCUUGACAGAUUGAUAGGGAAAGACAAGUGGGUGGAAGAGGCUGAUUUCUCAAAACUGCCUUUUCUAGAGGCGAUCAUAAAGGAAACUUUUAGGUUACAUCCACUGGCAACGCUACUUUCGCCCCGUUAUGCCCCCGAGGAUUGCACUGUAGCUGGUUAUAACAUUGCUAAAGGAACAACGGUGUUUAUAAACACAUGGAGUAUAGGGAGGAACUCAAAGUAUUGGGAUUCUCCUGAAGAAUUCAUUCCAGAGAGGUUUUUGGAGAAGGAUAUUGACAUGAAGGGACAAAACUUUGUGCUACUGCCCUUUGGCUCAGGUCGGAGGAUGUGCCCAGGCUAUAACCUUGGAAUCAAACUUAUUCGAUCAAUGUUGGCAAACUUGUUGCAUGGAUUCAACUGGAAAUUGCCUCAUGGCAUGAAACCAGAGGAAAUUUGCAUGGAAGAACACUACGGACUCACAACUCAUCCAAGGAUUCCACUUGCUAUGAUCCCAGAACCACGUUUGCCGGUCAAUCUCUAUUAGCAAGUAUUGAUUUAAGGCAAAAUUGAAAUAUAUUCCUACUCUGCAUCAAUCAAAGGUUAAACUUAAUCUCCCCUCUCCAAUUGUAUCAUGCCCUUUUGAUCACUUAGCUCAAUUUAGGUGAGAGCUUGGGAGUUGGGACAGUAUAUUUGAACUAAGGAAACUUUGAAGAGACGAUACUCCUUUUGGUGAUUUCUAUUGUGAAAUAAUACAAAAGUCACAAUCAUGCUGGUUUUCUUUUCUUUCUUGAAAUUGCUUUUGGUGAAUUCUAUAUUGUGAAAUAAAAGAGAAGUCACAAUAUAUUUUUUUUGCUAAAUAAAAAAAGUCAAAAUAUCGCAAUUAUGACGUGUGGAAGAAUUGACAUGGAAAUAUUGAAGACUGCAGAGAGAGGGGGAAAAACUGGCUCUUUUGUUAGCAAAGAAAAUAGGUACGCAACGGAAUUAAAUAUAGCAUCUCAAAAAUUUGAUGAACAAACAAGGAGGCCCUCAAUUAGAGCCACAAGUCUUUUCAAGUUCUCGAGAACAAAAGAUAACAUUCACGAAAGCAGAGUUGGCGCAACUUACUGGACCAGAGAAGGAACAAAACUAACCUUGUGCAAUGACCAACUUUAUGAUUGGUUCGCACCAGGCCUGUAAAAAAGACAAAACAAAUCUGACUUCUUGACUUCAUACUACUAACACAUGUUUCAAUAAGGCAAUGCUAACUAUGAACCCAAUUCCUAUGCAACUUCAAGAAUCUAACGAAACAGAUUGAACAGAGACACCCAAUUUAAGUAAAACUAGGGGUGUCGAGGUUAAUUAAGUAGCUCAUGAGUUUGCUCUGUCAAAGUUCUAAAACUUUUCAUUGGUCAAGUUUAAGCUCGAAUUCGAGUAGUUCAAGCUACUUGACGAGUCGAGUUCGACUUUAAUAUAUGAAACUCGAAAGCUCGUCAAAGUUAAUCGAAUUCAAUUGAGCUUCAUGCACACAUAUAUUAAUUUUUUUUAUAUAUAUUCUAAAAAUGUACGAGUUGGCAUUGGUUUUGGGCUAAAUAUAAUUAAGUGAAUAUGAAUACAUCUCAAAUUAAAUUCAAUUAGAAAAUGAGUUAAAUUAUCUUACCACAACAUUGCAUGAAAAAAAUAAAAAAUUGUUGUACCAUAAAAGUUUUACUGCAUGGAUGACAGGUGUCGAGCCUGUGCAAUAAUAAAAAUAGAACCUAAUUACCACUAAAAGCAGUCAAUAAUUAAUCCUAGGUACUGGAGCAGGGACUCUAGGUGUGCAAUAGGUUACUUGAUUCACCCUGUUCCCGAAGCGUUUGCUUAACCCGAUAUACCAGAAUUAAUUAAUUGACAAAAACUACUAAAUAGUAGACAGUGGCAAGCAGGGUUGUCUCCUCAAGGACUGGGGAUAUUUGUCUCUUGAAAUUCCAAUUGGUAAAGGGGGAUUUUAUCAGAAUGAAACUAAAAACAAUUAAGCAAUUCAACUAAAAAUAAUUAAUUAACUAGCACGAAUAUAGCAAGAAUUAAAUCAAGACUAGAUAAAUUCUAGCCAAGGAUACAACUAUUCAGACACAGUCCACUUACUCGAUCAUGAUUAAUAGGCUAGUUAUAAUCGCCGACGAACUCUAACGAUCAAUUUUUCCUCAAUUUAUUGAUAACCAAGGUACGACCAUUGAUUACUCCUAACCAGAAAAUACUCCUAGGUACGACCGUAGGAAUUAAUUUCCCAAUUCCAUUAAGAUCUAGAAAAACCUAACCCCAAUAACACGCUACGAGGGUUAUUUAAAUUAGAUUGCACGUUCUCCUAGUGUGUAAACACGUCAGUUGCCACUAAUAUUAAUCAAUCAAACAAUUACGGAUUUAAUUGACUAAUUUGACAGGAGAUUAAUAAGUCACAUUGAACAUCGGGCCCUUGACAUCCAAUUAACAAAAUAAUCCCAUGGAAAUUCAAAUAGGUAACUUGCAAAUAUUAACAAAUUAAGAAACGCGUGAAAACUAAUUAGAUCUCACAGAUAUUUGGGACUGCGCCGUCGAGUUGAUCCUUGACUAGAUGAAAGGCUUAGGCACGCCGCAUAAAUAAAUCUCCACACAAAUUAAUUGACUAUAAAAGCAUCGCGUUUGUCACUAGAAAGCAAGAGGUAAAAGCUAUUUUUCUAGUAUGGAAUUACAUCGAACAGAAGGCACGCAUGCCAAGUAGAAGAAAAGAAACUAAAACUCUUGCUUAAGAGAUGUCCCUGGCCUCUGUACCUUUUUUUUCUUUUCAAAGCCAAAAGGAAAUAACUAAUGCUAUCUCCUAGUGAUCCCCACGCAAUUGAGAGUCAAAGGGCCAAAGAGUUGGAGGUCUGCUGAAGUCCUUGUCUUUAGUUUCCUCUUUAUAAGAAAACUCCUAGUCAGUAGCUUUUCUAAUCAGCAAAAAGAAAUGCAAUCCGUCUGUGGCACCAUGUGGGCUAGUUCUGUGGCUUGUUUGAAGUCUCAAUUGUCUCCAAAAAGUCCCUCCUUUUUUGUAGUUUUCUGCUCCACUCCCUGAAAUUGAGUCCAAAUACCAAAUAUAAGUAAAUAUUAAUAAUUAAAACAAUAUUUGGCAAGGACAAAGGGAAAAAUUAAUAAUAAAAUUACUAACAAUUAACACCUUAUCAAUGGAUUGAAGCACAAAUUAGAUUGCUCUUUUUAAGAUAAUUAGUGCAUAUGAAGUAUUAUCCGAUGCAAUAGGUUUUAGCAUUUCGCUUCUAACUUGUUUUUGAUUGCCGUUUAUCCUAAUAUACCAAUAGGUUAGACAAAAACUUAACACAAUACUGUUUUUACUUCAAAUGAAAUUUAUACUAUAUAUAAAGGGAGAGUAGUGAUAGUUGGUAUAAAGAUUUUCUGUCAUUUUUAUGAACUUUCAAUUUUACCCCUUAGAAAAACUAAUUUUUUGUCCUAAUUACUUGAUCACAUUUGCCAACAUCGCUGCUCGUAACUACACUAAAUAUUCCAGCUACCAAAUUAUCUAUUUUUUAAUUGAAGGAAAAUUACUUAUAAAUUGAAGUUUGUUAAUGAAAAAUUCUUUUAAAAUUUAUUUGUGCAAAAAUAAAAUUUGUGAAUUUAUAAAAAUAAUAAUUAUCUCUAAAUUGCACACAUACUCGGUGUGCCUUUAACACUAGUACAUAUAACAUAUCUAAAACUAGUUUAGUAUUAGUAGAAUAUAGUAGAAGAAUCUCCUUAUCAAGAGUAAGAAAUAUAGGUGUGACAAUAAUGUAAGAUAUCUGUUGUUUGAACAUUUAUUUAUAGGUAGAAUAUUAUAUGAGUACAACCUUGACAAUUGACAUUAAAUCUAAUGACAAUACAAAAUUUUAGUUUGAAAAUACUAUUGCUUGUAAUGCCAUGUAUAACGGUCAAAUUAUUAUGAAAAUAACAUUAGAAAGGUUUCUCAUUUUUGUUAUCAAAUUUGCAAUUGAAAAUCAUUGAAUAAUAAUUGUAAUUUUUUUUGUUAAAUUACUCCAACAAUACCCCCUUUUAUUUUAAUAACAAAUAAGUGGGGGACGUGAAACCAUUUAAUUUUACAUAACAUUUUCUUAGAGUUCUAUAUAGUCCCUUCCUCAACUUUCAUUUAAUUUUUUCCAAUUCACUCAUCUAGUACCUAAAGGUGUGCACCUAAAUCAAAUUCUUACUUUUUAGAUCUACCUACUACUGUCCUAACACACUACUAAUCGAUUCAAUACCCUACUAUUGCAAUACUAAAACGACUCAAUGAUGUCCUAACACAUCGUUCUUGGGCUGAUCCUGUGAGAUUUUAGUGCUUCUGUGAUUUUUGUGGUUCGGCGUUAUAAUCAGUUCAUUCUUCGAUAGUAAAGUGCUGGGCAGUUACUGACCAACAAAUGCUCUGAUGAAGAAGAGUUUGUACUUUGUAGCAUUAAAAAAUUGAGAACGGAUAAAUUGUACUUGUCGGCCCGAUGGAUACGAAAUCUUGUGGCACGUCUAUUCUUCACUAAAGUUAUUAGAAUUGGGCCACAGAUUUACAUGAAUCUUCCUCCAUCUUCUCUGUUAAUUACGGCUUUUUCAAAUUGAGUUUGUAAUUUUCAAGUUGAGCUUUUAUCUUCUUCAGCAAAUAGCAUCCAAUUUAAGGUACUUAAGUUUUGGCCUUUACUCAUUUGACUUUAUGUUAUGACCUUCUGUCUGAUACGUUGUCGGGAAAAUGGGGCCUCGCAAGUUCCAUUUCAUACAAGUUGGUGUAAAUUAAUAAUUUGCUUUCAACUUACAUCAAAUUAUCUUUAAUUUACACUAAAUGAUAAUAAUUAACUUAUACCAAACGGUACUUAAUUUACACCAAAUAAUAACAAAUCAACAUACAUUGAAUUUAACUUAUUUACAUUAAACUUGACCUGAUUUAUACGAAAAUCUUAUUAAUUUAUACCAGAGCUCAAUUUGUGUGAAAUUGUACGAAACAUAAAUUGCGAAUCCCCAGAUCCUGUUGUAGGAUAUUCCUCAAGAUGAUUGCCUUGAGUUUUUUCUUGUUAAUUUUUAGUGUUUUUUAAUAGCUGUUUUUAAAAUGUACGUGAUGUGUUUUUAAGGUGUAUUUUGGAUAGAUAAUCAGUGAGCCCGUGCUAUCUCCUUUGACAGUGAUGCGAACGGUCUCAUCUGCAUUAGACGAAAGAAGAAAAAUUAGAUACAUCCAACUUUAUCUGUAUCUCAUAUCGACGAUCCUUUUUUUCAUGGACUUAUCACAAAAGGAGUUGACAGGAACAAUUUUAGAUUGUUUGGCCUACAUGCCUUCCUUAAGAACAAUGUAAGUAUGUUUUUUUAAAUCUUUAUACAUAAAAAUCUUAAUUAAUCAAUCAAAACUCAAUCAGAGGUUAAAACAACCUCAAAAUACAUCCCAACUCCCAUGGCAUUCAACAAGAACUGCCUAGCUAAUAGGCAUACAUACACAAACAACAAAGUAACAAAAAAGCUAGAUACCUAUAAUUAGUUAAUUAACCAACUAUCUUUAAAGUAGUUGGCCACUAGGGUGCAGGUUAAGGGAUCGAAUCCCUUAACUUGCAUUCAUUUUCAGGAUUUUCAGAAAUUUUACAAGUGGGUGCAAAGGCACUCGUUUGGUCCGAUGAUAGUUUAGUCCCUUCCAGGUUCUCCCUUGACCCAUUUAGUCAUUUUCAGGAUUUUCAGAAAUUUUACAAGCGGGUGCAAAGGCACUCGUUUGGUCCGAUGAUAGUUUAGUCCCUUCCAGGUUCUCCCUUGACCCAUUUAGGCCCACCCUCUCCCUCCCAAUAUAGAGUAGGAGUAAAUAUAGAAUAGAAACUAUUGUGUCAAUAGAAAAAAAAAAUAUGAUUAGUUAAUAACACACUGCAAAAUAAAAAAAAAAAAAUAGAGGUUCUAAAAGUUCCCUAGGGUUCUAUGUAUUUGAAUUCAGUUGUUAAACUUUUAAUCAUCAUCAUCAGCACCAUUAGAAGACGGACGUCAAUCUUUAGAUUGAAAUGGCAUGAUUAAACACCAAUUUCUCAAUGUUAAUGAGGCUGAUAUCCUAGACAUAGUCCUUACAUGUUCAUGAUUAUCUAGAAUAAUGUGCUUCUCAAAAUGUGUAACUUAUGAUCAGCCAGUGAGCAUUUAAUCAUAAAUCGGUUUAUAGGCGCUUAUGGCAAGAAAUAGAAGUUUAUGUACAAAAUUGUUAUCAACUAAGCUGAUGCUGCAAACUGUUGAAAACAGUACUACUUAAUAGAUUGACUUUUUAAUUUACAACUGUUUUAAUUUACUUUUUUUUUUUUUUUUGUGUCCUCCCACCUCUUUCCAUACCCAAUUGUUAGGUUUAGAAUACAAACUCUGAACUUGUUAAUGUAUUUAAACGGUCGGAACAUGUAAUACAUAUAUGGCUGUUGAUGAUAUAAGUAAAACCGAUUCAGGUCUGAUCCUUGUAUACUGGGCUAUGGCCUAUCUUGGAUCUGGAAAUAUGGAUCGGAUCUGGACUUGGAACCGGUGGUCCAUUGAUAGCCUUAUGCCCAUGUCUGCAAAAAUCCUAUUCAUUCGUACACAGAGUCCCUGAUUUCUUCGAUCAAAAGCCACGGGGCCCCGUGCUUUAAGAUGAAUAGGCCGCCAUGGAUCUUCACUGGCAAAUUGUUUUCCUUGUUUCUUGAAAAAAAUUGCUUGGAGUAUAAUAAAGUUUAAUUUCGUGAAAAGUUUGUUUAGGAUUUGAUUAUAGACCGUUGAUAAUAUUUUACUAUAAAUUAAUAUUUCGAUUUAAUCAUAUAUGAAUUUGAGACAUAGAUGAAAAGUAAGGACUCUUGUGAUUUCUUAAAAAUUUCGUUUACGUUGUAUUUGUGAUUCAUACUAUUGGUCAUGUAAUUACUGUCCUUUGUAGAAUUUACAAUUUAUAAGAACUUAAUCAUGAAUAUGUUCCAAAAAAAUCACACUACUGAAGCACAACCUGAAUUAUAUAUAAACAAGCUAUAAAAGUGUAUUUAAAAUGGUAGUAGAUUAAUUGAACAAAACUACAAAACUACUGCACUAUUUAAAAUGGUUGUUUUUGACAAAUUUCAAUCCAUGAUCAUUAAUUAGCUCAAUCAACCAUAAGAAUCCCCAAAUUGACUUCACUUCUAAUAACUUUAGACAUGUUAUUUUUUUAGUUGUUGUCAAUCAUUUCUCGAGAUGUGAUGUCCCUUGGAUUUGUCCACCUCGUGUUAAGAAUGCUUGGUUGUCUUCCGGUAGGAAAUUUUGCUUUUGCUUGGUUGUCAUGUCCCUUUACUAUUGCUUCCCUUUCUGCCAAGACGCCUUCGAGUUCUAGUCGUGAUUGUGCUUGGUUGUAUUGUAAUGGGAAAUUUUGGAUAACAAAUCACCUCACAGGAUACCACUAAUCACUUGACCUGAAAAUUGGAGGUUUUGCCAUUUAAGUCGAUUUUCUGGGUUUAACUCCCCAUGUCUAGAGACACCUUUUUUGUGAUAAUUUCCUUUUGAUUAAUCCAUACAUAAUAUUGAACGUUCCUUUUGUUAAUCGAUUGUCGAAACUUCUAAUUUGCUAAUAUUUGCUGGUUUUUUCCAAUAUCUGCAGACAAAAUAUGAUCACUUUUAUUUUUUUUAUAUGAUAAUAGUCAUACCGUGAUCAUCAUUUAGUUGGGAAAGAAUAUGCUGAAUAUUACAAAGGAGAAAGUAGAAAUGAAAAAUUUCGAAUUCGAGACCUCUUACUUUAUUAAAAAAAAAAAAACUAUGAUCAUUAUUUAGAACGGCAAUGUCAACAUCCUUUGUUGUAUCCGGUAAUUGCUGCUUCGUUUCAAGCAAAACUAUCAGUAUCUGCCGUUUGUAAUUUUAUGAUAUCGUAAUUGUAAAGAAAUUUCAUUCUUCUCUUUCCAAUUGUCCAUGGAUUUUCUAUGGAAGCAGUGGAUCCGGCGACUUUUCUAUCAGGGUUCCGUAGACGAUGGUGUAUCUUAGACCGCAGAGUCUCCAUUCAAUCAGGAACCAGUGGGCCCCAUGCUUUUAGCUGGAUGGGCCUGGAUUUUCUCAGCCGGGGCCCAGCAAAAGUUGUAAAUGGACCUACCGUAGAUCCGACCGCGCAAGAAAUUUUUAAUCUUCUUGGGUCUCUCGAGUUGACUCCAGAACAAGUCAACAAGUCAACGGACGAUCGGUAUACUCUGGACCUGAGGUCCGAAACAGCAAAACAAUAUGAAAUUAAACAUAUGCUGGCAUAAAAUAUUUCCAAACAAGAUUUAAAUGAGUUUUUUUUUCACUUUAAUUUAUCAGAAUUUAUUAAUAAUUGCGGUCUAUUUUUAACUAUUUCAUUAAAUCUAGCUGUCGAAAGAAAAAAAAGUUUGGAAUAUGCUGCAGCUUAAUACAUGAAAAUUUUGUUUGGGAUUGAUUGCACCUUUACUAAAUUAAGUUUUACUAGAGUUGUAAGUUGUUGACUAACUAAGGUUUUCUAGAAUUUAUAACUUCUGAGAAAUUAUACUUUCUUCUCGCUAUUAGGUUCAGUCUUAAGUCUAGCAAUUAGGGGUGGGAAGGGUGUUGACAGGAGUAGAAGGUAUAAAAAAAAGCUAUAGUCAUGACUUUGUCCCAAAAAAAAUCAAAUUGCUGAAUCUCAAUUUGAACGAUAUAUUUACAAUUUAUUGCUAAGAUGUAUUCGGGUAUUAAAUUAAUUGAAUGAAAGAAUCGUUCUGUUUGAAAUGGUUUUUUUUUUAGAGAAUUUUUAAAAACGUUUAGUAUAGCCACAUUAUUGGAAGAGUGUAUGUAUGUAAGAUAAGAAAUUAUUAAAGGACGUAAUUAAAAGGUUUUCAUAAAUGAUCCUUCCAAACAAAAACAGUUUUCCAUUUGCUUUAACUUAUUAGUUUAACCUGCGAAUUUCCUCUCAGAUAAAUGAUGAACAAGCUUAAGUUGGACAAAAUUUUCUUCUAGGACAUGAACAUGGUCAAGGGAUCUCCUUUUCUGCCUCAGCUUGUUCAAACUUAAAAACUGGUCAUGACAGACUCAAAUUCGUAUACAAAAAGCUAUUCAACGAUUAGAGGAAGAAUAUUUUGGUAGUAGUACUCAAAGGUUGUAUUCAGAAACUCUUGCGGAAUUGCUUCUCCUGAAAUGUUUCCAAAUUCCAGGUUUAAAUAAGACAAGAAAUUGCGGUCCAGAUAUUUGAUGCAAACCAAAACACAUGAUGGAAAACGUUUGAUUUACGUUUAUAGAAAAACAACCCUGUAUUGACCGUAACAUAGGAGUAGAACAAGUCGAGGGUUAGGUUUUACAACACAUAUUUAGAUUUUCUUUUUUUUUCCCCCUUACCAGAGCAUAAUAUAAUGGGAACUUACAACUAUAAUACAAUUGGCUACAGGUUCGGCAUGUUCACGAGUUCACAAAACGUCGCCAUGUUUUUCUCGUAUGCAAGUCCAUGCUGCAGGAGAAGGCAAAAGGCCGCUGAUUUCCAUGAAUGGUCGCAAUUUAUCUGAAAAAGAGCUUAAGUUUGAGGAACAUGCACGAUGGGAACUUAUACCAGGCAGAUCCAGUAAGUCCUUUGAUAUAUAUAUACAUAUAUAUAUAUAUAUAUAUAUUCUUAGCAGCUAUCCUUCAUCUCCAAGCAUUGUCAGGCACUAUUCUUAGCGACAUCUAAAUAAUUUAUUGUACGUCUAUUUAGUGAUUCCACUAUAUGCCAUUUCGUUUCCGCUGAGAUACUUCUGUCAAGAAUUUUAGGCCUUUGUACGUUAAUUUUGGUCUUGCACUGUAAGUUCGGAGAACUACACCGACGGUACACACACAGGCACAGACAGAUAUAUUCAAGAGCUCGUUUGGAUGGGUGUUUUUGAGAAUAUUUUUUAUAGAACUUUAACUCUAGAUAUGUGUUUUAUAAAACCAUUUGAUAUGGUGCUUUAAAAAUGUUUUCAAGUGUUUUUGGGAAUGAUUUUAAAACUGAUGAUUAGCGCCAUCCUCUUCUCACCUCUACCCUGCCCUCCGAUCUCCACUCUUUCUCUCCCCCCGCUUCUUUUCUCCACCUCUGGCCACCCUCGCAUUCCAUCCCCUCACCCCUCCUAUUUUCCACCCUUCCUUGUCACCUCUAAAAAAAAAAACCAUCAAAUCACCCCUACCAGAUUGCAUAGAUCUUUCAUGUGGCCAUAUCAUAAAGGGACGAGGGCGCAAGGGAAAGAGGGAGUGUGGUACUUAUAUUUAGAGAUUUAAUUAAACCCGAAUUAUGAGUAGCAAAGAAUGAUUGCAACAUUCAUUUUCUGAGGGCUUGGGGACAAAGCCAUUAAGGGUUUGUUUCGAUGUGUUUCAACUUGUAAAAAAGUAUUUGAUUGUUCAUAAACAUAUUCUCUAACCACCUUUUGAUUUCACAUAUAUCAUAUCACAAAAAUGUUACGGUAUUUCAACAAAUCUCCUAUCCAAACACACUCAUUGUUUCUAAUUUCGGUUGAAUAGAUAAGUCCAAAUGCACAGAUUUGUCGAUGACUUGAUUGAUUUUUGUCUGCAGGUUUCAUCAGUAUCGACUGUGGCAUAGAAAAUGGUAACGAUUAUACUGACAGCGAAACUGGAAUUAGUUAUACAUCAGAUGCGCAAUAUGUUGAAAGCGGAGUAAACAUGAAAAUAUCUGAUUUAUUCUUGUCUCAAACUCAAAAUUAUCAAAAGCUGCUGUCAACUGUUAGAAGUUUUCCUGAAGGAAACAGCAGUUGCUACACGCUAAAACCAACAGCAACUGGCGGAGGCAACAAGUACUUGAUUAGAGCAUUCUUCAUGUAUGGAAAUUAUGAUUUGAAAAGUCAACCACCACUUUUCAAACUCUAUCUUAAUGCAAAUGAGUGGGAUGAAGUAAAACUGGACAAUGCAUCUCAGAUUCUGAUCAAAGAAGUCAUACAUAAUCCUCCUACAGAUUAUAUACACGUCUGUCUUGUCAAUGUUGGCUCCGGAACACCUAUUAUUUCAGCACUUGAGAUAAGAGAGUUGAGCAACACCAUCUAUGAUACUAUGUAUAAUGAUUCGCUAAUCCUCUACAGAAGGUUAGAUGAAGGUGCAAGUUCAACGAUUAGCAACAAAUUCCAGAGGUAAAUAAGGUCUAUAUAUGAGUAAGAAUAUUAUUAAUUAUUUGAAUAUUGUUCUUUGCAUUUUAGACGGAAUUAAUUUGGUUUUCCAAUUCUUCAUUUUCAGGACUGCUUGUCUAUUAUUAUUUUUUUCUGUCGUUUGGAAUCUUCAGUGUUCAAAACCACACUAAGCUCAGGUGCCUGUUUAUUCAAGGGCAAAAAAUAGUCGAAUCUUUCUCAUUAUCUUUUAAUCCUGGAUACCUCUUCAAUUUUCUUUUUUCGAAUUGGGGAUUUUAAGGCUAUUGCACAAGGUUCAAUUACAUACGAAGUUAACUUUAAGUUGAAACCCAGACCCCUCAAAUCACUCCUAAAUCCCCCUCAUUUUUUUUCCCAAUAACAAGACAUGAGCAAAACAAGAUAACUUUCCCAUUAACGUGAAAAAAUAGAUUCCUAGUAUUUACUACAAGAGGCGCCUAGUUUAGUUGUUAAACAGUGUUUUGAAUUUCAGAUAGAAUUGGCUGAUUCAAUUGAUUGAACCAUGAACAGUCAAUUGCCCCGUCAAAGCCUUCUCAAUGAGCUGGUCAAACUUAGUUAAAAACUGGAUUUGACCUGAGAAGAUCAGGAAAAGAUCUGAAAAAUUGGUUUCUUCAAACUUAGUUAAAAUUGAUUAACUUUCCUUCUUGUUUUCUAAUUUUACAUUUUUUUUUGUUGAAGCUUUCCUUAAUUAUUCUUGACUCGAGUUUGAUACUCAAAAUUUUUGUGGCAUUUAGGUUUGACAUUUGAAUAAUUUGGACAACUAAUUCUUUCACGAACUUUUUCGAGUUACAAUCUUAGUUUCUAAAUUUUGUUAAUUAAGUCUUAUGAAUUUAGUAGUAAGAUGUUAUACUUUUGUUGUGCAUGAAUUCCUAAAAUUUCUUUCAGGUACCGGGAUGAUUUCUAUGAUCGUAUAUGGGAAGUCCCUGACUACCGGCCUGAUUGGGAACCAAUUAACACAACUUCUUACAUUACUGAAGAAUAUCUUGACAACGCCUAUAAACCUUCACCAAUCGUCAUGAGCACUGCAGUCACGCCUGCGCAUGGAAGUUCGUUGGUGCUGUCUCAAAAUGUUGAUCGAAACCAACAAUUCUACUUGUACAUGCAUUUCCUCGAGGUGGAAGAUCUCCCAUCGACUCAAAUCAGGAAGUUUGCCAUAUAUGUGAACAAUAAAAUCUGGUCCGACCCUGUUGUUCCAGACAGUGGUCCAGAUACCAUCUACAGCACAUACUCUCGGGGUGGUGCUGAUACCCUACUGUUCUCAAUCAUUAUGACAAAUGAUUCUACACUUCCUCCAAUUCUCAAUGCCGUAGAGUUCUAUAUCCGCAAGAAAUUCCCUAUCUUGCCUACAAAUCAAAGUGACGGUACGCUUAAAUCUAAAGCCGUAUUUUUUAUUUGAUACUUCAUACUCAAUGACACAAAUUAUUGGGAGAUCUUUGCUAAUUACAACAGUUCGUUCAAUUAUACUUAACCAAAAAAAACAAUUGAAAAUAUGAAAAAGUAAUCAUUAAAAUGAAGAAUUUCGUAGGGUUUCUAUUGAAUGCUUUACAGCCCUGAAUUAUAUACAUUAAUUUUGUUCUUGGUUGAUUUCAGGAUUGUCCCUUUCUCAUAGCGAUUUAUCGUGUAUAAUUUUGUGUAAUUUUAUAUAAAAUCAAGAUACAGAUUCAUCGGCGUUGUGACCUUUUAUACGCUAUCUUCUUUCUUUCUUUUUCUUUUUUUUUUGCAUGAUGUGUACAUACGAUGAAUCCUUCUAUAGGAGCUGUAAAAUUUUUUUCCCUCUAACUUUUUUUUUCCCCGACAAACUCUAGUUGACGCCAUGAUCAGCAUUAGGUCAACGUAUGGUGUAAAGAAAAAUUGGCAAGGAGAUCCAUGUGUACCCGAGGAACUUAGGUGGGAUGGACUAGACUGCAGCACCAAUGAUCAGGGUUUAUACAGAAUCAUUUCAAUGUCAGCUUCUGUUUCUACAACAAACUUCAUUUUUUGUAAUUGAAUGUGAAGAUGACUGCGUCCUUUUCUGCUAUUUAACCAUGUUGACGGAACUGAAUUAAAGCAGGAACCUAUCCUUCAGUGGGUUAGCCGAUGAAAUCACAUUCUCAUUGUCUAAACUUGAUUCACUACAAAGCUUGUAAGUAUAUCUACUGCCAUAUGUCAUAUUUCAUACAUUUAUUUAUUUUUUUAAAAUAAAAAUGGCCAAUUGCUUUUGCCACUUUUCUGAAACAAUAAUUGUGGGCAUUUUCUCUUUUCGUCAAAUUUCAUACCGUUGUAAGUAAAUUGUGAACUGCUAGAAAGAGUAUAUUGGAGAAAUUUUUAUUUUUUUAAAGUAUUGGAGAAAGUUCUUGUUCCAUCAAGACAAUUAUUUCGGAAGUGCAAAAGAAGAUUCCAGUCAGGAAAAAAAAAAGUUAAAAGGUCUAGAUUGGAGUUAACCUGAUUAUAAGCUAACUACUAGAAAUGGUACUAGUACAACUACUAUUGGAGAUUUGGAGUCACAAAUACAAAUAAUUGUUUCGUUUAUGCAAUGAAUUCUUUUGCAAAUAAUCAUGUAAGUUAUACCUAUUUCCUAUGUUAAACAAGGGUUCCCAGUUGGCUGCAGGAAGAAAACUUCUUAUAUUUGCAUUCUAGAGUUGGACAUUUUAUGCAUCUGAAUUAGACUACAGAAGAAAAAUUAGGUAUAUCGUACUUCUAUCUCAUAUCGACAAUCAUUAUUCAGGGACAUGUCUCACAAUGACUUGACAGGAACAAUUCCAGAUUUUUUGGCCUACAUGCCUUCCUUAAGAACAAUGUAAGUUCCUACACGAUUUGCCUCGAGAAAAAAUUGUAGUUUUGAUCCCUAAUGUUUGGCCCGAAUGUUUAGUUCAAAAUAAAUCUGAUCCCCAAAAUUUGUGAUUUUAGUUAGAUUUAGGACAAUUAUCAGAAAUAGAAUAACGACUAACGGUCAUCAUCAAAUUGUUAUUAAUCAACAACUUUGACUUUGCACUUUUGGUCUCAAAUAUUUUGACUUUGAAUCAUCAUAUUUUCCUAAAUUUUAAAUAGUGAUAUUAAGAGUUUUAGCAUGAGUUGUAAUUAAACUUCUUUUUCUUCUUUUUAUUUUUAUUUUUAUUUCAUUUAUUCAUGCUAAUAAUAUAUCAUAUGUUUCUUUUCUUUUGCAUAGUUAGUCUUAAAUUUGGUAUAAUAUAUAUAUUAUUAUUUCUCAGUAUUAAUAAUUAAUUGAUAAUGAGUUUUAUUAUUUUUAUUUCUAAUGAUAAUUACAAACUUAAUUAAAUAUCCCUUUCAAAUAUAAGGAAUGUGCUGAUCUUUUUUUUAGGCCAUUUAAUAGGUUAUCAGUUGAAUUUAAAAUAAAGUAGGCAUCUCAUAUAUAUUAUAUUAAACAUUAAAUGAUUAUCACAAUAUAUAAAUAUAAAUUCUUUAAAACUACAAUAUUAGAACGUUAAAUUUUAAUUGGAAGGAUAGACAACAAAAGAUGAAAUAUAGUUUUCUUAAGGUAAGUACCAAUGUGAAGUAAUUUUUUAAAUUCUUUAAAAAAAUCUUUUAUUUUUUGUUGUCUUUCCUACCAAUUAAAAUUUAACAUUCCAAUAUUGUAGUUUUAAAGCAUUUAUUUUAAUAUCUAUGCACCUUAAUAAUCAUGUAGUUGUUCAUAUAAUGUGUAUAAAAUGGCAACUUAAUUUCAAACUCAAUUGAUAAUCUAUUAAAAUGCCAAAAAAAGAUCAACUUAGUUUACAAAAAAGUAUAUAGUCUUUAUAUUUUGAAGGGAUAUUUAAUUAAGUUUUUAAUUAUCAUUAGAAAUUCAAUUAAUUAUUAAUAAUGAAAUAAUAUACAUAUAUUAUACCAACUUUAAGACUAUGCAAAAGAAAAAUAUAUAAUAUAUUAUUAGCAUAAAUAAAUAAAAAAAUUAAAAAAAGAAGAAAAAGAAGCUUUAUGUUUUAAAUUGUCAUUAUUUAAACUUUAUGGUUCAAAAAUAUAUUUUAGGUUACUCUGUGUAAAAGAAUAAAUUUCAAUUUCUUCUGUAGAGAAGGAUGGGGGACAGGAAAGGAAGAAACAGAAGUUGUUAAGGUGUGUUUUUCUCUUAUCUUGCAGUAACUUAUCUGGAAACAAGCUGGAAGGCUCAGUUCCUGCACUUCUUCUUGAUAAAAUGAACAACGGGGCAUUGGCACUCAGGUAUUUUAAAUUCUAGACCAUGACCCUUUUUCUUUUUGUUCUAUUCCAGAGGAUGACUUAUUUAACUACACAUUGGUUGAAUAGAAGGAAAGUUAUAUGGGAAAGUGAGAUAAAGAAAAGUGAAAAUGAGUUUCCUAUAUAAGUUUGGUUACGAAGAAAAAUAUUGAGAGAAUAUAAGAAGUUAAUGACAGUUAAUAGCAGUUAUUAAAACUUUCGUGAGUUAUUUUCCUGAAAGCCCUGCAAAUUUUGUAGGACACAAAGUGCAGGAAAAUGCAAGAAAAAGUUUCAAUAUUCCUGCUAUGAAGAAAAAAAUAACUAACUUUCAUUCAUUUCUUCACACUUUUCCGAUAAACAAACACUAUAUUUCACUUUUAUUUGAGACAUAGCAUCCCAUAAUGUUUUUAGAUUGUAUCAAUGAGUCAGAUUUGCCAAUAGAUCGAUCUAAUUAAAUUCAAGUGGGAGGAAAUUGGAAUUGUAUACCCAGAUAAUGCCAGAAAGAGACAAAAAUUACAUGUAUGUAAUUUUUGCUCAUUUGUUUUUUGGUUAAAAUGUAAUUUUUGUUCUUUUUCUUUUCAGUUAAAAAAUUUUUUUUUUUUGUUCCUUUUGUGCAAGUUUGGAUGGAAACCCGGAUCUUUGUUUAUCAGGCCCUUGCAAGAAGAAGAAGUCUCAUAAGCAGAGACUGAUCGUUAGCAUCGUUUUACCGACCAUAUCAUGUCUUCUUGGCAUAGUAAUCGGGGUAGCGAUUUUCAAGCACAGAAUAAAAGCCGCCUCAACGAAGGGUACUCCUUGAUAUCUCAACUUUUCAAAAUUGCACUACUACUCCUUUCAAAAGCAUAAUAUUUUUGUUUGACAUACAAUUUUAUAAAAUUCGAGGGUUCAAAACAUAGCCAAUUGCAAUGACAGGAGUGAUUCGAGAUCUUUGUUAACUUAAACAUCGGAACACUGAUGUAGUACAAGAAAUGCCCAUGAGUCUAUGAGGAAUUUGGUUGUAGGGGUAUGAAAUUGAAAUGGGAUGGUUAUUUUAUCAAUUAUUGUGUUUGGAAAGACAAAAGAGGCCUUUCUACCCUCUGGUCCAAUUGUUGAAAACGUAUCAAUCUUUUUUUGGGUCGCUGCAAUAAGUCCUAAUGUACUAAAUUUUGAGUUAGAGCGCCCUUAGGCCAAAAAAGUUCAUUAGAACACCUUCUUGAUUUAUUGCAAAGCAGGAAUUUGUGCCUAACCUACAGCCAAAAAAGUAACUUCAACGGAUGUUUACAAAAAAAGGACCGGGGAGGGGGGGGGGUUGCUGUAAGAGAAUAAUAGAAAGAUUUUAAUAAUUUGCAAUUUUUUUAUACACAUGAAGUAACUUUGUUUAUUGUAAUUUAAAUUGUUACAUAUACUGCUAGAACCUAAAUAUUCAUUCAUGUUGGAAACUAAUUAAUAUUCAUUCAUGAGAAAAUGAAUUAUUGCAUAUCUUGUAUUUAUUAAAGGGAUAAUUUCAGAAACCUCCCUUGAGGUUUCUUGCUAUUUCACUUAGUCCCCUUGGUGUUUUAAAAAUUACACUUACCUCCUUUGAUUUCACACUUUGGUAACCAAACUUUAAAAUAGAGUAAAAAGUUUAAUGAAUACUCUAAAAUGCCCUUAUCUUGCAAAGUUCAAUUUGUUCUUCUAAACAAAAAGAGUAUCAAGUUUUCAUGCUAAUAUUUGUUAUUUAAUAAUCAACUAUAACAAUAAAUCUUUUGCUAUAAUAGGGUAUAUUUCAUAGUGUUUUACUGGGAAUAUAAAUUCUUUUUAAGAUAGAGAGUGCUUUUUUGUUUCUUUUAAAGUUUAUGGAUAUUUUUUAAAUGAAAAUUUAUGGACCAGUUUAAUGGUGGAACUAUCAUAAUUUGGUAGUGAUUUUGGGCCAUUUGUUUUUAAUCAUUGUUGACUUACCCUUGAUUUUGCUACCAAAAAAAUUGGAGAAUGUUAAAAGUCAUCAAAAAAAUAUUACUAGUUUAACAUAAUUUGAAUAGAUAUUGGGGACAACAUUGAUAAUUCUUCUAUACUUCUAAUGAAAUAUAAGAGAAAUGAAUAAGAGGGAAAAUGGUAAAAAAAUAUAAAAUCCUCAGUAUUAAGGUUAGUAUUGCAUAAACAUGGCAACAAGAGAGUUUUAUUAAAAAUAUUAAGGUUAGUAUUGUCAUUUUAAAUGGACAAGGGAGGUACAUGUAAUUUUUGAAACCUUAGAGGAGCCAAGUGAAAUUAUUAGAAACCUCAGGGGAGGUUUCUAAAAUUAUCCCUUAAUUAAAUACUAAUGCAUACUUCAAGGUUUAUCAUCAUUGUAAAAAUCUAGUUACUAUUUCAAUAGAAAAUCUAUUCAUGUUUUGGAAUUUGCUACAGUGUUUUGACGAGUAUUCUUACAUUAUAGUAAAAGCAUGUGUAUUAGUUCUAAAUAGUUUGUAUGAUAUUUGAACACUUAGAAUAAAUUAAUUAUCUAAAAGUGAUAUUAAUGAAUACAUAAGAAUACCAUUAAUAUUUUUUCUUAAAUUAUACAUAGUUGCACAACUUCACAAUUGACAGGUGCCGAACCUGUGCAAUAAUAAUAAAUAAAUCCUAACUACCACCUGCAACAGCUAGUAAUCAAUUCGAGUACUGGAGCAGGGACUCUAGGUGUGCAAUGGGUUACUUGAUUCACCCUGUUCCCGAAGAGUUUGCUUAAUCCGAUAUACCUGAAUCAAUUAUUUAACUGAGUUCUCUAACUAGUAGAUAGUGGUAAGCAGGGUCGUCUCCUCAGGGACUGGAGAGAUAUUUGUUUCUUUUCAAAUCAAGAUUAAUGGGGGGUUUUGGUAUCAAAUGCCAACUAAACAAAUUAACUGCAGAAAAUAAUUAGUUAAAAGAAAUAAAUGAGAGAAACUCUAGCCAAGGGUAUACUUCAGAAAUGGUUCAUGCACUGAUCAUUGAUUCAAAGGUAAUUCCAACAUUUACUAAUAGAUUGGUUCUAGUUGUCUCGCACGCGCUAAACAACCAACCCUUCCUUAAUUUAUCGAUAGCCAAGGUACGACCGUUAGCUAUUUCUCUAACCCAAAAACAACCCUAGGUACGACCGUAGGAUUCAAUUUCCAGAUUGCAUUAAUAAUUAGAAAGGCCCAAUCCUAACCAAUAAACACGCUACGAGGGUUUAUUUAAGCUAGAUCAUAUAUUCCCCUGACAUAAACCCAAUUAUACCAGUUGCUACUGGGAUAGAGGUAACGAACAAUUACGGAUUCAAUUACCUCUAUUUAGCAAAAUAGCCUAUAUGAAUAAUUAAUUAUUGCGCACUAAUCAAUCAUACACAAGAGCUAUAACAGUUAAAAGCAAAGAACAUAUAAAUACCAAUAAACGGAGGAAAUAAUUAAAAGCGGUUUAGAUCUCACAGCAUUAAUUGAACCAAUUCAUCAGCUGUCCCUUGACUAGAAUUAGAGAAUUAGCCCUCCAUUAAUGGAGGACAAACCGCGCGUGGAAAACUGAGAAAGGUUUGCACUUCGAUUAUCCCGCUUCGGUCCACCACAGGAGGAGAAAGCUCAAAUUUGUAUUGCUCUCGAUUGUUAAGUGGAAACAUACGAGAGAUUGCUUUUGUUCUCCAAUUCGAUUCGCACAAGGUAGGACAGCCCAAGAGCAAAGUCAACAAUGGCGGCUCCUUUAAGCUUUCUUCCUUUUUCCAAUUGAAGUCAAGAUACACGAGAGUGAAAGUUUCUCAAUUGCUUGAUUUCUCAAGUUGUCAAGUCAAAACAUGAAGAAUUCGUUUCUCACAAGUCAACAAUGAUGGCUUCUGUCCGUUGCCUUUUUCCCCUCCAGGCUGCGGCUCUCUCCUCUCAUUCAAAAGCCAAAAACGAAGACCCCUCUCUAACCUAAGCCGCGCCAGAGAUAAAUUACAAAUUGUUACUUCUCAAAAUUGCAGCAAGACUCCCUAGAAAUAUAUAUUAAAAUAAAAUCUAUUACAAUUAGGUUUUUUUCCGCUUCUCAAACGGGCCCCACGUCCGACGAAUCUCCUAAAAGUUAAAUUUAAGCACUUUUCGGCACCCAUUCCUGCAAUUAGCACCCAAAACAGAAUAUUAGUAAAAUCCACCCAAUUAACGAAAAUAUUCAGUCAAUUAAUUAUGCAAUAACGCCCAAAAUACCCACUAAAAUGCAACCUAUCAAUCUCCCCCACACCUGAACUAUGCUUGCCCUCAAGCAUAAUUAACUCAGAAGUAAAAUCAAGAUGCUAAGCAAAUCACAGCAGUUCACACCAAGAAUGGCAUUCCAAGUUCCCCAAUAACCUUAUCGAAAUCAGAAUAUACUAAAUCAGCAACGCUCGCAGUUCAACGUGCACUCAUUCACUCCAAAGUGUAUAUGAAAUGUAUAUAAGAUGGCUCUCAAAUCAACACAAUAGAAUGGCACUACCAUAAGCUUGCUCUUAUAUCAUAUCUCUACCACUUACUUAUGAAUUUAAAUGCAGCAAUCAAGGGACUUCAAAAGGUUGUAAUGGGGCUAGGGUGAGAAGGUAGGAUAAAAAGGAGUAGAAAGGGUGCAAAAGUAUAAAGAAAGUGCUCAGAAAUUCAUUACACAGAUUCUUGUACAUUUGAAGCUUCAAGGCAUCUCAACCAUCUUAUAAGUGGAGUACAUUGGCAUUUGCCACGGCUUUCGACUUUUCUCCUUUUUCAUUCAUCUACUUCCCCUCUCGUUUUCUUUCCCCCCUUUUUUUUUUUCUUUUGCUUUUUUUUUCAAUACUCCCAACCAGCACCCUAAAGGUCAACUUGACUUGCUGGUUUCCUGCACUUUGUCUUCUUUUCACAUCCCUUCUUUUUUCUUUUGUUUUUUUUUUGUUUUUUUUUUUCGGUGCAUAAAUGGGUGUAAUGCCCUUCGAAUAAUACUCCAAAAGUCUGUAUAAUGAAAUCAAAGCACUUCUUCACACGAGGUACAAAAAGAAAGUCUAAAGAGAUGUUUUACGGCUAGGAACUAGGGUCUCAAGCGAAGAGUAGGAGUUAAGGCUCAACUUGGCUCCCUAAUGGUAGUAAAUAAUCCAAGGGUCGGUUUUAAGAAAGUCCAAAAUGGCUCAUUCCUAGGUGCCCUAUCAUUUUAAUGCAUUAAACUCAUGUAAAUGUGGUCUUGACAUGCAUAACCGAGCAAGUUCUAGAAUGACAAACCAUGUGCACUAACCACUCAAUCAAACGAAAAAUUAGGCCCAAAAAUCGCACAAGUGGUCAAAUUUAUGUCAAGUUCAGCAUAUUAAUCAAUCAAUUCAGUAUCAAGGAAAGUGGAACACCCCAUGGCAUGAACUUACUAUGUACGCUUAUAUCCCAAUUCGCAUUCAUCAUCGUUCAAAGAAAAGACAACUACUAAGGCAAGGAAAAACUCAAUCAGACAACGAAAAGCACAACCAAAGCAUAGUUAACCCUCCCCCACACCUAAACCUUACAUUGCCCUCAAUGUAAGCAAAGUAAGACCAAAUUAGAGGUAUUGGGGCAACGACACUUCCCUGACAACGGAGGAGGGCAGAAAUUCAAAUCAUGGCUGCGGAGGGAAAGGCGGGCGGAAGCCCACGUGAUGGAGAUACUGCGCUAUAUUCUGGGCCAUCCCGCCCAUUUGACGCUCCAUCCGAUCCAUACGAGUGUCCAUGUGCUCUGGCCCUUAUUUUUUUGGUUUAGUCAUUGGAAAUCAGAGGGCAAGGUGGAGGCAAGGAAAUGGGAUUCCAAAGAGGUCAACAAACAGCCAACAAAGCAAAUGACAACUAAAUACAGCUUCCAAUCACAGACAAGUGCAGAAACGGCCGAUGAACACAUCCCCAAGAAUUAGUUAAACCUGUCAGCAGCAAAAUUUUCCCAAAAUACCACAAAUUCAACCCAAAAACUAUUUAAUUAGACAAACACAGCAAAAUUCCCCCAAAAACGAAUUAAACAGACAACUAGAGUAAGAGCUUUCCCCAAAUAUCACUGGGUGGGCACAACGUUAACCAAAUAAUCAACAAUCAAUCCACAGAUAUGCCACAGCACCCAAACAAGCACCAAUUUUCUGUCCUCAGCUAGCAAAUCAAAAAUCUGGCCUCAGCUAAGAAAUUAAAAUCUGGCAUUAGCUAAUAAAAGCUAGUAAUCUGGCCUCAGCUACUUAGAGACAGAAAAUGAAAGAGGGAUAUCACCGGAGAAAAAUUUUUCAGCUCAUUUGACAGGUUGAGGAGGGACGCGCGUGGCCUGCGAUGGUGGUCUUGAUGAUCGCGCGCAAUGACCUGCUGGAGAUGCGCGCGCCUGGCUGGUAGACUGUGCGACUUCAGGCGGGCGGCGGACUGGGCAGCGGACUGGAGCAGGGUGGGCGCGGAGGAGGCUGGCACGCAGAGGGCUCGCGCGCCUGGGCUGGAUCGCGCGCAGGAGCGGCGCGCAGGGGCGGCAUCGCUGGGCUGCGUCGCGCGCAGGGAGCGCGCUUGGGCGCUGGGGUGGAGUGAGCGUGGCGGAGGCGUGCGGUCUGCGCGCACGGUCUGGGUUGCGCGUGCGGUCUGCGAUGGGCGGCGGCGGCGGGCAGCGACGGCUGGGGCCUGGCGUGGGCACGCUCAACUGCCCUGAAGCCCGCAGAACCUGAGCGAAAAUUUCCUCCGUCAGGCGUGACCACCUGGCGUGGGCACGUCUAACUACUAUGGAGUUUGCAGAACCUGAUCGAAAAUUUCUUCCCUUGGAACGUGACCACCUGGCGUGGGCACGUCUAACUACUAUGGAGUUCGCAGAACCUGAGCGAAAAUUCCUUUCCCUCAGGCGUGACCACCUGGCGUGGGCACGCCUAACCACUAAUCUCCUGCCACAAAACAUCAAACCAUCAAUUGACACUAAUACAUAAUUAAAACUUCAAAAAUGCAUGAAAACUAAAACAAAUAGUCUUGGGUUGCCUCCCAAGUAGCGCCUUUCUUUAAUGUCUUUGGCUAGACAUAGCACCACUCUUUAGUCUGGAUGUAAUUGAAUUUUCCUUGUAAUUGGUGGCCCUCCUCCAGGAUCCACAUGGCCAUUGAGUGCAACUUUUUCCCUAAAUUUUCUCUCCAUUUUUACCUCAUGAAUUGCUUUCAUCCUAUAGGACUUGUUCGUAGCAACCUUGAAUCUACCCCUACAAGCAAACUUAGAAAAUUCUUGCACAGAGGGAUUAAUGGUAUACAUAGCAAACACAGAAUGAGAGUUAACAGGAUGUUUCAUUGUAUCAAAAAUGUUAAAGUGGACUAUUUCUCCAUCAAAUUCCAUCGUGAGAGUACCCUUACUAACAUCAAUUUUAGUCUGGGCAGUACUCAAAAAUGGUCUUCCUAAUAUAAUGGGUGAUGGAUUCGGGGCACUUCUAUCAUCCAUGUAAAGCACGUAAAAAUCAGCAGGAAAAAUUAAUCCAUCUACUUGCACUAAAACAUCCUCAACUAUCCCAUCCGGGUAAGCACAUGUACGAUCAGCCAAUUGAAUUAUUAUCCCCGUUUCUUUUAAAGGUCCUAAAUUUAGGGAAUCAUAGAUUGACUUAGGCAUCACAUUAAUAGAAGCCCCUAAAUCUAUCAUGGCCUUUUUGAUACUAGAAUGGCCAAUCUUACAGGGGAUAGCAAACAUACCUGGAUCUCCGCAUUUGGGUGGGAGUUUCCUUUGAAGUACAGCUGAUACAUUCUCUCCUACCAUCACUCUUUCAUCACCCCUUAGCUUUCUUUUGUUAACGCACAAGUCUUUCAAGAACUUUGCGUACUUGGGUACCUGUUUGAUCGCGUCCAAUAGGGGGAUGUUUACUUGAACUUUGCGGAACACAUCCAGGAUUUCUUUUUCCUUUUCUGCCCUCUUUGUCUUUUCCAACCUGCAAGGAAAAGGAGCUGUAUUAGAUUUAAUAGGGAUCGAAGGAAUAGAUGUUACCUUAGGCUCUUCGCGAAUGCGCCCUUCCUCUUCAAUCUCCUUUUCUAUCUCCUCCUCACUUUUGCUUUUCGAAUUUUUCACUUUAGCCCCUUCCAACUCCUUACCACUCCUCAGUGUCAUGGCGCUUACAUUCUUGGGAUUUUCCUGGGGCUGCGAUGGCAGUUUCCCAUAAACGUGAGAUUCCAAGCGGUUGAUGGCAGUUGCCAGUUGACUUAUUCGAACAUCUUGGUCCUUCUUGUCAGCUUUGGUGCCCUGCUGGAGCUGCUCGGUUUUCGCGGCCAAUGAUCUGAUCUCCUCUUGAAGCUGUGUAGUAGUCGUGACCAGGUUAGUAGUAGUCGUGGCCAGGUUCUUGACUAGAUCCUCCAAGGAACUCUCUGAAUUGGAGGAUGAGGGUUGAGAUUUUGGUUGCCAAGGCUGGUGGAAUCCUGGUGGACGAUUCGGGAAUGAACCUUGUUGCCUGUUCCCAUAACUGAGGUUGGGAUGGUCUCUCCAACCGGGGUUGUAUGUGUUGGAAUACGGGUCAUACUGCCUGCGGGGCGCGGGCAGGCCUCCGGCCAUAUUUACCUGUUCCGCCCCGUUCUCUUGCAAAAUGGGGCACAAAUCCGUGCAGUGGUCCAUGCUAGUGCAGAUUCCACACACCUUUGCUCGCGGUGUGUCUCUCAUGGCCAAUUGCCUGACAGCAGACGUCAACUCUGACAGUUGCUGCUGGAUGGAUGACGUCUCUGCUUCAUUGACUCUACGGGUAGGAGUGUUCUCACGGAAGCCGAACUGCUGAGAGUUUUCUGCCAUGGCUUCAAUAAGGUCCCAUGCUUCCCUCGGUGUUUUGUUCGCCAGGGCUCCUCCACUCGCAGCGUCAAUAAUACCCCUGUCAGUUGACUGGAGCCCUUCAUAGAAGUACUGGAUCAACAGUUGUUCGCUAAUCUGAUGCUGUGGGCAUCCCUUGCACAACUUGUUGAACCUUUCCCAAUAAUCGUACAAUGAUUCCCCGGAGUACUGCUUGAUACUGCAUAUUUCCUUUCUCAAACUCGCAACCCGGGAUGCGGGAAAAAAUUUUUCCAGAAAUUUCUUUUUCAACUGUGCCCACGUGGUGAUACUACCUGCAGGUAGGUAGUAUAGCCAAUCCUUCGCUGCAUCCUUGAGAGAGAAAGGGAAAGCCCUGAGUCGUAUUUGCUCUUCGGUGACCGCAGGGGGUUUCAUGCUAGAGCAAACCACUUCGAAUUCCUUGAUAUGUUUGUGGGGUUUCUCACCAGAAAGGCCAUGGAACGAAGGUAGGAGUUGAAUCAACCCCGAUUUCAACUCGAAUGAGGUAUUCUCAGCCAGAGUUGGGAACGUGAUGCACAAGGGCUGAUGAGUCAGUUCUGGGGUAGCCAGCUCCCGUAAUGUCUGGGUGUUGGCCAUGCUCAAUUCGUCUUCUAUUGACUCGUUUUCAGAAAAUGAGUACCCUUCUUUUUGUCUCUUGGUCUCUUGCCUUCGCCUACGUGCUGCCUUCUCAACCUCAGGAUCGUAUACCAAGUCACCUGUGCGAGAAGAACGGGGCAUAAACUAGCAAAAGUACCAAGAAAAAGAAAAAUAAAAUAAAACAAAAUAAAAACUGAAUUCAAAAAGAAACAACUAAUUCAGACGCCAGUCCCCGGCAACGGCGCCAAAAAUUGACAGGUGCCGAACCUGUGCAAUAAUAAUAAAUAAAUCCUAACUACCACCUGCAACAGCUAGUAAUCAAUUCGAGUACUGGAGCAGGGACUCUAGGUGUGCAAUGGGUUACUUGAUUCACCCUGUUCCCGAAGAGUUUGCUUAAUCCGAUAUACCUGAAUCAAUUAUUUAACUGAGUUCUCUAACUAGUAGAUAGUGGUAAGCAGGGUCGUCUCCUCAGGGACUGGAGAGAUAUUUGUUUCUUUUCAAAUCAAGAUUAAUGGGGGGUUUUGGUAUCAAAUGCCAACUAAACAAAUUAACUGCAGAAAAUAAUUAAUUAAAAGAAAUAAAUGAGAGAAACUCUAGCCAAGGGUAUACUUCAGAAAUGGUUCAUGCACUGAUCAUUGAUUCAAAGGUAAUUCCAACAUUUACUAAUAGAUUGGUUCUAGUUGUCUCGCACGCGCUAAACAACCAACCAUUCCUUAAUUUAUCGAUAGCCAAGGUACGACCGUUAGCUAUUUCUCUAACCCAAAAACAACCCUAGGUACGACCGUAGGAUUCAAUUUCCAGAUUGCAUUAAUAAUUAGAAAGGCCCAAUCCUAACCAAUAAACACGCUACGAGGGUUUAUUUAAGCUAGAUCAUAUAUUCCCCUGACAUAAACCCAAUUAUACCAGUUGCUACUGGGAUAGAGGUAACGAACAAUUACGGAUUCAAUUACCUCUAUUUAGCAAAAUAGCCUAUAUGAAUAAUCAAUUAUUGCGCACUAAUCAAUCAUACACAAGAGCUAUAACAGUUAAAAGCAAAGAACAUAUAAAUACCAAUAAACGGAGGAAAUAAUUAAAAGCGGUUUAGAUCUCACAGCAUUAAUUGAACCAAUUCAUCAGCUGUCCCUUGACUAGAAUUAGAGAAUUAGCCCUCCAUUAAUGGAGGACAAACCGCGCGUGGAAAACUGAGAAAGGUUUGCACUUCGAUUAUCCCGCUUCGGUCCACCACAGGAGGAGAAAGCUCAAAUUUGUAUUGCUCUCGAUUGUUAAGUGGAAACAUACGAGAGAUUGCUUUUGUUCUCCAAUUCGAUUCGCACAAGGUAGGACAGCCCAAGAGCAAAGUCAACAAUGGCGGCUCCUUUAAGCUUUCUUCCUUUUUCCAAUUGAAGUCAAGAUACACGAGAGUGAAAGUUUCUCAAUUGCUUGAUUUCUCAAGUUGUCAAGUCAAAACAUGAAGAAUUCGUUUCUCACAAGUCAACAAUGAUGGCUUCUGUCCGUUGCCUUUUUCCCCUCCAGGCUGCGGCUCUCUCCUCUCAUUCAAAAGCCAAAAACGAAGACCCCUCUCUAACCUAAGCCGCGCCAGAGAUAAAUUACAAAUUGUUACUUCUCAAAAUUGCAGCAAGACUCCCUAGAAAUAUAUAUUAAAAUAAAAUCUAUUACAAUUAGGUUUUUUUCCGCUUCUCAAACGGGCCCCACGUCCGACGAAUCUCCUAAAAGUUAAAUUUAAGCACUUUUCGGCACCCAUUCCUGCAAUUAGCACCCAAAACAGAAUAUUAGUAAAAUCCACCCAAUUAACGAAAAUAUUCAGUCAAUUAAUUAUGCAAUAACGCCCAAAAUACCCACUAAAAUGCAACCUAUCAAUCUCCCCCACACCUGAACUAUGCUUGCCCUCAAGCAUAAUUAACUCAGAAGUAAAAUCAAGAUGCUAAGCAAAUCACAGCAGUUCACACCAAGAAUGGCAUUCCAAGUUCCCCAAUAACCUUAUCGAAAUCAGAAUAUACUAAAUCAGCAACGCUCGCAGUUCAACGUGCACUCAUUCACUCCAAAGUGUAUAUGAAAUGUAUAUAAGAUGGCUCUCAAAUCAACACAAUAGAAUGGCACUACCAUAAGCUUGCUCUUAUAUCAUAUCUCUACCACUUACUUAUGAAUUUAAAUGCAGCAAUCAAGGGACUUCAAAAGGUUGUAAUGGGGCUAGGGUGAGAAGGUAGGAUAAAAAGGAGUAGAAAGGGUGCAAAAGUAUAAAGAAAGUGCUCAGAAAUUCAUUACACAGAUUCUUGUACAUUUGAAGCUUCAAGGCAUCUCAACCAUCUUAUAAGUGGAGUACAUUGGCAUUUGCCACGGCUUUCGACUUUUCUCCUUUUUCAUUCAUCUACUUCCCCUCUCGUUUUCUUUCCCCCCUUUUUUUUUUUCUUUUGCUUUUUUUUUCAAUACUCCCAACCAGCACCCUAAAGGUCAACUUGACUUGCUGGUUUCCUGCACUUUGUCUUCUUUUCACAUCCCUUCUUUUUUCUUUUGUUUUUUUUUUGUUUUUUUUUUUCGGUGCAUAAAUGGGUGUAAUGCCCUUCGAAUAAUACUCCAAAAGUCUGUAUAAUGAAAUCAAAGCACUUCUUCACACGAGGUACAAAAAGAAAGUCUAAAGAGAUGUUUUACGGCUAGGAACUAGGGUCUCAAGCGAAGAGUAGGAGUUAAGGCUCAACUUGGCUCCCUAAUGGUAGUAAAUAAUCCAAGGGUCGGUUUUAAGAAAGUCCAAAAUGGCUCAUUCCUAGGUGCCCUAUCAUUUUAAUGCAUUAAACUCAUGUAAAUGUGGUCUUGACAUGCAUAACCGAGCAAAUUCUAGAAUGACAAACCAUGUGCACUAACCACUCAAUCAAACGAAAAAUUAGGCCCAAAAAUCGCACAAGUGGUCAAAUUUAUGUCAAGUUCAGCAUAUUAAUCAAUCAAUUCAGUAUCAAGGAAAGUGGAACACCCCAUGGCAUGAACUUACUAUGUACGCUUAUAUCCCAAUUCGCAUUCAUCAUCGUUCAAAGAAAAGACAACUACUAAGGCAAGGAAAAACUCAAUCAGACAACGAAAAGCACAACCAAAGCAUAGUUAACCCUCCCCCACACCUAAACCUUACAUUGCCCUCAAUGUAAGCAAAGUAAGACCAAAUUAGAGGUAUUGGGGCAACGACACUUCCCUGACAACGGAGGAGGGCAGAAAUUCAAAUCAUGGCUGCGGAGGGAAAGGCGGGCGGAAGCCCACGUGAUGGAGAUACUGCGCUAUAUUCUGGGCCAUCCCGCCCAUUUGACGCUCCAUCCGAUCCAUACGAGUGUCCAUGUGCUCUGGCCCUUAUUUUUUUGGUUUAGUCAUUGGAAAUCAGAGGGCAAGGUGGAGGCAAGGAAAUGGGAUUCCAAAGAGGUCAACAAACAGCCAACAAAGCAAAUGACAACUAAAUACAGCUUCCAAUCACAGACAAGUGCAGAAACGGCCGAUGAACACAUCCCCAAGAAUUAGUUAAACCUGUCAGCAGCAAAAUUUUCCCAAAAUACCACAAAUUCAACCCAAAAACUAUUUAAUUAGACAAACACAGCAAAAUUCCCCCAAAAACGAAUUAAACAGACAACUAGAGUAAGAGCUUUCCCCAAAUAUCACUGGGUGGGCACAACGUUAACCAAAUAAUCAACAAUCAAUCCACAGAUAUGCCACAGCACCCAAACAAGCACCAAUUUUCUGUCCUCAGCUAGCAAAUCAAAAAUCUGGCCUCAGCUAAGAAAUUAAAAUCUGGCAUUAGCUAAUAAAAGCUAGUAAUCUGGCCUCAGCUACUUAGAGACAGAAAAUGAAAGAGGGAUAUCACCGGAGAAAAAUUUUUCAGCUCAUUUGACAGGUUGAGGAGGGACGCGCGUGGCCUGCGAUGGUGGUCUUGAUGAUCGCGCGCAAUGACCUGCUGGAGAUGCGCGCGCCUGGCUGGUAGACUGUGCGACUUCAGGCGGGCGGCGGACUGGGCAGCGGACUGGAGCAGGGUGGGCGCGGAGGAGGCUGGCACGCAGAGGGCUCGCGCGCCUGGGCUGGAUCGCGCGCAGGAGCGGCGCGCAGGGGCGGCAUCGCUGGGCUGCGUCGCGCGCAGGGAGCGCGCUUGGGCGCUGGGGUGGAGUGAGCGUGGCGGAGGCGUGCGGUCUGCGCGCACGGUCUGGGUUGCGCGUGCGGUCUGCGAUGGGCGGCGGCGGCGGGCAGCGACGGCUGGGGCCUGGCGUGGGCACGCUCAACUGCCCUGAAGCCCGCAGAACCUGAGCGAAAAUUUCCUCCGUCAGGCGUGACCACCUGGCGUGGGCACGUCUAACUACUAUGGAGUUUGCAGAACCUGAUCGAAGAUUUCUUCCCUUGGAACGUGACCACCUGGCGUGGGCACGUCUAACUACUAUGGAGUUCGCAGAACCUGAGCGAAAAUUCCUUUCCCUCAGGCGUGACCACCUGGCGUGGGCACGCCUAACCACUAAUCUCCUGCCACAAAACAUCAAACCAUCAAUUGACACUAAUACAUAAUUAAAACUUCAAAAAUGCAUGAAAACUAAAACAAAUAGUCUUGGGUUGCCUCCCAAGUAGCGCCUUUCUUUAAUGUCUUUGGCUAGACAUAGCACCACUCUUUAGUCUGGAUGUAAUUGAAUUUUCCUUGUAAUUGGUGGCCCUCCUCCAGGAUCCACAUGGCCAUUGAGUGCAACUUUUUCCCUAAAUUUUCUCUCCAUUUUUACCUCAUGAAUUGCUUUCAUCCUAUAGGACUUGUUCGUAGCAACCUUGAAUCUACCCCUACAAGCAAACUUAGAAAAUUCUUGCACAGAGGGAUUAAUGGUAUACAUAGCAAACACAGAAUGAGAGUUAACAGGAUGUUUCAUUGUAUCAAAAAUGUUAAAGUGGACUAUUUCUCCAUCAAAUUCCAUCGUGAGAGUACCCUUACUAACAUCAAUUUUAGUCUGGGCAGUACUCAAAAAUGGUCUUCCUAAUAUAAUGGGUGAUGGAUUCGGGGCACUUCUAUCAUCCAUGUAAAGCACGUAAAAAUCAGCAGGAAAAAUUAAUCCAUCUACUUGCACUAAAACAUCCUCAACUAUCCCAUCCGGGUAAGCACAUGUACGAUCAGCCAAUUGAAUUAUUAUCCCCGUUUCUUUUAAAGGUCCUAAAUUUAGGGAAUCAUAGAUUGACUUAGGCAUCACAUUAAUAGAAGCCCCUAAAUCUAUCAUGGCCUUUUUGAUACUAGAAUGGCCAAUCUUACAGGGGAUAGCAAACAUACCUGGAUCUCCGCAUUUGGGUGGGAGUUUCCUUUGAAGUACAGCUGAUACAUUCUCUCCUACCAUCACUCUUUCAUCACCCCUUAGCUUUCUUUUGUUAACGCACAAGUCUUUCAAGAACUUUGCGUACUUGGGUACCUGCUUGAUCGCGUCCAAUAGGGGGAUGUUUACUUGAACUUUGCGGAACACAUCCAGGAUUUCUUUUUCCUUUUCUGCCCUCUUUGUCUUUUCCAACCUGCAAGGAAAAGGAGCUAUAUUAGAUUUAAUAGGGAUCGAAGGAAUAGAUGUUACCUUAGGCUCUUCGCGAAUGCGCCCUUCCUCUUCAAUCUCCUUUUCUAUCUCCUCCUCACUUUUGCUUUUCGAAUUUUUCACUUUAGCCCCUUCCAACUCCUUACCACUCCUCAGUGUCAUGGCGCUUACAUUCUUGGGAUUUUCCUGGGGCUGCGAUGGCAGUUUCCCAUAAACGUGAGAUUCCAAGCGGUUGAUGGCAGUUGCCAGUUGACUUAUUCGAACAUCUUGGUCCUUCUUGUCAGCUUUGGUGCCCUGCUGGAGCUGCUCGGUUUUCGCGGCCAAUGAUCUGAUCUCCUCUUGAAGCUGUGUAGUAGUCGUGACCAGGUUAGUAGUAGUCGUGGCCAGGUUCUUGACUAGAUCCUCCAAGGAACUCUCUGAAUUGGAGGAUGAGGGUUGAGAUUUUGGUUGCCAAGGCUGGUGGAAUCCUGGUGGACGAUUCGGGAAUGAACCUUGUUGCCUGUUCCCAUAACUGAGGUUGGGAUGGUCUCUCCAACCGGGGUUGUAUGUGUUGGAAUACGGGUCAUACUGCCUGCGGGGCGCGGGCAGGCCUCCGGCCAUAUUUACCUGUUCCGCCCCGUUCUCUUGCAAAAUGGGGCACAAAUCCGUGCAGUGGUCCAUGCUAGUGCAGAUUCCACACACCUUUGCUCGCGGUGUGUCUCUCAUGGCCAAUUGCCUGACAGCAGACGUCAACUCUGACAGUUGCUGCUGGAUGGAUGACGUCUCUGCUUCAUUGACUCUACGGGUAGGAGUGUUCUCACGGAAGCCGAACUGCUGAGAGUUUUCUGCCAUGGCUUCAAUAAGGUCCCAUGCUUCCCUCGGUGUUUUGUUCGCCAGGGCUCCUCCACUCGCAGCGUCAAUAAUACCCCUGUCAGUUGACUGGAGCCCUUCAUAGAAGUACUGGAUCAACAGUUGUUCGCUAAUCUGAUGCUGUGGGCAUCCCUUGCACAACUUGUUGAACCUUUCCCAAUAAUCGUACAAUGAUUCCCCGGAGUACUGCUUGAUACUGCAUAUUUCCUUUCUCAAACUCGCAACCCGGGAUGCGGGAAAAAAUUUUUCCAGAAAUUUCUUUUUCAACUGUGCCCACGUGGUGAUACUACCUGCAGGUAGGUAGUAUAGCCAAUCCUUCGCUGCAUCCUUGAGAGAGAAAGGGAAAGCCCUGAGUCGUAUUUGCUCUUCGGUGACCGCAGGGGGUUUCAUGCUAGAGCAAACCACUUCGAAUUCCUUGAUAUGUUUGUGGGGUUCCUCACCAGAAAGGCCAUGGAACGAAGGUAGGAGUUGAAUCAACCCCGAUUUCAACUCGAAUGAGGUAUUCUCAGCCAGAGUUGGGAACGUGAUGCACAAGGGCUGAUGAGUCAGUUCUGGGGUAGCCAGCUCCCGUAAUGUCUGGGUGUUGGCCAUGCUCAAUUCGUCUUCUAUUGACUCGUUUUCAGAAAAUGAGUACCCUUCUUUUUGUCUCUUGGUCUCUUGCCUUCGCCUACGUGCUGCCUUCUCAACCUCAGGAUCGUAUACCAAGUCACCUGUGCGAGAAGAACGGGGCAUAAACUAGCAAAAGUACCAAGAAAAAGAAAAAUAAAAUAAAACAAAAUAAAAACUGAAUUCAAAAAGAAACAACUAAUUCAGACGCCAGUCCCCGGCAACGGCGCCAAAAAUUGACAGGUGCCGAACCUGUGCAAUAAUAAUAAAUAAAUCCUAACUACCACCUGCAACAGCUAGUAAUCAAUUCGAGUACUGGAGCAGGGACUCUAGGUGUGCAAUGGGUUACUUGAUUCACCCUGUUCCCGAAGAGUUUGCUUAAUCCGAUAUACCUGAAUCAAUUAUUUAACUGAGUUCUCUAACUAGUAGAUAGUGGUAAGCAGGGUCGUCUCCUCAGGGACUGGAGAGAUAUUUGUUUCUUUUCAAAUCAAGAUUAAUGGGGGGUUUUGGUAUCAAAUGCCAACUAAACAAAUUAACUGCAGAAAAUAAUUAAUUAAAAGAAAUAAAUGAGAGAAACUCUAGCCAAGGGUAUACUUCAGAAAUGGUUCAUGCACUGAUCAUUGAUUCAAAGGUAAUUCCAACAUUUACUAAUAGAUUGGUUCUAGUUGUCUCGCACGCGCUAAACAACCAACCCUUCCUUAAUUUAUCGAUAGCCAAGGUACGACCGUUAGCUAUUUCUCUAACCCAAAAACAACCCUAGGUACGACCGUAGGAUUCAAUUUCCAGAUUGCAUUAAUAAUUAGAAAGGCCCAAUCCUAACCAAUAAACACGCUACGAGGGUUUAUUUAAGCUAGAUCAUAUAUUCCCCUGACAUAAACCCAAUUAUACCAGUUGCUACUGGGAUAGAGGUAACGAACAAUUACGGAUUCAAUUACCUCUAUUUAGCAAAAUAGCCUAUAUGAAUAAUCAAUUAUUGCGCACUAAUCAAUCAUACACAAGAGCUAUAACAGUUAAAAGCAAAGAACAUAUAAAUACCAAUAAACGGAGGAAAUAAUUAAAAGCGGUUUAGAUCUCACAGCAUUAAUUGAACCAAUUCAUCAGCUGUCCCUUGACUAGAAUUAGAGAAUUAGCCCUCCAUUAAUGGAGGACAAACCGCGCGUGGAAAACUGAGAAAGGUUUGCACUUCGAUUAUCCCGCUUCGGUCCACCACAGGAGGAGAAAGCUCAAAUUUGUAUUGCUCUCGAUUGUUAAGUGGAAACAUACGAGAGAUUGCUUUUGUUCUCCAAUUCGAUUCGCACAAGGUAGGACAGCCCAAGAGCAAAGUCAACAAUGGCGGCUCCUUUAAGCUUUCUUCCUUUUUCCAAUUGAAGUCAAGAUACACGAGAGUGAAAGUUUCUCAAUUGCUUGAUUUCUCAAGUUGUCAAGUCAAAACAUGAAGAAUUCGUUUCUCACAAGUCAACAAUGAUGGCUUCUGUCCGUUGCCUUUUUCCCCUCCAGGCUGCGGCUCUCUCCUCUCAUUCAAAAACCAAAAACGAAGACCCCUCUCUAACCUAAGCCGCGCCAGAGAUAAAUUACAAAUUGUUACUUCUCAAAAUUGCAGCAAGACUCCCUAGAAAUAUAUAUUAAAAUAAAAUCUAUUACAAUUAGGUUUUUUUCCGCUUCUCAAACGGGCCCCACGUCCGACGAAUCUCCUAAAAGUUAAAUUUAAGCACUUUUCGGCACCCAUUCCUGCAAUUAGCACCCAAAACAGAAUAUUAGUAAAAUCCACCCAAUUAACGAAAAUAUUCAGUCAAUUAAUUAUGCAAUAACGCCCAAAAUACCCACUAAAAUGCAACCUAUCAAUCUCCCCCACACCUGAACUAUGCUUGCCCUCAAGCAUAAUUAACUCAGAAGUAAAAUCAAGAUGCUAAGCAAAUCACAGCAGUUCACACCAAGAAUGGCAUUCCAAGUUCCCCAAUAACCUUAUCGAAAUCAGAAUAUACUAAAUCAGCAACGCUCGCAGUUCAACGUGCACUCAUUCACUCCAAAGUGUAUAUGAAAUGUAUAUAAGAUGGCUCUCAAAUCAACACAAUAGAAUGGCACUACCAUAAGCUUGCUCUUAUAUCAUAUCUCUACCACUUACUUAUGAAUUUAAAUGCAGCAAUCAAGGGACUUCAAAAGGUUGUAAUGGGGCUAGGGUGAGAAGGUAGGAUAAAAAGGAGUAGAAAGGGUGCAAAAGUAUAAAGAAAGUGCUCAGAAAUUCAUUACACAGAUUCUUGUACAUUUGAAGCUUCAAGGCAUCUCAACCAUCUUAUAAGUGGAGUACAUUGGCAUUUGCCACGGCUUUCGACUUUUCUCCUUUUUCAUUCAUCUACUUCCCCUCUCGUUUUCUUUCCCCCCUUUUUUUUUUUCUUUUGCUUUUUUUUCAAUACUCCCAACCAGCACCCUAAAGGUCAACUUGACUUGCUGGUUUCCUGCACUUUGUCUUCUUUUCACAUCCCUUCUUUUUUCUUUUGUUUUUUUUUUGUUUUUUUUUUUCGGUGCAUAAAUGGGUGUAAUGCCCUUCGAAUAAUACUCCAAAAGUCUGUAUAAUGAAAUCAAAGCACUUCUUCACACGAGGUACAAAAAGAAAGUCUAAAGAGAUGUUUUACGGCUAGGAACUAGGGUCUCAAGCGAAGAGUAGGAGUUAAGGCUCAACUUGGCUCCCUAAUGGUAGUAAAUAAUCCAAGGGUCGGUUUUAAGAAAGUCCAAAAUGGCUCAUUCCUAGGUGCCCUAUCAUUUUAAUGCAUUAAACUCAUGUAAAUGUGGUCUUGACAUGCAUAACCGAGCAAGUUCUAGAAUGACAAACCAUGUGCACUAACCACUCAAUCAAACGAAAAAUUAGGCCCAAAAAUCGCACAAGUGGUCAAAUUUAUGUCAAGUUCAGCAUAUUAAUCAAUCAAUUCAGUAUCAAGGAAAGUGGAACACCCCAUGGCAUGAACUUACUAUGUACGCUUAUAUCCCAAUUCGCAUUCAUCAUCGUUCAAAGAAAAGACAACUACUAAGGCAAGGAAAAACUCAAUCAGACAACGAAAAGCACAACCAAAGCAUAGUUAACCCUCCCCCACACCUAAACCUUACAUUGCCCUCAAUGUAAGCAAAGUAAGACCAAAUUAGAGGUAUUGGGGCAACGACACUUCCCUGACAACGGAGGAGGGCAGAAAUUCAAAUCAUGGCUGCGGAGGGAAAGGCGGGCGGAAGCCCACGUGAUGGAGAUACUGCGCUAUAUUCUGGGCCAUCCCGCCCAUUUGACGCUCCAUCCGAUCCAUACGAGUGUCCAUGUGCUCUGGCCCUUAUUUUUUUGGUUUAGUCAUUGGAAAUCAGAGGGCAAGGUGGAGGCAAGGAAAUGGGAUUCCAAAGAGGUCAACAAACAGCCAACAAAGCAAAUGACAACUAAAUACAGCUUCCAAUCACAGACAAGUGCAGAAACGGCCGAUGAACACAUCCCCAAGAAUUAGUUAAACCUGUCAGCAGCAAAAUUUUCCCAAAAUACCACAAAUUCAACCCAAAAACUAUUUAAUUAGACAAACACAGCAAAAUUCCCCCAAAAACGAAUUAAACAGACAACUAGAGUAAGAGCUUUCCCCAAAUAUCACUGGGUGGGCACAACGUUAACCAAAUAAUCAACAAUCAAUCCACAGAUAUGCCACAGCACCCAAACAAGCACCAAUUUUCUGUCCUCAGCUAGCAAAUCAAAAAUCUGGCCUCAGCUAAGAAAUUAAAAUCUGGCAUUAGCUAAUAAAAGCUAGUAAUCUGGCCUCAGCUACUUAGAGACAGAAAAUGAAAGAGGGAUAUCACCGGAGAAAAAUUUUUCAGCUCAUUUGACAGGUUGAGGAGGGACGCGCGUGGCCUGCGAUGGUGGUCUUGAUGAUCGCGCGCAAUGACCUGCUGGAGAUGCGCGCGCCUGGCUGGUAGACUGUGCGACUUCAGGCGGGCGGCGGACUGGGCAGCGGACUGGAGCAGGGUGGGCGCGGAGGAGGCUGGCACGCAGAGGGCUCGCGCGCCUGGGCUGGAUCGCGCGCAGGAGCGGCGCGCAGGGGCGGCAUCGCUGGGCUGCGUCGCGCGCAGGGAGCGCGCUUGGGCGCUGGGGUGGAGUGAGCGUGGCGGAGGCGUGCGGUCUGCGCGCACGGUCUGGGUUGCGCGUGCGGUCUGCGAUGGGCGGCGGCGGCGGGCAGCGACGGCUGGGGCCUGGCGUGGGCACGCUCAACUGCCCUGAAGCCCGCAGAACCUGAGCGAAAAUUUCCUCCGUCAGGCGUGACCACCUGGCGUGGGCACGUCUAACUACUAUGGAGUUUGCAGAACCUGAUCGAAAAUUUCUUCCCUUGGAACGUGACCACCUGGCGUGGGCACGUCUAACUACUAUGGAGUUCGCAGAACCUGAGCGAAAAUUCCUUUCCCUCAGGCGUGACCACCUGGCGUGGGCACGCCUAACCACUAAUCUCCUGCCACAAAACAUCAAACCAUCAAUUGACACUAAUACAUAAUUAAAACUUCAAAAAUGCAUGAAAACUAAAACAAAUAGUCUUGGGUUGCCUCCCAAGUAGCGCCUUUCUUUAAUGUCUUUGGCUAGACAUAGCACCACUCUUUAGUCUGGAUGUAAUUGAAUUUUCCUUGUAAUUGGUGGCCCUCCUCCAGGAUCCACAUGGCCAUUGAGUGCAACUUUUUCCCUAAAUUUUCUCUCCAUUUUUACCUCAUGAAUUGCUUUCAUCCUAUAGGACUUGUUCGUAGCAACCUUGAAUCUACCCCUACAAGCAAACUUAGAAAAUUCUUGCACAGAGGGAUUAAUGGUAUACAUAGCAAACACAGAAUGAGAGUUAACAGGAUGUUUCAUUGUAUCAAAAAUGUUAAAGUGGACUAUUUCUCCAUCAAAUUCCAUCGUGAGAGUACCCUUACUAACAUCAAUUUUAGUCUGGGCAGUACUCAAAAAUGGUCUUCCUAAUAUAAUGGGUGAUGGAUUCGGGGCACUUCUAUCAUCCAUGUAAAGCACGUAAAAAUCAGCAGGAAAAAUUAAUCCAUCUACUUGCACUAAAACAUCCUCAACUAUCCCAUCCGGGUAAGCACAUGUACGAUCAGCCAAUUGAAUUAUUAUCCCCGUUUCUUUUAAAGGUCCUAAAUUUAGGGAAUCAUAGAUUGACUUAGGCAUCACAUUAAUAGAAGCCCCUAAAUCUAUCAUGGCCUUUUUGAUACUAGAAUGGCCAAUCUUACAGGGGAUAGCAAACAUACCUGGAUCUCCGCAUUUGGGUGGGAGUUUCCUUUGAAGUACAGCUGAUACAUUCUCUCCUACCAUCACUCUUUCAUCACCCCUUAGCUUUCUUUUGUUAACGCACAAGUCUUUCAAGAACUUUGCGUACUUGGGUACCUGUUUGAUCGCGUCCAAUAGGGGGAUGUUUACUUGAACUUUGCGGAACACAUCCAGGAUUUCUUUUUCCUUUUCUGCCCUCUUUGUCUUUUCCAACCUGCAAGGAAAAGGAGCUGUAUUAGAUUUAAUAGGGAUCGAAGGAAUAGAUGUUACCUUAGGCUCUUCGCGAAUGCGCCCUUCCUCUUCAAUCUCCUUUUCUAUCUCCUCCUCACUUUUGCUUUUCGAAUUUUUCACUUUAGCCCCUUCCAACUCCUUACCACUCCUCAGUGUCAUGGCGCUUACAUUCUUGGGAUUUUCCUGGGGCUGCGAUGGCAGUUUCCCAUAAACGUGAGAUUCCAAGCGGUUGAUGGCAGUUGCCAGUUGACUUAUUCGAACAUCUUGGUCCUUCUUGUCAGCUUUGGUGCCCUGCUGGAGCUGCUCGGUUUUCGCGGCCAAUGAUCUGAUCUCCUCUUGAAGCUGUGUAGUAGUCGUGACCAGGUUAGUAGUAGUCGUGGCCAGGUUCUUGACUAGAUCCUCCAAGGAACUCUCUGAAUUGGAGGAUGAGGGUUGAGAUUUUGGUUGCCAAGGCUGGUGGAAUCCUGGUGGACGAUUCGGGAAUGAACCUUGUUGCCUGUUCCCAUAACUGAGGUUGGGAUGGUCUCUCCAACCGGGGUUGUAUGUGUUGGAAUACGGGUCAUACUGCCUGCGGGGCGCGGGCAGGCCUCCGGCCAUAUUUACCUGUUCCGCCCCGUUCUCUUGCAAAAUGGGGCACAAAUCCGUGCAGUGGUCCAUGCUAGUGCAGAUUCCACACACCUUUGCUCGCGGUGUGUCUCUCAUGGCCAAUUGCCUGACAGCAGACGUCAACUCUGACAGUUGCUGCUGGAUGGAUGACGUCUCUGCUUCAUUGACUCUACGGGUAGGAGUGUUCUCACGGAAGCCGAACUGCUGAGAGUUUUCUGCCAUGGCUUCAAUAAGGUCCCAUGCUUCCCUCGGUGUUUUGUUCGCCAGGGCUCCUCCACUCGCAGCGUCAAUAAUACCCCUGUCAGUUGACUGGAGCCCUUCAUAGAAGUACUGGAUCAACAGUUGUUCGCUAAUCUGAUGCUGUGGGCAUCCCUUGCACAACUUGUUGAACCUUUCCCAAUAAUCGUACAAUGAUUCCCCGGAGUACUGCUUGAUACUGCAUAUUUCCUUUCUCAAACUCGCAACCCGGGAUGCGGGAAAAAAUUUUUCCAGAAAUUUCUUUUUCAACUGUGCCCACGUGGUGAUACUACCUGCAGGUAGGUAGUAUAGCCAAUCCUUCGCUGCAUCCUUGAGAGAGAAAGGGAAAGCCCUGAGUCGUAUUUGCUCUUCGGUGACCGCAGGGGGUUUCAUGCUAGAGCAAACCACUUCGAAUUCCUUGAUAUGUUUGUGGGGUUUCUCACCAGAAAGGCCAUGGAACGAAGGUAGGAGUUGAAUCAACCCCGAUUUCAACUCGAAUGAGGUAUUCUCAGCCAGAGUUGGGAACGUGAUGCACAAGGGCUGAUGAGUCAGUUCUGGGGUAGCCAGCUCCCGUAAUGUCUGGGUGUUGGCCAUGCUCAAUUCGUCUUCUAUUGACUCGUUUUCAGAAAAUGAGUACCCUUCUUUUUGUCUCUUGGUCUCUUGCCUUCGCCUACGUGCUGCCUUCUCAACCUCAGGAUCGUAUACCAAGUCACCUGUGCGAGAAGAACGGGGCAUAAACUAGCAAAAGUACCAAGAAAAAGAAAAAUAAAAUAAAACAAAAUAAAAACUGAAUUCAAAAAGAAACAACUAAUUCAGACGCCAGUCCCCGGCAACGGCGCCAAAAAUUGACAGGUGCCGAACCUGUGCAAUAAUAAUAAAUAAAUCCUAACUACCACCUGCAACAGCUAGUAAUCAAUUCGAGUACUGGAGCAGGGACUCUAGGUGUGCAAUGGGUUACUUGAUUCACCCUGUUCCCGAAGAGUUUGCUUAAUCCGAUAUACCUGAAUCAAUUAUUUAACUGAGUUCUCUAACUAGUAGAUAGUGGUAAGCAGGGUCGUCUCCUCAGGGACUGGAGAGAUAUUUGUUUCUUUUCAAAUCAAGAUUAAUGGGGGGUUUUGGUAUCAAAUGCCAACUAAACAAAUUAACUGCAGAAAAUAAUUAAUUAAAAGAAAUAAAUGAGAGAAACUCUAGCCAAGGGUAUACUUCAGAAAUGGUUCAUGCACUGAUCAUUGAUUCAAAGGUAAUUCCAACAUUUACUAAUAGAUUGGUUCUAGUUGUCUCGCACGCGCUAAACAACCAACCCUUCCUUAAUUUAUCGAUAGCCAAGGUACGACCGUUAGCUAUUUCUCUAACCCAAAAACAACCCUAGGUACGACCGUAGGAUUCAAUUUCCAGAUUGCAUUAAUAAUUAGAAAGGCCCAAUCCUAACCAAUAAACACGCUACGAGAGUUUAUUUAAGCUAGAUCAUAUAUUCCCCUGACAUAAACCCAAUUAUACCAGUUGCUACUGGGAUAGAGGUAACGAACAAUUACGGAUUCAAUUACCUCUAUUUAGCAAAAUAGCCUAUAUGAAUAAUCAAUUAUUGCGCACUAAUCAAUCAUACACAAGAGCUAUAACAGUUAAAAGCAAAGAACAUAUAAAUACCAAUAAACGGAGGAAAUAAUUAAAAGCGGUUUAGAUCUCACAGCAUUAAUUGAACCAAUUCAUCAGCUGUCCCUUGACUAGAAUUAGAGAAUUAGCCCUCCAUUAAUGGAGGACAAACCGCGCGUGGAAAACUGAGAAAGGUUUGCACUUCGAUUAUCCCGCUUCGGUCCACCACAGGAGGAGAAAGCUCAAAUUUGUAUUGCUCUCGAUUGUUAAGUGGAAACAUACGAGAGAUUGCUUUUGUUCUCCAAUUCGAUUCGCACAAGGUAGGACAGCCCAAGAGCAAAGUCAACAAUGGCGGCUCCUUUAAGCUUUCUUCCUUUUUCCAAUUGAAGUCAAGAUACACGAGAGUGAAAGUUUCUCAAUUGCUUGAUUUCUCAAGUUGUCAAGUCAAAACAUGAAGAAUUCGUUUCUCACAAGUCAACAAUGAUGGCUUCUGUCCGUUGCCUUUUUCCCCUCCAGGCUGCGGCUCUCUCCUCUCAUUCAAAAACCAAAAACGAAGACCCCUCUCUAACCUAAGCCGCGCCAGAGAUAAAUUACAAAUUGUUACUUCUCAAAAUUGCAGCAAGACUCCCUAGAAAUAUAUAUUAAAAUAAAAUCUAUUACAAUUAGGUUUUUUUCCGCUUCUCAAACGGGCCCCACGUCCGACGAAUCUCCUAAAAGUUAAAUUUAAGCACUUUUCGGCACCCAUUCCUGCAAUUAGCACCCAAAACAGAAUAUUAGUAAAAUCCACCCAAUUAACGAAAAUAUUCAGUCAAUUAAUUAUGCAAUAACGCCCAAAAUACCCACUAAAAUGCAACCUAUCAACAAUUAACCAAAAAAAAAAAUACCGUGCUAAGGCACAGGCUAAUAUACUAUUAAAUAUUAUGGUUUUUAUAAAACUUUAAAUUAAUCUUUUAUACAUUGUUAGUGUACAAAUUUUUUUACACUAACAUGUAUAGAUACAUGCCACAUGUUCAAAAAGUGAAUUUUAAAUUUGUACAGAAAAAAUGCAAUAUAUAUUUAAAUCCACUAGCGUGAAUUCUUACUUUGACAAUGUAUAAAAAAAAAAUCCAAAAUCUUUGCCAUUUGGUGGAGUUGGAAAAGAAAACAUUUUGAUGACGUCUAAAAUUUGCCCCCAUUAGGUACUUGUGAUGAACUAAAGAAAGAACAAGGAGAGGGCGGUACUAUCGUUGAACUAAAGAAAGAGCAACUAUUGAAGACCAAAAGUACAAUGUUCAAGUGCUCUGAGAUAAUUGAAAUUACCAACACCUUUCGGAUAGUUAUUGGAAGGGGAGGUUCUGGAAUAGUUUAUCUUGGAUGCUUGGAAGAUGGCAGCAAUUUUGCCGUAAAAAUGCUGUCUUCUUCAUCAGCAACCCGUGGACAAAAGCAGUUUCAAUAAGAGGUAAUCAAGACAAUUUGGCACUAUCUACCCAUUUUACCUAUAGGGAUAAUUUCAGGAGCCUCUACCAGGUUUCAAACAAUUUCAUUGCUAUCCCUCAAGAUUUCAAAAAUAUCACCAACCUCGCUUUUUUUUUUUUUCGAAACGAUAAUUGAUUGUAUUGCUUGACAAAUGAUAUACAAGUGCGAGCAAGGGCUCGAUUGAACUUUACAAGCGGCAUAUUUACCACUAAGGAAACCAAUGUUCCUCAUCAAAAAUCAUGCCCAAGGCAUGAAUGCUAAGCUUGUAGCUUAAAUGAGUCUUAUCUUUUCUAACUAGGCAAAAGGAGCACAUAUGAAACAAUUGGCUUAAUUGAAGAAUGUCAUCCACAACAGUCGCUAAUCUAAUCUCACUUACUCUGUUUGUGCGAAUAUUGUUAAGGAUUUGUGGGUUUUGCACUUGGAAUUGCACUUCCCUGGCUUGCGUUGUGGCUGUCUUACACAUUGCCAGCUUCAGGGCAAUUGCUUCAUCCACCAGAAUUGAUCCUGAACUUCUUGCUCGUAGCGCCCAUCCUCGGUGUGGUCCUUGAUCUCCUUGAUUCAGGCUGAUUCCAAUGCCAAAGGCGUGGUUGGAUAUAUCUGAUGUUACCCCAAUCCGUACUUCCAGUAUCCCAUAUUCUGAAGCUGACUGCGAACUGUGUUGCUGUAGAGCUAUUGUUUCGUCUGUGCUCAUCCUAGAUUCCUUAGUAUCUAAUUCCACCAUUUCUAACCAUUCCUGAUGCGCCUUCUGAAUUGUCUUCCAAGGCUGUUUUUUUUUUCCAUUAAAUUCCUCCUCAUUCCUAGCUUUCCAUAUCUGCCAUAGAAUAUGGACAGACAACGAAAUAUGUUGCCCACCUUCUGGUCUAUUCCUGGCUUCUGAGAUUGAUGUCCACCAGUUGCGGAAAUUCCCUUGUUGCUCCAUCAUUCCUUCCCAUUGGAUAGGGGCUAGCUUCCAUAUCAGUUUUGCCUCCCUGCAGUUCAAAAGGGUAUGCUCUAAUGUUUCCCUAUCUUCUCCACAUCUAUUGCAAAUGGGGUCUCCAAUUUUGAUUCUGCCAUGUAUAAGAUCUCUCACUGGAAGCGCAUCAUUGAGACAUUUCCAUAGGAAGAUUUUCUGUUUAUGCUUCACUUUCAAUUUCCACACUUCCUUCCAUAGCUUUUGUGUUUGAUCCUCCCAACUAGUAGAUCCCUCCACCUGGUUUCUGCUGUGCUUACUUCCUUCUUGCCGCACCUGUAGCUUAUACCCUGAAUUAACGGUAUAGUUUCCAUCUGUCCCGUAUAUCCAGAAAUGACUAUCUUCCUUCCCUGAUAAGCUUAUUGGUAUGGCCAAAAUCCUUUCAGCAUCUUGUCGAUUGAAAUUUUUGAAAACCAGAUUCGUAUUCCAUGACUUUUGGCAGAUCAGCUCAUGAACUUUUUGAAGUCCAUUGUCCAUAUGUCUUCUGGUCGUGACUUUCCCAUUUAUAUUACCCGGGAUCCAGCAAUCAUCCCAGAUAUUGGUGUUGUUUCCAUUGCCAAUCCUUCUUCUUGUUCCUUGUUCCACCAAUUCUCUAGCUCCCAUAAGGCUCCUCCAUAUCCAAGAUGCAGUAUUGGGGACUUUGCACCUAAAUAUGGAAGUCCUUGGGAAAUAUUUAGCCUUCAAAACUUGGCUGACUAGGAGAAUAGGUUGCGUUAUCAGUCUCCAAACCUGCUUGCCUAGAAGUGCUGCAUUAAAUGCCAUCAAAUCUUUAAAGCCUAAUCCUCCCAUGUUCUUACUCCGAGUGAGCUUCCUCCAAGAGCACCAGUGUACCUUAUUCUUUCCAUUGGCCUCUCCCCACCAGUAGUUUGACAUUAGUGAGCUGAGUUCCUUACAUAAUCUGGAUGGGAGCCUAAAACAGGACAUGGUAUACGUCGGCAUGGCUAAGGCUACUGACUUAAGCAUAAUUUCCUUACCUGCUGUACUUAAGAACCUGUUUUUCCACUUGCUCAUUCUCUGUUGUAUAUUUGAUUUGACAAAGCCAAAAAUCUGCUGCUUUGAUCUUGAUACCACCAUUGGUAAUCCGAGAUACUUGCCUUGAGUAACACUUUGCAUAUUCCCCAUAACUUGACAAAUCUCAUGCUUCAGAUUUAGCCUCACAUUCUUACUGAAUAGUAUAGAAGACUUAUCCAGAUUUAUCAGUUGUCCAGACCCUUUGGCAUACACCUGCAGCACCCUCAUUAAUUCCGUAGCCUGAUCCUUAUUUGCUUUGCAAAAGAUCAAAGAGUCGUCUGCAAAGAAGAGGUGUGUUAUACUAGGACCCUGUCUACUUAUCUUCAUCCCAGAAAUUUUUCUGGUUUGUGCAGCCUGCCGAAUGAGGUUGGAAAAUCCUUCAGAACAAAGGAGAAACAGAUAAGGGGAUAGGGGAUCCCCUUGUCUAAUACCUCUUGUGGGUAUCACAUACUCUUUCACCUCCCCAUUAAUAUUGAAGGAGUAAGAUACAGUUCUUACACACUCCAUAAUCCAGUUUAUCCAUCUGUACUGAAACCCCAUCUUUUGCAUAAUGGCCUCAAGAAAACUCCAUUCCACACGGUCGUAGGCUUUGGACAUGUCCAACUUCACUGCCAUAAACCCAUCCUUACCUUGUCUCUUGUUAUUUAGAUAAUGCAAAUACUCAUGAGAGACUAAGAUGUUAUCUAUAAUUUGCCUACCGGGGAUGAAUACAGAUUGGUUUUUGCAAAUGCAGCAAUGUAAAACACCUUUGAGCCUAUUUGCAAGAAUUUUAGCAAUGACUUUAUAAAUGGUAGUGCAAAGACUAAUUGGUCUUAACUGAUUCAAAGAUGUGUGAUUAAGCACUUUGGGGAUGAGAGUAAUCACCGUAUGGUUAACACUUUUCAAGAGGUGGCCUGUAUGAAAAAAGGUUUGGAUUGCAUUUACCACUUCUUUCUUGAUGGUAGUCCAGAAUUUUUGGAAAAAAAGUGGUGACAUACCAUCAACCCCAGGAGAUUUAUCUGGGUUCAUAGAGAAAAUUUCAGCUUUUAUUUCUUCUUCCAAAACUGGUUUCAUCAGAUUUCCAUUGAGUUCAUCAGUGAUAGUAUGGGGUAUACCAUCCAGUACCUCAGUUAAGUCCCCGACGUCAUUACUGUUGAACAGAUUCCUAUAGUAUUCUGCAAUCUCCUUGCUCACUGCAUGCUCACUCUCAGUCCAAGUACCAUCCUCUCGCUGAAGUUUGUUCAGUCUAUUUCUCUUUCUCCUACCUUGUACCGAGGCAUGGAAAAAUUUCGUGUUCUUGUCACCCUCCCUAAGCCAUUGUAUCCGCGAUUUUUGAAGCCAGUACAACUCUUCCUCUUUGUAGGCUUCCUUUAACUGUUUUUUUAGAGAAUCCUUACAAUCCUUGCUGGUGCUACCUAGAGAAGACUUCAGAUCACUCAACUGGUUUUUUAUCUGCUCAGUUUUCACUCUUGCAUUUGCUUGGAAGUUAUUCCUCCAUUGUAGUAGAGCUACUCAGCAGUUUUUGAGCUUCUUAACCACUUGAAACAUCCUAGAUCCAUCCAUUUCCUGCUCCCAAGCCGACUUGAUUACCUCCCCUAUAUCUUCUCUUUUAAGCCACCUCUUAUCAAAGUAGAAUCUCUUCUUCCUCUUACCAAGAUUCAUCUUAGUAUCGAACAAAAGAAUGCUGUGAUCAGACGCAUAUGAGUCAAUAUGAGUACACUGAAUUUUCUCAUACACCUUUGACCAGGAGUAGCUACAAAAACCUCUAUCCAGUCUCUGUUUGAUUUCUCCUUCUUGAUCCCAAUUGUUACACCAAGUCCAAGGAUGUCCAACAAACCCAAUAUCCAUCAACUGAUUCCCAUUAAUGAAUUGCUUGAAGUCUUGAAAGCUGCUUUCCUGUCGACUAUUUCCUCCCCAUUUUUCUUCAUUAGAUACAAUAUCAUUAAAGUCUCCUGCUAUCAUCCAUUUUUCUCCCCACAAUCUCUUCCUCCUUUCUAUAACUUCCCACUGUUGUUUUCUGAACUGAUCAUCACAACUUGCAUAGAUGCCUACAAACCACCAAUCAGUGUUCACUUCCGGGUCCUCCACAUGCGCUUCUAUGGUAAAAACAGUCCUCAAAACCUCUAUAAUAUUCACCUCAUCUUUCCAAAGAAGAGCCAAUCCUCCUGCCUUAUUCAUUGCCUCCACCACGACCAUUUCAUCAAAUCUUAAAAUGUUUUUCACUUUUUCCAUGUAUUUUGUUCUAUUCUUGGUCUCACUUAAAAACACCAUACUUGGGGAGAAGAGGUUAUUAACCUCUCUCAGCUGGGGAAUUGUCAAGGGGCUCCCCACUCCUUGACAAUUCCACACCUGAACUCUCAUUUGGAUCCUGGGGUCCUAUAAGGGAUGGACCCUUCCCCCUCAGCCCCUAGUUUAUUUCGUUUCAUCUCAUGUCCUUCCUCCUCAACGUUAUCCAUAGCCACAUCCACUUCUGUACUUUUCCUCUUGCCUUGGUAUUUAAUAUUCCCCAGGUUGAUACUAAUUCCUUUUAGAUCCUGUCUUCUAUUGCUAGGUGAUCUUAAAGGCUUUUGAACCCUUCGAAGCUGCUUCCUAAUUCCCUUUUGCUUUGUAGCCAUGCUCACCUGAUCAACCUGUGUAAGUAACAGGCCAUUAUUUGCCACCUCCAAAGCUGGUUGUUGAAAUUGCUGAACCCCUUGCUCCCUCAGUAUAUGCUCAAGACCGCUAUCUACCAUCAUAGAAGUCCUCCCACCCUGUUCGUUACCACCCUUUACUUCCCCUGCGUGGGUUAUAUCCCCACCAGAAUUGGGUAUUAGAACUUCAGUUUCCUCAACACCCUCCAUGUUUGAAACAGAUACUGAAUUGGAGGUUGUUGCCUCCACUACCUCCCUCUGAUCAGUUGGUUGUUCAUCCCGCUGGCUUCCUCCCAAUUCUGGGACUGUCUCUCUCUCACACUCCUCUUCCGCUCCUCUGGAACCAUCAUGUACUUGUGUCCCUGGACAUUCUUUCUCUAUCCAUUCCCCAUUCUGAUAACUCCAGUGGCUCCUUUGGGGGUUAAAAACCACCCCUGUAUGUUUUUUCUGAGCAGACAUCAUCCCAUUUGCAUGCCCUGCCCUCAUCCAAUUCCCCUAUUGAUUAUCCCUUUUACCUUCCCUCCCACUCACACCCAUUCCACAAGAUCUCUCACUGUGCCCUAUUCUGCCACACCUAUAGCAAAAGUCCGGACAUCUCUUGUAUUUAAACUGAACCCAUUUUGCUACCCCUGCCACUUUGAUGGUUGUCCCUCGCAGCAGAGGUUGAGUAAUAUCCACUACUGUAGCUAGCUUGAGGUGCCUUCCUUCCUUUCCCCCAGUUUGUGGUAUAAUGACGUCUCUUACCAGGUGGAAAACAGAACCUAUUUUCUUCCCCACCUCCUUUGAGAUAUAGUGAACUGGAAGAUUCCAGACUUGCACCCAAAGUGGUGCUAAAUUAAAGGCCUUUUCAUCAUCUUCAAUCCCCUCAUACCAUUUGUUCAGAACCAGUAAUUGGUUAUCCAAUAUCCACGGGCCUCCCUGAGCUAUUCUAUCCCUAUCUUCUUCUUUUGGUACAAUAAAUUGGAACAAAUUUGGACCCAACUCAGCCACAGUCAAAUCCCUUGGAUACCCCCAUGCUGCUGUGACAAAGUUCUUCACACCCGUGUAAUUAGCUAUCUUCUCCCCCACUAUUUUCCCUAACAAACUGCUUUAACACUCCUUGAUACCUAAAGUUAGCUCCUCGCUCCCCAUCUCUGUGACUUGCAGCUCCUUGUUCGAGAGAUUAAAACUUUGCAGAAUAUCCACAAUGUCUUCAGCCAUUAGGCUUAAAUGAGGUACUGCCAGUAUAAGUCUCACACCCACACUGACCUCAAAGGAAACCCGAUGAACCCACUAAGGGAAAAGAAAAAAAUAUGCUUUUCUCUAGGUAAAUGUUAGAAUGGUAGGCAACAAAGAAACAGAGCAAUAUGCACCUAACACUAAUGCACCUACUAUACCAGACAAGAUAGGAAAUGAGAAUGGCAGUGAGUUUACCUGUCGGAAACAAAACCACUCCCUUGGAACUUCGUCUUAGCCGGUAGAUCUGUUACCUCAUAGUAGUACAGCUUGAAAGGGUCUCCAUGAUCUCAAACAGCGAUUCUAGGAAUUCUGCUCUUAGUAAAGACUUCUUCAGCUCCAAUUACUAUGAAAGGGAUCCGACCGAAAUGCACUUAGAACAAUGUAUUUAACGCUAAAACCUUGUCUGAAAGAUACAAAGAUUGAAUCUUUUGGGACUGUCGGAACUUUUGGAAGCUCCCACAAAAGGAAGAGUUGCUCUCUUUUUUAGAGAGAGAAAGUGCCCCUACACGCGAAGGGAAAAGUUUUCUAUCACCAACCUCGCUUGAAACCUAUUUCCUUGUAAAAAUUUACCAAAUUAAAAAAAAGCAACAAAAAAAAUGAUUUUAGGUGUGAGAAGAUCAUUUGAUUUCAAAGUGCUCCUCACCUAUAAUAAUAGUUAAUUUAAUUAUUCAAUCUAAGUUAUUGUUUCAUUUAUAAGGCCGUUACACAUGAUUAACGAAAAAAUUUCAUCAUUUGCAAUCAAAAGUAACAAAUUUUGUAUCAAAAUUUUUGACUUACCUUAAGAUUCUUGUUAUCAUCAUGGUAUUAAGAAGAGACAAUGGAAAACCAAAUUCUCCUCACAUCCAAUUUUUUAUGAUCUUUAAGAACAUAAAAAAAGCUAGUCUAGCAUUUGACCCCUUUUCUAAUGCCAAAUUAAUUUUAAACAUAAUAAAAUUAUGGGUAAUUUUGUUUUUAAAUGGCUUAAUUAUUUUUAAUCAAAUUAUGGUUAAUAGUUUGUAAACGGCUUAAUUCUUUUUCAUGUUUGAAUCCUUUUAUUUAUUAUGCACAUCAAAUAUGAUUCAUUUUAUUUGUCAAGUAAAUUAAUUAAAAAAAGCCCCCCUAUAUUGGUUCUCUUUUUAUAUAGCAAAUUAGUUGUUUUUUUAAUUUCAAAUUAUGGUUAAUUUAAUUAGCAAAUUUUUUAAUUGUUUCGCUCCUCAAAGAUGUGUAAAACAUCUUAAAUUGUAAGGAUAGCAGAGUCAUUUCACUAUUAAUGAUAUAAGCAUUGGGUCUCAAAUUGCUGAUAUGAGAGGUAAGUGAUAUUUUUAAAACCUCAAAAGAGGGCAAUGAAAUUGUCAGAAUCCUCAAGGAAGGUUUUUCAAAUUAUCCCUUACCUAUAUCGAAUGGUAAAUAAUCAUCGGUUGUGAAAUAGGUAUUCUAGAAGUUUUGUGAAAAUUUUUCUAAGAUUCCCAAAUUAAAUACAUGUUUUAAUUAUAUUUUUAUUUUACAUGCAUCACAUUUAAAAAGUAUUACGGAAAUGUAGUUUUCAAAAAAUACGUUUAGAAAAAGUAAUCUAAAAGAUAUGUCCACAAUUAUACUGGUUUUGCAAACAUUUUCUAUGAGGCAAAAUUAUUAGUACAUAAUUAGAUUUUGGAUUUUUGGAAAUUUCUCGUGCUUGUGAUUUAUAUUCCUUAGGUUAGCCCGUUCAGAGGAAGAUUGUACUAGAGGACAUAUAAAUCAAAGUCAGAAUUGCUACUACUCAUUUUUCUAACGGACUUUGUUAUAUCAUUGAGGAAGGUGGAAAUCUUGAUCAAGAUUCAUCACACAAACUUGGUAUCAUUUGUCGGAUAUUGCGCUGAAGGAAGAGCGCGCUAUGGCUCUAAUCUGUGAGUAUAUGGCGAACGGAAAUUUAAGACAACAUUUAUCAGGUAUUUUAACCUCUAUGUACAUGCUUCCUACUUUUUUUUUUUUUUUAUAAAAUAUAACUUUUUAUUCCAUGAAAUCUAAACGAAUGCAAAAAAAAUACAACAAACAUGUCACAAAUACGGUUAAUCUAAAAAAUCAUUAAAUUUAAUAAAUUUUUAGAAAAUAACAAAGAUUACAUUGUGAAACUCCAACCGAUCAAAUAAAUCAUGAGCAGCCCAAUGAAGCUCUAUGCAAGUUAAGACCAUCAAAACUGCUGUUUAACUGGUUCAAAUUCAAAGUCGAUGUUGAGAUCAGAUGAAAUGAAGGAAUCCCAUAUUUGACAUAUAGGUGUGAAAAACUCUUAGAUCUGUUAAAGAAAUAACAAAAAACUAACAAAACUCCAUAAUAUUUUAGGAAAGAAGAAAACUCUCAUUAGGAAACCCUAUGAGAGAGCAAAACUCACACUAGAAAACAUUAGGAGAAAGAAAACUCUCACUAAGAUACUUUGAAAGAGACUUUAUUGAAUAUAAAAAAAAAAAAAAGGCAAAGAGAGGCAGACCUUGGCUUGAAACCAAGAUCUUGCUCCAUGGAGGAAAAAACUAUUUGAAGUCUUUGCAAAGAUAAGGUAGAGAAAUUUUGGUUAUGUUCAUGCUUACUUCAAAACCAAUGGACCUUACAGAAAUUAGAAAAAUUUUAUAAGAGCGUUUAUAGUUGUCCAUAUCAUCUAAAAGAUAAAAACAAAUACUAUAAAAGUUUUGAUUAUGAAAUUCGAGUGAGGAGAAAUAAGAAAAACUUAAAGUGGUAAAAAAAAAAAAGAAAAUGUACUGGUAAACAAAAAAAAAAAAAAACUAAUAAAAACCGAUUAGUUUGACUUUUGUUCGAUUUUCCCUGGUUAAACCCAGUGAAAUGCUAUCUUCAUUUUUUUAAAGAAAGUUUGGAUCAAACAGCUCACUAGCUCCCCUUUCAACCAAUUGAAUCGGGUGGUGCAAUUUAAAUUUUAAUUCACUGCUUUUACCAAUGGAAAAGACUACUUGGGGUCAAAAUUACUAGAAUAUUUCUUAGAAAAAAAUACAUAGAAUAUUUUGGAAAAAUUGCUGCAUCUAAUGUCUGAAAACCUAACCGAACCGUUUGUUUUGACCAAUCGAAUCGUGAACCGGCCAUGUCUUCGAUCUGGUUCAAUGAUUAAUCCAAAGACUUCGAUUGUACUGGUCAAACUCGUUAGGUUCAACCAGAUUGCACUAAUUUUUUUUUAUUUUUAAAAUAAAUAUUUCGGCUUAAUUCAAAAGUUUUAAUACUAAAACAAAUUAAAAAAUUACUAAACCUUUGAACUAGGAUUGAAUUGGUCAUACCGAUUGAACUACAAACUAGAAGUUCUUUUGCUUCACUUCCAAGUCCAAAUUUAAAAGCACUGGCUACAUCAUGGACUAUAAGUUGUACUAAGCAACAAUACGACGUAAGCAACAGUCAUAAAUUAAAAGAUAACUGGCCUUAAUUUUAGGGGUUCUAUAUUUGUGUCUAUCAUUUAGAAAUGUUGUGAUUUUACGUUGCUUUUUAUUGGUAAACUCUUCUUUCACAUUCUUUUUGAUAAGGAGUAAUUCCAUUUGUAUGCUUGAAUCUAUUGAUAUAUUAACAAUUGUGUGAUGUCCAUCCACAACAUGAGGCAUGUGCUAGUUGUUAUUUAAAGAUUUUUUGGGUUAAGGUAUUAAUCAAGUACUCAAUUUCAAUCCAAAGUAUAUCAUUCAAGUGUACGUGUGAAAGAAAAAGAUGUUUAGGUACUAAAGUAUCACAAGCAAUAAUUUAGGGUGCCAACUGUCAAUCCCUAUAAUUUAAGAGCACAAUUGGUUUAAACUCUUUACUAUUCACUAUUUUUGAUCUUGUGUGUGAAGAUUAUACAUAGAGGAAUGUGGCUGGUAAGUUUCUUCACUUAUUGAUUCUUAUUUGAAUGACUUUCUUUGAGCACAGGGAAAAAUCUUAACCCUUUAAGCUGGAAAGAGAGAGUUCAUAUUGCAUUAGAUGCUGCACAAGGUGAUUUUCAACUCAGUCCAUUCUUUUCUCUUUUGGGAUUUCAGGGAAUUAUUAAGUGAUAAUGAAGUCAAUACAUGGUAAUGACCACAAAGUUUCAUCUCAGGUUUGGAGUAUUUACACAAUGGAUGCAAUCCUCCAAUAUCCAUAGAGACUUGAAAAGUGCCAAUAUACUAUUGAACCAAAAAUUGCAGGCUAAGCUUGCUGAUUUUGGCUUAUCUCGAAUUUUUUCAAGUGAAAGUGACACUCAUGUAACAACAGCAGUGGCUGGAACAGCUGGUUACCUAGAUCCAGAGUAUGUAUUCAAUAUGAAGUUAAAUUUUUCUAUUUUCCUAAGCUGCCAUUCUAUAAAGGUUUCUCAAAUCAUUGCAAUCCUUUUCCUAAUUGAUAUAUACAGUGUUAAGUAUACAACUGGAAUAGUUGUUUACAACUUAGGAUGAAAAUAUUUUGAGCAUGUGGACACAAUGUACGAGUCUUCUAUAAAUUAUGCUUGGUGAACUUUGCUACAAACUAAAUAUUCAUUUACAAGAAAAAGUUCUAAUUCUACUUCUUUUGUAUUUAAUUAAAGACAAAGAUGCAGUUUUCGAUUUCAAUGCCAAAGAAUAUUUGUUGCAUAUUUAUUGCAGCAUUUAAUGAGCCUUACCACAUUAUAAUAUAUCUAUGCAUAAAAGUUUCAAAAAAAUUAAGUACGAUAGUUGAACAUUUAGAAUUUAAGAAAUUUUUUAAACAAUAUGAAAAAAGAUGUAAGCAUAUUAUAAUAUUUUUUAGAGGCUCAUAAAUUGUGUUUUCCAUUCUCAAAAUAUUUUCGUCCUAAGUUGUAAAAAAAUAUUCAGUAAAACUAUAUAUUCUUAUUCAAGUUUAUAAUCUAGAUUUUAUGAUGAAUAUUAGUUUGUACUGUGUUUGACUGUUCGCCCCUUCUCUAAACCAAAAUCCGGGUUCCAUCCCUACCAAACUAUCUAAGAAUUUUUUUUUUCAAGAUUUCGUAUCCUUCAUAGUAAAACUAUAGAUUAUGUGCAUUGGUGUCCUUUAAUGACAUCUAAAUUGGCUUUCAGAUAUAACUACACCUUCAAGUUCAAUGAGAAAAGUGAUGUUUACAGCCUCGGCAUCGUUUUAUUGGAACUGAACACUGGAAAACCAGCCAUCAUAAAGGGCACCGAUGAUGUCAAUAUUCACAUUGUUGAAUGGGUGAACAAAAGGGUAGAAAGGGGAGACAUUCAUGAAAUUAUGGAUCCAAAACUGAAAGGAAAGUUCCACAUAAACUCGGCCUGGAAGUUUUUGGAGGCCGCCAUGACGUGUACAAUGGCAAUGGCUAGUCAGAGGAUGAGUGGCAUGGAGUUACUUGUUGAACUAAAGCAGUGUUUGGCAAUAGAGCUAUCUGAAGAGAUAGCAUCAAGGGCUGCAGAUUUUCCGCAGGAUGAUGGCCUUGAGAUAGACACCGCUCCAAGUGCAAGAUAGGUCAUUCAUGAUCAUUGCUUCUCUACCUCUUUCUGCUAUGAGAUUGGUGGUGCAGCCCAGUUGCUAUGUACGUCUGAGAGAAGAGAUUGCAUAUUCAAACAUUUCAUUUGUGUUAAAUUUCUUAUAUUCUCUACCUCUUUCUGUUUUGUAUUUUAUAUUUGAUAAAUUUCAUGCCAUUAGAAGAAUAUGUUAACAUUAUAAUCUAAAUAAUUUUGAUAGUCCCUGAUAGGGUAAAAGACAAUUUCCUAAUUAAUUCACUCGAUUAUGCAUCAAGUGAAUGUAAAAGUCACUCACCCUCCUUACAUAGUAGUCCCUUGAUCAGCUUCAUUGAUUGGGAAAAACUGGAAUUUUGCAACCCACUCACAAUAUCUUCCAAGGCUUUAGUUGCUAUCAAUCUCAAAAGAGAGUUUAAACACCCUGCAAAUUCUUAAUGUUUUCUUUCGACUGCUUAUAAGUUUUAGGAAUUAAUUGAAUCUAAUUAGUUUGAGUUUUUUCUUCCUAAACUUUUUUUUGUUGUCUACAUUUAUAUCCUUAUUAUCAUCACUUAAUUUCUCGUCCUUUUUUAAUGCUUAUGCAUAAUGAUUAGCUAAUCAAUUGUUAAAUUACUUUUGUUACCAGUUUUCGAUAAGAUGAUUGUUUAGUUGUUUAAAUGAAAAUUAGCCACUUCUUUAGUCAUGCAUACUAAUGCAGUUUUACUUGCUAAAAUGUGCAUCUAAGAGGAAUUAACACUAGACGUUCCUUUUUCCCCCUCAAACAUGAAACUUGGCCUAAAGCUUACUAGAUCUAAAACCUAUGAACCGAAUAUAUUGAAGCAGAAAAAUAUGGGAUGUCACACUUGAUAAACAUUUUUCAGACAUCAAACAAGAGCACAAAAAUUCACCAAUCUAGGAAACCUAGGCUCUAUGUUUGGGCACACUUCUUUGUGGUAGAAACUCUAUUACUCAUUGAGGACUCUACUUUAAGAGAAAAAAAAAAGGACAAAAAAUAUCAGCAGCCACUAAACUAUUCGUCAGAUCAUGUUUUGGCCAUCAAAUUAUUUUUCGUCAGUAAUUGGCCACUAAAUAAUUUAAUCAAUAAACCCGUGACCAUUUGAUCUAUAAUUGCUUUUAAUCUGUAAAAUUAGUAGUACACGUGGCAAAAUGCAAGGGCAAUUUUAUCCAACAACUAUGUGACCCUGUUCUCCCCUUAAUUUACUCAAUUGGAAGCCCUAAAUCUUCAAUCACAAAUCGAAGAAGCCGAAAAAGAAGACGAAGAAUGCUAGGCACUCUCCUAAACCCAUAACAAGAGGAGAUGUUAUAACAAGAGGAUUUAGUCUUGGAAUGUAAAUUGUAGGAUGAGGGAUGUUGCUUUUGGGAAUGGUAUGAUCCAACAACAUAUGAAAGAUCAACUCAAUGAUCGUGGGAACCAUUGGAAAAACAACCAAAAUUUAGAAGCCAGGAAUCAAGCUCCGGACUUCAUACAUGAAAUUGGUUGGCUCCUCCGUAGAAGUAAGUUGAAAUUUAGAUUGGGUCUACAAGAUUCCAACUUGGAUACAUUUCCCUUCCAGCGACUCAGAUGGCCUAUAGAGUUCUUAGUCGAACAUGACUGGUGUACAGUGGUCAAGAUGCUUUUGAAUGUUCUGGUCAACAAAGUCAUGGGUGAAGAAAAACGCUCUUCAAUUGAAAAUGCAUUGCUGGAAAAUGGGUUGCUCCAUAGAGCUGUUCGGCAAAAUUGUAGGUCCAUGGUUGAAGUCCUCCUAAGAUACCAUCCAGAUGCAGAACUGAAAAAAUUAAGUCCAAUCUGCUAUGUACUUAGACCGAUGUCAGGGCUUGACUCCUCUGUACAUAGCAGCCGGAUGCGAUGGAGUUGAGCAAGUGCUGGAUACAUUAACUGAUGAUCUUGGACUGGUACGGCCCUUCUUAAUAUGUAUAUUGUUAUUAGUGGAACAUCACUUUUGGAAAUGGAAAAAUACUGCUCAGAUCCCCCAGUGGAAAAAUACGACCCUUGCUAAUAUCUUUGAUUUGUGUUUGAAGAUUUGAGACUCCUAAUUGAGUCCCUAUUUUUCCUCCACAUAAUGUUCCAUUCGGUGAUUGUUUGAGGAAAGAAAUUUAGGGGAGAAUAGGAUCGCGUAGUUGUUAGACAAAAUUGCCCCUGCGUUUGGUCACGUGUACAGCUAAUUUCACAGAUUAAAAAUAAUUAUCGAUCAAAUGGUCACGAGUUUACUGAUUAAGUUGUUUAGUGGUCAAUUAUUGACGAAAAAUAGUUUGAUAGCCAAAACAUAAUCUGACGAAUAGUUUAGUGGCCGUUGAGAUUUUUUGCCAAAAAAAAAGGUUAAAUGUCACCCAAGUUGUAGAAAUGUUUAAUAAAUGCCUUUUUUCUUUCGAAGAAAAGUCUAAUGCAAUCUCAGAAGAAAAAACUGAUGAUAUUUUACUUAAGCCCAAUGUCUCUUGAAUGUUAUAUUGUUGUUGGAUAGGUUUUCAUUUGCAAUUUUUUUAUUGCAUCACAAAUAGUUUUUCAAUCACAUUUUUAUCUUACUAAUCACAUUUAUAUUUCACAUAUAUCACAUUGAUAGUGAGACAAUUGUGCAUGUUAUUUGAUGGUAUUUGGUCUCAAUUUUGGCCACUUAUUAUGCAAAGUAAUAGGUUUCUGCUCAUAAUUGGUAUUUGUGUCAGUUGCAGGCGAUUGGUGUCAAAAGUGGUGAAAAGAGACCAAAUUCCAGAAGACUAUUCAUUCUUGAGCGUGCCCACGCCAGAGACCGCAGAAUGACGUCCAAAAGAUGGACCGCGAGACUUAUCCCUGGAAGCUGCAGCUAUUCUUGGGAGACGUGUUUUGAAGCUGCGUGGGAUUAGGAAACAUCUUCAGAAAAUACCUUUGGCAACAACUCAAGGAGAAAAAUAAGGAAGUUAUCAUUUAUAGAAACAAACUCUCGAAACUAUCCUUUAUAGAAACAAACUCUCGAUUGGUAAAGGGUGGCGGGGAGACUUUAAAUAGGACAGCAAUAGACUAGGAGUUUUUAUCUUUGAUCUUGGAUCUUUUUCCUUUUUUCCCUCUAAACGGGAGUUAGAGACUCUUUAGCCGUUGUAUUCUUUUUCAUCAACAAAAGUACAUUAAAGCCUAGGAUUGCAUCAUCGUUAUGAGGCAAGGCUAGGUUCCUUUACUUAGUUGAGAAAUAAUCAAGGUCCGGUGCACAGAUAAUUGUGAGAUCUUUCUAAUUGUUCUGCGUGAUUUUAAAUUCUGCAUUCGUGAGUAUUUAAUUAUUUCUUGUUUUAAUAGCCUAUUGUUGUUUGGAUCUAUUGGAUUAAUGUGAUCAGUUAUUCAAUUGUCUGAAUAGUAUACUGCCAAUUAGGACAGGGGUGCGUAUCACUUGAUUGUCUUAAAAUUAGUGGCAAACGGCACAAUUUCAUUGCCUUGCAAGCAGUCUAAUCUGUGUCGUCGGAAUAGUUAAUCUAGUUUAAAUGAACUCGCAUGUGUAUUUGUUAACUAGAAUUAGGUCUCUCUAAUUUCUAAAAUUGUGAAUAGAUUAAAUCCUUCAAGCGUCUCUGGGGUUAUCUAUUUUACAAGGGAAUAGUUUAAGAGCGUCUCUGAACCAUCAUAUAAUUGAGAGAUUGAUAGUUUGGCGGUUGCUGAAUUGCUAGAACUAAUUUAUUUACGAACGUAUAAACUAUUCCAGGGAUCUGUGAUCAAUUGCAUGAGCCGAUGCCGAAAUUAUCUCCUUGACUAAGUUGUCUCAAUUAAUUGUUUAUUAUAUUCUUUAACUACUGCACUUUCUUGCGAUUGAAAACUCAGUACUCUUACAUCUUUAAUUUGUUCUUCUUGUCUUCCUUUCUAAAAUUUUCCAAAUUCUCUGUGUUUAGAUAAAUCUACUAGUUCCUUAAGGAGACGACCCUACUCACUACUAUACUCGUUCAGAAUCUAAAGAUGCAGUUGAAAAAGGAAUUGAAGUACAAGAAAUGGAACCCCAAUAUCAAAUUGUUCAAGUGAAUGAAUCCAGUGAACAAUCUCCAAAUGCGGUGACAUCUCAAUGCGGUGACAUCUCUCCCAUUCAUUAAUCAAUAUUCUCCUGACUCUUAUUCUUUAAUUCCUGUUAGUGAGAUUGACUUUAUUAUAGCAGAAGAUUUUGAAUUUCAUGACAGGAAUAAGUUAAGUGUCACGAUGACAAAAUAUCUCGAACUAAUAAGUGCUCGUGAUGGAGGAGUGAGUGAAGAAUUAAAGUCAUCACUUGUUUGUUUGGCACCAUCUACAAAUUCAUGGAAGACCGUACCUUGUGUACUCAAUGAUUAUUCUAUUUACGAGAGUUAUCAGCACUAUACAAAGGAUGAAGCAUUGAAAUGAACCACAAGAUUUUAUCCGCCGUGAAUAAACAGGGCAAUGUCUAGCCAAAGACGUUAAAGAGAGGCGCUGUUUGAGAGGUAACCCAAGGACUAAACUCUUUGUUAUUGUUAUCUUUCAUUAUUAUUAUUAUUAUUAUUAUUAUUAUUAUGUCUCAUUCCCAGUGCUUUAUUGGUGUUAGGCAGAAGACUGUGGCUUCCUAGGUGUGCCCACGCUUUGCAGGGUUGCUCCAGAAAGCUGUCGACAAACUGGUGAACAGAAGAUUUUAGCUUCCAACCCGUGCCCACGCUUCAUAGAAAAUUUCAUGGGUGCUGUUACAAAGAAUGGACAGCCGACUUAUGCUUCUUAAGUGUGGUAAUGCCUCUCAACCAAGUGCCGCCGCCCAGGCCGCCGCUGCUCGCCAUUGCUGCCUCACACUCUCUCGACGUCCAUCCCCUCUGCAUCCUAUGUACUUGGAGAUUUUUAGUUCCGCGCCUUGGCGGAUGUCCUUCGUGAGUUGGAUGAAUAAGUUGAUCAUUUGGAUAACCGUCUCACAACCUUGCAAUUUCAUUCUUCUAUUCAGACACAAAAUCUAGCAGCCUUCUUUGCCCAUGUUGGAUUUCAGCCACCUCAUUCUCUUCCCCUAUAGUGCUUUCGCGGCGUCCUUUCAGCAUUCAGGGAAGUUCUAGCUCCUUUCUACUUGGUUUCUAUUUUCUUUGCUACAUUGAGGACAAUGUAGGAUUCAUAUGUUGGGGGGAGUAGUUGAAAAUUGCUAGAAUUUGAUGCUAUGAUGAUCAUUGCAAUUACUCUACAAGCAUGAGCAGUGAUAUUAUGUGGUUAAAUGUCUUGUCUUCUUAAUAAUGGAAUUGAAUGAAGAAAUUUGCAAGAUUUGGCUCUUAAUAUCCUGUUGUGAGCUGUCGAGCCAAUAAGCGUUGCAUUGAUAACUGUUCUAUUUUCUUUCAUUGAAUGAUAUCACACAUGAUUUGAUUGUUCUAGAACUUGCUUUGUUAUGCAUAUCAAGAUCACAUUCCUGAAUUUGAUGCAUUAGAAUGAUAAGGGCACUUAGGCUAACCAUUUUUGCUUUCUAAAGACCAACCUUGAUCAGAUCUCCCCUAGUUGACCAUGGUUAAGUCUAGACCUUUUCUUUGUUUAAUAACUCAUUUUGUCACUCCUAAACCCCUUGUGUUCGAACCCUCUUUGUUUCUACCCUAUGUCAAAGGAAUGCCUUGAUUUCAGUGCAUGAUGAUUUCAAAUUAGGUUGAAAGGGGAUGAUUAAAGUUAGCGAGUGUGUCUAUAUCCCCAUGUAGUUGGGCGUAUUUGAAACAAAAAAAAAAGAAAGCGAAAAAAAGGAGCACACCAAGAAAAAAAAGGGAAAAAAAAGAAAAACAAAAGAGAAAACAAAAGAAAGAAGAAAAAAAAGAGGUAUGAAGUGCUAAUUGUCAAUAUGUGAUCUGUUGAGAUGAUUGGGUGAAUCCCUUGGUUGUGCUGACACUUGCUAAUUUUUGAAAAAAUUUAUGGGAAUGCUUUGGAAAGAUCAAUGGAAUGAAGAAGGAAAUUGGCAUUCAUGUAGUGGGUCAAUGGUAUUGCCUUUGACAUAAUGAGUUUAAAUUACCUGUUUGAUCCAACCCGUACCUGAACCCAUUUACAACCCGUAUCAAGACCCUUUGAUUUUUGCAUUAAAUUUGAUUACAGUGGUGGCGAUGUGAUAUAUUAGCAAGCAUAUGAUAACAUCAUUUUAUUGUGUGGUGAGAGUGACCUUUUGUGUUUCAUGUCAGUGUGGUGAGUAGUCAUAUACCAUUCUAUAAGAGAGGGUUAAGUCUUGCAAUUUCUGAAUUUGAUGACAUUGUUAGGAGGAUAGGACACUUGUGCUCGCAUGUUGGACUGCUACAUGUGUGUAGCUGUAAUUGUAUCUCUGACUUUUGAAAUGUUUGAGGACAAGCAUUGUCUUGGUGUGGGGGGAUUUGAUAGUGAGACAAUUGUACAUGUUAUUUGAUGGUAUUUGAUCUCAAUUUUGGCCACUUAUUAUGCAAAGUAAUGGGUUUCUGCUCAUAAUUGGUAUUUGUAUCAAUUGCAGGCGAUUGGUGUCAAAAGUGGUGAAAAGAGGCCAAAUUCCAGAAGACUAUCCAUUCUUGAGCGUGCCCAUGCUAGAGACCGCAGAAUUACGUCCAAAAGACAGACCGCGAGACUUAUCCCUGGAAGCUGCCGCUAUUCUUGGGAGACGUAUUUUGAAGCUGCGUGGGAUUAGGAAACAUUUUCAGAGAAUACCUUUGGCAACAACUCAAGGAUGAAAAUAAGGAAGCUAUCAUUUAUAGAAACAAACUCUCGAAGCUAUCCUUUAUAGAAACAAAUUCUCAAUUGGUAAAGAGUAGCGGUGAGACUUUAAAUAGGAUAGCAAUAGACUAGGCGUUUUUAUCUUUGAUCUUGGAUCUUUUCCCCUUUUCCCUCUAAACAGGAGUUAGAGACUCUUUAGCCGCUGUAUUCUUUUUCAUCAACAAAAGUACAUUAAAGCCUGGGAUUGCAUCAUCGUUAUGAGGCAAGGCUAGGUUCCUUUACUUAGUUGAGAAAUAAUCAAGGUCUGGUGCACGGACAAUUGUGAGAUCUUUUUAAUUGUUCUGCGUGAUUUUAAAUUCUGCAUUUGUGAGUAUUUAAUUAUUCCUUGUUUUAAUAGCCUAUUGUUGCCAACACUCUUCACACCAAUCAACUUUUAGUAUGAAAGUCAAAAUUGGUGAUUUAAUUAAUUCUGUUGAAUUUUGUGUAGUGCGUACUACAAAUGAAUGCACGAUCUUUGUAUGAAUUGAUUUGUUGGUUGAACAACCUAUCACCAUUUUCCUGAGAAUUAAGUACGUACGAAAUUCAAAAUUAGUGUAUUUUUUUACAUAAUUUAUAAAUAGCAUUAUAAAAAAUAAAUAUAUAUCAAGAAAUUUUACAUUCCUUUGUAAUUCUCUGAUAUAAGAAGCAUCACAACCAAAUACGAAUCGUGCAUGUCUGUCUUAUAGAUUAAGAUGCAUGUUACCACUGGAAUCUCUUAUUUAUAUGCUAAUAUUGUACCUAUUUGACAAAUAAAAUGUUAUAUACAAUACAGAAAAUAUGUUGAAAUUAAAAGUAUAUGAAAUUAAUUACCUAACAACAGUGUUGACCACAUCAUUACAAUGCAGACCAAAGUGACAAAGAAUAUGAUAAUGACAAUCUUUUUGUGAUAAGAAACAUUAACUCUUUUGGCCUAAAGGUACAGAAACUGUCAUCAUGACAAUAUCAAAUACUAUACAUAGUUAUUGAACUCCAAGAAUCCAAACUAAGUCGCAAACAAUCUGAAAAUGUAAAUUUUCUAUCGUAAGAAAUUUCUCAUAGCAAAUUCCAUCAUUUUUGUAUCUGGAGGGAACUUGGUUUCAUCAAAAGUCAAAUACCAAUACUUGUGCCAUAGGGAAAAAGAUGACAUAAAAACAGUGAUGGACAUCUAUUGCUCUGACCAUAAAAUAAAUUUUUAUACUUACUGUUGCGUAAUAAGUUGUUAUUGAAUCAUGAGAAAAUGAGUCUAAAAUGAUGACCUAUUACCUAACAUUUCACUUCUAUUUAAAGAUGAAAGGCAAUCAUAGCAAUAAUCAAUCGAAAAUAUUACAUUAUUGGGAAUAAUAUUUAGAAAAACAAUGGAAAUGCAAAUGUUUAAAGAAUAAACAGUACCAGAAUUUCUAAUUUGAUGCGAACGACGUUUUAAUCGGUGUAGUUGGGAUUUUGUCCUUGGAAUUUGAUGUGAGAUUUCUCUUUUGUCAACGCAAAGUUGCUGAAACUUUUCGAACUACUGUGUGGAAUCGUUACGGUGUACGUUUCGUUUUCUAAACAAAUGUUUCCUCCUUUACAAUCUUGCGAGUUUGAAAUUUAGCUGUCGUUAAAAUGCUUGUAGGCGGGCAUGUUCCAUAGUGAAAUUAGAUUAAGGGUUAAAAUGGAUAUCAUAAAAAUGUUGAAGGAGAAAAUAAGUUCUUGGAAAAAAUGCAAGAAAGUUCUCUUAAUUGGAGUGAGCACGCAAGAAAGUUGAAUGAGCGUGCUAUGUUUUGGAGAACUUUUAAUUGAAGUGGAAUUCUUAAAUUGAAGGACUCUUAAUUGGAGUAAAAAAGUGGGGGAAAUGGAAGGAAAAUAUGAGCAUGAUUAUAGGAUUUUUAGGAGCGGUUAUAGGAUUAGUUAAGAGAUAAACAUCUUAAAUUGGAGAACUCUUAAUUGGAGUGGGAAAACGUGGGGAAAAUGUGAGCAUGAUUAUAAGAUUUGUAAUAUAGUCAAUAACUUGAUAGUAUACUCAAAUCACCGAUGAGGUAAAGUUUGCCUAAAUAAUUUUUAUAGUGUCCUAUUUCCUUGCAAAAAAAAAAACACUAAAUAGUCCUAAUUGCCAUUGCAAGUCACAGCAACGUGCUAGUGGCAUCUAGUUCUAAUUUUUUUUUGGGUCAAAAUCUAGUCCUAAUUGGUUCUACUGUUUCUUGAUCAUGUUGUAUGCUUCCAAAUUCUAGUUAGCGUGUAAUAAUUGAUAAUGGCUUAUUCUAUUCUUUCAUGGUAUUGGACAGGUGCAAACCACACCAGAAGUGUGAUAAAUUUACUAUAAACUCCUAAUAUUAUCUCCCAUAAUUUUUGUAUACUUUUUAAAAAAUUUAAACUUUUGUCAACAAUAGACUGGUCACGCAAAUAAAAAAAAGGGACUCGUCACACAUCUUAUUGUUUGCCUGAAAGAACUCAAUUUAGCAAAUUUUUUAGAAUAAUGGUGAAAAAAAUCAUAACAAUGGAGGAACCUGGGUUUGUUUCUUUUUUUUUUUGGGAUUUGAAACAGCCCUAUUCAUUUUUUAAAAAAUAAAUUAAUUGGCCAUCUUACGUUCAUUAAGAAAGGGAAAUUUUUUUUUGCCACUGCACAUGGAUGUCCGACCAUCCUAAAGGAAAAGAAAAAACAAUUAUUCCAUUCUUGCGACUUUUUUAGGGUUAAAUAUAGUAAGCCCCUUAACUUUACAUUUAAUUGCACUUUACCCCCUCAACUUUACAUUUAGUUACAUAUUCGUGAUUUUUUUGAAACGUGAUUGUAAUUUGUAAAGUUCAUUUGUAGGUGUGGUUAUAGGAUUAGUUUAGUGAUAAAUAUUUCUUAAUUAUAAAAAUGUAAAAUUGUAUUAAAAUAGCAUACGAAUAAGCAUUUGUAUUUAAUUGAGGAGUAAAAAGGAUUUAAAAUAUAAAAACAAACUAUAAACGGUUUAUGAAGUAGAUAAUGGAAAUUUUUUAAAUUUUAAAUUUGACUGGUGAUAGGGUUGGUUAUAACCCACUACUUUUUGUGUAUUAAAAUAAAUACAAAAAUCUAGAAAAAAAAUGAGAAGUUUGGAAGUCAUUGAGAGGCUCUCUCCUAAAAACCCACUCUGCAAUACAUAUAGAUAUAGAUUUGUAUAGAUGAUCUAUAAGAGUAACGACUUCAUAUAUUGUGAAGCCAAGCGAUUUGAUCACAGAUCUCAACUUUGCUUUUACUAGUGUUAUAAGAUAGCAUCCAAGAAUUGGAAAUUUUAAAUAUAAUUAUCACAUUUUGAAAGUUGGGCUCAUGAAAUCAAGUAGAUGCAGAGGUGUGAUGUCUUGGAGCAGUGAUCCGCAAGCUUGUCUAUGCCUGGCGAGAAGUGACAUAAUAAAAUUGAAAAGCUGGGAUGUGUGGAAAAAAUUUAAAAGCUUUUAGCAAUGUUUAUCAAUGGGAAAAAGUGAUUUGAUGGGCAUACUCGUUAGAUAAUCUUGACGUAAUGAAGUUGAAGAGGACACUACUGCUAUGAAAAUUAAAUUGGGAAAACCGUUCAAAAAAUUUCUUGCAUUUUGCCAAAUAAAUUUUUUCAUCAUUCACUUUUAAAAUGUUAAUUUUACAUCCUUACAAAUUCAAAUAAAAAAAAAACUUGAUUCUAAUCUAGGGUUUUGACUACUUUCAUCAUGUAACUCUUAUGUGAUUAUUUUUUAGGGGCAAAAAGAUUAGUUACUAUUUGUAGUUAAAUAAAUAACCCAAUUUAUAUUUAUUUUUUUCUCUAAAAAUGUGGAGUCUGAUCUAAAUUAUAUUUAUUUUUUCUUCUAAAAAAUUAAGAUCUGACCCAAUUCAUAUUCAUUCUUGCCCCUAAACAAAUGGGCUGAUUUCUUAAAUUAUUAAAAAAUUCGGUAAAAUCUAGUAAGUGGUGGAUUUGUUCUUUAUUUAAGGGUACCUAUAUAGUCAUACCUCAUGUACUACAUGUGGCACCCAAAUAAUUUUUUCUAAUUUUAAAUGUUUUUAAAAUGUUACUUUAUUUUUUUAAUUUUCAAAAUAGGGGCCACACGUACUAUAUUACAAAAAAAAAUUACAAACAUGGGGGCCGUGGUUAUUUAAUUAAGUGCAGUUUGGUUUGCAUAUAUAUAUAUAUAUAUAUAUAUAUAUAUAUAUAUAUAUGUUUGUUUGGAUUGUGUUUUAUUUGGAAUAUUUUUACUGUAACACUUUUUGUGAUGUGAUGUGUGUGAGAUAAAAAGGUAAUUGGGAAGAUAAAAAGGUGUAUUGGAAAUUGUAAUGAUGAUGUAAGCAGAUAGUGCAAGUCCAAGCGAGGAUGACAACACACCGUGGAGAGCCUGCGGUGGUCUUCAGUGCGGCUGAAAUAGCAGCGAUUGCUGCUCCAUUCCGCUACACUUUGGUUGGGAAGUUCUCUAAGGGGCGGUCGCUGCUGCCUGACCUGAGGAAAUUCUUGUCGACUCUUGAUUUGAAGGAUACGGCGACUGUGGGAUUGUUAGAUGCUAGGCAUGUGUUGCUGAAAUUUCAGUGUGAAACAGACUUCCUUCGCGUUUGGGGACGAAAUUUGUGGUACGUGAAUGGAUGCCCCAUGAGGGUUUUUAAGUGGACAUCUAAGUUCCAUGUGGACAGAGAGUCUUCCCUUGUUCCCGUUUGGUUUAGAUUGCCCAAACUCCCAAUUCACUUAUUUGCUAAGCCAUGUCUAUUUCAUCUUGUCUCCUGCUUGGGUACGCCGCUUUUCGUGGAUGCGGCUACGUCUUCGUUUUCGCGACCGAAUGUGGCACGGGUAUGUGUUGAGGUGGAUCUGCUCAAAUCGAUUCCAUCGAGGGUGUGGGUUGAUAUGGGAGAUGGGGAUGGCUUUUGGCAGGCUCUUAUCCCUGAGAACCUUCCUAGUUAUUGCAGCCACUGCUAUCGUCAAGGGCAUGGCGAGGAUCAGUGCCGUGUGAAGCACCCUGAUCUGCGCUUGCCCAAGACGCAGGGGGGUCUGGUCGCAGGGGAGAUGGGCGCAAAGGUUCGCUCCUCACAGGCUAACACGCAGGGUAUAGAGGGUGAGGAGCGAAGGGUGGUGAGUGAAGGCGCUGCGGUGCAGGCUGGUGUGACGCAGAAUUCAGGCGGGGAUAUUUUUUUCUCGUAGGUUAAUACCCUGGGUAUAGAGGGUGAGGAGCGAAGGGUGGUGAUUGAAGGAGACGGGGUGCAAUCUGGUGCGACACAGAAUUCGGGUAAGAGCCAAUCCGAGGGGGCACGGCACGUUGACACCCAGACUACUGCUGUGGGAGAUGCGUCGUGCUUACUGAACCAGCUUGGAGGAUCUACGGUUGCGCUCGUGGAGAAGGGGAUAGAGGUUGCUGCUGAUGCCAUUCUUCACGCUAUGUCUGACUGCGUGAUUGGCGAACCAGAGGAAGUGCUGGAAGGGACUGCUAAUACUGGAGAGUUGGUGCUGGGGGAGCUGAAUGUGGCAGUUGGCCCGGGCAUGGUGGAGCCCAUACGCACCAAAGAGGGGGCUGUUGUGCCAGGGGAGAGCUGCAAGGAAGAAGCUGUCAAGGAUGGACGACAAACAGAAGCUGCCGAAACUGUUGCAAAAGCAAAGUCCGUUGCUGAUGAUGAAAGGGAGGGACCAUUCGAUCAAUUUGCAGUCCAUGCCCACGGGAAUGAUUGUGAGGGGUCCCAUAUUUUAGUGGAGCAAAUAUUGAGAGAUGGUCAGCAGCAAAUGGCCGACAAUACUUCAUUGAGAAAUCAAAAUGCUGACAAUUCUAAUUGGAAUAAAAGUGAGGGGUCCCAAGCUUUUGAGGAGCAGAAUUUGGGAGAUGAUAAUCAUCAAAAGGUCAACACCGCUGAGCCCAAAAUUCUUUAUGGUGCCUUGCAUGGGGUUGAGGAUGUACCGCCCCUUGUGGUUACGAGUACAAGUACAAGAACAGAAACGAAAACAACAAUGCCUCAAGAUCCAGUGCCACAAUUCAAAGAUGUGUUCGAAGAGAUUAAAUGGGAAAAAUUACAUGGUACAGUUCCCCGACCACAUCAAAUUCCUUUUAUUCGUUCAAGUAUAACAUGCAAUGACAACAAAAAUGAAGAAGAAGACGACGAUUCACAUCGCGAAAAUCACAAAGAUCAAGACCAAUGCCUAGUUCAAGAGCAAUUUACCCAAGUGAUUUCAAAGAAAGCGAGAAAACAACUUUCAAAAAAAGGUAAAACAAUGCAAACACGUCAAGAUCUCAAACCAAAUCCCCAUGCUCACUCGCAGUCACACAAAUGUGGGGCACCUUCGUGUGGAUAAUUUCUUUGGAUUGAUCUGUUAUGUCUUUAAAAUUCCUUCAUAUGCGCGUUUUAUUUUUUAUCAUUAGAUGUUUCUUUUCCUUUAACAGAGGUCAGGUUUGGCCCUCUUUAAUUUGAUGUACUCUUUUUCGGUUAUAAAUAAAAAAAAAAUUAUCAUAAAAAAAAAAAUUGGGGAAAUAAAACACAAUCCAAACAAACCUCCGGUGCUUUAGUUUCUGCCUUGUCCCUUUUGAUGAUGCAUCAUACCAAACUUCAGUACACAUCUUUUUCUUUUCUUUCUUUUUUUUCCUUUAUCCCAAAAAAAAAAGUGAUCAAAUUUUAAACAAAUAAUCCUUUUUGUUUCAUUUUUCUGGAAACUAAUUAAUUGUAUGAUCAAUAUAAUCGUACUAGCUACUGUUAAAUUAAUGUUUUAGCUUUACUUGCUGUUUGAUUAACAAAUGGCAGCAAAUUAAGGCAUCAACUGGGUGAGGUACGAAGAGGAUCAGUGGAUUUGGUCAUUUGUUUUGCAAUAUAUAUUAAAAUAUAAAGGCGGCUGCCGCAACUAUUCAGGUACGUGCAUAAACGCGGGAUGAAAAAAAAUGUGGAAAACAAUGAAAUUAUUGUGAAUGGGUAAAUUAAAAGCAAAUCCUGCCCCCAAGAAAUAAUUCAAAGCCACUGCAUGUGGCCCCUACAGAUUAACCUUAUCAAACUUGACCAUGUCUAUAAAACCCCCACUGGAGUUCAUUGCCAUACCCUAACUUGCUAUUCAGCCCUGAUGGAAAGCACUUGGCUACUCUUAGCCUUGGCAUGGCUGGUUGCAUUGGCUUUUCUCCAAUGUUUUCAAACCCGGACCGGACCGGCCAGUUUGACCGGUUCGACCGCGAACCGGACAUGUGUCCGGUCCGGUCCAUAGCUUAUGUUGACUUGGAUAAAAAACCGGUCAAACUCGUAAAAAACCGUUCAAACCUUCAAAACCGGAUCGGACCGUGAACCGCGGUUUUCCAAUUUUUGAGUCAAAAUUGACAAAAUUUUCAAUUUUGACCGGACCCUAAUCUUCACUUCACUUCAGUCUUCCUCUUCGCCGCAGUUCGCACUUCGCUUCGCGGCUUCAGUCGUCCUGGGUUCCUCUCUGGCUCUCUCUGCAAUUGCCGAAAAUUGCCUUGCCUGCCGUUUCUAUUUCCUUCUCCAAACUCCAAUUUGAUCCAUAGCAAUCAGCAAAAAGGAAGCACCGAGGUCCGAAGCUUGCAGUUUAUAUUGCAGUAUCAGCAAUAUGCAGUAUCAGCAGUAUGACGAUGAGGAGGACUGGGUGUUGUUUGGCUGCGGCUGAGAAUCCAGUCGGUGGCCUUAACGAUGUCGCCGCCGGCGGCCUUUACAGCUUCAGGCUUCAGCAGCCAGAGAGUUGAGGAACCCCAUGCUCACCAGUUGCUUCAUCCUUACGUGCAUCUUUUCUCCCUUCCUCUGGCGCCAACUCUCAUCAAGGAAUUGGAAUUUGGCACUUUCCGGAAAGCUGAAAUAUCAAUAGCCCACCCCACUUUUUAACUUUCCCAUCUUGCUUCAUCUUACGUUGGUCACAUUCAAAAAAGUUGCCCUUCUUCUUCAUGUUAUUACACUAGUCACCCAUAGUCACCAUAAGGGUUAAUUCUAAUUAAACCCCCCACCCCCUCAAAAAAUGUUUCUUUUUCACAUGAAUGUCUAAUUGAAUCAAUUCACCUCUUGUGCUAUUAUAAAGUUUUCAAUCAGGUACAAUUGGUUGGAUAGCCCAAUUUCAGCUUGAGUUUGGCAUGUGCAUUACAUAUAUACUAAUACAUUUAUACUGAAUUACCAAUUACACUUUUACUAAUUAUACAUUUAUUCUAUUUAGCCCAAGUAGGCACCGAUGAGGGGGGAAUGUUUGGGCAACGGGAUGAGGCACUCCACCCCCCCGGUUGCCAUUCCUAGUGGUGAUGGAGAUGGGGUUUUUUUAUUUUUUUUCUCAAUACACCAAAAUUUCCCUGUUGCAAUUGCAGUAAAUUCUAAAACAAUUACAGUAUUGUGGUUCAGUAUUUAUAUCUUAUUCUAUGCAUAGGUCUAGGUGUGUGUGUCUAUAUAUAUAUUUAUUUAUUUAUUUAUUUAUUGAACCGUUCCGACCGGUUGAACCUCGACCCUUUCAUCUCACCGGUUCGAUUGACGGUCCGGGUUUGAAAACAUUGCUUUUCUCUCAAAAGCAUUCACUCACAAACGCCUCAAGCUAAAUCAUCCACCUGGACCAAAACCAUGGCCUAUUAUUGGCAACCUAAACCUCCUCGGUUCAAUCCCACACCAAUCCUUGCACUUGUUGUCCCAGAAAUCUCUGUUUUCAAACUCGGACCGGACCGGCCGGUCGAACCGGGAACCGGCCAGGUAGCCGGUCCGAGUCACAUUAAAAAACCGGAAAUUUAAAACUCGGUCAAAGCCGGUCAGAAACCGGGUUUGACCGGGAAAAACCCGGUUUUUCCGGUUCAACAGUAAUUUUUUUUUAAAAAAAUUCAAACUUUUUAAUAUUAUGUUUUGACCCCCUAAAUUGUUAAAACUUAUUGAUAUACCUCAAAUAUUUGAUACUUUAUAAAUAUUGUCCUAAAAUUUGAUGUUAUUUUUCAAUUAAAUUCAUAAUUUUAAUUCUAAACUUGUUAAUAUUUAUUAAAUAAUAUAAAUUGCUACUUGAUUGUUCUAAUUUCUUUGUAUUUUCUUGUUAAAUAUAUUUAAAACAUCAAAUAUAUAUGGAUAUACCUUUAUUAAUAUCAAUAUAUUAUUAGAUAUUAUAUAUAUAAUAUUUUAAUUUUUAAAUAAUUUUUAUUUAUGACGUCAUCCGGUUCGACCCCUAUCGACCCCCGGUCGAACCCAUUGACCCCUGACCCCUGACCUCGGCCGAGUCGCUAUCCGGUCCGGUUCUGAAAACAUAGCCAGAAAUAUGGAGAAAUCAUGCAACUAAAACUUGGUUCCAGCCCUGUUGUAGUAGCUUCAUCCCCUGAAAUGGCAAAAGAAUUCUUGCAAACGCAUGACAACAUUUUCGCCUCUCGGCCUACAACUGCUGCUGCCAAAUACACUAGCUACAACUGCUCCGGCAUGUUAUGGGCACCAUAUGGUCCACACUGGCGACAAGUUCGUAAAAUUGGUCUAACCCAAAUAUUAAGUCCAAAACGACUUGACUCCUACGAGAGCAUACGCAUUAAGGAAAGGCAUGCUUUCAUGUCUCGUUUGUAUGCUCUCUCAGGAAAGCCAGUAGUUUUGAGAGAUCAUCUAAUCCGUUUUACACUCUCCGCUGCAAGCCAAAUGGUUUUGAGUAACAAGUACUUUGCCCAAUCUGAAGGGGAUGGAUCUGUAGUUACCUUUGAAGAACUCCAAGAGAUGAUAGAUACCUGGUUUUUGCUGGGUGGUGUGUUCAAUAUUGGGGAUUGGAUUCCGUGGCUCGACAGAUUUGACCUCCAAGGUUACGUAAAGCAAAUGAAAGAACUUUACAAGAAAUUGAUAGAUUCCAUAACCAUGUGCUUGAUGAUCAUCGGGCCAGGAGGAAAACGGAGAAAGAUUUUAUCCCUAAGGACAUGGUGGACAUUCUAUUGCAACAUACUGAAGAUCCUGAUCUCCAGGUUAAACUCACCGGAGAUCAGAUGAAAGGGCUAAUUCUGGUGCUAUUUCUUCUCAUUGUUUAAUCAAAUUUCCAGAUCUCUUUACCUCUUUAACUUACUGAAUCUUAACGCUAGCACUUUAGCUUAGUACAAUGUGCCAUUAAACAUAACUGUCUUUUUUAUUCUGAUUAAGAGGUUUUUUGCCUUCAAUAUGUUGUCAAGCAUGAUACUUCAUCAGCAUUUGAUCAUGGCAGGACUAACUUUACCAAUAUUUGAUCAUGUCCAGGACUUGCUUGUUGGUGGUACCGAUACCUCGGCGUCCACAGUAGAAUGGGCAAUGAAUGAACUUCUCAAACAUCCACAUCUCAUUGAAAAGGCAACCGAAGAGCUUGAUAGUGUGAUAGGGAGAGAUAAGUGGGUGGAAGAGGCUGAUUUCUCAAAGCUACCUUUUCUAGGGGCGAUCAUAAAGGAAACUUUUAGGUUACAUCCACUGGCAACGCUGCUUGCACCCCAUUAUGCCCUUGAGGAUUGCACUGUAGCCGGUUAUCACAUUGCUAAAGGAACAACGGUGUUUAUAAACACAUGGAGUAUGGGGAGGAACUCAAAGUAUUGGGAUUCUCCUGACGAAUUCAUUCCAGAGAGGUUUUUGGGGAAGGAUAUUGACGUCAAGGGACAUAACUUUGAGCUGUUGCCCUUUAGCUCAGGUCGGAGGAUGUGCCCAGGCUAUGUCCUUGCACUCAAACUUGUUGGAACAAUGUUGGCCAACUUGCUGCAUGGAUUCAACUGGAAAUUGCCUCAUGGCAUGAAACCAGAAGAAAUUUGCACGGAAGAACUCUAUGGUAUCUCAACUCAUCCAAGGAUUUCACUUGCUAUGAUCCCAGAACCACGUUUGCCGGUCAAUCUCUAUUAGCGUGUACGAUUCUAGGGAAAAUUGAAAUAUGUUCCUACUCUGUAUAUGUAAACUGUUAAACUCAUUCUCCGCUCUCCUAUUAUAUCAUUUAGCUCAUUUUAGGUGAGAGCUUAGGAGUCGAGACAGUAUAAUUGGCCUAAAUAAAUAAACUUUAACGGGACAAUAUGUUCCUUUUGGUAAUUUCCAUUGUGAAAUAAAAUAAAAGUCACACUCAAGUUUUUUCUUUCUUUCUUUCUUUAAAUUGCUUUUGGUGAAUUCUGUUGUGAAAUAAAACAAAAUGUCACAAUCAAGUUUAUUUUUUAUUUUUUUGCUAGAAAACAAACAGGCAAAAUAUCGCAAUAAUGACAUAUGGAAAAAUUGACAUGGAAAUAAUGAAGAUUGCACAGAGUAGAAACUGACUCUCCCUUGUUAGCAAAGAAAAUAGGUAUGCAACGGAAAUAGGUAUCUCAAAAAUUUGAGAAACAAACAAGGCACUCAACCAGGGCCUCAAAUCUGUUUAAAUUCUGGAUAACAAAAGUAACAUUUACGAAAGCAGAGUUGACAGGCAAAUUUAUGAUUGGUUUGUACACCCUAAUCAUACAAGACCUAUAAAUAAGACAAAACAAGUCUGAGUCACGAGUCAGAAUGAAUACCCUCAAGCUAGGAAGAUAUUCGGCCUAGAUGGAAAUGAAGAUCCUAAUUAUUCUUUUUCUGGGCAUAUCAGUUUUGCCCUCUCACCCACGUAUAUUCAUUCUUGGGCUUUAAACCGGAUCAUAGAGCCCGAAAUUUCGGUCAACUUACACGCGAAGAAACUUGGAGAACUCGUCUCCAAUGCCAUCAUCCCCCAUAAUCCUUAUUCCAAGGCUCUUUGAUAAUAUAUUUUAUCUUUAGAAAAAAUAUUUAUAUUUCUUUCGUUGAGGGUAAAUCUUUAUAUCUAAUUCAUCAAAUUUCAUAACUUUGAUAUGUUGAAAGGCAUCAUAUCUAUUUAAAUUUUCAAAGUCUGGUCCAGUCGAAAUAAUCUUGAGCAUCAAAAUAUGUUUGAGACCAUAUGUAGGAUUAUUUUGAUAAAUAUACUUUUACUCCUUUUUGAAUCUACCGAGGGAGUCUGGAAAGUUCAGAAAAAGUAGGAAUAGUUAUAUAGGUAAUAUUGAUUACUCUAAAAUUGUACCAUUUUUUAAUUUCUUUGAAGCGUCUAAAGGAGAAAGGAUGCAUUGGUAUUGGGUUUGUUCGGGUACAAAUUUUUUUCUCAAACAAUAUUUUGUUUAUGAUAUAAAUAUAUCUUUUAACCAUCUUUUUUAUGUUUUUAACUACCUUUUUAUUACAUAUGCAUUACACCACAAAAAAUGUUAUAAUAUUUUUUCAAAUAAUCUUUUAUCCAAAGAUGAUCAACGUGAUCUGUAAAAUCUAUUGGAGAUGGUUUCUUUGAUGUAUCCCUUUGACAAUCUUGCUAAUCUAUUGGACAAAACCUACGGCACUUUUGUUUCAUAGUAAACUUAAAAAUUAAAUUUUAAACUUAAAAAUUCUCAACAAGAAUACUCCAUGGGCACUCCAUUCCAGCGCCUCGCGCAGGGAUCUGGUCAAGUAGUACUAAUAAAGUCUUUAGUAAUCAACUCAAGCUACUUAGGUUGAUAGUAAUUUCUCCCUAAAUUGUUUUUAUUGUCGAAAUUAUUUCCUUGUUAUCUUUACACAAUUCUUUGAGCUUUUUUAAGUGCUCUAACUUCCAUAUUGGUUAGUUAAUAAUUUUUUUUCGGGCAAAAGGGAAAUUUUCUUUUAUUGAUCUGUGAAUUGUAACUUUACAAAGGAAACAAAAUCCUACUACAUCACAAUAUCUAUUGUAAUAUCUACACUAUACAAAAACAGACAGAACAAACAACCAAAUUCCAGUAGCUUAAUCCACCAAACAGUCUUGAUCCAAGCACCACUCAAGCAUCAGUUGCCAAUUUGUCUUGGUCCUUGGAGAAAUCACUUUGAUCACAUUUUCCACAAAUUUGACAAUUCCUGCCGACGAAUCCCGAAAUAUCCUGCUCUUCCUUUCUUGCCAAAUAUGCCAGACAGUGAUUGCUAAAACAAGUCGCCUUAGUGUUGACACAAAAGAACUAGAAAUUGUUAGGAUACUUUCAUUGUUAUUUUUCUAAAAGAUCCAUGUUUAAUUCUUUACUCGCAAUUGAGCCCUUUCUAUCAUAAUGAGUACCAAUGCAAUUAAUAUUACGAAAAUGUUCGCUAUACUUCACUAUAUUUAUUUAUUUUUUUUUUACUAACCCCAAAAAUGAAACUUCGUCUGUAAAAAACUUGGAGACUUGUGUUUGCUAGCGUAGUGUAGCAAUUGUGGAGAGCAAGAAACCAGGUUAUUUUUCAGCAAGCAUCGGUAUCUGCUCUUAGCAUAAUUUCUGCUGUCCAAAUCUUACUUUUCAACGAAGACAUACCAAAUCUAUGAAAUUUUUUAUAACUAGAACCCCACUAAAUGAACAAAUAUCUCCACGUAUCAUCUUAUUCGCCAAUCAACAAAUUUCUUUCUGUGAUUUUUGUGUUACCAUUGCUGCUCGACAAAUUUUUUCUGGCUUGUACGCCCAGCAUUGGCCGCCACCAGGUGAUGCACCAUGUUUGGCCAUAAGUUAUGGAUAAAUCUUAGAUACACUGACAGUGUAUACGCUAUCAUCGUUCGAUACAUGACAUGUGUACAAAAGUUGAAUUUCAAAUUCAAAAUUUGCAUCGUUGUUAUUAUUCAAUGCUGAUAAUGUAUAUACUGUCAGUGUAAGAAAGAUUAAUCUAUAAGGAAUGGUAGUCGAAUUUUGUAAGAAGGAGACUAAACAAGAAAUAAGUUGAGAAAGGUAAGGAGACGGAGGGGAGGGAAGGGAUGGAUGGGAAGGGGUGACAACUACAAGGGGUUUAAAAAGAGUGGAGUGAUAAUAAUGUUUUUUAUAACCAUUUCACUUUUUAAUUUUUCAUAGUAAUAUGUUUAAAAUGGGUGGGUAAUCAAAAUUAUACCCAAUUUGAUUAAAAAAAAUUAUACCCAAUUUAGUGAUAUAUAUAUAUAUAUAUAACCGCUAAAUUUAGGGAACGAGUAUUUAUACUCAUUAACUCAUUCGUAGAGGCUUUAAAAAUCAAUAUGUAGAGUUAUAAUUGAACUUAAAAGUCACCUGCCAAACACUUCCUUAUUUCUAAGAGUUGCACAUUAGCUUUCAUCAUAGGAGAAUAAAGAUUCCACAUUUAACGAAAAUUUUUUUAAAAAAAAUCCAUGUGAAAUAUGAGAAUAUCUUCUAAAGUGUAGAAAUCCAUUAAAUAAGGAAAAAAUCGUUCAAAACAUCAUUUACAUUUUUGUUAAAUGAAUUUUUCGACUUUCAUUUUUAUAAUAAUAACUUUACAUCCCUUACAGAAUCAAGUGAGUAAAAUUUGGUCCCAACUUAGGUUUUCAUUUACUUUUUAUCUUAUAUCCAUCACGUGAUUCGCAUAUGAUUAUUUUUUUUUGGGCAAAAAGAUUCUAUUUGUAGUUAAAUAAAUGAUUUGAUUCAUAUUUAUUUUUAUCCCUAAAAAAGUAGAAUCUAACCUGAACCAUAUUCUUUUUUUUUUUUACCAAAAAGUGGAACCCGGUCUUUUUAUAUAUAAAAAAUGACUACAUAUAGGUUACGUGGUGAUUUCAUGCUAAAAAGUAAUCGCAAACUUAGUUUGGAAUCAAGUUUUAUCGACUUUUUUUUGGUCAAAUGUUCCACUUUUUUAUUAACUAAAUAAAAUAAAGAUACCAAGAUUUUGAGGAGGGGCCAAACCUGACCUCAAGAGCUCUUGAAAUUAUCGACUAAACUUUAUAAGGGAUGUAAAAUUAAUAUUUUAGAAAUGAAGAAUAAAAAAUUAUUUAACAAAAUGUGAGGUAUGUUUUAAACGAUUUUCCCAUCAAAUAACUAUAAGUACGUACUAUACUUUUCCAACUUGUAAUAGAAAUUUUGUUACACAUGAAGAUUGACUCUUCUUCAAAGAAAAGUGAAGUGACACCGGGAUACAUUUUUUACUUUGUAGACAUGUCCAAUGAAUGUCUCGGUUCCUUCUAAGACGAAAACCGAAGAUAUUUUACUCAAGUGCAAUGUCUUGUAAAUAUCAUUGUCAGGAAGAAGACAUUUACUGAAGUUCUGAUGUUGAAUGCUGAAAUGUGUAAGAAGCAAACUUUUUUUUUUUUUUUUGCACAACCAAGAUAAGAUGCAAGUAAAAGUGUCCGAGAAAAUGAUUUUGAUAGUCCCUGAUAGGGUAAAAGACAAUUUCCUAAUUAAUUCACUCGAUUGUGUAUCAAGUGUAUGUAAAAGUCGCUCACCGUCCUUACAUAGUAGUCCCUUGAUCACCUUCAUUGAUUGGGAAAAACUGGAAUUUUGUAAUCCACUCACGAUAACUUCCAAAGCUUGAGUCCCUAUGAGUCACAAAAGAGGGUUUUAGCUCCCUGCAAAUUCUUAUUGUUUUCUUUCGACUGCUUAUAAGUUUCAGGAAUUAAUUCAAGCUAAUUAGUUUGAGUUAUUUCUUCCUAACCUGUUUUAUUGUCUACAUUAAUUUCCUUAUCAUCACUUAAUUCCUUGUCCUUUUUUAAUGCUUUAGCUUGCAUAAUGAUCAGUUAAUCAAUUAUUAAAUUACUUUUGUUAUCAGUUUUCAAUAAAAUGAUUGUGUGCCGAGAAGGCCUCGAUUUAGUAGUUAAGGUUGAGACUUCAGAGUUUAGAGGUUCAGGAAUCUAAUCCCCCUAUCCAGUCUCUACUUCUUAAAUCUCACUCUAAGAUGAUUAUGUAGUUGUUUAUACUUGCUAAAAUGUGCAUCUAAGAGGAAUUAACGCAAGGCGUUCUCAUUCUUGUUUUUUCUCCCCCAUCUGAAACUUGGCCUAAAGCUUACCAAAUUUAAAACUUAUGAACUUAAUAUAUUGAAGCUGAAAAUAUGGGAUGUCACACUUGAUAAAUGUCUUUCAAAUGUCAAACAAGAACAUAAAAAUUCACCAAUCUAGGAACCCUAGGCUCCCUUUGCUUGAGCCUCCUUCUUUGUGGUAGAAACUACUCAUGGAUUGGAGGACUCUACUUCAAAAGAAAAAAAAGGGUAAAAUGUCACUCGAGCACAUUUUGUAGAAAUGUUUAAUAAACGUCUUAUUUCUUUCAAAGAAAAGUCCAAUGCCUUCUAAGAAGAAAAAACUGAUGAUAUUUUCCUCAAAUCCAAUGUCUCUUGAGUAUUAUUUUGUUGUUUGGAUGAGUUUUUAUUUACAAAUUUUUUUAUUACAUCAAAAACAACUUUUUAAUCACAUUUUUAUCUUAUAUAUUAUAUUUAUAUUUCACAUAUAUCACAUUAUCAAAAGUACGACAUUGUCAUUCUAAGAUUUUCUAUUCAAAUAAUCUCCUAUCCUAACAGACUAGAUAUUUUAGUAAAAUUCCAAUGCCAAAUGUUGACAUGUGUCCAUGGACAAAACUUUUGUUAUUUUAAACGAACCAAUAAUGAAAUGUUGGAAAAAGUAUGCCAGGUAGUAUGGUUGUUUCAAUUAUGCUAGGUGGUGUAGUAGAACAAUUUAAUGUAGACAUACCUCAUUUGCUUUUGUGUUAGUUUCACUCAUGCUUCUAUUCUAUAUCUUUAAUGAAAUAAAUGGGAAACAAACAACUUCCUGAUUAUUUACCCUAAUCUUGUAACAGAGACUCUGUUACUACUUAUUAGGGAGCAAAAACUCGAAAGAGCCUACCAAUUAGAGAACCCAAUAUGUAAGUCGAGAAUCAAAUGUUGAUCCAAAAGUUUAAGUUGUUAAGUCUCGGGUCAUUAUUUACAUAUUAAAUACUCUUUCUCCAUCUCUCAAACCAAGGUGGGAUAUAAUUCCCUACUCAUGAAUCUAAUGUCACUUACUAAUGAGACAAACUUGCUAAUCAAAUGGCUGGGGUUUGGACAAAACCAACAGCAAUCUUACCCCUACAAGUUAUAAACUAAAAAAAAAAAUUGUAAAAUUUCAAAAUUCUCAAAAAGAAAACCCCAUGUGGCAUGGGGGUGAGUCCUAAUAGUACUAAUGAAGUCUUAAUAAUAAACUCAAGCUACUUAGGUCGGUAGUAACUUCUCCCUAAAUUUUUUUUAUUAUCAAAAUUAUUUCCAUGUUUAAUUCUUUACUUGCAAUAUAUUAAGCCCUUUCUAUCAUAAUGAAUACCAACGCAAUGACACUUACUCAAAUGCGCAUUAUACUUCACUAUAUAUAUAUAUUCAAAAAUGAAACUUCAUCUGUAAACAUGAUGAAUAUAAAAUUAUAUACUUAAAAGUGGAAGCCAUGUCACACUUUUUUGUUUUUUUUGGCAAACCCUAUGUUCUUAGAGGGGAUGCAGUGUCACACUUGAUGCAUUAAACAUUUUUCAAACAUUGAAAUUGGUGAAGAGCAUAAAAGAUUCAUGAAUGUAUCCUUGUUUGGAAAGCCAGUUUUCAAUAAAAAAAAAUUCUACAUUUUUCAUGAACAUAUUUUCCAUCACCUUUUUACAUCACAUACAUCACCUUUUCAUCACCUUUUUAUAAUUCUUAUGAAUUUCAUCUAGAUUACAAGACUUGUCCCAAAAAACAACAAAAAAAUAAUGGCAGCAGGAAAUACUGAACUGCAGAAUUAAUUGAGAAGUCGAAAAGACUAACUUUGAGUUGUACUCGACAGGCUAAAAGAAAAAAAAUUAUUUGCAACAAAGAACUACAGUACAAUAGCUCUUUACCUUCUAAUGAUCAUUUUGAACUAGCAAAAGCAGCUUUCUUUCCUUCAUAGCAACACCGCGAGUCACUGGAAAUCCGGCUUUACAGCUCCUCUCGAAAACUCAAGCUCAUUCUGGUCAAGACCUACUAUUCAUUGUCAAGUUAAUGAUAGGGUAUAAUUUUAUAUGAAUAAUCACGUGCAUGUUAAGCCCUUAAUAUGAAAGGGAAUUACCUAACUUGAUUGUGUUUUUGGUUUUAGGAGGAUUUGAUGCAAAUGGGCUUGGAAUUGCACGUGAAACUUGAACAUGAUGAUGAAAGCCACCUAACUUGCCUAAACAUGUGGAAGAUUGAACUUGAAGAAGAAUGAACGCAAGUCGUGCGUGACAUGCAAGCUCAGAGUGGGAAAACGAAUUGUGAAGAAAUGUUGCUCAACUUGUCACCGGACAUCCUCUGAAAAUUGAAGAUUUGGAAUUCAUGGAAUGUUCGGUGCCGGACUUGGUCGAAAAUCGCGCAAACUCGCUUUUCUUCAGUUUUAACAAACCUAUUCCUUCUAGGAUUCAACAGGAAUUUUAGGAAACUAUACAUAGGAGUACUUGGGGCAUUUUCUGGGGAGGAAGCACUUAGCUAAACAUUAGUUCUAAGAUUUUUCUUUAAGAUUCAAGAAUCAAACUAGGAAAUUAAGGCGCGGGAUUUAGAGUAUCAUUAAUUAGGAAGUUCUACAUGCUCUUUAUUCUAAGUCUUGUAUUUUUCAACAUUGAAUUAAUAUUUACUCAAUGAUAAACUAAUUUAUAUCUACGGUUAGGGUUUUGUGAAAGAGUAUUGAUUAUUUAUCUUGGUUAAAUUCUUAACUUUUGCCUUGAUUUAUGUGUUUGGAUUUAAUUACAUAUUUAUAUUUGACAUAGACAUACUCUCAGGGAUCAUAGACAUGCUUUUAGGGUUUACAGUGAACUGGAGAAGGGAUAUGUAACUGUAUACUCAUUACAACAAAAAUGAUCUUUCCUGACAUGCUUAUAAGGACACUUGCUGGUUUGUGCCAUUAUAGUAAACAUAUCAUGACACUUAUUAAUAAAUUCAAUAAUAUGUACUAUAAUUUUUUUAUUUUAUCAUGAUAUACAAAUAAUAAUGUGCCUUUAGGCUACCUAUGAUGACACUCUGGAAACUGUGAGAUGAACCAAAAAAAAAAUCGAAAAAACACAGAAAACGACAUCGUUUUAUUUUGGCUCCAAAACACUUGCUGAAGUACUGUGAAGUUUCAUUUUGCCGGCAAAAGGACUUGGUGAAAAUUUUCUUCUUCUCAUCUCUCUCACCUCUCAGCAUACAAGCUAUCUCGGCCAGUCCAGAAUGUUGGUAGCAAUCGAAGCUAUCUCCGCAAACAACCAUCUUCAUCUUUUCUAACCUCAACUUUAAAUCCCUCGGCUAAGACAUCUGGAAGGGCAGGCAGGAAGUAAAAGCUGAAGAACGGAGCUCUACAUUGGGAAAGCGGGAAGAUACUUCAGGUGCGCAUAUCUUGUUCCAAAAUUGAAGUGGUAAACACAAUGAAGCUGUUGCCCAUAACCUGUUCGAUAAAAUGUCAAUUCCCCCCUGUUUUUCAUUUUUUUCUGUGAAUCUCUUUUAAUGUUAAUAUAUGAAACUUAGUUGUAAUUGAAGCUCUGUUUAGGCUAUGAAUAGAAAUCGACUUGGAAGCUCUUUGAUGAAGAUCAAAAUAGCAAUGGGGUGACUGGAAUGACCUUUUUGCAAGACAAGUGCAAAAGUUUAAGAAAUAGGUUGAUGAAAAUUAAUAUUUAAGGACUUAAUUAAUGGACUUCUUGUUGAACUGCACAUUGGUCAUAGAUGACAUAGCACCCUUACUAAUUUGGCCAAAAUGUGGUAUACCCAGCUAGCAAAACUAAAGUUUGAAAGAUGGAUUGAAGGAAAUACUCGAAAGAUUGAAUCAAGAAGAAACUUUUGGAGAAGAAUGAAACUUUGGAUGCUUUGGAAAGGUAGGGAAAGAGAGGGAUUUACAGGGGAAAAGGAGGUGAAGGAGUGCAACUACCCCAACGAACUUUUAAUUGUGAUGGCGCGUAGGCAUUGAAUUUGCCAGACAAGAAAAUAGCAGGAUUUCGUGUAAAACUGUAUUGUAUUUUUUAGUCUUUUUUCUUUUUUUUCUUCCCCUAUCCAUUUUCUUGUCGAACUUCCACCCCUCCCAGUUCAGGUUGACAUAGCACCCUUACGGGUUCUGUUUUUUUUCUCAAUUUAGUCCUGUUUCUAGAUCAAUUAGCUGAACAGUCAUAGCAACUUAAAAGAAUCCUGGGACCAAAAAAAGAUUAUGAGUAUAAAAUAAAAAGCUAGAUAGAUUCUCUUCUUUCUUUCACAUUUCACUGUCUCUCUGUGGUGAAUGCUUUUUCUUCAUAAAUAUCUGCUGGUCUAACCGUGUCAUAAACCUGUGCUUUUUCUAUCAAUCAUUUUUUCCAAUUACCUAUGCCGUAAGUUGCAUGCCUUUCUAAAGAGAGGACUUAUAAAAUUAAUCACUACACGCCAGAGAUGUAUCUAUACUUUGAUGAAAAUUUAGUAAGAUUCUUGAAUUUCACCUUUAGUCUUCAUGCUCAUGUGUUUGUUUAACCUUUGACAUUUCAGAUUGAAGUUAGGAAUUUUGCGAAGACGCGAGUGCAGGAGUUGGUACGAAGGGCUUUGUUCUGGUAUUAGAUAAAUAAAAUUUCUAUCCGCUUGCUUGCAAAUUCUGUUUUUACAGAUUAUUGAGAAAUUUUGCAUUUUGUUGAUUUCCUUUAUUUGCUGGGCUGCUUUAUUUAGUAGACUGUAAAUUCUUGAACUUGAAAUUAGGGACUUGUAAGCUAUGGCCUGAGUUUAAAAAAUCAGGGCGUUUCUUAUUCUCAAUGAUUUUAUGGGAUUUGUCUAGUUUUCUAAGUACUAAUGUGUAGUUGUUGUUUUCAUGCUCUUGGAAGCUUGUUGGAGGACAUUUAUUUAUAUUCAAAGUAUGGAUAAAAGAUGGAUGGAUUUUCCAAGAACAAGUGAAAAGUACGAGACAGGACUUCAAAUGUUUCUAAACUUUGCAUUUUCUAGAUCAAGUUGUGACGGAAAGAUUUUGUGUCCUUGCAAAGAUUGCGGCAUGGGUGUUUGUGUGACAAAAAUGGAAGCAUAUGAUCAUUUGAAAGUGGUAGGAUUUAUCAAGGGUUAUAAUAAUUGGAUAGCACAUGGAGAACUUUCAAACUACAAUGAAGCCACAUCUAAUUCUGAAAAUACAUCAACUGGGGUUUCAAAUGGGACUAAUGACAUGCAAGACUUGGUCCAUGAUGUAUUUGGGAUACCACAUGGAACAAAUGAAUUGAAUAGAGAAGGGGACAUUCCUGUUUCAGAGGCUGAAAAAUUUUACAAAUUGAUUGAUGAUUCUCAACAGGAUUUGUACAGUGGUUGCAAAAAUUUCUCGAAAUUGUCUUUCAUUAUUCGUUUGCUUCACCUAAAAUGCCUGGGUAAGAUGAGUAACAAGAUUUUUAAUAUGCUUGUUGAGCUGUUGAGAGAAGCAUUUCCGGAGGCCAUGACUAAUUUGUCGUCUUCUUACUAUGAGGCUGAGAAAUUGAUGAAUACAUUGGGGCUGGGUUAUGAAAAGAUCGAUGCAUGUCCUAAUGAUUGUUCUCUUUAUUGGGGUAGUGCUGAAAAAAGAACUUCAUGUGAAACAUGUAACGAGCUUAGGUGGGUUGUUUCAGAAAAUGAUCCAACUGGGGAAAAAAGGAAAAUUCCUCAAAAAGUGUUGUGGCAUUUUCCCUUAAAACCUAGAUUACAAAGACUAUUUAUGUCUUCUAAAAUUGCAUCUCAAAUGAGAUGGCAUGAGGAAAAACGUACAAAAGAUGGUUGUAUGAGACAUCCAGCUGAUUCUCCAGCUUGGCAAACUUUUGACCAUCUACAUCCAGAAUUUGCUAAGGAUUGUCGAAAUGUUAGAUUGGGGUUGGCAUCUGACGGGUUUAAUCCAUUCAACAACAUGAGUUCUACACACAGUACUUGGCAUGUAGUUUUAAUACCAUAUAACUUACCUCCGUGGAUGUGUAUGAAGCAACCGUACUUCAUGUUGUCUUUGUUAAUACCCGGACCAUCCUCUCCUGGGAAUAAUAUUGAUGUUUAUUUACAGUCUCUAGUUAAAGAACUGACCGAAUUGUGGGAUUUUGGCAUUCAAACUUAUGAUGCAUCCCAAAAAGAAAAUUUUCAACUGCAUGUGGCUCUGUUGUGGACCAUUAGUGAUUUCCCUGGAUAUGCAAUGUUAUCUGGUUGGAGUACUAAAGGUGAAUAUGCUUGUCCUGUUUGUCACAAGUUCACUCAUGCACGACGGUUGACUCAUAGUUUCAAAUAUUGCUACAUGGGUCAUCGGAGAUUCUUAGAUAGUAAGCAUAAAUUUAGAAAGCAAGCCCAAUUCUUUGAUGGCACCGAAGAACAUGGAAAGCGACCACCUUUGCAAACGGGGAAUAUGAUUGUGAGUGAAUUGAGAGACUUGCAAAUUAAAUUUGGAAAACUUGUGAAAGGUAAUCCGAAGCUGCCUUUCAAUUGGAAAAAGAGGAGUAUUUUCUUUGACUUGCCAUAUUGGAAAGAUAAUGUCUUAAGACACAAUCUUGACUUCAUGCACAUUGAGAAGAAUGUUUGUGAAAACAUUUGGGGGACAUUGCUGGAUGAUAAGUGAAUAUUUAACGUACAUUUUGUACAAAUUUGGCAUGAAUUUUUGGUAUGUUUUGAGAAAAUUAAAGCCAUAUUUGGACUCUUUUGGUGAUAAUUGCUUAAAUAUUGUUUAAAGGUUCAAAACUUGAUAAAUGAGUGGAUUAAUGCGUUAAUUUGGUGAAAUUGUGAAGGUUAUUGAUGUAUGAAAUUCAUGCACAAGCUGAAAGAAAUGUAAGGGUUAUCCAGAGGACAAAGUACACAAGAAAUUGGGAGCAGAAAUGUAAAAAAUGGGAAGAAGUGAAAAACUGAAAAAUUGCACAAGCUCGGAUCCGUGUGUACAAGAGGGAUCCGAGCCCUUUUCUGUACUUCUGACGGAGUGUAUCCGAGGUCAGAACGAUCCGACCUCGGAUACAUCAUGGGAAGUCCUCGGAUCCACUGAUCCGAGCUCGGAUCAAUUUUCAGCCCUCGGAUCAGAGGCUCGGAUCUGUCUCUUUCCUCAGCAAGUGGCACAGCCAUUUUUCUUUACCUUUCUCACAACUUUUCCAGCUAUUUUGAGGGCCAGAAAUCGGUGGCACAUGCUUCUGCAAUAAAAGAGAAGACCAAAUGAGUGCAGAAAAGAAAGAAACAUCAUAUCUUUGACUUCUUUUUACAAAAUCUGAGUGGAAGAAAUUAUGAAGGAAAAAGGAAUAGACUUUCUACCACCUUUUAUGCAGAAACACAGAGGAGAAGUAAAAAAAAAAGACGUAGCUAGUUUUCCUUCUUGUAACAAGUUUUCUCUCUAGCUAAGAGUUCUUAGAGAAGCAUUUGGAGUUUCACUUGUAACCAUCUUGUACAAGAACAUAGCAGGAAUUGGAGAGCUUUACCUUCAAUUGGCUAAGCUUUCUUUUACCUUUCUUAUACUUGUACUUCAUGAUAUUUUGCAUUAAUAAACUUGUGAGUUUGAUUGUUAAUUCAUUCAUGAGUAGCUAAUUUUCUUUUUCUAGGGAGUAGAUGAAACUUAUGGCUAAAUAAUAUGAAUUGAAGGUGAUGUACACUUGUUAGAUCUUUUAUUAACUUGUCUACUUGUGUAGUUGUGAUUACUUGUUGUUGAUUGAUCACCAAUAGCUUGUUAUUAGUUGUUAUUGUUCAAUGAGGAUUGGUAAUAACAAUGGAAACACAUGAGUAGAGCUUGAGUUGUAUGUUCAUGAAAAUAGAAAUACACUUAGGUGGAUUAUUUAGCAUUUCAUGAAAUAAAACAGAGUAGUAGUAGUAUUUCACCAUGAAAAUAGGGAAAUCUAUAUUGCUCUAGGCCAUUUCAUCAUGAAAAUGAGACUUGGUAAUUUUGAAAAUGAAUCUCUGGUUAAACAAGAAUAAUAGCAAGAAGUAAAUCCAUUAAUUUGUGUUGUUUAUUGCCAUAAGUGGAAUCUACAUCCCUAGAAUCUUUCUUAAGUGAAAUUUCGCUAUUUGCAUUCAGCAUUUGUUAAACUAGAUUUGUAGAUCAGGUUUGUAGAUUACAGCAUUAUAUUUUCUCUGCUCAAAUUAAUUGUAAGUCUAAAUAAUAGAGAAAACAAGGGCUUAGUAAUUGUUUAAAUUGCUCCUCGUGGGAUCGACCCGAUACACAUCUUGUACUACAAUUGCGACCUGUAUACUUGCAGUCCAACGGGUGUAAAUUCGGAAUUAAACUUGCAUUGAAAUUAAAAAUCCCGUCAAGUUUUUGGCGCCGUUGCCGGGGAGCGGCAAUAUUAGGGCUUAAUCAUCUCUAUUAAUUUAGAUAUUUUCAUUAUUUUUAUUCAAGUUGUUGAAUUAAAACUGUAAAAUUUCUCUUGUUUUUAUUUGUAGUGUAUGCACCGGGCGUCUCGAGAAGUUGUACUUUUCGAUCCAGAAAUUGAGAGGACACUACAUAGACAAAGGAGGAACACAUUACAGCAAGAGGAACAGGGGAUUUGGCAACCAAUAAAGGAAAUCUUAAUAGAGCUUCCAUUUGAAGAAGAAAUGGUAGAAAACGAAGCAAACAGGCGAGUUCUACGAGAUUUUGCUGUACCGGGAAUACAAGGAUCUCAAACGAGUAUAGCAAGGCUUUCGGUAAAUGCUAAUAAUUUUGAGAUUAAACCAUCACUUAUCCAAAUGGUUCAACAGUCUCAAUUUGGAGGUAAUGCAGUAGAAGAUCCUAAUACACACUUAGCUACAUUCUUGGAAAUUUGUAAUACAAUUAAAAUGAAUGGAGUUAGUGAUGAUGUUAUAAGGCUAAGAUUGUUCCCAUUUUCAUUGAGAGAUAAGGCCAAACUUUGGCUACAUUCUCAUGCUCCUAAUACUUUCACCGGAUGGGAUGAUUUAUCAAGAGCAUUCUUGAAUAAGUAUUUUCCACCAGGUAAGACUGCUAAACUCAGAAUGGAUAUCACUAGUUUUAGCCAAUUGGAAGGUGAAUCAUUAUAUGAGGCAUGGGAAAGGUUUAGAGAUUUGCUUCGGAAAUGUCCACAUCAUGGACUGCCGGAGUGGUUAAUCAUACAAACCUUCUAUAAUGGUUUAGUUUUUUCUACUAAAACUAUGAUCGAUGCAGCUGCAAGUGGAGCUUUAAUGGGUAAAUCACCCCAAGAAACUCAUAAUUUGAUAGAAGAAAUGGCAGCAAAUAACUAUCAAUAGGCCAAUGAGAGAGGUAAUACAAGACGUCACGCAGGUAUGAUAGAAAUGGACACUCUCAAUAUGCUGAGUGCUCAAAUGAAUAAUGUGAUGAAGUUGCUAAGUAGACAAGGUGGAGUUGGUCCAAGUUCAUCUAAUGCACAUGUAGCGUGUUGUUCUAUAUGUGGAGGUGAACAUGAUACUAAUGAGUGUGUUGAUUCUGAGCAGGUACAAUUCGUUAAUAAUUACAAUCGUAAUGCUCAAAAUAACCCCUACUCGAAUACUUACAAUCCAGGGUGGAGAAAUCAUCCAAACUUUGGAUGGAAGGACCAAGGAAAUCAACCAAGGCCAACCAAUCCACCGGGGUUCCAAUCAAGGCAACCACAAGCUGAAACUAAACCGGGUUAGGAGAUUGCAGUAGAAAAACUUGCUAAAGUUAUCUCGGACAGAUUUGAACGAGUAGAAGGGAGACUGGAUCAACUCACUACAAUGUACAGGAAUGUAGAGGUCCAAAUUGGUCAAAUUGCUAGUUCUUUGAAUAAUCGAAAUCAAGGAGAAUUACCUAGCAAAACAGAGGUCAAUCCUAAGGAGCAUGUGAAAGCCAUUACUCUUCGUAGUGGUAGACAAUUAGAAGAUCCUCCAGUGGAGGAAGUUGAGAAUGAUGAGAAUGAAAAACAAGAAGAAAAGCAGAGGAACCAAGAGGCGAUUGUGGAGGAAAAUAGUUGGGAGAAUCCAAGAGAAAAGCAACCAUCAUCUUCCACUACCAUUCCAAUACCUCCUGCGAUUCCAUUUCCGCAAAGAUUAAAGAAAAAUAAGUUUGAUAAAGAGUUUGAAAAAUUUGUUAAACUGUUCAAACAAUUGCACAUUAACAUUCCUUUUGUCGAUGCUAUUUUACAGAUUCCGUCUUAUGCAAAAUUUCUCAAGGAAAUCAUGACUAGAAAAAGAAAGUUGGAAGACUGUGAAACAAUAGCAUUAACGGAGGAAUGUAGUGCAAUUAUUCAAAAUAAGCUACCACCGAAGUUGAAGGAUCCGGGGAGUUUUUCUAUACCUUGCACCAUAGGUAACAUUGAUUUUUCUAAGGCAUUGUGUGAUCUUGGUGCUAGUGUAUCAUUAAUACCUCUAACGGUGGCUAGACAAUUGGGUUUGAAGGAGCUUAAAAGCACUAAUAUUACUUUGCAACUAGCGGACAGAUCUAUCAGAUAUCCACUUGGAGUGUUGGAAAAUGUUUUGAUAAAAGUUCAGAAAUUUAUCAUUCCAGUGGAUUUUAUGGUAUUAGAUAUGGAAAAAGAUGUAUCUAUGCCAAUUAUUCUUGGUAGACCAUUUCUAGCUGCUGCAGGUACUAUUAUUGAUGUCAAAAAUGGCAAGCUGAAGUUUCAAGUAGGUGAAGAAGAGGUAGAGUUUAAUUUGCAUGAAAUAAAAAAAUACCCUUCUUUUACCGAUCAUGCUUAUUCUAUUGGCACAAUUGAUAAACUAACUCAAGAGAUGAGUCAAGUCAACUUUGACUUAGAUCCUCUUGAGUAUUGUUUAAUGAGUGUAGGUAAGCAAGAAUAUGUUUGUGAAGAAAUUGAAGAAUUGGCCAAGCAUUUGGAUUUUCAAGCACCUUAUAAAAGGGGUAAUUUGUAUGAAAGUCUUGACCAAGGAAAAGGGUUUUCACAACCUUCAGAAAUUGAACCUCCAAAAUUAGAGUUCAAGCCACUUCCAACUCAUCUAAAGUAUGAAUUUCUUAGAGAAAUAAGCACUUUACCUGUAAUUGUUAGUGCUGACCUUGAUGAUGAGCAGUGUGCAAAGUUGUUAAGAGUUCUAAGAAGGCGUAAGAAAGCAAUUGGAUGGACAAUUUCAGACAUUAAAGGUAUAAGUCCUUCUAUAUGUAUGCAUCGAAUUUUAUUGGAGAAAUGUUGCAAACCAGUGGUGGAAACACAAAGAAGACUGAAUCCAAACAUGAAAGAGGUGGUAAGAAAUGAAAUUCUUAAGUGGCUUGACGCAGGUAUAGUUUUUCCUAUCUCCGAUAGUGUUUGGAUUAGUCCAAUUCAUGUGGUACCAAAGAAAGGUGGAAUGACUACAAUCAUGGGUAAAAUUGAUGAAUUAAUUCCAUCUAGACUUGUGGUAGGAUGGAGAGUGUGUAUUGAUUAUCGUAAGUUAAAUACGGUAACAAGAAAAGAUCAUUUUCCAUUACCAUUUCUUGAUCAAUUAUUGGAGCGAAUAGCUGGAUAUGAAUUUUACUGUUUUCUUGAUGGUUUUUCAGGAUAUAAUCAAAUAGCUAUAGCUCCAGAGGAUCAAGAGAAGACCACAUUUACAUGUCCUUAUGGCACUUUUGCCUUUAGAAGAAUGCCAUUCGGUUUAUGCAAUGCUCCUGCAACUUUUCAACGAUGCAUGAUGGCUAUUUUUUCUGAUUAUAUUGAGAAAAUUAUGGAGAUAUUUAUGGAUGAUUUUUCUGUGUAUGGUUCAUCUUUUGAUCAUUGUCUUCAUAAUUUGGAAUUGAUUUUGCAGAGAUGCGAGGAAACAAAUCUUGUACUAAAUUGGAAAAAAUGCCAUUUUAUGGUAAAAGAAUGAAUUGUCUUAGGACACAAGAUUUCCUCCAUGGGAAUUGAGGUGGAUAAAGCCAAAAUAGAAGUUAUAGAAAAAUUGCCACCUCCAAGCAAUGUCAAGGGGAUAAGGAGUUUUUUAGGACAUGCUGGCUUUUAUAGACGUUUUAUUAAAGAUUUUUCUAAAAUAGUAAAGCCAUUAUGUGAUUUAUUAUGUAAAGAUACUCCUUUUCAAUUUGAUGACAAUUGUUUGGUUGCAUUUGAAAGGUUGAAGAAGGAAUUGAUUUCGGCCCCAAUUAUAACUUCACCCGAUUGGUCACUACCAUUUGAAUUGAUGUGUGAUGCAAGUGACUAUGCGGUUGGAGCAGUUUUGGGACAAAAGAAAGAAGGACGAUUGCACGUCAUUUACUAUGCUAGCAAGUUGCUAAAUGAGGCACAACUCAAUUAUGCAACGACAGAAAAAAAGCUAUUGACAGUGAUAUUUGCUUUAGAUAAAUUUAGAUCUUAUUUAGUAGGAUCUAAAGUUAUUAUAUAUACGGACCAUUCAGCUCUUAAAUAUUUGCUACAUAAGAAGGAUGCAAAACCUAGACUAAUUCGGUGGAUUCUUUUAUUGCAGGAAUUUGAUGUGGAGAUAAAAGACAAAAAUGGUUCGGAGAAUCUAGUUGCAGAUCAUUUAUCAUGUUUGGAAUAUAUUCCAAUCAAAGAUCAGGUUCCAAUUCAAGAGAAUUUUCCGGAUGGGUUUGUCCUAACACUUAGAAAUUCUCCAUGGUAUGCAGAUUUUGCUAACUACUUGGUCAGUGGAGAGAUUACAAAGGGGUUUAAUUAUUAUCAAAAGAAGAAAUUCUUACAUGAUGUCAAAAGUUACUUUUGGGAGGAACCAUUGCUGUAUAAACAUUGUGCCGAUGGUAUGAUACGUAGAUGUAUUCCCGAAGAUGAGGUACAUAAUGUUUUAUAUCAUUGUCAUAACCUUGAAACAGGUGGUCAUUUCAGUACUUCCAAGACUGUGGCAAAGGUAUGGCAAUCAGGGUUUUAUUGGCCAACUAUGUACCGAAAUGCUAGGAAAUAUGUUAAAAAUUGUGAUGCAUGCCAAAGAACUGGAAAUAUAUCUCGAAAAAAUGAAAUGCCCCUAACUACAUUUUUGGAAGUUGAGUUAUUUGAUGUAUGGGGUAUUGAUUUUAUGGGACCAUUUCCUAAUUCUUUUAAUAAUAAGUACAUCUUAGUAGCAGUGGAUUAUGUUUCUAAAUGGGUAGAAGCAAUCGCUUCACCUACUAAUGACUCUAAGAUUGUACUUAGAUUCCUUAAAAAGAAUAUUUUCAGUAGAUUUGGUAUACCCAAGGCCAUAGUAAAUGAUGAAGGGAAACAUUUUUCUAACAAACAAUUGGAUUCCUUAUUGUUUAAAUAUGGUUGUAGGCACAAGACAUCACUUCCAUAUCAUUCUCAAGCUAAUGGGCAAGCAGAGCUAGCUAAUAGAGAGAUAAAGCUCAUUUUGGAGAAAACUGUGAAUAAAUCACGCAAGGAUUGGGCUACAAAGUUAGAUGAUACACUAUGGGCUUACCGAACGGCAUUUAAGACACCCCUAGGGAUGUCGCCGUAUCGUUUAGUCUAUGGAAAAACUUGUCACUUACCUAUAGAGAUUGAGCACAAAGCUUAUUGGGCAAUUAAAUCUAUUAACAUGGAUUUUAAUCUUGCAGGUGAAAAGCGAUUACUUGAGCUAAAUGAAUUGGAGGAACACCGACUACAUGCAUAUGAAAAUGCCAAAAUUUAUAAAGAAAAGAUCAAAUAUUGACAUGACAAGCAUAUUAUUCCUAAACAAUUUCAGGUAGGACAAAAUGUACUUCUGUUCAACUCACGCUUGAGGUUAUUUCCAGGAAAAUUGAAGUCAAGGUGGUCGGGACCAUUUGAAGUUACUCAAGUAUUUCCUUAUGGAGCAGUGGAAAUAAAAGGAGAAAAUGGUGCUCCAUUCAAAGUAAAUGGCCAAAGAUUGAAGCUCUAUUUGGCCGGAGAAAAAGUUCCUAAAGGAGUAAUUUACUCCUUAGGAAAUGCAAUGGAGAGUUAAAGAAGUUAUAGGAGAGUCGAGCCAACGACUAUAAACAAAAGCGCUUGUUGGGAGGCAACCCAAUAAUAAUAGUGUAUUUGUGUGUUUCUUACAUUUUGGUGUAAUUUAAUUGACUAAUUAGAUGUAUUUCACUUGUUUGUAGGAGGUACGGGAGUUUUAUUAUCCAUCUUGGAGGUGCACUUGAAGAACAUGUGUGAAAAGGGAGUCUUUUUUACCAAAUUUUGUUUUAAGUGCUUAAAAUUCACAUGCAUAUACAUACAUUGUGCAUUUCAAGUAUAUUUAAGUGAGUUUUGGUGAUAUCAUGGUUAUAAAGGCUCAUCGACUCAUUUGAUUUAUAUUUAAUGUCCAAAAGUGCCAUUUUGAUGUAAAAAUGCAAAAAUGAUCAAAGAACCUCACACCUCGAUUUUCAAUGAAAAUGUGUUUGAUGUGUUUUGAGAGGUUGGAUAUUGUGUUUAUGGUAUAUUACAUGUGUGUGGGAGGUUAGAAUUGAUAAAAAGUUUGUCCAAUGUGUGAUUUGGAAUUGGUCGGAAAAGGGAGAAAAAGUUUGAAAAAUUACAGUUUCUGCAAUUAUUGCAGAGAAAUAAGGAUCCGAGCUCGGAUCCUAAAAAGCCCAGAAAGAUCCGACCGCGGAUCCAUUGAUCCUCGCUCGGAUCCAUUCUAACCCAGACAAAUCCGAGGGGUCGUCUGUGUUUCUGUUGGGACUAAUCCGAGCCCUGUCGGAUCCGAGGCCCUCUAGAAACGAUCCGACCUCGGAUCCGUUCGCGGAUAUAGCAGAAACAAGGCUUCGUUUCUGUACUUUUCAAAAUUCUUCUUCCCUCUUCUCACCGAAACCCUACCUCUUUCCUCCAAUUUUCCAUUUUAACCAUCAAAUCUCCAAUCUUUCAUCAUAAACACCUCCACAACCCUUGUAUGAUCAGAAACCCUAAACUAUUUCACCACGACACAUCAUCAAAAGUGGAUUUUGAUCUUCAAAAGGGGAUUUUGGGCCGCACGGAAAUUCUUUGAUUUCUGAGUGAAAUUGGACUUGUUUGUUCCUCAUUCUUCAUCAUUAUCAUCCUCUAUCAUCUUCCCCACACAUUUGAGGUAACAAUUUGCGAAUUUCUUUGACAUUUUAUAAUUUCUUAUUCUACAUAUUUCUAGUUUUUGGGAAUAUUAUGAUAAAUGCAUAUUUGUUGGAAUUUCUUGAUACAAUUGUGCUACAUUGUGCUUAAAUAGAUUGUUACAACUAUUUUCAUGCUUAUUUUUGAGAAAACUGUGGAUUUGGUGAUAUUUUUAAGAAUUUUUCUCAAUUUUUGGGCUUGAGCAUUUUAGUGAUUUAUACUCUUGAAUUUUGCUUUCAUUGAAUAUAUGAACUUGUUCCGAGGAGUAUACAUCACUGUUAUACCAAUUGAAAAUGAUAUGCUAUCAUUAGAGCAAUAGCCCAUGGGGUAAAAGAGUGUGUUCCCAAUUAAGUUAAGCACAUUGAACCACUUUUACUUGAGAUAAUUAGUAUUUGUUUGGAUGAAUUGGAACUCAUGUGUAUGUAAAUUGAGUGUUAUGAGUGUUAUGAAUUUGAUUGGAGAUAUUCUCAAGUGUUUGAGUGUUCAUUCUUGCAAAUGGAUAUAAUUUUCAAUUGUUUGCACUUAAUAUGCAUGAAAUGAUUUCCUUAUUGGUAAUAUCCUUUUUAAAUGUGGGAAUUGGAUUUGAGAAUUGUUAGGAAGUUAUUUGUUUAAAUUUGGGUAUAUUUUGGCAGGGAGUUUAACCCUUUUUCAAGGGAAAACUCUGCCGAAAUUUUCUUAAAUUCUCAUUUCACAUAUGUGAGCAAGUUUCUAUGAUUUCUAAUGAACGUUCAUCUUAUUUUUGUAUAGGAACUAUGACUCGCACAAGGAGGGCUCGCAUUCGUACUCCUACUCCUUCCUCAAGCGAGGAACACACACCCUCUUUGCAUGAGGAGUCACCUGAGGAAGAAUCUCCUUCGCCGGAGCCGCCACCUCGCUCUCGCCGAAAGACCGCGUCUACUAGCCGUGCCGAGCCACCUCCGGACUACGAUACCACACGAUUCACAUCGCUUGAAAACCAACAGUGGUAUGAAGCCGGACUGGACAAGGAGAUCAUAAUAGAAAAGCAUUUGGCACCGGAGGUGGACGCGUAUUAUCACAUUUCUACAGCAUUCAAGAGACUUGGAUGGGAGAACAUCCUUCAGUUGCCCAAACACUACUAUCCCAAUCUGGUCCGGGAGUUCUACGCUAAUGUAGAAAACAAACAGAGCCACAGUGGCAACCUCAUCGUCUCAUGGGUUCGAGGCAGGAGAGUGGCUUUCAAUCGAGAUACACUGAGACGCUUUGUCCAACUCAAAGAUGCAGGCAAAGAUGUCAAAUUGACCAAGGAGUUCACGGCUCGAGACCCUUGGCAGGUAGGAGAGGCGGUUGGACGCCUAAAGGGCCAGUAUCGAGAGAGAGGAACUGCGAAGAAGCUUACAGUUUACGCCGAUUCCUUCGAGCAUAGGUACCACUUAAUUUUCUACCUCUUUGCCUUCAAUGUGGUACCAAAAAGAAGUGGAAAACGGGAGCUCUGCAACAGUGAUCUCUACUUCUUGGACAAGAUGAUGCAUGGUGUGGGUGCGCAGUUGACCGGUAUUCCUCUACCCAGCAUUAUCAUCAGCUAUAUGCGGACCAUAGCUCGCAUGAAGGCCGGCGAGACUUGCUUCGGAUUCCCUCGACUGCUAUCCCUCGUUUUUGAGAAGCUCAAGGUUUCUCUUGGAACCGAGAGAGUGGUGGUAACUAAGUCUGCCGAGGAGGUAAAUGCUUCUAUACUCAAGGCUUUGGGUAUUUCUACGGAUUUUGGAGCUGCUUUGAUCCGGGACACAGGAGAAGCAUCGACUUCCACUCAACCUCCGCUUCACACUGAACCACAAGCAGAAACUCAAGAGACGGAGGCACAACAGACUCUUCCUCCUCCGGUUCCACGACCACCUCCUCAACCGCGCUCCAAGUGGCAAGAGCUCCUCAAUGCCAUGUGCUGUAUGGAGACGCGAGUCGUCGAGCGCAUUGACCAGACGGAGCGGAUGAUGACUGAGCGCCUCGACCGACAUGAUCGCCAUCUUCGUGCGAUCGAGGAUCAUUUCCAUAUCCGACGGUCCCCUACUCCGACACCUCAUCAGGAGGAGGGCCAUAUUGGUACCUCACAUGGUCCUCAUGGAGCCGAGGAGGCAGUAGACCCUCAUUCCGAGCAGCCAUGAUGCUCUUUAGCGGAUUAGAUCUUUUAUUUCUUUAUUUUUCUUUUCUUUUGUUAAAACAAACUUUGUGAUUUUAGUUUUCUUUUAUUUGAAUCAUCUUGUGCUACUUAUGGUGUUUGGUACCCUUAUUGUCUCAUUUUGGGCAGAAUUUGGAUGAUCGUGAUGAUUAAGGGUUUCAAAUUGCAUCACCACCUAUUUGAGGGAAGUUUCAGUUCUUUUACCUUCCUCUACAACGAGGACAUUGUAGAUUUUAAGUGUGGGGGAGGGAUUACUAUAUCUUAUGGGUGAUUGUGUCUUGAAAUGCAUGAUUUUAGUUGUUUAUAGUUUAAAAAUGUUGGAAUUAUAUUUGGAGAUAUUGUCAUGAGGAUAAUUUUUGUGAAAUUGAGGUUGUUGGCAGGGAAUUUCAUCCAUUUUUAUGGGGAAACUCUGUCAAAAUUUUUUCUAAAAUAUUUUCCAAUAUUUCAUUGCAAUUCUUCCAAUUAAAUGGCCAAAAUGUUAAAAUUUUAAGUAUCUAAUUCUUCCAUUGGAUAAAAUGAUAUGUGUAUUUUGGACAAGUUUAGUUCUUAUUUGACUUGGAAUGAAUUAUUAUGCAAUUAGGAUUUUUUACAUUUUAAAAAAGUAUAUUUUGGUUAAAUAAGAAAAAUUAUGCUUAGAAUUUUGCAAGAUUAAUGGUAUUUCUCAUUUUUACUUAAUUUUAUAAGUAAGUGAUUGAUAUAGUCAAAACAAGGCUAAAUUCUUCCUUUAAUUAUAUUUAGAGGGAAAAAGAAAUUGAUUGUUAAAAAAAAAUAAAAAUAAAAAUAAAAAUAAAAAUAAAAAUAAAAAUAAAAAUAAAAAUAUAUUAUUAUUAAUUUUCUACUCCAAUGAUUCACAUACUGAGUAACCGGGGGUUGGCAUUUACAAAUGUCGACAUUCGCGUAAAAAGGUAUUCGAAUUAAGAGUAUGCUUAGCAAUUUAAAUAAGUGAAAUAUUGAGUAAUCGGGAAUUUUCACCUAAAAGUGUUGAUUUUCGCGUAAAAAGAUGUUUUCACUAUUUAAAUAAGAUGAAAUGUGAAUAAAUCCCUCUAAAUUGUUAAGUUUUGGGAUGAGGAAGGCCAUAAAAUUAACUAUGUGAUUUACUUAUUUGUGGAAUUAGGAUAGAAUGAGAGAAUUGAUUUGAAUUUGUUGAAAUUAAGGCAUAAUUAUUUUUAUUUAAUUGAAUAUUAUGAGUAUUUAGUGUAAUCUGAGAAAUGGCAUAAUGAUUGGUUUCUAGGUUUUUGAGGAAUUAAAUUUGACAAAAAUACGUAUAUUGAUUUAUUUAUUAAAUCAUUGAAGUUUUGUGUAAAAUUGCUUGAGGACAAGCAAUGAUUCAAGUGUGGGGGAAUUUGAUAAGUGAAUAUUUAACGUACAUUUUGUACAAAUUUGGCAUGAAUUUUUGGUAUGUUUUGAGAAAAUUAAAGCCAUAUUUGGACUCUUUUGGUGAUAAUUGCUUAAAUAUUGUUUAAAGGUUCAAAACUUGAUAAAUGAGUGGAUUAAUGCGUUAAUUUGGUGAAAUUGUGAAGGUUAUUGAUGUAUGAAAUUCAUGCACAAGCUGAAAGAAAUGUAAGGGUUAUCCAGAGGACAAAGUACACAAGAAAUUGGGAGCAGAAAUGUAGAAAAUGGGAAGAAGUGAAAAACUGAAAAAUUGCACAAGCUCGGAUCCGUGUGUACAAGAGGGAUCCGAGCCCUUGUCUGUACUUCUGACGGAGUGUAUCCGAGGUCAGAACGAUCCGACCUCGGAUACAUCAUGGGAAGUCCUCGGAUCCACUGAUCCGAGCUCGGAUCAAUUUUCAGCCCUCGGAUCAGAGGCUCGGAUCUGUCUCUUUCCUCAGCAAGUGGCACAGCCAUUUUUCUUUACCUUUCUCACAACUUUUCCAGCUAUUUUGAGGGCCAGAAAUCGGUGGCACAUGCUUCUGCAAUAAAAGAGAAGACCAAAUGAGUGUAGAAAAGAAAGAAACAUCAUAUCUUUGACUUCUUUUUACAAAAUCUGAGUGGAAGAAAUUAUGAAGGAAAAAGGAAUAGACUUUCUACCACCUUUUAUGCAGAAACACAGAGGAGAAGUAAAAAAAAAAGACGUAGCUAGUUUUCCUUCUUGUAACAAGUUUUCUCUCUAGCUAAGAGUUCUUAGAGAAGCAUUUGGAGUUUCACUUGUAACCAUCUUGUACAAGAACAUAGCAGGAAUUGGAGAGCUUUACCUUCAAUUGGCUAAGCUUUCUUUUACCUUUCUUAUACUUGUACUUCAUGAUGUUUUGCAUUAAUAAACUUGUGAGUUUGAUUGUUAAUUCAUUCAUGAGUAGCUAAUUUUCUUUUUCUAGGGAGUAGAUGAAACUUAUGGCUAAAUAAUAUGAAUUGAAGGUGAUGUACACUUGUUAGAUCUUUUAUUAACUUGUCUACUUGUGUAGUUGUGAUUACUUGUUGUUGAUUGAUCACCAAUAGCUUGUUAUUAGUUGUUAUUGUUCAAUGAGGAUUGGUAAUAACAAUGGAAACACAUGAGUAGAGCUUGAGUUGUAUGUUCAUGAAAAUAGAAAUACACUUAGGUGGAUUAUUUAGCAUUUCAUGAAAUAAAACAGAGUAGUAGUAGUAUUUCACCAUGAAAAUAGGGAAAUCUAUAUUGCUCUAGGCCAUUUCAUCAUGAAAAUGAGACUUGGUAAUUUUGAAAAUGAAUCUCUGGUUAAACAAGAAUAAUAGCAAGAAGUAAAUCCAUUAAUUUGUGUUGUUUAUUGCCAUAAGUGGAAUCUACAUCCCUAGAAUCUUCCUUAAGUGAAAUUUCGCUAUUUGCAUUCAGCAUUUGUUAAACUAGAUUUGUAGAUCAGGUUUGUAGAUUACAGCAUUAUAUUUUCUCUGCUCAAAUUAAUUGUAAGUCUAAAUAAUAGAGAAAACAAGGGCUUAGUAAUUGUUUAAAUUGCUCCUCGUGGGAUCGACCCGAUACACAUCUUGUACUACAAUUGCGACCUGUAUACUUGCAGUCCAACGGGUGUAAAUUCGGAAUUAAACUUGCAUUGAAAUUAAAAAUCCCGUCACUGGACACCGAGGAUAAAACAAAGGAUCAUUAUAAUUCCCGCCGUGAUUUGAGAGAAAUGGGAAUAAGAAAAGAGCUGCAUCCCAUUGAGACAGAACCUGGAAAGGUGUACUUACCUCCAUCUUCCUUUGCAAUGGAUAAAAAACAGAAAACUAUGUUUUGCAAUGUGCUAAAAAAAGUGAAAGUUCCAGAUGGUUAUGCAGCUAAUGUCUCAAGAUGCGUUCGAGUAAAACCACCAAGAAUUUCAGGGCUUAAAAGUCAUGAUAAUCAUAUCCUAAUGUAGCAAUUGAUGCCUAUAGCUUUGAGAAAGACUUUGCCAAAAUCAGUGCGCUAUCCUUUGAUUCGAUUGAGUAGAUACUUCAGGCAGCUUUGUUCUAAAGUUAUUUGUCCUCAAAAUGUGGUUCGUUUGGAAAGUGAAAUUGCCGUCAUACUCUGCGAUCUUGAGAAAUGCUUCCCACCAACCUUCUUCGAUGUCAUGGUGCAUUUAGUUGUUCAUUUGGCAACUGAAGUGAAAUUAGGUGGGCCGGUGUAUUAUCGUUGGAUGUAUCCUAUAGAGAGGUACUGCUUGUAAUUCUCAUUAUGCCUUAAAUGUUUAUUCCUUUUUUGCUUUCUUUGAUUUGUGGAACUAAUUAGAGAGGUUGGAAUGAUGAUACUUUAGGUACUUAGGAACAUUAAAAUCUUAUGUUCGAAAUAAAAAUAGGCCUGAAGGUUCGAUUGCUCAAGGCUACUUGGCAGAAGAAUGCAUUAACUUUUGCUCAUUGUAUCUUGCGGACUAUGUUGAGACAAAAUUCAAUCGUCCAAGCAGAAAUGAAGAAGUACAUAAGGAAAUUGAAGAUGGUUUAGAUAUAUUCUCUGAAUCAGGACAUCCUUUGGGGAGGGGCAAGCCAACAGUCUUUGAUGCUCAUAUCUUGAGUAAAGCACAUCAGUAUAUUUUAUUUAAUUGUGAUGUUGUCACACCUUACAUAGAGUAAGUUCAACUACAACUUGAUGCAUUAAAAUUUUAUUGUAGAAUUCAAUGCAUGAUUACAAUUUUGACUCAUGUACUUCUAGGCAGCAUCGUAGAUUGAUAGAAGAAGGACAUCCUCAAAUUCCACAGCAUCUAAAAGAGCGCUUGCACAGCGAAAAUUUUGCAUGUUGGUUUGCUGAACAUGUAAGUAAAAUUCUGAAUAUUAAGUACAAUUUGAAUUGUAGGACUUCAAAUAUAGUUUCAUCUUCUUUUUUUAUUUAUUUAUUUUUUUUUUUUACAGAUUGACAAGUUAGAACUUCCUCAAAAUGUUUCGGUGUUGAGAGAGUUGAGGUUCCUUGCUAAAGGUCCAGAUGUUGUUGGAAUCCAACAUGACAGGUUUGUUGUUAAUGGAUUUCGGUUUCACACCAAAGAAGUUGAGAAGAAAAGAAAAACGCAGAAUAGUGGUGUUACAGUCAAUGCAACAACAUCCAGUUUUGCAAGUAUAAGGGAUCAAAAUCCAGUUUUGAGUGAACUAGUUUACUUCGGCGUCUUGAAAAAUAUGAUUGAAUUAAUUUACGGAGGUCAUCGGGUGGUGUUAUUCGAAUGUGAUUGGAUAUCAAAUGGUUCGAGAAUGAAACAAGAUGCUGAUGGGUUUACUUUAGUCAAUUUUGCAAACGUGAGGCCUCAUGUUGAGCCAUUUAUACUCGCUUCACAAGCAUCACAGGUUUUUUAUGUGGAAGAUCCAACUGAUAAGGAUUGGCAAGUGGUUAUCUCUACCACUGCAAGAGCUGGAUAUAACAUGGGCACAACUAUGGAUGUUGAGACAUAUUUGCAAAGUGAUGUUGGCAAUCCUGUUGUUGAGAAUGAAAAUGAGGAAAUUAGUUGGGUUCGUAAGAAUGGACUUGGGAUUGAAGUUGAUUUGUCCCAAUAUAAUUUGAUUUAGAAUCUUUUAUAGCUUUGAAGCUUACUGGCCCUAUUCUUCUCUGUUUCAAUUGCUAGGCCUAGGCUUUAUUUCCUUUUGUCGAUGGUUUUCAUUUUUUUUUUGUAUUUUACUAAUAUGACCGACAUUCUUAGUUUUGAAGGCAUUUACAAAGCUUUGAGUUUAGUGCUCUCGGUGUCAUGUUAAGCCUUCUGACAGAUGUGAUAAAAGACUUGGUGCUAUUAGUUAAAACUAGUGUAUUAAUUUGCCUCUUUAAGGCCUUUCUUUCAUUGAUACUCCUAUGGUCAGUUUUUGGAUUUCUAGUCUUGGUUAGUAAUCGUCAGUCUUAUUCAUAAAAAUGGUAUUGGAAUGAUUUUUCUUUUAAUGGCAUGACAACAAUUGGCAAUCGAGGCUAUGAUUUGGGGAGAACAAUUGGCAACGUACGGAAUGUGCAAAUCAUUUCAGACCAAACAUAAAACUAUCCAACUUUCCAAGGAACCCAUUACUCAUUUUAAGAGCCCAAUGGGCUGCAUAAAUACUGGUCAUUAUUUUAUAAGCAAUUCCAUUAAUUGUAAGCUGUAAUAUUACAUUUGUGAAUCAUUAUAUUAUGGCCAAUUCUUUUUCCCAAUAACCCGAGGUCUAAUUUUUUAUCAAUAGAAAUAUUUUGAAACUUUAAUCUAUAAAUUUCUUAAAUAAUUUUUUAAUACCAUGAAAAAAUUAUUUUUUAAACCAAUAACAAUACAAAAAGUUAAUUCCGAUAGAGCUUUCUAGUCCAACUGAUCUUUGAUCGAAUUUAAUCGGUUUAGUCACAAUUUUAGAUUAUCCUUCAAAGUGAAAAGGAGACACGAUCGAACCGAUCAAGCACGAUCGAAUCGAUCAAACCGAUCAUACUAUAUGUUUAUGUUCAAUCAAUGCGUUGUAAGUGUAAGCCUAAGGUUAAUCAUUGAAAAGUUCAAUAUUAAGAUCUUGUAAGUGAUAGUAAGCUUCUAAUUAACACAAAGUUCAAUGGCAAUUGCUUUGGAAUUGAAAACAUUGAAUAUAUAUAUAUAUAUAUAUAUGUUUAUGUUCAAUCAAUGCGUUGUAAGUGUAAGCCUAAGGUUAAUCAUUGAAAAGUUCAAUAGUAAGAUCUUGUAAGUGAUAGUAAGCUUCUAAUUAACACAAAGUUCAAUGGCAAUUGCUUUGGAAUUGAAAACAUUGAAUAUAUAUAUAUAUAUAUAUAUGUUUAUGUUCAAUCAAUGCGUUGUAAGUGUAAGCCUAAGGUUAAUCAUUGAAAAGUUCAAUAGUAAGAUCUUGUAAGUGAUAGGAAGUUUCUAAUUAACACAAAGUUCAAACUUGCACCUUUUUCUUAUUUUAUACAGGAAAAGAAACUACAAAUGAUUCAAGUGAAGUACAUCAGAAAACCCGAGGCCCUACAUUUAUGAAAGAAAUUUGGGGUCGGCCUAAGGAACUUCCACGGAUUGAGAUUAAACUCGAUGACAAUGGGAUCCCAAUAAGUGAGAAAACCUCUUUCUCUGAAUUCUUGGGCAGUUUGGCUAGGAAUGGUAUGUAUUGUCCAGUAGAUGUUGAAACAUGGCUUAAGAUGCCAAGGAAACUUAAAAUGGACAUGUUAGAAGUGAUAAAGGUAAUGGUAGCUUUUGUAUUAUGUAUGCUUUGUACAAAAAUUACUGUGAAGUUGUGUUGAUUUUCUUGUUGCUAACUACGGCUCUGUUUGGAAGCUUGGUUUUUUACCAAAUUUGUAUAAAACUAGUUUUUUAACAACUUUUGCUACAGGAACCCCAAAAAACUUAUCAAAAUUUUUAACCUACACACUUAAAAUAUCCAAAACACAAAAAAAAAAAAUUCCCUUCCCCUUUUCUUCUUCUUCCUCCCCCACCACCACCUCCAUUGCCGGCUCCAUCACCAAUUUCCGGUGCCGGUCUUUUUUUUUUCCCCUUUUUUUCCCUCUCCCCCUCUUCCUCCCCUGCCAUCAUCCUCUCUUGUCUUUUUUUUUCUCUCUACGUCCAGCGCAGAGGGGGGUGGCGCAGAGAGGGGCGGCGAGGGGGGCAGAGGGGGGAGGGGGAAGGGGCAGAGGGGACGGUAGGAAGAGGGGGAAGGGCGGGGAGGGGAAGGCGGGGGAGGGGAAGGCGGCAGGGAGGGGGACGGGGGGAGAGAGGGAAGGUGGGGGGAGGGGGAAGGGCAGAAGGGGCUGCGGGGGGGGGGAAGGCGGGGGAGAGAGAGGCGGCGGGGGGAGGGGGAAGGGGAGGGGGACAGCGGGAGAGAGAGGGAAGGUGGGGAGGGGGAGGGGGAGGGGCGGUGGCGGCAGAGGGGGGUGGCGGGGGGGAGGGGGAAGGCGGGGCAGAGGGGGGCGGCGGGAGGUGGAGUUGCAGCUGGGGGUAGCGGAGGUAACGAGGAAGAAGAAGAAGAAGAAGAAGAAGAAGAAGAAGAAGAAGAAGAAGAAGAAGAAGAAGAAGAAAAAGAGAGGAAAGAAAAGAAAAAAAGGAAAGAAAGAAAAAGAAAAAGAAAAAGAAAGGGAAAGAGAAAAAAAAAGUUUUUCACCUUACAAAAACUUCUACAAAAUUUUUCACCUUACAAAAAUUUCUACAAAAUUUUUUUAAAAACUUCUACAGUGCACUACAGUAAAGUUUUAGACAAACUCCCAAAAAACUCAGGUUCCAAACAGGCCCUACGUUUCAGGAAAGGUUUGCUUUGCCUAUGGGACUGGAAGCUUGGACCUUAAGAUCUAUUGGCAAAAAAUGGAGAAGCUGGAAGGCAGAUUUAAAGGCUAACUAUUUUGAUCCUGCCGGCAUUAAUUAGCUAGGAUAACGAUAAAUAACUAUAACCACUUUUUUUGUUACAAGGAGAAAGUAAAUUUAAACCUAAAAACUUUGACUACUAAAUCUAAACUUCUUCGGCUAUUAAACAUAAAACACAUAAUUUUCAUGAGGCAACUUUUACAAGUUAUUAAAAUUUGGAUAAAUCGCACACAUUGUAAAUAAAUUGCCUAUCCAUAUUUUUAUGCAAUAUUUUAUAAAUAAGCCACAAAAAAAAAUGGAAAAACGUGGAUUAUCCUAUCCCUAUAAUCUCAACCCCUCAGUUCGCCUUUUACUUGAAGCUCGCCUAUUCAAAAAAGGAGACGGAGGGCAACAAAGUUGAACGGAGCCACCUGUAAGUCUUCACACACUAAUAGUGUAUUUCCGGAUAUGCAUCUUCGUGAAUGUUUGUGAAUUCUAUCUUUGGUCCUUUCUUGAUGAAAUCUAUAGGGCUUAUGUUGUCAAUCCGAAAAUCUGAAAUAUUUGGUACUUAGGUACGUUAAAAUAUAGGGAUAAUUUCAGAAACCUCAAGGGAGGUUUCUGAUAAUUUCAUUGACCUCCCUUGAGGUUUCAAAAAUAAGACUGACCUUCCCUCAACUGAUUUUGGGACCCAUUGCUGAUGUAACCUGGAAUGAAUUUGCUACUUUGCCCUUAUGCAUAAAAGGGUGAUGAGAAACCAAUUUCUGGAAAAAUAUAAUUAGGUCAUUAAAUAAUGAACUAAUUAAAUGAUAUUAACUGUAGUUCUAUCUCUAAUAAGCUAAUAGGGUGUUAAUUGUUAAUAAUUUUAUUGUUAAUUUCUCCCUUUGUUCUUGCCAAAUAUUAUUUUAACUGUUAAUAUCUACUUAUAUUUGGUAUCUGGACUUAAUUUCAGGGAUUGGAGCAGAAAACUGCAAAAAAGGAGGACUUGCUCCAUAAAUGGGAGACUUCAAAAAAGCUCCAUCGACCUGGCUCACAAGGAGAGGAAGAAACGGAAUUCCUUUUCCUUGUGCUGAUGAAGAGUGCUGAAUAGGAGUCCUCUUAUGAAGAGGAAACGAGAAAAGUGGAAUUGACAGGGCUCUCUUCUUGUACUGUGACUCUCAAUUCGGUAGGGGCCACUAGAGGGCAUUAGUCAUUUGGCUUUGAAGGGAAAAACGUAGAGAGGCUAGGAUAGCUUUUGAGCAAUAGUUUAGUUUUCUUUCUUUUUCCUUUCAUGCGUGCCUUGUGUUCGACAAUAGUCCCGAAUAGAAAAACGGCUUUGGCUUCUUGAUUAUUAGCGAAAAAAUAUGAUGUUUUUGAACUCAAUUGAAUUGCGUGGCGAUUUUCUCAUGAGGCGUGGCUAAGCCUUUCAUCUAAUCAAGGAUCAACUCGACAGCGCAGUCCCGAAUAUCUGUGAGAUCUAAUUAGUUUUCAUGCGUUCCUUAAUUUGUUAAUAUUUGCACGUUGUCUACUUGAAUUUUCGUGGGAUUAUUUUGUUAAUUGGAUGUCAAGGGCUCGAUAUUCAAUGUAACUUAUUAAUCUCUUGCCAAAUUAGUCAAUUAAAUCCGUAAUUGUUUGAUUGAUUAAUAUUAGUGGCAAUUGGCGUGUUUACAUACUAGGGGAACGUGCAAUCUAAUUUAAGUAACCCUCGUAGUGUGUUAUUGAUUGGGGCUAGGUUUUUCUAGUUUUUAAUGCAAUUGAAAAAUUAAUUCCUACGGUCGUACCUAGGAGUAUUUUCUGGUUAGGGGUAAUCAAUGGCCGUACCUUGGUUAUCAAUAAAUUAAGAAAAAAUUUGUCAUUAGAGUUCGUCGGCGACUAUAACUAGCCUAUUAAUAAAUUAAGUGAACUUCCCUUGUAUCAAUGAUCGGGUGAGUAGACUGUAUCUGAGUAGUUGUAUCCUUGGCUAGAAUUUAUCUAUUCUUGAUUUAAUUCUUGCCUAUAUUCGUGCUAGUUAAUUAUUUAUUUUUAGUGAAUUACUUAACUGUUUUUAGUUUUAGUCCGAUAAAAUCCCCCUUUACCAAUUGGAAUCUCAAAGAGACAAAUAUCGCCAAUCCCUGAGGAGACGACUCUACUUGCCACUGUCUACUAUUUAGUAAAUUUUGUCAACUAAUUAAUUCUGAUAUAUCGGAUUAAGCAAACUCUUCGGCAACAGGAUGAAUCAAGUAACCCAUUGCACACCUAGAAUCCCUGCUCCAGUACCUAGGAUUAAUUAUUGCUUGCGUUUAGUGGUAGUUAGGUUUUUAUUAUUAUUGCACAGGUUCGGCACCUAUCAUAAGCCAAUGUAACUACACUUGAGAAAUUACACUAAUUGAUGCACCAAUAUGGAGCCAUUUUUUGUGAUUGGACAUGACUUUAGAGAGCAACACAAGGAUAGUGAAGAGGUGAUUUUUGGUGGGUAGUUGAACCGACCCGAAUCAGGCUCCUCUGAGAUGAAGUGAGGUGAGGUGUAUCCUCUUGUCCGAAGUGAAUGGCGGGGCUUCUCCCCUGGGACCACUCCGACGAUCAAGUUAGUAUGAGAACGAGAGAAAAGCAAUAGUAUUGUCCAAUGAACAGUAUGCUUACUUGUUAGGAGUACAUGAGGGGUAUUUAUAGAGCGAGAGUGGAGGGCAGGACGGAGGUCUUAUGCCGGUGGGACCCAUGUCCUGCCAUUACGGCUCUGCUCUCUGUCAGGCGGUCUGACUCUGACGCUGUAGCCGCCUGGGCAGGGUGACGAGGAGUCUUACGCAGUAGUCAUUAAGUGCGACAGUGCUUUUCAGAUAAAGCACUGGUCCCGAGUGAUGUCAGGUGGCUUGACAUCAUCAGCGUGUAGCUGAGGUGAAGGUGCCGAGGUCACCUACACGGUAGACUAGGGAUCCGGCCGAGCUUAGGGGAUAUGCCCAAGACACGGAUGAGCUCCGAUGAGGGACGAGGUGGGUUCACCUCGGACAUGCGGGGUGGCCGAGGUGAGCAUCCUCAAUAAGCCCCCCAAGCCUCGGGAGCUCCGGGCUAGGGAGGUACCGAGGCUUCCUUGUGCCGAAGUCGUAAAGAGUCGGGGUCCCGAAACUGCUCCGGAAGAUGCGGGGACGAGACACGUGGGCGAGUCAGUUGACAGGACGUGGUCACUGGUAACCGUCGCGUCGUGAAAUAGUGGGACGUUUCGUGCAGAGGGUGUCAGUCGAAAGGACGGGGCAUUAAUGAGGAGAGAGGGAGGCACGGUGUUUUGAAUUCGAACGUGGCCGUCUUUUCGCAUUCUUGCCGCCUCUUCGGAUUCCCCCCAAACCCUUAUAAAUAGGGGGUCCUUUUCACCAUAUGGCCCAUCACUUUCUUUCUUUGCCUGUGACUUGCAAAAUUUACGAGUGUUGCCGAGAUCAAUCCUGCCAUCCGAGAUUCCAGCCGAAGUCAUCCACUUCGUCAGAUUCCAUAGUCAACAGUAAGUAUUUUUCUUUUCAUCUCAUCAUUCACACAUGGCCAAAACGGCUAAAACCCACAAAGAACCGUGAAACCCAGCUACCAGGCCGAGGAGGUGCCGGACACUUCGGAAGAGGUGACUUCAUCCAGUUCCACGGGGUUCGCACCUACCGAGGUGGGGGAUCGGCCGAGGAAGAAGUGGCUGGGACAGCAUCGGGGUCAGAGUCAUCAGAGAUGAGCGAGGACGGGUCCGAUGUCGAAUACGACACAGACCUCGGAACUGCAAUACCCCACGACGAGGGGGUGUAGGAGCCCGUCGCCCCAAGAAAUGCUGCCAACCUGGAUUUCGGCAAGAUGCCGCAGUUUAGGAGCCGCAUGGGAAGAGACAGGGCCAGGAAGGUGAUAAGGAAGUAUCCCUUCAGGCCGGAGUAUCUCAUCACAUCGCCCGGGCCGAACGAUUCGGCCGAGAAGCCCCCCAUGGGCACUGUGGCCAUCUACCUUCAGCAGUUGGAGGCCGGGCUGAGGAUGCCGACGUCAAGGUUCUUCCGGGACGUGCUCCGUCACUUCGGCGUGAGAAUCACUCAGCUCGUCCCAAACGCGGUCCGAAUUCUCGUAGGUUUCGAGAUGCUGUGCCGACAUCAAGAAGUGACUCCGACUGUGGAUCUCUUCCGCCGAUGUUAUACCUUCAAGGCACACGGGACAGAUAAGGGGUGGUUCUAUGUCGGCAACCGGAGCAACACCGUCCCGAAACUAGUCAUCGGCGCGCCCACUUCAAUAAAGAAUUGGAAGCUUGACUUCGUCUUCGUCUCGGCUGGGGACUUCCCACGGGGUUUUUGGUGGAGGCCCAUCAAAUCGAAGGCCGACCCUUCCGCGGGGGAUCUCGAGGAGGAGUCCUUCCAGAAAUUGACGGGGUCCGGACUUCGGAUCUUCAGCUGGGACCACCCCGAGGCCGUGCUGGUCGAUGGGGGAAUUAGCCGAGCCUUGAUCCCUCCUGACAAGACUCCCUUCACUUCCACUAAACUUAAGAUAUCUUGUAAUUUUCUUUCAUAACUUUGCUUUCACUUCGGCUGAGACAUAUGAUAAUAUUUGUUUCUUGUGCAGUGAUUAAACUGUCCGACAUCAUCAUAUCGGGCUCGGCCGAGGUGGCCAAGAGGUCGAAGAGAAAGAGCUCGGGGGAGACUUCGGCGCCUCCGCCCAAAAAGAAGUCCCAAGGGCAGGCUUCCAAGACCUCGGUAAAGAAGACCACCCCCACCACGGCAGCCCAGAGCAGCUCGGCUGCUGCGGCCACAAGGUCCACCUCUUCGGUGCCAGAAGGGGUGCCAUUAGGGGUGACCACGGCACUUCCACCUCCACAUGGCCGAGGCAAACAGUUGAAGGCUCCAGUCAACGCGGUGACGGCGUCUUCGCUCUGGAACCGUUACCAAAGUCCCCCAGUGUUUUCUGGGAAAGAAAAAUCUCACCCCGGCGAGCAUUGGUGUCCGGACUGGUCGCUCAAGGUCAACGACCGAUGCAGCCAUCCUCGGGUUGCACAAGACCUGGUGAUGCAGUCCACCUUGCCGAGGGACUUGGAGUUCACAAGGAAGCUGACUCCGGCCGAGAUGCUCUAAAGCGUCAUGGUGACCACGGCCUCCAACACAGCCUUUGUGGCCGAGAUGGCACAUCGGUACUGUGAGUUGCUUGAGGAGCAGGACACCGGCAAACUGCAAGAUCAGAUUGCCAAGCUGAAGAAAAAGCUGGUUGUCUGAGUCCGAGAAGUCCGAGAUUCAGAGACGGCUUCAAGAGGCCGAGGCUAAAGGGGAGGAGGCCGAUGCCACUACCAAUAGUCUGAGGUCAGCUCUGGAGGAAGAGCAGAAGAGGUCGGAGGAGGCGAAGAAGACCCAUGAGCAGGCCCUCGAGAGUGCAAGGACCUCGGUUGUUGAGAAUUUCCGGAGGUCCGAGACCUUCCUUGGGGAUCUCGGCCAACUGACGAGGCCGAGCUUCAUGCUUGGCUUCACGUCGGCUAUUGAUGAGGCCGCGGCUCACCUCUCCUCCGAAGCCUUGGAGUCUUUGAAGAAUAGUGUCAAUUAUAACGAAGACUCCAAGGAACUGUGCGAUUGGAUGGCCGAUGGCAUUCAGGCUGGAAGAAACUUGGCCGAGGUCCAGGACGAGUUCAACAAAUGGCUGUCCGAACUCGACAAAGUGUUCGAGGAGGAAGGAGGGGAGGACACUGGGGGUGACGUCGGCGAGGAGGCUGCUGAAGAGUAAGGAGGAGGUGGAGAAGAUACUCACCCCGGCGGGGGAGAAGCCGCGGAGGCAACUGGCCAAGGGGGAGCCGAAGUGGAGGCCUAACUCAUAGGGAUCUAAAUGUAAAAUCGAGGUGGGAGAUGCUUAGCAGUACUCCUGACCUCGGUCUUUAUCUUCUUUUUGUAAUGCCUCUUCUUCGUUAAAUGAAAUAUUUUCUUCUCAGUUCGGCUCUUUUAAUUUCAUGCUUGCUUCGUCCCCUGUUUGUCCCCCUUAUUUUUUAAUAACAGAUGUGUGGCACAAUCAUAUUGAAAAAUAACAAAGCAGUUGAAGUGAUAACUUAGUAAAAUUUUCAAGCAUAAUACAGCCUGAAGUUCUCGGCGUGCCAAGUCCUCGGCACUAGAGAGCCAUCUCGGUAGCUCAAUUUGCAAUACCCAUUUAGACUAGAUUCCACAACUCGGUAAGAGCCUUCCCAUUUCGGGCCCAAUUUCCCUUGCGGUUCAACUCGGCUGACCGAGUUUUUUCUAAGCACCAAGUCUCCUGGCAGGAAUCGCCGAUGCUUGACGCGGGCAUUGUAGUAGUGGGCCAGGGUGUUCUUGUAGGACACUAUCCGAGCUGAGGCGAGGUCUCUUUUCUCGUCGAUGAGGUCGAGAUCUAACUGCCUCUCUUCCCCGUUCAUCUCGGCUACAUAGGCUGUUAGUCGAGGAUUGGGUGUGAGGAGCUCAGCAGGGAUGACAGCCUCGGCUCCAUAGGUCAAGGAGAAGGGGGUCUCUUGUGUGGAUGACCUCGGCGUGGUCCGAUAUGACCACAGAACACUGGGGAGUUCCUCCACCCAAGAUGAUCCAACUCGGUGUAGUCGGGUCUUGAGACCAUGCAAGAGAGUUCGGUUGAAAUUUUCUGCCUGACCAUUGGCCUGAGGGUGGCCUACCGAUGUGAAAUGUUGUUUGAUGCCGAGGUUCUGGCACCAAGCCUUAAAUGGGUUCUCGGCAAACUGCCUUCCAUUGUCCGAGAUAAUGAUCUGAGGUAUGCCGAAGCAGCAGAUAAUGCAUUUCCAAAAGAAUUUUUGAAUGGCCAGCCCUGAGAUUGUCCGCAGAGGCUCAGCCUCGACCCACUUAGUGCAGUAGUCCACAGCGGUCACCAGAAAGGUAUAGCCCCCGACCGCUUUAGGGAAAGGACCGAUGAUGUCUGUCCCCCAUUGCUCAAACGGCCAGGGUGAAAUGAUUGGAACCAUGAAGUUCGAGGGUUGGUGAAUCUCAGGGGCGUGGACUUGGCAGGAUGGGCAGUUGAGAACAAGAUUUUGGGUAUCCCGUCGAACGGAGGGCCAAAAAUACCGAAGAACUAAGGUCUUCCUGGCUAACAUCCUGUGGCCGACGUGAUCCCCGCAUAGGCUUUCGUGUAUCUCGUGGAGGACCUGUCGUCCUGCCUCUGGUGUAACGCACCUCAGCCAUGGGCCAAGGUACGAGCGUUUAUACAGUUCUCCAUCGCGGAGUGCGUACCGAGCAGAUUUGCGUUGUAUCUUUCUCGCCUCGGCUCGGUCCUCGGGGAGGACUCCCUGUCCUAAGAAAAGGAUGAACGGGCUCAUCCACGUUUCUCCCGUAUUUACAGGGCAAACCACCUCUUCCAGGUAUCCCGACUCGCUCAGCACUUCCACUAAAACGGUCUUGUUGAGGUCAGAAAAUGAGGUGGAAGCCAGCCGGGAUAGGGCGUCGGCCCGCCUAUUCUGGGAGCGGGGGAUUCUUUGGAUUUCGAAAGACUCGAAGUACGCGAUGAGUUGGUGGACUUUGGAUAGAUACCGUUGCAUGGUUUCAUCCUUGGCCUCAUACUCACCAAGGACUUGGCAUACUACGAGUUGGGAGUCGCUGCGGACGUGGAUCCGCUGUGCACCGAGCCGGCGGGCUAGCUGGAGUCCCGCGAUUAAGGCCUCAUAUUCGGCUUCAUUGUUUGUAGCCGGGAAGUCAAAGCGGAGAGCAUACGAGCACACUUCUCCUUGGGGGCCCUCCAGGAGCAGUCCUGCUCCACUCCCAUCCCCAUUAGAGGAUCCGUCCACAUACAACAUCCACAGGUGUGGGGUGGACACUUCGGCUAGGGCGGAGGUGGACUCCCGACCUUCCGUGAAGGUGAGCUCGGCCAAGAAAUCGGCUAAAGCUUGAGCUUUUAUGGCGGUGCGAGACUCAUACAACAGGUCGUACUCCCCCAACUCAACGGCCCACUUAGUGAGGCGGCCGGAGGCCUCGGACCGCACCAGUAUCUGUCGGAGAGGCUGGUCGGUCCUGACGGAGAUGGGAUGAGCUAAGAAAUAGGGUUUCAGCCGCCGGGCGGCGUGGACUAGUCCUAGCACAAGUUUUUCCACUUGAGUGUAUCGAGUCUCCGGCCCACGGAGAGCUCGGCUGACAUAAUAAACUGGCACUUGAGUGCCCUCAUCCCGGAUGAGCACAGCGCUGACAGCCUCGUCCGCUGCAGAGAGGUAGAGGUACAGCUUCUCCUCGGACCGAGGUGAAGCGAGGGUGGGUAGGUGAUGCAGGUACUGCUUCAGCUUGUCGAAGGCAGCCUGGCACUCCUCGGUCCAGGCAAAUUGAUCGGCCUUCUUAAGCACCUUGAAAAAGAGCAAAGCUUUCUCGGCAGAUUGGGAUAGGAAACGGUUCAGCGCGGCCAGGCGUCCGUUCAGUCGCUGGACUUCUCGGAGGUUCCGAGGUGGGGACAUGUCCUGGAUGGCCUUGACUUUGUCGGGGUUAGAUUCGAUUCCCCGGUGGGAAACCAGAUACCCCAAGAAUUUUCCUGAAGUGACACCAAAUACGCACUUCUUGGGAUUUAACUUCAUCCUUGAAUCCCGCAGAACGUCGAAGACCUCCCUUACAUCUGAUAAGAAGGCCGAAGUGGUCAAGUUUUUGACAAGGAUAUCGUCCACAUAGGCCUCCACAUUCCGGCCGAUCUGAUCUUUGCAGAGGCGGUUGAUCAACCUUUGAUAGGUCGCCCCGGCGUUUUUUAACCCGAACGGCAUGGUGGUAUAGCAGUAGACACCUUGGUCGGUAUAGAACGCAGUCUUCUCUUGGUCCUCCUCACUCAUUCCUAUUUGGUGGUAGCCUUUGAAGGCAUCUAGGAAGCAGAGGAUCUCAUGUCCCAUUGCCGAGUCGACGAGGGCGUCUAUCCUCGGCAAAGGGUAGCAAUCUUUGGGACAGGCCUUGUUAAGGUCGGUGAAGUCGACGCACAUCCUCCAUCCACCGGUGUCCUUUUUGACCAUGACAGGGUUGGACAGCCAGGUGGGGUACUGUACCUCAUGGAUCAUCUUGGCGGGCAAGAGUUUGUCCACCUCGUCAGAUACGACCUUGCUGCUUUCAGAGCCGAAGUGCCUACGUUUUUGCCUCACAGGACGGGCCUGCGGGUUAACGUUGAGCUGGUGAACCAUGAGCUCAGAUGGCACCCCAACCACUUCAUCGGCGGUCUACGCGAAGAUGUCCCGGUGGUCCUUUAUUAAGUGAAUCAUCUCUUCCUUCAGGGGCAAAGGGAGCCCGGCCCCUACCUGGACCACUUGGUCCGGUCUUGCCUCAUCCAGGACCACAUGCUCCACCUCAUCCCCGGGUUCCAGCCUACCGGGUUUUCCCGCUUUCUGAGGAUCAAUGCAGUCUAUGGAGAGAACAGUUGGCCUCUUCUCGUCGGCCUUUGAUGCAGUCCGGGGAGUGACUGCGGCCUGGAUGGUGGCGAGGUAGCAUUCGCGGGCCGUACUCACGUCGCUGCUCAUCUCGGCCACCCCCGCUGGUGUCGGGAAUUUGAAACUCAGGUGGUAGGUUGAGUACACAGCUCUCAAGGCGUUAAGCGUGGGUCGACCUAUCAACAUAUUAUAGGGAGAAUCUGCCUUGACCACCGCGAAGUUGAAGGGUAUAGUCCGACAGCGGGGAUGACGCCCGAUAGUCACCAUCAAAGACACCAUACCCUCGGGGUGGACCACGUGUCCCCCGAAUCCCACGAGGGGAGUUCUGACAGGGGUGAGUUGUUCCCGGGUCAGUUUCAAACUUUCGAAAGUUCGGUAGUACAAGGCGUCUACCGAGCUUCCGGGGUCAACAUAGACCUUUUUGACUAUGUAGUUGUUGGUGAGGACCUCGAUCACGAGAGUUUCGUGGUUGCUGGAGGCCGCAAGGACUGGGUCAGUGGGACCAUAGGUGAUGACCUCGGACAACCGGGAGCUCGGCUCGGCCACCUCUAUCCCGGUUUGGCGGUAGGUCCGCUUCCGGGAGUUCUGGCUGUCUCCUCCCAUUGGUCCUCCCGCGAUGGUAUUGAUCACCCCGGCGAUGUUGGGGCCGUAGCCCGGUGAUCCAUCGUGUGGAGGUUGCUUGUCCUCCCUAUGGUCUUCGGGAUCUCGGCAAUGCAUGUUCGUUUCCCGCCUGUCGUCUCGGCAGGGACCCCGGUUCUCCCGGUGGGAGACGCUACGGUUGAAGCCUCAAUCCUUGCGGACGAAUUGCUUCAGGUACCCCUGCCGGAUCAGGUUCUCGAUUUCCCGCUUCAGAUCAUUGCAGUCUUCAGUCUCGUGCCCAAUAUCCCGGUGGUAUGCACAGUAGAGGUUUGAGUUCCUCUUAUCUCUCCUCCCCGGAAUCUCAGGAGGAGUUCGGCCGAGGUGGUUCUGCCUCAUCACAGCCAGGACAUGGGUCCGGCUGGAAUUGAGUGGCGUGAGCUCGGCGUCCGAGGUGGACGACCUGCCUUUAACGAUCCGAUCAAAGACACUUCGGCGGUCUCGGAACUGGCCCGACGAUCCGCUGGGGCCUUGUUCGGCCCUGCCGGCAUCCUUUUUCCUCCGGGAAUCUUGCCCGGUACGAGUGGCUUGAGACUCUCGCUUCAUGCGGUUUAGAUCUUCAUUUCGGAUUCCCUGAUCUACCCGAUCCCAGAGUUCUCGAAGUGUGCGGGGGUAAUUCCGGUGUAUCUCAGUAUUGAAGAUUCCCGCGAUCAGCCAAUUGGUGAAGGCAGCUAUGGUUACCUGCUCAUGCUGAUCAGGUAUCUGCACGUUCUCCUCAUUGAACCUCUGCGCGUAGGAGCGCAGUGACUCACCGGGGGCUCGUUGCAGGUUCAAGAGGUAGGCUGAAGUCUUCGUAAUUGACCGAGACGAUACAAAGCGGUGGAUGAACCGAUCUAUCAGCUCGUCCAAUGAGGAAAUACUCCUCAGUUCUAAACCCCAGAACCACUUUCGAGCCGUGCCCUGCAGGAAGAUGGGGAAAACUCGGCAAAUUACUGCGUCGGGGACGCAAUAGAGCCGAAAAGCGGAGAGGAAGGCGCGGAGGUGAUCCUCGGGGUCACCUCGGCCAUCGUAGGAACGUAGGUCGGGAAGCUUGAAAUUUGGGGGGACCAUCUCCCCAUUGAUGUCAUCUUUGAAGGGCGUUGCCCUCAGAUAUUCUGCUGCUAAGCCUCCGGGACGCCGAGGUGGGUCCUCAGCUCGUUUUCCCAGAAGUCCCCGGGAAAACGCCCGGAAAAUAGAAGCAAUUUUAGAUGUUGCCUUGGAAGAGGCGUGCCUGGAAGUGCUCCGAGAGAGGUGCCCCUCAUCGAAAUCUUCGCCGGAAGGCACUUCAGGGGAUUUCGUCGGUCUCCUCUUGGAGGAUUCAGCUUUUUCCUUCCCCUGCCUCUUGAAGUACCUCCCCAGUUCUUCGAAGAUGUUUGGAUUAUCAGCCACGAACUCGGCCAUCUUGGCGAUGGCGUCUUCGUUGUGGGGCUGGAUCCUUGGGGACCCUUGUUCUUCAGAAAUACGAUCUUGCUGGGCUCCGGAUGUCUGCCCAGCCCCAGUCCAGGGGACUCUUCCACUUUUGGAGCGCAUGGAUCUCAUUUUAGCAGUAAUCUCGUUCCCACAGACGGCGCCAAUUGAAGAGGUGAUUUUUGGUGGGUAGUUGAACCGACCCGAAUCAGGCUCCUCUGAGAUGAAGUGAGGUGAGGUGUAUCCUCUUGUCCGAAGUGAAUGGCGGGGCUUUUUCCCUGGGACCACUCCGACGAUCAAGUUAGUAUGAGAACGAGAGAAAAGCAAUAGUGUUGUCCAAUGAACAGUAUGCUUACUUGUUAGGAGUACAUGAGGGGUAUUUAUAGAGCGAGAGUGGAGGGCAGGACGGAGGUCUUAUGCCGGUGGGACCCAUGUCCUGCCAUUACGGCUCUGCUCUCUGUCAGGCGGUCUGACUCUGACGCUGUAGCCGCCUGGGCAGGGUGACGAGGAGUCUUACGCAGUAGUCAUUAAGUGCGACAGUGCUUUUCAGAUAAAGCACUGGUCCCGGGUGAUGUCAGGUGGCUUGACAUCAUCAGCGUGCAGCUGAGGUGAAGGUGCCGAGGUCACCUACACGGUAGACUAGGGAUCCGGCCGAGCUUAGGGGAUAUGCCCAAGACACGGAUGAGCUCCGAUGAGGGACGAGGUGGGUUCACCUCGGACAUGCGGGGUGGCCGAGGUGAGCAUCCUCAGAUAGUAUUAUACGAAAACUUGGCGAAGAUGGAAAAAUGGAGGGAAAAGAAGGCAAACAGCAUAGCUCCCCUCAGGUUAAAAUAUGCUGAUUUGCAUUAAGAUUAUUGACAUGCUACCCACUCAUGCUUUUGUAUAUGGUUGGCAUUAGUGACAAACAAUCAAUGGUAAUGAAAUUUGGCUUUGCAAUCCUCACCGUCUGCCUCAUUCAUCUGCAUCUGGGGCAGAUGGUGUUUGAAACUAUCUUGGAUUGCAUCGAUAGUUAUGUAAUACUACAACUGCUACAAUUAUAUCAAUUUUGAACUAAUGUCAAGUGACUUAUGUUGCCUUACUAACUAGUUCAACUAAUAAGUUGUUGCUUAUUAUCUCUUUGUAAAGUUACAGUAGUAGUCAUCAAACAAUAGUCAUACAUUUCUUCGAAAUACAAUCCAACUGACAAGUACUACUGGUUUAUUUCUUACAUAAUCAGAAAAGACUUAAAAUGAUUGGUACAAUGUCGUGACACUUUUAUAUUUGUUCCAAGAGUUUAUCCAAUUGAUUUUAUAUUUUGGAUGAAUAUAGAUACAACACCUAGUGUGAUAUUUAUGAUGAGUAUCAUGUUAACUAUGGCCUUUGGUUGGUUUAGCCUUGUCACUUUUUAUUACCUCAAAAUUAGAUAAUCACACUAAAAAUAAAUUAUUUCUUGAGUUGCUUGAGCCGUUUAUAUGCUUUUGAAAGAAACUUAAAGUAUGGCCAUUGCACUAGCCAUUUGUGCAAACUGAAGCUUCAAGUUGUUGUUACUGCACUUUUCCUAAUUGCUAUUACACCUACUAAAAUUUACUAAUUAUGUAUGUCUUUUAAUAUUUUUCAUUAUUUACUAAUACAAGUUGUGGAUAAGCAAAAAGGGCAUAUGUGGAACACAAAUACCAUCUCACUCCUCAAAAUAUUUUUUUAAUGCUCAUUUUCCUGACAUGGGCUGAUCAUGUUACUACAACUAUAAGUUCAGGGGAGGUUUAUGUCAUUUUCAAAACCUUAGGGGAGGUCAAUGAAAUUGUUGGAAACCUCAGCGGAUGUUUCUGAAAUUAUCCCUAAAAUAUAUGUAUGCCCUCUAUCUGUUUGUUAAAAUGCCUACCCCAGAACGUCAAGUGUAUGUGGCUUUUUUAUUACCCUGCUGUGAGCGCGUGCCCGUGUGAGGUUGAAUGGUGAUGGGCCAGCCGCCGGUGAACGGAGAAUAGACAGUGAGAAGUCGUUUAACAUCUCACAGUUGCCUACUUAUGCUCAUACUCUGAUGAUGGAAAAAUGAGUGGAACAAAUGAUAUGCUUUUAAUGCAGUCAAAUGUCAGUUCAUAGUUGCAUCGUUGGUCUUGAACAGGGGAAUGUCUGUGUUAGUUUUUUUAUGAGCAUUCAUAAGAAAAAGGGAUAGUGUCAUGAUCUUCCAUCUACGGUGCACAACCCCGUGACAUUACUAGAUGAGAUGAGCAUUUACCGUGACUAAUAAUCAAAUCAUUUCUCAAUUUUAGGAAUUUUGUCACUAGUUGAGUAUCUUCUUUUCUCCUCUUUUGGAGUUAAAACUAUGCAGUGACUAUAAAAAGAAAAAAGGGGGAAGGGGGAAGGGAGGGGGGGGAAGUAGUCUGUUUCGAGGUAGGAAGGGACAGAACAUAAAUAUGCUAGUAUGGAUUUGGUGCCUAAUGAGAAUGGGAAGUGUCACAGAAUUCAAUUGUGUUAUGUACCAGAAUCGUACCUUAAUCUUUACUUCUUAAAGAAGUCUUAAACUAUAUUAGGGCUAUUAGUACUAGAGGAAUGCUUUCCAUUUGGAUUGUGCUGUUAUAGUGCUAUACUUAUAUGCUUUCCGAUAGCUCUAGAAAGCUGGACGUCAUCAAUGCCCGCCUUCUUCAACUCGACAUGAAGGUCGACUCUAAGCCUGGCUACCCGCAAAGCCUUGCCAUUGGGGUGGCCUCUGGUGCCCUUCUUCAGGGCUUUACAUCUGCCGCUGCUCAGAUUUGGACUGCUGUGCGUCGAGCAACUAAUCCUGGUCGUGAUUCACCUAUCAAUUAAUUCCAGUUAACCCCAUGGCCCUUGGUCCUAACAGGGUGGUAUAGGUAGUAGUAAUUUAGUGAAUUUGGUGUGAAGAUGAUGUAUCUGUUCUUGAUCUUACCUGUUGCAUUUACGUUACGGUGGACUAUUGUGCAGCUAGAUCUUCAAUUCUUCAUCCCCGUAUUAAUCCACAAGUUCUUGAAUUUUGUGGAAUGGUCCUAUAUUUGCCUCUUUUUUGAAACUUUCAGUUCAGUGAUAGGUAGAAGUAUCUUUUACAGAUUGAUUUAUCCAUUUUAAUUAAUGCACCCUAUAAAAUGAUUUCAUGUCUAGUAAAAUGAAUUAACAAUUAUUGAGCUGCUUUUAACCUUUUCUUUUUCAAAGAAAAUAGAAACUUCUGAAAUAAUUUAUUCUUCAAACACCAAAGCAUUUUGCCUUUACUUGUCAUCAUCUUAAAUAUUCAAUUACAUACUUCGAUAAAAUUUCUUUUCAAUUGUAGUCCAGUAAACGUGCAAUUAACUUCCCCAAUUUUACCUUUUGGUCUAAAAUCGAUAGGAAUUGUGAAUGGCUAUCCAUCAACUUUAGGUGUUAACGUGAAAUGAUGCAAAAUGUUGAAAAUUAAAAGUUGAGGUGAUAACAUUUCUUUGCAUUGAAUUUAUGCAAAAAAAUAUCCAUGUUGCUGAAACUUCUUUUUUUUAGGCCAUCUUAACAUUUAUUGAUUGAAGUCAUGUGCAUAACUAAUGGUCAUUGGUAAUUUAAAAAAGUGAAAGUCCUAGAUCUAAUGAAUGAAUUUGGGAUAGUUUAAUUUAAUCUAUACAAUCUAUAAAGGGAGAACGUUAUUGUGUGGUGUAAACACACCGUAUCACUUUUUAAAAUUUCUAAUAUACCCCUAAAUUAUAAGGGUAAAUUUGUCCCAAUUUAUUCCAAAAAAAUCUCCACAAUCAACAGAUAGUUGUUUGAAUCAAAAAGUAAUUAUUUGUUUAGUUAUCCACUAACUACAGCUUUUUUACACAAACUCCCACGAAUUCUACUCCACUUUCAUCAUUUUUCUAUAUGAUUAUCUAAUUUGAUCCAUAAAACCCAUAAAAAAAACUUUUAUAUACAUUGUUAGUUUUGAAUAAAUGACAACUAAUGUAAAAUUGAACUUGAAAUUCAAAUUUUAAAUUUAUAUCAUGCAUCCAUUGGUAAUGGUAUAUGCAAUGUUAGUGCAUAUAGUAUUUAAUCUAUGGAUAUAGACAUUUCAAAGACAAUUUUCUUUUGCUCAUAGUGAUGAACACGUAGUUGAUUAGAGUAAUUCAAUGAGAAAAUACGAUGCAGAUGGCUACUAUUAUUAAUUAUCUUGUGAGGAAACUAGAUGAGCAUGGAGAAAUAUUGAGGCCGUGGAACCCAAAAAAAAAUUCAUACAAAUAUAUAUAGGAGAUAAACUUUAUACAAAACCAAUAUAUAUGGAGAGGUAAUUUACACUCAUAUAUAUAUUGUGGGAGAAGAUGAAUAAUACAAUAAUAAUAUAUUAAUCACACGUCAUAAUAACAAGGCUAUCAAAUUUCAUUCUUCUCAAAUGAUGACAAUAAAAAGACUUCUUAUUUAUAGACUAGAUAAUUUGGCAAAUAGUCUUGACAAUCAGAAUAAAUUAUCUUUUAAAAUAUCAAUUUCUAAAUAAUAAAACUAUCAUGACUUGACUCGAAUAGAAUUAAUAGAAUUACUAAAACUUUACAUUGACUAAACCAUAGCUAAAUAAUAAUAUGAAAAUUUCUAUUUUUGAACCUUGAUUUAAUUGAUUUAAUAUGUAACUAUUGUCUCCCUUAAAUCAAGUUCUCUCUUGGAUCAAUCUCACCACCAUUACUAUCAAUAAUCUCUCUUGCAAAUUCUAAGAUCACUUUGUACUGGUUCUUCAUCUUCAAACCCUAUUCUCAUUGCAAUAAUCCACGCACUUGGAUAAACUAUUUUCGUAGCAUAAUUUGAUAUCAAUUUAUUCACAGCUUAUCACUUUGUGAUUUUAAUAAUCACAACUCAACUGUUAGGCUUUUUCUCUGAUCUUCUUUACACCCACAAUCAAUCUGACAAUUCUUCUGGAACAAUCUUAUAGUCCAAUUUUCACCAACUAGAUACCUCAUGACCAAUCUUUUGGUCCAAUUCGAUCAACUGAUUUCUUCGCUACAAUUCUUAUGAAAAAUAUCCAAAACUAACCUCGUAGUUGGGACAAUUCUUCAAUGUUCAAGGCACUCCAGGAUUAAAUUUCUUGAACAUAGGGUUCUAAUACCAUAUUUAGAAACCAAAAAAUUCUACCAGAAAUCUAUAAGAGAUAAAUUUCAUAAAAUCAAUGCAUAUGAGAAGGCAAUUUAUACACAUAUACCUAUGUGUAGGAGAAAAUAAAUAAUACCAUCAAUAAUAUAUUAAUCACACAUUCUAAUAAUAAGGCUAUCAAAUUUCGUUUUUCUCAAGCGACGACAAUAAUAAGAUCUCCUAUUUAUAGACUAAAUGACUUGGUAAACAAGUCUUGGCAACCACAAUUACUUUAUGAAAUAUCAACUUUUAUAUAAUAAAAUUACUAUAACUUGCCUCAAAUAGAAUUACUAAAACCUUAGAUUAACUAAAGCAUAACUAAAUAAUAAUAUAAAAAUUUCUAUUUUUAAACCUUGAUUUAAUUGAUUUAAUAUGCCAACAGAGGCAGCAGGGGAGCAAUUCCUGCUUCUUCAAUGUGUCAAGGUUUUAGCAUUAUCUCCAUCAGAAUGACAAAAAUGAAGUUGAUUUUGAAGAAAUUAAAAAAAAAUUUAAUGACAUACAAAUUAAUAUCGAUUUUUAGCCCCAAAUCUCUAAUGACUAAUAUCCGCCAAAUUACGAAAGAGACUCCAGAUUAGAAGUGUUGGAGAAAACAAUGACGAAAGAAAAAAAAAAAAAAAACUAAGGGAGACUAGAAUAGCCCAUUUGGUUUUAACUUUUAAAACUCAGACUACCCAUCUAGAUAAGCCCCCAAUUACAUCGGCCCAUAGUCUUCUCAGAUCAGAUAAAUAAAGCCCAAAUCAGCUGAACUUGAUUUAGUUUGGAAUCUUUCAAAGGGAAAAAAAAAAAAAUUUCGAACUUUAUCUCUAUUAAUAUGGACAUUUGUUAGGUGAUGUGACCUAUAACUCUCAAACCCUCACCUUUGACCCCUUUUAGGAAGUUCCACGUUAUGUUUUGGAUACUGGAUCCAUAAGUAUCAAUUCACCAUUAGAUGUAUAAAAAGAUAUAUCAGCCUUACCCUUAGAUGAUUUCAGAAGUUUAAAUUAUUAAAUGAUAUUAUGAGAAAUUAUGAAAUUAUAAUCAUGGGUAUGGAUAUGGCAUCCAAAAUAUGAUUCAAAUUCCCUUGACUUUCUCCUUGUUUAUAGGAGACAAAACUUUCUAAAAUUUGGAGUCCACUCUAUUUCCUAAAAUUUUAAAAUGUGAGUUUAAAUAGAAAAAGUGACUAAACAUAGGAGAAGUAAUUCAUUUGAUUGAUAUCAUGAGUACUUGUCACACCUUGAUUUUGGUUUUUUUUUUCCCAUCUCUAGACCACUGUGUCUCAUUGGCUAAGCUCAAAUAAAUAGUCUUAAUGUCCUUAAAUUAGAAUUUUAAAAUGAUUGAAAAAAGAAUUUAAAAAUGAUUGGGGUUGGCAGAAUCUUAUUUCAAAGUUUUUCACGGUUUGGCGACUUAGGUUUGAGUAAUUAAACGGAAAUCGGACGCAACAAUUGAGUCAAAAAGUUUUAUUGUUGGUCGGUGGAAGUUGAAUAUAUGAAUUUAAAAAUCUGAAAAUAAGAAAAAUUGACUUACACGUGGAAUCAAAUCCAAUUUUCACGGAACAAAAUAAUGUAGAAAUCAUUCACUAAUUACAAUAUUUAACACAUACUUCAUCAAGAAAUAAAAAAUUCAUUUAAAAAUUUUCUUUCUUUGAUGCGGCAUCUCCUUGCCCAUACAUGUCCACUUCUCUUAAUUGCGUUUCGUGAUAAGCAUCUAAAGAGUGGCGAAUUUAUUUUUUUUUUUGGAAGGAGAAAUAGAGUAUUAAUUUUUGUAUUCAACUUCAAACUAAGUUGUUCUGUUUUGUAACCAAUGACCAAUCAGAAGAAAUUGAAAGUUUUUCUAGAAAGAGAAGAUUCUGCCAUUAGGACUUUUCCGUUCAUAUGUUUUUGCACUUGUCAAGAUUGUAGAGGCUGAAUACAACUGCCCAGACAUGUCCGAGCCCAGUUGUACCUCGGGUGGGCUCCCGUUUUGCUUCCUACGUCCGCGUCUCACAAUGUGUGGAAGAGAAGCCUGAUUUGACCGUAAGUUGGGCCAUGUGCUCUAUGAGAAUUUUAGAGCGAGUCGUUCAUCAAUUAUUGUUCAUCAUCUUUCUUUUAUAGGUAUCCGCGUUUACCUUCAUAGGUUUCUCGUUCGAUCUCUCAAACUCCCAAUCUAUUUAUACCAUCGUUAACUUGAUUGUGGGAGAUACACCUGUAGACUUAGCCCUAAUCCUCUCAGUUUUUGCUGCAGGUCAACAAAUCUGAAUACUUAAUGAGUCUAAGCUCGUACAAAGAUGAAAUUAAGUAUUUACUCAUAGUAUUCCGUUAUUUUUGGUACGAAUAACUAGACGGUGGGACUUAGUAGAUGAAAUUAUUCUAGAGAAGUCAAAUAUAGUAUUUCCAUUUAAAAUUAAAACCCAAAGCAAGCUAGAGUGACCUCCAAAAUGAGUCUUGUGAAGAUAUUGAGGUUAAUUCUAUUUUGCUCUCUAAUUUUGAGUGCCUAAAGUAUAAAAUAGAAUAUUGUAUUAUCUAAAGUAUAAAAUUCGUCUCAUUUAAAUACAAUUAUUGAGAUUUUUUCGUCCUUCUCUCUAGAAUUAUUCCCUCCUCAUUCCCUCUAGAUCUCUUCCAGUCAAGUUCUUCUCCAAUUCUCUAAUUAGAGAGAGACCAAAUUUGGUCUUUUUCCAUGGAAAGGAUUCCUCUAUGUAGUUAUUAGUUUUUCUUGUUUGAAUAAAUUCUUUCUUAGGAUUUUUCUAAUGAGAAAUCUUCUCCUUUAGAAUCUUCUAGUGAGAGUUUUAUUCUCUUUUGAGUUUUUCCUUACGAGAGUUUUUUUUUUGUAUUUUUGUUAUUUUUUUGUGAAAUUUGAGAUUUUGUAGAUCUAAAAUCUAGUUUUUCAGAUUUACAAUUUCUCUAUUAUUGUUAAUCUAAAUAUCUCUUUGGAUUUGAAUCAGUUUUAAAUCAGAUUUGAUUGUCAAAAGAUAUGCAUAAAUGUAUUCGGUUACAGUAAUUCAUCCAAAUGGAAGAUAUAUAGGAGCAUCAAUGUUAUCUAUAUUCAUUCCAAUUUUUUAGUUCUAUUGUAUCUAUUUAAUUUCAGAUCUAUAUAUAUUUGUAUCAUGUUUGACUUGAUAUAUUUUUUGCCAUUAAUGCAGAUUUAUCAAAUGAAAUGAUUUUUCUAUCGAAAAUAAAAUCGUUGACCAAAGUGAGAUAAUUUAUAACAAGUAGGACAAAUUUUAUAUUUUAGAGACUAAAAUAGUAGAGAUUUUAUACUUUAAAAAUUAAAAUGGAACAGAUAUUAUACUUCAUGGGGACUAAAGUGUUCCACUAUAAAACUUAAAAAUCAAAGUGGAAUUCAAGCAUGUGUAAAGUGCAAUUUACCCAAGAUACUGUGUAUAUACGACACAGCCACUAACCAGUUGCACCUUGAGUCAUGAAUCAGACGUUAUUCUUUUGCAACAGUCAACGGUGGAACUUGCCGUCAUUCUUUUCUUCUCGAUUGCUUGCUACGUUAUAGAACUCCAAAAAAGAGCAACGAUCGAAUUUCUUACGAGUGGCCUAAUACUAAGUCUACCCUUAAGUGAAGCAUUAUACGUGACCUCACAUGCUCCUCAUGUGCUAACGUGCAGUGUGUCUGGAAGUUUGCACAUUCAAGCAAGCAAAGGAAAAGAAAUGCAUAAAAAAGGGGAAAAAAUGGAUAGAUAGACUCAAAGUUUUUCUUGGUCAAAAAUUUUUUUUCUAGAGUCUCUGAAUUUUAAGCUUAAGAACAGUAAAAGUUUGUGUAAAUGGCAUUUAUUAUGCAUAAGUUAGAUUUUUUUUUCUUUUUCUUUUUUGUAUGAGACUUUAAGCCUUACAAGAGGAGGAAAAAAAUGGAGAAUUUAAAAGUCGAACUAAGGACUUCAAGGUAACUUGACCAAUAUUCUACUAGCUAAAUUAGGUCUUGUGGUCAAAAAUAAUUUUCCAACAUAGAAAGGAUGGAUUUUAAGAAGCAGGGAGGGGAAGCGGCAAUUUAAAUCCAAGACCUCUAAAUGUUGAGACCUUCAACCUUAUCCAUUAAACUAUAACCUUCCCACCCAAUUAGGUGUAUUAGUUUGGCCGGCAUGCAAUUAUUUGAGGUUGUCUGUUUUAUCGAGAAACUUCAUGAGAUGAGAUGCCUAUAAUUGUCAGAGUGCCUUUUUAUAUGCAUAUUAGUCAAAAUAUUUAUUAAUUCUUCUACUGAGAGCUAACUAUUACACAAUCUAAAACCUAGAAGCCCCCAUUUUUUUUCUUUGUUGAUACAACAUCAUAAAAGAAUACCUUAUUGAUAAAACAUCAUAAACAAAUACUACCGAUCUGAAAAAUUGAUUAAGAAAAUACACUCUGAAGCUCCAAACAUUGUAGUCAAAUACUACUGAUCUGAAAAAAUGAUUAAAAAAAUUACAAUGUGAAGCUCCAAACAUAUAGUAUUCAAGGAUAAAAACACUGUUUCAGCUGCCACUGCCUUCUUAUUAGCUAUUUCAAGUUUUGAUAUUAUGGUGAGAUCUAACAAGAUAGACUUAAGAAAUCUCAUAUUUGACUAGGGGUGUAAAUUAACCAAACUACUCCACUUAGUCUCUUGAGUAGCCCAGUCAAGGAUUGACUUGAAUUCAACAUCGAUCAAGUUUGAAUUGAGUUCAAACUACUUGAUAAGGUAAUUGAGUCAAGUUCGAGGAGAUAAAUCAAAACUUGAGUACUCGUUGAACGUUAACGAGUAGUUUAUUUUUAAUAUAAUUUUUAAUUAUUUAUUAUAAAAUUAUGAAAUUUACUAAAAAAUCGAGCUUGACAACUCGAUUGAGUUUGAUUUGGUUGAAUUCGAGCUCGAGUUCAAGUGAGUUAAAAUAAAUUCAAACUCAACUUUGAAGAACUCGAGCUGUAGAAUUUUUAUUCAAAUAGAGUUCGAGUAGUGCACUACUCAAGUUCAACUCAAUUCGAUAGCAGUUUUAGAUUUGAUAACCAAAUCUGGAAAAAAAAAACUUAGAUUUAACAAAAGUACUGGAAAAACUAUAAAACAUUUCGCUGAAAUCUUUAGGAGAGGAAAAAAAACCUUAUUAGGAAAUCCUAAAUGAGAAAAAAACUCUUACUAGGUAGCCCUAGGAAAGACUUAUUACACACGAAAGGGAAAUAAAGAAAGCCGUGGAAGGUAAGGAGAUUGUUUAGUCUUCCUCCCAAGGAGGGAAAUAUUCUGUUUGCAAGGAAAAGUUAUAUAGAAUGAAGAGAAUUUAGGUUUAGAGGAAGAUGAUGAUGAGUCAUUAUGAGCUUUAGGAUUUAAGGUGAGAAAACUUGCAAUAAUGACCUAACAGGGAUGCCACCAGCCAUGUCAAGAAAAGAAAAGUUUUUUUUUUUUAAACAAUUUUAUGCCUUAUUCAAUGCUACAUGUGGAAAAAGAGAAUUUUAAGCUUUGGUAGAAGUUAUUGUCAUAAACUUGUUGUUAGUGUUAGAAACAUUAAUCUUUCGUGUUAUCAUCAACUUGUCGCAUAAUUGAUCCUAACUGUAACCUAAUUACAUCUUAAAGUGUGAAGUAGUUUCUAUGUUUUACUGUCUUUGGUAAUCUAGCUAUCUUUGUAAGACUACUAGUAGAAACUCCAAAAGAAAGUAAGUUCAAGAAAAUUGUUUCUGAUAUAAACACAUGCGCAUUAGUACAAGUAAUCCGCGUAUGAUCCAAGUGACAAAAGGGAAAUAUAUAGUAACCCAUUUUCUAUUAGCCUUAUAUGAAAAUUUUAGUCUAUGCUCUAUACUUGAAUCACUUUUUCCACAACAAAACUUCAUGCUUUGUGCCAAUGAAAGCAAAUUUUGAAGUUCCAAAACGUUAGAAGGGUUAAAUAAUUGUGUGCAUAGAACCUUGAGUACUCAUAGAAGGCAAAUGAUAGUCGCACAACUCAGAUUUUAAAUGCCAAAGUAUUUUGUUUUUGCUAUUCUAUUAUUUAUCUAGAUAAUUUUCUUUAAAAUAUGUAUUCAAUAAAGGAUUAAUUUUUUAUACGCUGACAGUGUAUACACUUUCACCAUUAAAUACAUGACACAUAAUCCGAAUUUGAAUUUGAAACUCAAAUUUUAGAUAUGUGUCGUAUAUCCAACCGUGAUAGUGUAUAUACCGUCAGUGUAUAUAAGAUUUAUGUUGAAUUGUCAAGCAUUGCGGCUUGACUUGUGGCAGAAUUUUUUGUCUCACGUCAGAUGCUGCGUAAGAAAGUUAAUCUUCCUUUCAUCCCACAUCGCAGUAGAUAGCAGGAAAGGCUCCGAUAGAGAACCUAUAAAUAGAAGAGGCCUCUGAAGGUUUUAACUCGCACCACUCAAGAGAGUUAUAUGGGCUAUUAGCUUCUUGAGUCAUCUAGUCCAUUUAGUCAAAUAUUUUAGGCUCUCUUGUUUUGAGUUUAGGAAUAUUUCCUAACUUUUUUGUAAGUGCCUAUUGGCCUAAGAACCACUUUCCUACGGCUUUUGUAUUUCUUCUUCAUAGUAGAAAUAUUGCUCCUCCCUCGCCCGUGGACGUAGGUCAAUUUGACCGAACCACGUAAAUCUUCUGUGUCUUUUAGUUGCUUUAUUAUUUGUCUUUAUUAGAUUGCCGCAACCCUUUUAUAUGGUCGGUUUUACCGCCUAAUUAUUUUAUGGCUGGUGUCUACCGCCUAAACAUUAUAUGGUCGGUUAUACCGCCUAAUUUGUGCUAACUUUAGUUUGUCUAUUUCCUGGGUCAGUCCUAACAAACUGGUAUCAGAGUUGGUUGUUAUAUUUUGCAAGACAGGUUCAUCUGGUGGGGCCCGUUCAUCUGGUGGGGCCCGUCCAUCCUGUGGGGCCCGCUCAUCCUGUGGGGUCCGUUUAUCCGUGGGGUCCGCUCACCUUGUGGGAUUCGUUCAUCCCCGUGGGGCCUGCUUAUCUCGUGGGGCCCGCUCACCCUGUGGGGCCCGCUCACGAGACUUGCAUAUUUGUUUGGCCAGUUUUUUGAGACAAACUUUAGGUUACAGAUUUUGUGGCAACAAUGACGAUAACAAAGACGGUUGUCGAGAAAUUCGACAGGAAUGUCAACUUCGGAAUGUUGCAACUCAAGAUGGAGGCCAUUCUUGUUCAAGACGGAGUUGAUCUAGCGAUUCACGGAAUUGAGAACAAACUGGAAGAUGUAAAGGAUGCGGAUUUCGCCGAUAUGGAUAAGAAAUCCAGAUCCAGCAUAAUCUUAAACCUCUCCGAUGAGGUAUUGCGUGAGGUAGCAACGGAGAUUUCGGCCAAGGCUAUGUGGGAUAAAUUGAAAGCCUUGUAUAUGAAGAAAACAGUCGAGAAUCGGCUAUAUUUGAAGCAGAGUUUGUACAUGCUUCGGAUGUCUAAAGGUACAUCUAUAUUUUCCCAUCUUGAUAAAUUUGAUUCCAUUAUUAUGGAUUUGGGGAAUAUAGAUUCGAAAAUUGAUGAUGAAGAUCAAGCCCUAUUACUUUUGUGUUCCCUUCUCCAAUCUUUUAAGCAUUUCCGUGAUACUAUGAUUUAUGGAAAGGAAACAAUUUCGUAUCAAAAAAUUAAAUCUGCAUUAAAAUCUAAAGAGCAGAUAGAUAGGGGUAUUACUGGGGAAACUAGUGGGAGUCAAGCCGAUGGCUUGUUUGUUCGGAGUAGAUCUGAAAAGAGAAACACAGAAAUAGAAGUAGAUCCAAGUCCAGACAUAAAAAUGUGGUGUGCAAUUAUUGUAAAAAGAAGGGCCAUGUUAUCUCUGAUUGCUUUAAAUUGAAAAAUAAAGAAAAGCAAAAGGGAAAAUUUGUUGAGAAAAAUACUGAAUCCACUGAAGCUAGUAUAGCAGCUGAUGAGAAUGAUGGAACCAUUUUCUGUGCAAUGGAAAAUAAUUUUAGAUCUAACAAUGAGUGGAUUUUAGAUUCGGAUUAUUCGUAUCAUAUGUGUCCCAAUAGGGACUGGUUUUCAACAUAUGAAUCAACUGAAGGUGGAGUUGUCUUAAUGGGCAACAACGCUAUUUGUAAAGUUGUUGGCAAAGGCACAAUCCGGAUUAAAAUGUGCGAUGGUAUUGUGAGGAUACUCACAGAUGUUAGACAUGUUCCAGAUUUGAAGAAAAAUCUCAUCUCUUUAGGCACUCUUGAGUCUAUUGGGUGCAGGUAUUCAGGUGGAGAUGGAGUUCUCAAAAUUAGUCGAGGAGCUCUUGUUGUUAUGAAAGCACACAGAUCUGGUACUUUAUAUAUUUUACAGGGAUCUACUGUUACAGCUGCUGCUGCUGUUUCAACAUCAUCUUUGUUAGAUACAGACAUCACCAAAUUAUGGCAUAUGCGUUUGGGGCACAUGAGCGAAAAAGGCUUGGGCAUACUAAGCAAAAGAGAACUUCUUUGUGGACAAAAUACAGGGCCAUUGAAAUUCUGUGAACAUUGUAUUUUUGGGAAGCAGAAAAGAGUCAACUUCAGUUCACUAGCAAUUCACAAGACAAAAGGUACUCUUGAUUACAUUCAUUCAAACCUAUGGGGUCCUUCUCGUGCUCCUUCUAAAGGUGGUGCCAGGUACAUGUUGACUUUCAUUGAUGAUUAUUCAAGAAAAGUUUGGGUCUAUUUUCUUAAGCAUAAAAAUGAUGUUUUCCUAACUUUCAAACAAUGGAAAGUUUUGAUUGAGAAACAAACAGGAAAACAUAUUAAGCGGUUGAGAACAUAUAAUGGCAUGGAAUUUUGUGGAGGUGAAUUUGAUAGAUUUUGUAAAAAUGAAGGAAUUGUUCGGCAUCACACCGUCAGGAUGACGCCUCAACAAAAUGGUGUGGCCGAACGUAUGAAUAGAACGCUUUUGGAGAGAGCACGGUGUAUGAUCUCUAAUACAGAGUUGACAAACAACUUUUGGGCAGAGGCAAUCAAUAUGGCCUGUUAUAUUGUCAACCGUUCUCCUUCUGUAUCUCUUGAUUUCAAAAUUCCUGAGGAAGUUUGGUCAGGUACUCCUGCUGAUUACUCAAAUUUAAAAAUUUUUGGGUGUCCAGCAUAUAUGCACGUGAACGAUGAAAAAUUAGAGCCUAGGGCUAAAAAGUGCAUUUUUCUUGGGUAUGCUUCUGGGGUGAAAGGAUACAGAUUAUGGUGUCCUGAUCCCAAAUCUCCAAAAUUUGUAAUCAGUAGAGAUGUUACUUUUGAUGAAUUGUCUAUGUUAUCUUCCAAGAAGGAGUCUUCUAAUCCUUGUACUACUGAUAGUACACAGAAGCAGGUGGAGCUUGAUAUUGGCAGUUUUGGUUCUUCUCAUACCAAAUCUUUUAUUCAACAAAUGCCAGUAGAUGCACCUGAAUCUACUGUUGAAAAUAAUUCAAAAGAAGAGGAAUAUUCCAUAGCCAGAGAUAGACAAAGGAGAGACAUUCGACCACCACAAAGAUAUGCAAAUUUAGUUGCAUAUGCUUUGUCUAUUGCAGAAGAAACUGAUGCAGUUGGUGAGCCUUCCACCUAUUCAAAAGCAGUUUUUUGUGAUGAUUCUGUAAAGUGGUUGAUUGCGAUGAAUGAAGAAAUUGAAUCUCUUCAUCGUAAUGAAACUUGGGUUCUUGUAAAGCCGCCGUCAGCUAAGAAAAUUGUUGGUUGCAAGUGGGUCUUCAAGAAAAAGGAAGGUAUUCCAGGGGUUGAAGAUGCAAGGUAUAAAGCACGAUUAGUUGCAAAGGGCUAUAGUCAGGUACAAGGUGUUGAUUUUAAUGAUGUGUUUUCACCUGUUGUUAAACAUAGUUUUAUUCAUGUUUUGCUUGCUUUAGUUGCCAUGUAUGAUUUGGAGUUAGAGCAGUUUGAUGUUAAGACAGCUUUCUUACAUGGCGAACUUGAAGAACAAAUUUAUAUGGGACAACCCCAGGAUUUUGAAAUUGAAGGUAAGGAAGACCAUGUUUGCUUAUUGAAGAAAUCCUUAUAUGGAUUGAAACAGUCUCCAAGACAAUGGUAUAAAAGGUUUGAUUCCUUUAUGUUGGGUCAUGAUUAUUUGAGGAGCAUGUAUGAUAGUUGUGUUUACUGCCGAAAGUUAAAUGAUGGUUCUUCCAUUUAUUUGCUGCUUUAUGUUGAUGACAUGCUCAUUGCUGCCAAGAAUUUGUCAGAAAUUCACACUUUGAAACUGCAGUCAAAUAGUGAAUUUGAAAUGAAAGAUUUGGGAGCAGCUAAGAAAAUUCUUGGCAUGGAUAUCAAGCGACAUCGAGGAGUAGGAAAGUUAUUCUUGACCCAGAAAAAUUAUCUUGAGAAAGUCUUGGAGCGUUUUGGCAUGAAAGAUGCUAAACCAGUAUCUACUCCUCUUGCUAGCCAUUUCCGGCUAUCUGUUGCUCAAUCACCACAAACAGAUGAAGAGAAAGAUUAUAUGGCACGGGUUCCUUAUUCCAGUGCAGUCGGCAGUGUUAUGUAUGCAAUGGUUUGUAUUCGUCCAGAUAUUGCACAAGCAGUCGGUGUUGUUAGCAGAUAUAUGUCUUGCCCUGAUAAAACACAUUGGCAGGCUGUGAAGUGGAUUCUCAGAUACUUGCGAGGUACUUCAAAUGCAUGUUUGGAGUUUGGAAGAAAUAAUAACACUUUGGUUGGUUUUGUAGACUCAGACUACGCUGGAAAUCUUGACAGGAGAAUAUCACUUUCAGGCUAUGUAUUUUGCAUUGGCGGUUGUGCUUUUAGUUGGAAAGCUACUCUACAACCUGUCGUAGCUUUGUCUACUACUGAAGCAGAAUAUAUGGCUGUGACCGAGGCAAUCAAAAAAGUCUUGUGGAUGAAAAGUUUAUUUAGCGAGUUUAGUCUACAUCAAGGUGUUACUGUUAUUCACUGUGAUAGUCAAAGUGCCAUACACUUGACUAAAGAUCAGAUGUAUCAUGAGAGGAUGAAACAUAUUGAUGUGAAGUAUCACUUCAUUCGAGAUAUCAUUGCUGAGGGAAAAGUCCUUAUUCAGAAAAUCAAUAAUAAGGACAAUCCAGCCGAUAUGUUUACAAAACAUCUUCCACUUUACAAGUUCAAACAAUGUUUGGAUUUGAUUGGUAUUCAUUGUUGGUGAUUUAUGCCCAUUGGGGUUUAUGCGGAGAAGGUGGAGCAGUUUUACUAUUGUCAAUGAUGUGACUUAAAAAUUAUGCCAAGGUGGAGAUUUGUUGAAUUGUUAAGUAUUGCGGCUUGACUUGUGGCAGAAUUUUUUGUCUCACGUCAGAUGCUGCGUAAGAAAGUUAAUCUUCCUUUCAUCCCACAUCGCAGUAGAUAGUAGGAAAGGCUCCGAUAGAGAACCUAUACAUAGAAGAGGCCUCUGAAGGUUUUAACUCGCACCACUCAAGAGAGUUAUAUGGGUUAUUAGUUUCUUGAGUCAUUUAGUCCAUUUAGUCAAAUAUUUUAGGUUCUCUUGUUUUGAGUUUAGGAAUAUUUCCUAACUCUUUUGUAAGUGCCUAUUGGCCUAGGAACCACUUUCCUACGGCUUUUGUAUUUCUUUUUCAUAGUAGAAAUAUUGCUCCUCCCUUGCCCGUGAACGUAGGUCAAUUUGACCGAAUCACGUAAAUCUUCUGUGUCUUUUAGUUGCUUUAUUAUUUGUCUUUAUUGGAUUGCCGCAACCCUUUUAUAUGGUCUGUUUUACCGCCUAAUUUUUUUAUGGCUGGUGUCUACCGCCUAAACAUUAUAUGGUCGGUUAUACCACCUAAUUUGUGCUAACUUUAGUUUGUCUAUUUCCUGGGUCAGCCCUAACAAUUUACUCUUCAAUAAAUGCGUUGUUUGAAAAAUGCAUUCGAUGAUGAAUACGUUGUUUUAAAACUCUCAUUAUUUGAAAACCCUUCUUGAAAACUACAACUGGAAAUUUGCUCUCGAAUUCAUUGGUACAAAAUUUUCAGUCUUGAUGGAGUUCGUUUCUCACGUGGGCUGCCGAGGUCUCCUUCACUAGCGGGGCUAUGGCUGUGGCAUUGAUCUUUGCCUAGAUAACCAAGCACGAUCUAUCUCUGUCUAUCCACGUAAUUGCCAACCAUUUUAUCCUUAUCUAUUUGGAAAAAAAAGUGGCAAAAUUGUGGAAAUAUAUACAGCUGAACUGAAGUGAAAGCAACACUGGAUCCCAGUUGAAAAUACAUCUGAUUGAAAUAUAUUUGGGCUAUCAUUUGUUGACUAUUUCAAUAAACCUAGAAAUAUCUCUAGUUGAAGACUUUUCUAAUUUGGAUAAAAGAUGAUGGAAAGAAUAUUCUUAGAUGCCUGAGCCUGCACCUGGAAAAUGUUAAUCCAAGAGUUAUCACCAUAUAAAUUGGGUCUUAUCUAUUUUGCUUACUACAUUCAGAAAAUUCAACAUGCAAAUUUCUAUGACUUUUCACUCAUGCCAAGAUUGAUGGUACAUUACUUCCUUUCUAUUGUCCGGCCCCCUUCCAAAAAAAAAAAAAAAAAAAUCUGAAUUCGAAUAAACCAAAACAGAAUUUAGUUUUUUUUUUUUAUCUUUGUUUAUCCAUUUAAGAAGUUCCCCGGGUUGAGUAGAUAAUUUAUCUCAGGAUCUUCAACUUUAUAACAGCCUCCUCGUUAUAUUUAAUUUUACUACUUUCUGCUUUUCAGUUCAUUUUCGUACCCCAUCUCAAUUUUCAUCUUAAAAUCAUAUGAUAUGAGUAGGAUUAACCCUAAAAAAGAAAUAUAUAAACUAGAAUAUUUCUUAAACAAUCUAAACAACUAAAACAGUUUGAUAGAAUUUUAAAUCUUUCGUUAAAUCUCUCGAUCCAAAUGGAUCCUUAUUUUUUCUCUAGACCCUUUAUCUGAUUGAUCCCAUGCCAUUAAUCUGUUCUACAGAUAUAUCUCAAUAUACUCUUCCUAUUGCGUAGCAAUGCUGUAAUUGAAUUUAUUGUUUAACAAAUUCACCUUCACCUAAUACAACUGAGCCAUAGCACUUUGCCCAUUGUUUGGGUUUCUAUUAAUGUACUAUUAUUGCUAGAUGCAAGAAACCUCAUCUUUAACGGGCCGGGGUGACUGAAGAUUCCUUACAGUUGACCCGAAAAUGAAGCAACGUAACUAUUUCUUAGUCCAUGAUGAAAGCUAAUGAAAUUAGUAUUAAAUAUUGGGCUCAACGAGUUGUUGACAAAGCCAGUCGUGGAAGUAAUUAAUGUGGGCUCCAAUAUUCUCCUUUUUAAUAGAGUUUUAUUUUGUUAAGUUUCUGAAUUAACUGUUAAUUAGUAGCCCAAUUUAUCUUUCAAUAUAAUUAGUAUAUCAGUAAUUCUGUAUUACUUUAUCUGCGCAUAAUUCUAAUUUCCAGCCCAGUGAUCUUCACCCAAAAAAAAAAAAAAUAAGAACUGAAAUAAUAAAAUUUGGGAACUCUGAAGUCCAAUCAUCGUUCAUGAAUGAAAUUAUUUGUGUGGGUUUAAACUGGCUUGUUUAGAGGCUUUCUUGCUUUACAAUAAAGUUCGAUCAUCAUUCAUGAAUGAAAGUUUUACAUCAACAAAAUACAAGAAACUUACGACUAAUGCAACAAAUGAUUGAAAAAAGAAAAACUCCUCAAUGUAAGUGAAAUGAGCACAUCAAAAAUUUCUGAAGAACUAUGAAAGUAAAUUCAAAUUAAGAAAGAUAAUGUUAUGUAUAUCAAUAGUUGCAAAUUUUAGUUCAUUAUUUAGUAUAAGAAAAUUCCAAAGCUUUUGGAAAACACAAGAACAUUUAUAGUAGGAGAGAAGGUCCAAUGAAUGAACCAUCCCUAAUUCAUUUUCUAAUUUCCUUUUGUUUCUAAGAAGAUCUUUGGUUAAUUAUUCUUUAAUUAUUUUAAUUUUUUGGAUUGGUUUGAACACAAACAUAUUUUCUAAAAAUAUUUUAUGUUUGCAAUCACCUUAUUAUCUCGUAUACAUCACAUCAGAAAACGUGUUAUAGUUAUUUUUUUUUACAAAUAAUCUUCUAUCUAAACAUGAUUUAGUUGUCACAUGCUUCUUAUGAAAUACACAAUCCAACAUUUUUUUUAAAACUCCAUAAGUAACAUUUUUCUUAGACUGAAGUUGAAAGUCACGCUCUUGCUACUCAGACCUGAAGUAGAACAUUCUAAGAGACGACAACAUUUUUUUUUCCUUUAAUGACUAACGUGUGCACUGAUUGCAAUAAUUCAGAUUUGGAAAUCAUCCAUGAAUGGACAAGUUUUGCAAGUAAUUAGAUCUUCUAAAGAUGUGUUCAACAUAAAACAACACUAGAAAAUGACACCCUUCAUUGUAUACAUAUAUGAAUGCGUCUUUAUAUGACUAAGAAAUGAUAAAGGUUUUGUCCAACAAAGCUUCAAACAAUCUGCCGGUCCAGAAGAUUGCAAUUUGCAACCCUGAAUGAUGUCUAUGAAGUUGAUUUCUUAACUAAUGAAACUAUGAAAACUUUGGCCUAAAUUGGCGUGUGAUUUCUUCUCAUGUAUUAUAUACGCGUUUACAUUAGUAAAAAUUUAUGAUUAGUUGAAAAUUUUGAUGGCAGUUCUCAGCGCUUAAUUCGUAAAGUCUCAAGUAAUAAAACCCAAUUCUCAUCUAGAAACGUCAAGGAUGAUCAACUAGUGUAAUAUUAGAGGGUUGUUUUGAAAUUUCAUGGUCAAAUGGUAGCAUAUUUUGUACAUGUAUUUGCUUACUUUUCCUUCAUAUUAGAAAGCAAAAGUCUUUAUAAUAACAGUUGACUGAAAUUUAAGGUGACAGGAUUGGAUAAAACUGAAUACACAUUCCUAUUCUUUGUGCUUAUAGCUGGAGAUUGGACGAAGAAUUAUUUUGGUUACCUGCAGCAAGAAAAUGGGAAUUCCAGCAUCAUUAUAGCUUCACUCUUCUCAAUCUUGUGUUUGGUUACAUGCCUUAACUAAUGAAACUAUGAAAACUUUGGCCUAAAUUGGCGUGUGAUUUCUUCUCAUGUAUUAUAUACGCGUUUACAUUAGUAAAAAUUUAUGAUUAGUUGAAAAUUUUGAUGGCAGUUCUCAGCGCUUAAUUCGUAAAGUCUCAAGUAAUAAAACCCAAUUCUCAUCUAGAAACGUCAAGGAUGAUCAACUAGUGUAAUAUUAGAGGGUUGUUUUGAAAUUUCAUGGUCAAAUGGUAGCAUAUUUUGUACAUGUAUUUGCUUACUUUUCCUUCAUAUUAGAAAGCAAAAGUCUUUAUAAUAACAGUUGACUGAAAUUUAAGGUGACAGGAUUGGAUAAAACUGAAUACACAUUCCUAUUCUUUGUGCUUAUAGCUGGAGAUUGGACGAAGAAUUAUUUUGGUUACCUGCAGCAAGAAAAUGGGAAUUCCAGCAUCAUUAUAGCUUCACUCUUCUCAAUCUUGUGUUUGGUUACAUGCCUCAACUUCAGAUGCUAUAAGUUUUUGCUUUCUUUUAAGCCAAAUCAACAUAUUUUAAUGAUGUAGAAAUGAAGGUUGAACAAAGCCCUGAGUGUCGAUUUCUGUGACCACACCUUAGUGAGAGGGGUUUACCUAUAUAUCCGUAUUUGUCUUUUGAAGGAAAUGGAGGUUUUAUGUUGAAUAACAAAUGCCAUUAUUAAGAUAACAAUGUACAACAGGUAAUCCAACACUAAUAAAAUGUUACAUGUUAAUAUCUUAGUGUAUGCUCUGAGAUAAUGGAUUAAACAAAUUAAUUCCAAUUCUCAAAUUAAUUCCAAUUCUCUUACAAAGAAGUGGAAGUAAUUUGUUUAAUUAUGGUGUUAUCUUGAUUAUAGACCCAUGAUGCGUCUUCCUUACGCACCAACAUGGGCUUGUGUUUUCUCCAAGAUUUCUAAUAUUUCACAUUUAGGAUUAAAAUAAGAUAAAUGUUAAUCAUACUCCACUUUUUUUAUAAUGAUCUAUCUAACGACUGCCCUUGUUAAUAUAUAUUUCAGAUGUUAUAUUUUUUAAAAUAUAAUAUUAAUUAAUGAAAGUAAAUAAAUACAAGGGAGGGUAGGUAAGAUUAAAUAGGAAAAGUAUAUAAAUGUAAGGGAGGAUAAUAAUUGUUAGUAUAUGUAUAUAUAUGGUAGAUUAGAUAAAUGUUAGAUGUGUCAACGGAUGCCCUAGAAAAACCCUUUUUGUAAUGGCAUUUCCAUUAUUAUUAUUAUUAUAUAAUUUUCAUUUACUAGACUAUAUGGUACUCCCUCCAUUCCACUUUGAUGGUCUUCAUUUCUUUUCACACAAUGUAAGAAAAAUUAAGUAAUUUUAUUGGAAGAGUAAAUCUAGUAUAUUGUUUUCUUAAAAUACCCUUCUGUUAAUAUUAGAUGUAUGACUAAUCCUUAUACCUUUAUAUUAAUUACAGUAACAAUACUAAUAGAAAGUUGCACUAUGAAAGACAUGAAUCAAAGCAAUUAUUGAACAAGGUAGGUUACACUCAUUGAUAACAAAGCAAAUUAAAUAAAAGUAUAUUAGAGAAGUUAAAAAUUAACUAUACUUUGGGAUGAAUGAAAAAGAAAAAUAAGAUUGUCAAAGUGAUAUAGACAAAGUAAAAAUGAUAAUGGGAGUACUAUUAUAAAAUGUGUAAUAUGAUUAACAUUUUUCCGAAGGCAACAUUAAUUUGUUCAUAAUUGAUAAUCCAACUAAAGCCAAGAUUAUUGGUCCCAUGUUCAUUAAUGUUAGAUUGUAAGAACUCUCUGGGAUGCUUUUCGUCUGCUUCCUCACAAGUUUUGCUCCUAAAGUGUAAACAAGUUGGACUAAGUGUAAACAAGUUAUAAUAAAGUGUAAAAAAAAUUAAAAUGAUCAUUUUACCUUAAAAUAGACCGCACACACAAAGGGCUCAAUUUGUGGGGAACCUUUCAACCACCAAUCAGUAGUUUGUGUCACUCGUAGUAUUUCUACUUUAAUGAUUGCAGCUACCAUUUCUUGAUAGAUCACUAACUUGCUAGCUAUGGUAGCUUUUCGGGAGAUAUGUGAGGUCCAUUAGAUUACUUAACUUGAAUCUAAGCAAAUACUAGAGCAGUGGCAAGAGUCAGAAAUCUUUUCAGUGGGGGCAAAACUUAUCAAGCUAUAUGCUUUAAGGAUGAUUUCUGUAUUUUAUACACUUUUUUUUUUCAAUUUCAAGUCCAAUUACGCAUACCAUUUCAAGUUCAUUUUUGAGUUGUCGACCAAUUUUUUUUUUUUCUCAUUUUAGAGUCAUCGACAUAUGUUUGUCUUGUUAGAUUAAUUUCAAUAUGAAAAUCAUCUCAAAGUGCAAGAAAAUUAGACCCAAUAUACAACUUGUAAGAUGACAAAUAGUUUAUAUUAACUUUCAAUCUAAAAGAAUCCCAUUGGAAUUUGACUUUACAUUUAUCAUGAAUGUUUCUCUCCUGUUUUGUAGGGUUUUUGUUUUUUUUCAAAAUAUAUAGCUGCCAAGACAAAACUUCAUUCUAAGCAACUUGUUAAUCAAAAAAUAAAAGUUUACCAAAAUGCUUGAUAAAAGUAAAAACAAGAAAAAAAAUGUAUCUUAGUCAUCGAUAUUUUUGUGUAGUUUAUCAAAUAAUACUCAUUACAAAUGAGAUGGACCUUAAAGUUAUAUAUAGUUCAAUAUUGCUUAUACCGCAAAGAGUUGAACUUAUUACUAUGUUUGUAAUUCUUUCAAAUUUAUAAACUAUUACAUAAAGAAGCCUGAUGGAGACAGUGGGGGCAAAUGCAGCCAGUGCCCCAUUGUGGCUCCGCCACUGUACUAUAGAUAAUGUACUACAAAAUAUUUAAGUAGGAAGAGUAAUAAAAUUUGAAAUUCUCAAAAAAUAGUCAAAAUACUUAAGUAGGAAGUUAAGUUAUUCAAUUUGAAAGGGAGGUAUGUUUUAGCACUAUCUAAAUACUUGUGUCCCUACAAAUGGAGAAAUUCAACAUAAUAACGCUAUCUUAAUUCUUGUCUCCCUACGAACAGAGAAAUUCAACUCAAGGCGCACAAGCAAAAAUCUGAAAAUCUAACUACUUUGGAAUUUUAAUUUUUAGGUAACGAUUUGGAAUUUUACUUUGACAAAUUCAUGGUCAAAUGGUGGGAGGUUUAGCUUUAUCUGAUAACCAUUUCUUUUCAAACUGGAUUUGUGUAGCUGAAAAACUUCUAUAUAUUGCAACCAAUCCCGAACCGAAGCAAUUACCCCCUAGUAAUUUAGUACUAAGAAAAUGAGAAAUCUUAGCAUCAUUCUAGCUUCAUUCUUUUUCUCGACCUUGGUUGCAAUUUCAUUUGCAGCUUCUGAUCAAUCUGUCCAUCAGGCAUUUGUUCAAUGUCUACAAAAGCAUUCUUCACCCAACAUUUCUGCAGUAAUUUACACCCCAAACAACUCUUCAUUUCCCACUGUUUUGCAAGCCUACAUCAGAAAUCUAAGAUUCAAUGAGUCCACCACAAGAAAGCCUUUCCUCAUCCUCACUGCUUUGGAUGUUUCUCAUAUCCAAGCAGCUAUCAUCUGCGCAAAAGCGCAAGGCCUACAGAUGAAAACCCGAAGUGGAGGGCAUGACUAUGAGGGCGUUUCCUACAUCUCUGAAGUCCCCUUCUUCAUCCUUGACUUGUUCAACAUUCGAUCAAUCAGUGUUAACAUAGAAGAAGAGACAGCUUGGGUUCAAGUUGGAGCAACUCUUGGUGAAGUAUACUACAGAAUUUAUGAGAAAAGCAAAGUUCAUGGCUUCCCUGCCGGAGUUUGUCCCACAGUUGGCGUUGGGGGGCAUUUCAGUGGGGGUGGCUACGGCAACAUGAUGAGGAAAUAUGGCCUUUCAGUAGACAAUAUUAUUGAUGCACAAAUCAUCGGUGUGAAUGGCCGAAUUCUAGACCGAGCAGCAAUGGGAGAAGAUCUGUUCUGGGCUAUCACUGGAGGUGGAGCUUCGAGUUUUGGAGUUGCUCUUGCAUACAAGAUAAAUCUGGUCCGUGUUCCCCCUAAAGUUACAGUGUUCAGGGUGGAAAGGACUUAUGAGCAAAAUGCAACGUUUCUUGUUCACAGGUGGCAGGAAGUUGCAGACAAGUUAGACAAUGACAUCUUCAUAAGAAUGAUUAUUGAUGUGGUCAAUAAUAAUCGUACAGGAGGUAAAACUAUAAGAUCAGCGUUCUUCACGCUGUUCUUGGGAGACUCGGCAAGACUUCUUUCUCUGAUGAAUGAAAGUUUUCCUGAAUUGGGAUUGCGGCAAUCAGAUUGCAUGGAGAUGAGUUGGGCUGAAUCUGUAAUUUACUACACCAGCUUCCCCCUUGGAACUCCUGUUGAUAUGCUUCUUAGCAGAGUUCCUCAAGUACUAACUCACCUGAAAAGGAAAUCUGAUUAUUUGAAAAAGCCUAUGCCAAUAGAAGGCAUAGAAUUCAUCUUCAAGAAAAUGAUUGAAUUGCAGACUCCAGUCUUGACUUUCAAUCCUUAUGGAGGAAGAAUGGCCGAGAUUCCAGCCUCGGCCAAACCCUUUCCCCAUAGAGCUGGGAAUAUUGCAAAGAUUCAGUAUGCAACAAACUGGGAUCAAAAUGGUGUCCAGACGGCCGAGUAUUACAUCAAUUUGACCAGAGCUUUACAUAAAUAUAUGACUCCUUUUGUCUCCAAGUUCCCCAGGGAAGCAUUUCUCAAUUACAGAGAUCUUGAUAUAGGGAUCACCCAUAAUGGCAAGAACAGUUACGCGGAGGGACUUGUUUAUGGAAUUAAGUACUUCAAGGAAAAUUUUAACAGAUUGGUAAAAGUUAAGACCGCGGUUGAUCCUGACAAUUUCUUCAGGAAUGAACAAACCAUUCCGGUGUCUCCUUCUAGGAAAUACUAACAAUAAAGAAGUUAUCAUGUAGCUUUGGUUUUGUUGAUUGUUGUUUUUGUUUUUGCUUUCUGUAAUUUAUUUGGAUUGCAAACUGCAAAGUGUCAUAAAUGAUUCUACACAAAGCACACAGAAUAAAGAUUAUUUUGUCAAAGUUUUGUAU
Molecule: long non-coding RNA, 231812 nt
Filed under: Coffea arabica (coffee)
Lineage: Eukaryota; Viridiplantae; Streptophyta; Magnoliopsida; Gentianales; Rubiaceae
Description: long non-coding RNA (CARA_LNC006526)
Rfam family: Plant small nucleolar RNA R71 (bases 48305-48411)
Source: RNAcentral